This 249570-nucleotide long non-coding RNA is filed under the name Malus domestica (apple). Lineage: Eukaryota; Viridiplantae; Streptophyta; Magnoliopsida; Rosales; Rosaceae. The record is from RNAcentral.
UUCUUCUUUUUUUUUUUUUUUUUUUUUUGUAAAUUUUGUUUUUUUUUUUUAAUUUCGAUUUGGUUUGCUGGUUUUUUUUUUUGUGAUUUGGGUUUUUUUUGUUAUGAAUCUGAAUAUUGGGGUUCGUGUGGUUUUUUCUUAUCUGAUUUGAUUAAUUCACUUUGUUAAUCUAGAUCCCAUCCAAGAUCUACACCUAAGUUUGAACCCCUGCUAAUUUAGAUAAAUUUAGUAUACUUAUUCUAUCGUUUGUCCAAAAUAAAUUCAGAUUUAUGUUCAAAUAGUAAAGAUUUGAAACGCUAAUUCAAUCGUAUUUGUUUUUCUUUUGUAAUUGGUUUUGGAAAAUUAGAGCCAGAAAUUUUCUGUUUGCUUCUUAUCGUGUUGGGGCAUAAUAUGUUCAUUCUUGCAUGUUAAAAUAACAUUCCAGAUAAAUAGUACAAAACAAUAUUUUCCUACCCACCACGUUUAUUUCAUUUGUUAUAUUUUGCAUCUAAAUUCUAGGUUGAAAAGGACUUAUUUAUCCCCGUUAAAAGAGUUUCUUUUUAUAAACAAUAGCGUUUAGUGAGUUAAAUUUUUAGCUGUUAGAAUAGAGGGAAUCGGUGAGGAUUAAAUUCCACCGGAUGCAUCACUUUCCGUCAUUGUAGUAAAUCGCCAUCUGCAUUUAAAAGGGUAUUGGAACUGCACGGAAAUGCUUACAGUUGUUUACUCUUUGCCAAGUGUUGCUACAAAACCCUCUUGUUUGUUUUUGUUUGACAUAUUCUCUAUUAUGCACCGGGGUCCUUGAUAGUUGGAUUCUUGACUGCAUAUCUAACCAUUCAUUGCUUCGAUGCAUGUCAUACACAUAAGUAAAGUGGAAUUUUUGUUCGUUUCGACCCUACGUACGUACUAUCAAUGGUUUCCUUUCAUAUUUAAAACAAUAACAAUACUGGUUCCAUGAUUACACAUAUGCUAGUCAUUUGAAGGGUUACAUGAACAUGUUUUAUUUCGCUUCUUAUGUUCCGAGAGCUCUUCAAUAAAAACUGCAGAUGGUUGUUGAUUUCACUGCUUCAUGGUGCGGACCAUGCCGCUUCAUCGCACCAUUCUUGGCGGAGUUGGCUAAGAAGCUGCCGAAUGUCAUCUUCGUGAAGGUUGACGUCGAUGAACUGAAGGUAAUACCGUCAUCUGUUUCAAAACGUAAUUUCUUUCGGAAUCAGUUAACAUUGCACGCUGUAAGAGAAACUCAAACGCAAGGGAAUUUCUUUGCAGACGGUCGCGCAGGACUGGGCGGUAGAGGCAAUGCCAACGUUCAUGUUCCUGAAGGAAGGGAAGAUCGUGGACAAGGUGGUCGGAGCGAAGAAAGACGAGCUGCAGCAGACUAUCUCGAAGCAUGUGGGCACUGCUUCUGCCUGAAUGUGAUAAAUUUGCAUAUUAUGCCGAUAAAUCUAGACUAUAGCAAAGCACAAGGCCACGGACCUUGCGAGUUGCUAGUAAUGUAGACUUAUAUUUCAACCUUUUGCCUUUGUUUUAAGUAUUGUGUGUGGUACUUUUCAUAGGGUUGCCACAUAAAUGUAGUUCUAUUUAGCCCAUACAUCGUUUGGAAAUUGUUACUUGAUGUGGAAAUUCUAUAUAGUUGCGGCAGGUAGAUGCUCUUGCGCCCUACCAUCGGACUAGGUGGACUUGCCGGAUUUACUCACAAAGAAAUGAGCUCAUUUGUAUUUAGGUACCACUUGGCCUUGUGCAGGCACAAACCUCAAUAUAAGGGUCUCACUUAGACCUGGCAUUGAGAUUUACUCGCAAAGAAAUGAGCUCAUUUGUAUUUAAGUACCACUUGGCCUUGUGCAGGCACAAACCUCAAUGUAAGGGUCUCACUGUUAGACCUGGCAUUGCAACUCACCCCGUUAAGAUUAGUAUUUGAGUGACUCUCACUCCAUUGUGAGUGGGCCGGAAUUGCAGGUUGAAAUUUACAUGGAAUAGGGUUAUGUAUAUCAUUUGUAUCUAUCUUUCUUCUCACGUAAUUUCACUGCAUGAGAGAGACAGACACACAAAAGAGUACACCAAAUUGUAUGCUAGUCUUUCUCCAAACUGCAGGCUGGGAUGGGAUUGGGGCAUUCAGAAACUUAGAAAGUUUGACAAGAGCCAUUCUUUGCAGUAGAGUCCCAAUAUUUUACUUUUAUUGUUGAAGGUACUAGCAAGCUGGCAAUUACCAGAUUUUCACACUUUCAUUUUCUUAUUGCACUUUUUUUCUCCCGUCUUUUGAUUUAUUCAAUCCAAAAGCUAAAAAAAAUAGAGAGAAUUGCACAAGGAGAAAAUGGGAGUGCGGAAAUCUCGAAUCAUCAGACAGACACAGGCAAAAACAAGAGGAAGUAACACCAUGAAAUGGACAACACAAGACUUUGAAUCUUUUCAUUCAUGAAAUCUGCACAGUAAACAAAUGGUGUCACACUAGGAUCCUCUCCCAACAUGAACCUACAUUUACCUAAUUGGAUUUGGGGUAUCCUUUUUUUCCCCAAAACUACAUGAACGGUAAAAACACUCAACAGAAAAAACACAUCAUUUCCCAGUGCCCAUAUAUCCCGUUAAAAGGCCGGGGACCGGAGCCUGACUCCCCCUAGGGUCCGAAUUGCCGAACCCCGAGGUAUCUACAAACUCGCCUAAGUAACAAGAUCACUGCUUACACAAGUCCUUUAAGCUUACUUAAAUUAACAGCUAAUUGCGCUUUAACUCCGAAUAUGAAUUACCCUUCGCCAAGCGCUGCUACUACGACUCCUCUUCAUCAGAAGAUAAAACUAUGGCACUCCUCCUAACUACAUUUGCCAUCUCGCUGUACUCGAUAUCUUAUUCUUGUUUGCUCGCUUCUUCUCUUGCUGUGGUGUAAAAUUAAGGGAUUAGGGUGCAACAAUUAUGAUAUGUUAUCUCACUCUUUCACUAACCCCGCGAAUUGGGUUCCAUGUUCGUUGAAGUUGUGGGAGCACAAACAGCUUCUACUGACAGCCGCUUCAACACAUUCGGACAUGGAUCUCCAAAGUUGCUGUUGGAUAUGGUGACUGCACAUCUCUGCUUCCCUAUGCACUUCUGUGAUAAUUGGAGAUAAAAAAGAUAGAACACGGUUCAGUAAGAGGGUUAUGAAUACAAGUAGAUUUUAGAAAACCAGAUAGCAUUGUUUAGUACCUUCUGCAAUACAGAAUAUGAUGUGGUCGCAUGGCAAGUUCCUUGUUGGUAGCUCCCACAGGUUCCCAAGGGUGUUCCGAAGCUAGCGAAUUUGAUGGAAGAGAUAGCCUGGCCUGGGUUACACCGCAAGUGAACCUUGGGGCUGUGGAAGUCUUCUACUUUUCCAUAGCUUUCGAUGUGCCAAUUCUUGAUUGUUGGGUGGUAUUCAGCAACCUCAGAGCAAACACUGCUCACAGCUCUCUUUACUAGAGAAAUUCUGGAGGGAUCCCCUCCAAGUUCCUCAAAAAGUACCAACAGAUUCUGCGUUGGCUUUAACCAAGAUCGAGGCACAUGAUAACUGAAAAAAAUGAAAUUCAAAUGGAAUUUAGGAGGAGAAUUUAUUUGCUGAGUAAGCCACUAAAUGUUUACGUCAUACUUUCAUACUACAAUUGUUUUGUCAAAAAAAUACAAAGUUUUCAUCGUAGAGUUGCUUACUAUCGUUGUGUGGGUUGGCCGCAACCCGAUUGACACUUCGUAGGCCUAAACCCUCCAGCAUAACUGCACCCAUUGCAAUUACCAUUAGCAAAUGCAGUCCAGUAUCUCCCAAUACUCUGUCCAUUAAUCCAUAUUUGGCCUUUUCCCAUUCCCUCCAAAUCCAAAGCCAAUGGCUCGUUUCCUUCGGGUUCAUUGAAAAUGGUCUGCAAAGUUGAGUGAGAGUAUUAAUAAUUUUGUUCUCCUGUGUUUACAUUACAUAAUUGAGUUCCACUUUUCUUUGUUGCAUACCUUGUGCCAAGUCAAUGGCUGCUGUUUCUGUGCAAUUAAUGAUCCGCUCAUCCAUUCGACGGAGGAAAAAUCAUUUGGAGAUGCAAGAUUCAUGGCUUCUCCCUUCAAUCCGACCUGAUAGAAUAGCAGGGGUAAGGAAAAAUUUCUUUUUCAUAAUAAAUAAAACGAUUUGAUUUCCAAAGUAAGAUCGACUACCUGGUAGGUCCACUUCUGCCAAGAUAAGUCCCAUUUUCCCUGGUCAAGUCCAUGAAGUGCAACGGGGCCGAGGAUUCCAGUAUUCCAAGCCUCAAAGUGUCCGCCCACAUUCUUCAACAAGCAACAAUAACUUGUCAGCAUUACAGAGGAAGAACAAGUAGAAUAAGAAGAAAAAAAUUGUGGGAAAUAAUACUAACAGGUAAUCCGACGGCAAUACUCAGAAGUGCAAUUCUGUUUGUUCCGGCACGUAGAUUGACCUUGCCAGUAUAUGUGAAUCUCCUACUCUGCCUUGUUCCGAAGGCAGAACCUGUUAUGUAUUUGUUAAGUUUUUUUCAUUGUUCAGCAAGAUAAUAUACAUGCAAGAAGCAAAUCAAAAUUGUACCUGUAAGCUGCCCAUUAAUGAAGAUGUGCACAGCAUGGCCUGUUGAUUGAACAAUAAGGGUCGGGAGUUCCCCUCCACGCAGGAAGGACUCAGAUGAAGCAAUAUCGACACUGCAGACACAUUGAAAGGAAGAUGAUAGUUUUAUAGGUCAGAAAGGACGUCACAGAAGGCAUACUUAACACUUCAGUGUGGGUACUUCCACAGACCAAGCUAGUCAAAUUGGAACAUUCUUUUGAAAGGCUGUCUAAGAAUAUUUAUAGGUGAAAAUACUUCAAUGACAAUGGAAACGCAGACCAACUGGGGAAAUCAUGAGACAAAGAGUUAGCCUCAGGAAAUUCUCACCUUGUUAUGUACCAGAGGUAAUCAGUACUAUCCCUCGUGACAUUUAUCUGUUCCAGUAGACCAGGAGCGGUCAAUGUUGAGCUGUCAUCCAGAGAAGUAAGAUCUUCAUCAUAACUCUCCCAUGAUAGCAUUGGAAUAUUUGUUGGCAACAUUUGCAUUUGUGACGUUUGAACUCCAACCUAAGGAGAAGGAACGACAAACAGUUUCAUCUCAAAAACUAAAAAAUAUUUCAAUGUUCAAAGGAAAUAAAGACUUGUGUUCCCGAAAUUGUGGUCUCAGAUUCUGUCAGAAUAGACAUCAAUCCAAGUACAUGUUCAGAAUCAAUACCUUUGCAGUGUUAAAGACUACAUUUCUGCAAUCAGGAAGGAUACUGAUUGACCAAGGAGGUAGGUUGUAGUGCAUGUUAUUAAACAUGACUCUCGCAGCUGAAUUGGAAUCAUGGUUUGAAAGAAAUGCCGAGCAAUCUCCUGAUUCGGAAGUGUACACAUGAGCCUGGAAUGACAAAACAUGCCUAGAGUUUAGUAAACAAGAAUAACUUAUGCAAACCAAACGCUAGUUUGAGAAUAAAGGUGAAAACCUGUUGAAAACUCCCCAGUGAAGUGAUGAUUGGAUCCGCUGAUACUAAAGCCCGUUCACACAUCUUAAUAGCCUUGUGAAGCUCCUUUAGAUGGCCAUACUUUGGCUGCCUGAUUAAACCUAUCAAGUUUUACGGUAAAGCAGUUAGCUAUAUUCUCGAAAGUUCCAAACAUUCGUGCAGUAAAAUGGUAUAUCACAACACGCACUGACACCAGAUCAGUUUGCUUAAGCAUGUUUUAAUUCUCACCAUAUUCAUCUAAUGGAGCAUCAUAGUCGUAGCUGGUAGUGAUGAAAGGGCCCCCGGCUGUGCGUCCAAAAUUAGUACCCCCGUGGUACUGUUUCACAAGAAAACACAAGAAUUCAGUUUUCUGUGAUAUGUUUUAAUACUGUACAUCUUUCGUACCCUCAAAAAAAGCAGUGCAAGGAAGCUGACCAUGUAAUAGUUAACAAAUGAUCCUCCUUUCUGUAUGAAUCUCGCAACUGCAUAUGCUAAAUCCUGAACUGGUCGUUGGUGAAUUGGACCUCCAAACUCCGUAAACCUUCACAAUUUUAUUGAAAGAAAGAGUCAAAUGGAUAUAUUUUCAUUUGUAGCAAUUUAACAAACUUGGGAUUCCUAAGCAAACAAGCAUAAUAAACUUACCAUCCACUCCAUGUCUCUGUCCAAAUCGUAGGCUUAUAGGGCUGGUUGGGAGAGAAAGAAUCACAGUAGAAACCGUUACAUGUGUUUAUCUGUCACGCAACCAUCCACAAAAACAUUUGAGUGACUUCCUUAAUACAUACGCAAGUCAUACAACUCUUCUCUCGAGAAUUGGUACUCCAUUGCAGGAAUGCCAAAUAAAAGGAAAAUGUAUAACAAUACAAGCUAAUAUGUGCAGCACAAAGAGUGUUAAUUACUCACCACUGGAUCUGGAGCAUCUUCCUCCUUGCACAUCACCCAUGGCACUCCGGUGUCCAACCCAACCGCCAUUUCUGCCGCCCAAGUUAUGUAAUUAUGGCCAGCAGCUCCAAGUAACUUACUUUGUGCUCCAUACUCGUUCUCAAUCUGAACCACAUUAACAAAUUUAACAUAUAUCACUAUAACUCAACUCGAAAUAACAUAAUUUACCCCUAAGAACGAAAUCAUAGAGCAAAAACGGAAAAUCGAAAAGGCUCAUAUACCUGAGAGAGAAUGAUGGGACCACCCUGGGACUCAAACAAAUUUUCACUCUUCAUCAGUCGCACAAUCUUUUCUGUGAACCCUUGCAUUGCCCUCUGCAUUUCCAGAAGUUACACUAUCAAAUUUUACUGAACAGUAAAUAGUAAAUACCCCCAAAAGCUCCAUAAAUUCUCCUCAGACAAAUUAUGCAACAAUAUUAGAUAAAAAGGUAAAAAGUAAAGAAAAUUAACCUUGAAAGGCUCAUUGUCUGUUCUGAAGCUGAUGCCUGGAACAUACUUCAGCCACACAGGAAAACCCCUACAAACCACACAAUCAGAAAAAUUAAAUAUUCAUUUUUUCUAAAAUUAGGAGAGAAAAAAAGAGUGAUAGUGGAAUAUCCUAAAAAAUUAGAAAAAUAAAAGGCCAAAAUUAUAGAUCUAGAGAAAAAAGAGUACCCAUUGUUCCACUCUGCACAAACGUAAGGGCCAAUGCGAAGGUGAGCAUAGAGCCCUGCAUUCUGUAUGGUCUUGAGGAACCUCACCAGAUCAUACCUCCCUUCAAAAUUGUACUGAAACCCAGCAGCAUUCAUAAUUAGAAGGGAAAAUAAACAGCAAAAAUGGCAGAACAAAGCAGUAAACUUUGACAGUAAAAUGUAAAAAUGAAGAGUUAAAAGUGAGAGAGCAGAUACAUUGCCAGGAGUAGGCUCAUGCACAUUCCAGAACACAUAGGUUUCAACCACAUCAAGCCCUCCUUCUUUUGCCUUCUGAAUCAGAUCUUCCCACAUCUAAACCAAAAUUACAUUCUCAAAUCAAAUAAAAAAACCCAAAAAAAAAAAUAUAAUAGUGAGAGAAUUGUUGAAAAAAAUGAAAAAUUUGUGAAAUGGGAAGUGGGAAAAUGGGAAAAAAAAGAUUUGGGUUACCUCAGGAGUGCUUCUGGGGUAAUGUAUUGAACCAGAAAUUAGGAUUCUUCUCUGCCCAUUAAUCACAAUGGCCUUCCUGUCAUAUGUGACAGUACAGUGAACCAGCUGAAAACCCAGCAACAAAAACAACCCCAAGAAAAAACCCAGCUUGGAAACUGAGUUGGUUUCCAUGGCUUUGCCUUCUCUAUCUCUCCCUCUCUCCAAACUUUAAUGGCAGACAAAACUCAAAGCAGGAAGGAGAGAAAGAGCAGCAGCAACUCAGAGAGUGUGGUGAAGCAGCAGGGUGUCCACACUCACAACUCACAGCUCUGAGACUCUGAGCAGAGCUAUAUAAUAUAUUUUUCUGUGUGCUGUGCGUAUAUAAAUAUAAAUAAAUAAAUAUAUAUAUAUAUAUAUUCAUAUAUAAUAUGGUAACGGAAUCAAAUGAGAAAAUACAGAAUUGUUUUUUCUAUGGCGUUUGGUUUGGUGUAUUUAUUACUAGUGUAACAUAUACGGACGGACAGGUCGCGGUCGAUCACAGUUCACAAAUCACAAGUGUCAAGGCUCGCCGCUGCCUGGCCGUUGGCUACGAGUAUCACCUGUCAAAUAAACAACAGUUGUCACGGAAAGCUAAAAUAUUGUCGUGAGUUGUUUUGGAUUUCUAAAAUAAUGAAACAACAAUCUGAUCUUUUUCUAAAGCUAAAAUUAAAAAAAGGUAAAUGUAACAUGUUUUUUUAUUAUUGCUUUAGUUAAGAUAAUUUGUGAGUGUUUUAGGGCUGGUUUUGUAUUGUUGUGCUUUAAAAAAAAAUUUAUUCUGCGUACUGUGAGAAUAAGCUCAUUUUUUUUGCUUCAUAUUUUCAGUUUUUUUUUUCACCAAAAACUGUGAAAAUAAGUUGUUUUUAAGUGUUUAUCAAACAUCUUUUUGAGGUCGGCUUUUUCUAUACUCACUUUUUAUAAAAACAACUCAGUACCAAACCAUUCCUUAAAUUGUUUAUAGCCCCCCCCCGGCCUUUGACCUAAUCUUAUAAAGUGCACUUUUGAGCUUAUUUCCAAUAGUUCUCUAUUGUUUUAUUGCACAAGAAGUUUAACCCCUUUUUCUUUUUACCAAUAAUCUUAAUGUUAAAUCGAAAUUUGAAGUUAAGUAUUUUUGUCUCUGAAGUUAUGCGUUCGAAUUUUUUCUCCAUUAAUAUGUAAUAAAUUAUAUAUUUGAGUAAUUGACGUCAUACAUCAAAAUCAUACCGAUAUUUAUGGAAACUUGAGUUGUUUAUAAAGUGAUCAAGGCAUGACGAGUGCUAAUGAAUGUUAGUGAAGAUAAUCAGAGUUUGAUAAAGGGUUAAUCAGACUGACGGAGAAAGCGAGUGAAGAGAAAUGAGGAUACGAAAAUUACUUCCUAAAAAUUAACACUUCGUAAGUUAGUAAAUCACCCAUCUUGAUUCUUUUUCUUUCUUUUUGUGACAUGUUUUGUAGAGGGCUUUGACCAUGCCAACCUGUCGAGGUAACCGUGGCCAAGGGCAAUAUCGUCAUUUUGUUCUUUUUCCUCUUGUGACCCACACUUGCAAUUCCAUGUGAGCCAGAAACCCUUUUUGGUUCUUUUGGGUCGUGUGACCCGUAUUAAACUCCACCACCCCCCCCCCCCUCCCAAAAAAAAAUCCCCCAAUUCGUCACAUUUUUGUCACUUUUCUUCCUUCCCAUUGACUCCAAACCUUUUCCGUCCCGAAUCGGCCUAAUUUUUAAUCUCGCAUCUCUAUCAAGGGAAAUGAACCUCUAUAAUACGGAUAAAUCGUUGUACUGAUAAUAUGUGCUAAUAAAAUAAAAAUAUAUUUUUUACAUGUCUUUGUUUUAUUUACAUAAAACGACAUGUGACAGUAAACAUGCAUCGUGCAAUGUAUGUUGUUCUCAUGUAGCAACACACGGUAACCAGUAGAUCUGUUAUCCCUGUCGACGAAGAUCUCAUUUCAAUUCAGGCUAGCUGUCAUUCAAGAUUAGGAAGCAAUGCUAGUUAUAAUUUUAUUGUGAUCUAAUAGUGGUAUGGUUCCAGGCUUAGUUAUUCUAUGGACUUAUCAUUAAACUAAUUGCAAAUUCUUCUUAGGAAAGUGUUAUUUUACGGAAUUAUAUUAUUCCCCUACGUCAAUAUCUAGGAAUAUUUACAGUGCUCACAUCUAGUGAUCCUCUCAUCUCAAGGUCAAAUUUACUAUUUCUAUUUUCCCUUUUAGAUCGAGAAGAGAAAUUCUUAGAUUUGGACCACCGAACCAUCUAACCAUUCGACUGAAGACACAUUAUAUAGGUAUUUAUAAUUUUUAAGUGUUUCAUUUUCAAUGUUAGGUGCGAACAACAUUUAGGAAAAUCUCAUUGGGUGGGAUGUUUUUGUUUCUUAGGUUGGAAUUUGAACAGCCACAUAAUUUCAUCAUCCGUACCUUAAAAGUCAUCUUUCAAGCAAUACGAUUUUCUAUACAAUUUGUACUUGUAGAAUAAAUUCAAACUUGGAAUGAAUGAGAGUAUAAAUAACAUUACCAUUUCAACAGCGUUGUUUUCGUUUCUCAACUUGGAAAAAGAAAUACCAGUGAAGACUCGAGCACGAUUUAGACAACUAGGGUUUGUCAACAAAAAGUUGCCACUUACUAAUGUCUAAUCCAAUAUUUGGCGCCACUCAAGCAUAUUCCUACUCCAUUUGUUUCUUGAUUGCCGGGAAAAAGGAUUUGCUUAAUUUAAAGCCAUAGCAGCUUUCUCUUUGUUUGGUGUUUUUAAUUACGAAAAUGGAUUAAUUAUGAUUAAAAUAAUCACAACUUCAUGUGCUCUCUAAUUAUAGUUAUCCGUUGUGGUGAGUCCAGCGUCAACAGGGUUGGUCAUGAUCGAAUCCGGAUUCAGGAUCUGGAUUCUCUUUGUAAGGAUUAUGGAAAUUUGUGAAUCGUGUUUGUUAUAUUGUGCAGUCAUAAAUUAUUUUAAAUAUUUUUAUUUAAAAUUAAACACAAAUAGUACCUGAUAAAAACUGACUGUACGAUGAACGAACAUGAUUUACGGUUCCUCAAGAUCCUCACCAAAAAGAUCCAAAGAGGAUCCAGUUGGGUCAUGAUCUAAGUUAUGAUCCUCUGUCCAUUCAUAUGUCGCCAUGUGGCGUGCUUAAUGCUUGAUUAAGAGUUAGCUUAAUAAUUAAUCAACCAAUUAGCAAGAAGCUUCUCUUGUACCUAUGUUUCUUCUUCUUUGGUUCUUGUAUCAUGCAAUAACAUUCAUAGGCGUGAACAACGGAAUGAACAUGGAAACCCUAAGACAGUGGGGCCUUCGUCCCACCCACCUCCAAUUAGGUCAACUAUAAAUUUUUAUUUUUUACAAAAAUAUUUUACACAUACCAGAGAUAUUAGUUAAGUCAUACAAUGAGUCAAAUGAUAAUAAGUAUUGAAUUCUUCAUUCAUGUGAUUCGAACGUAAGACAAUCCACUUACAUAAAAAAGCAAAAUAGUGCUAGUAACCAAGGUUUUAAAAAGCACUAAACGCUAGUCAAGUAGCGAGCAGAGCCUAGCACUAAGGCGUCUAGGCAGUUUCUAAAUUUUAAAUAGAUUUAUUAUACAACAUAUAAAUAAAUGUCAACUUAUACUUAAAAAAAUACAUAAUUGUAUUAGUCUGCAUAAAUUGCAAAAUAAUAUGACUUGAAAACAUGGGAAAAACAUAUAAUAAUUAUUCAUCCAAGUAUUCAUGACAAGUCUCUUACAAUUUAUUAAACAAAUAAAAUACAAAAUGAAAGUUAUUUAUUUUCUAUUUAAAUGAAAAUCACAAUCUAGACGAAUGCUUAGACAGGCUUAGUCAAUUUUUUAAAACAGUCCUAGUAACAUCAUUAAAAUAAGUUAAAUAACUCUAUUAUUUGUUUAGUACCAAAGCACACUAUCUUAUAUUUUUGCUAAAUUGGAUCAAAUUUCCAAGGAUUCAACUAAUAACUCGUGGGGUCAAUUAUGUCCCCACCAAAGGGUGCAAUUAAGCCUAUUUGGCGUUGGGAUCAAUCCAGGGGCACUUGCGUGGAUCCCUAUAUAUCCAAGCUGGUGCAAGAUCCUAAGCAAAUUAGAAGCUUCUCUAUCCGAGCACAAAUCCUCAACGGUAUUAAUUUUGUUACUACCAACAAUCUCUAAUUAUUUUUGUCGACUAAACGAUAUUAUUUACAUUAAAAGGAUAAAGAAGUAGGUUAAGUGUAAUAUCUUGAAAAUUAAAAAUAUAUGAAUAUGUGGAGUAAAUCGAAAAUAAAUAGAUUUAUGGUUAUGAAAAUUUGAUUAGAGAAAUUUUAGAAUUUUGUUUCAGGGAUUUAUUAUAAUUUACGUAAAUUUUUUUAUUGAUUUGUGGAAAAGACGAAAAUGCCCCUAGUUGACUAAUUUGUAAUUUUAUGAGGACAUAUUUUAUCGUAUUUCUUGAUAUAUUUGGAUAGAGCUUGACCCUAAGAAAGCGUGGGCGAAAACCGUUUGUGAAUCAGAGUUGAAACGAAGAAAUCAAAGGCUUUGAAAAAAAAAAAAAAAGGAGUCUGGAAGCUGCCAUAUGGCAGUGUGAGAGAGAAGGAAAAGGAGAGAUGCAGGAGAGAAGAAGGAGGAGAGGGACCAAUUGGGGAGAGGGAGAAAAAGAGGGGAAAUAAGGGGAAAUGAGGGAGAAUGGGAUGAGGGAACCAGAUCCCCUUUGACUCGUCGACCCAACCCGGCCAUAUUUUCUGAUUUCUGCCACCAUCGACAACGAGAACGGUGCCAAAAUGAUCCUUACUUCAAACCCAGUCGUUCUCUCUCCCAUUUCCAUCCCAAAAAACUGAUGAAAUUGGAUUGAUUUUAAGAGAAACCGCACGAUGGGUGCGACAGGUUUGGCUUCGAUUUGUCAAAACUUGAAGCUAACUCCAACCAUCACCACCACUAAUAGUCUCUCCUCAAUGUUAGGAACAAAGCCCAAGUAAUGGUUGGGGCGUCGAAGUUUGUUUUGAGGUCGAAUCGAGAACACCUAUUUCUUGGGUUUCCGGCAGUCCAAAGCUAAUUUCAGGUGUUUCCCGGCUGAAUUGGAGUUCAUCCUAGAUAUGAAAGUUGUUCCUCUCAUUGAACUCUACUUGCCUUUAAAAUUUGGUAAUUUUUAGAGUUAGUCGGAAAAUUUGGUUUCAGUUCGUCGGAAACCGCCACCUACAGCAAUGCGUGGCCAGUGGGCCGACGCUGCCUUUUCAUGCCAAUUUUGAUAUUUUAAAUCCGUAAUUGGUACCCAUUUGAGGUGAUUCAAUUGUGAAAGCUAAUGUUGAAUAUUUCCAUUACUAGAAUAUUUUUGGAAAUGGAUAAAAGAAUGAAUGGUGAACUAUGAAAUGCUUAAUCCCGCAUUAAGGGUACGUAGGUAGUCUAACAGGGGUUAGAUGCAGCCUUAAAUAAUUGAGAUUAAUCUUUUGUUGGGAAUUUGAUUGAAGAAGAGAAAUUUUGGUGAAUUAUUUGAAAAUUUAAUCUUAUGUGCUUUGGUAAGUAAAUUCUGGUUAUAGAUUUUGUAAGUAAGAAAUUUAAAUAAAGAAUUGUGAUUAACAAUUUAACAAUAAUUAGUUAAACAAGAGUUUAAUUUUUGGCCUAUCACCAAAAUUAGUUUCCAAAAUAAAAAUUUCAGGUUGGGGCAUUACACUAAGCCUCGCAAUAUGUUAACAAUAAUGUGGUUCAAAUUCGCCUGGUGAGAAUCAAACCUAAAACCUCUAAUUUACAAAUGAAAAGGAAUAGCACUAAGACCGUAGGACUAAGUUACCCUUAAUUAUUUUUACUCCAUUCUUUUAACCACAUUAUAAAUCAAGUUCUUAAUGAAUACGGAAUCCAAUUUGACCACAUUACAAAUGUCUUUACCUUCUGAUAAAAUGUGGCUCUAGAAUAUGAUAGCCUACUAAUAUAUUAUACUAUAUUUGUUGUUAGAUUGUUAGUGAGAAGAAAAACUGACGAAUAACACAUGUCGUGAUGCAUGAUAUAUAUCGAAGGUGAGUUGCAUUUAACUUGUAUCUCGACCACACAUAAGCACCACAUUGAACACCAAAUAAUUGGGCGUUGGGCGUAGAAUGUCAACCCCAUCAUGGCAAUUGUUCGAUGAAUAAUGCAUAUACGAGUUUUGUAUGUACAUAAUUGUGUGUUUAUCUUUUUAAUUACAUGAUUACUAAUCAUUUAAUGACAGAUAAAUCACAUAAUUGUAUAUAACUCAUGACUGAGGAGGGUAAGUAUGCAUGGACACUUGCCUAAGUACUAAGAAGAGCACACGUAUGCCAGGCACGUUUUUCAGGCAUGUAUGAAGUUUUGUGACUUGACAUAUGCCGCAAGCGAUGUUAUCAUGCCAGACUAGGACAUAAGCUCGAGCAUGGAGAAGACGAAGAGCACACCUACGUAGGCAUGUGUCUCUAAGCAUACCUGUCAACUUGGAGAUGUUCCAUUUCUAUUUGGACUAGGAUUUUCUCCCCUCAUCUCACACUAUUUAUUUUGUCUUUCUCUUUUUAUAAAAAAUUAAUAUAAGAUAUUAACAUGGUUUAACUGUAACUGUUCAAAUAUGAGAGAAGAUGAGGGAAAAAAAGAGGGGAGAGUUUCCUUCUCCUUCUAUUAGAAGGGAGAACACAACUAACUUCUUUCUACAUGACGAGUACUUUUUUGGUGUACUUAAACUAAAAUUACGGAAUGUUACUAUUUUUUUUUUUUUAUUUGUAACAUUUAGAUUUUUUAUUUAUUAAUAUAUCUUAAAGCAUUGUUUUAAGAAUCUCUACCUAGCGCAGGCCACCGUCUCGAUUAAUCUCUAGGUGUUUAAAAAUUAAGAAAUGACACCUAGACCUACCUAGCACCCACAUAGCCCAUUUAGACCCAAAUAGGCACUCGCCUAGAUCGUGACUCUCAUUUAGACAAAAAAUAUAUAAUUUUCAUUUUGCAUUUUAUUUUUUUUCAAUGAAUUAUAUGAGAUUUGUUGAAUAAAUUAUAAGAGAAUGAACGCUCAUUAUAUGCUCAUUCCUGAUGUUUUCAAUGUGUUAUAAUACUUUAUAAUCUAUAUUUCAUUUUAUUUUGCAAUUUAUGUAUCCCAAUAUAAUUAUGUACUAUUUUUAAGUAUAAGUAUACAUUUAUGGGUUCUUUUUAUCACAAAUGGUCCUGAGAUUGAUCAAACUCAUUAUUUUGGUCCCUCACUUUCAAAAUCAAUCAAUGUCGUCCCUGACAUUCACUACCGCACAUCAAUUUGAUACUUCCGUUAAGAUUCCAUCAACUAUUCUGUUAGUUUGUAUGUGGGACCCACAAAUCCAAUUAAAUGGUGACACAUAGAUUACACAAAAUAAGGGUUUUAUCGUAAAUGGUCCCUGACAUUGAUCAAACUCCUUAUUUUGGUCCCUGAGUUUCAAAAAUCGAUAAAUUUGGUCACUGACUUUCAAUAAUGCACAUCAAUUUAAUCCUUCUGUUAAAGUUUCGUCAAUAUUUUUUGUCCCACUAAUCCAAUCAUAUGGCGCCACAUGGAUUAACUAUAAGAAACUAUUUUGUUAAGAUUUAAAACUAAAAGUAAAAUAAGAAACUAAAAACCAAAAAAAAAAAAGAAAAAAAAAGGUCAUCGUCGUCUUCAUCAGGUAUGCUCUCAAAAGGAAAAGGAAGGCACCAUGACAUCACUAAAGUACUUGGCCUCCUGAACUCACUCCUCAUUCUCUCUAGUUGGUUAUAAUCCUAAAUCCUAUCAAAUUUGAAUUGAAUUGGGAUUCGAUUUUAUCGAAUUUAGAUUGAAUUUUUUUUUUCCAAUUGGGGUUGUGGGAUUCGAGAAAAAUGCUAGCGCGGAAUACUCUUCUUUUGGUUCACUCUUAAAAAAAAAAGUUUCGUAUAGUUAAUCCACGUUGAGCCAUAUAAUUGGAUUAGUGGGACCGCAUUAACGGAGGGAAUAAAUUGAUGUGCGGUAGUGAAAGUCAGAGACCAAAUUUAUAGAUUUUUGAAACUCAAGGACCAAACUGAGGAGUUGGAUCAAUGUCAGAGACUAUUUGCGAUAAAAACCCUUAUUUUGUGUAAUCCACGUGUCAGCAUUUGAUUUGAUUUGUGGGACCCACAUACAAACUAACAUAACAGUUGAUGAAGUCUUAACAGAAAGACCAAAUUGAUGUGAGGUAGUGAAUGUCAGGGACUACAUUGAUUGAUUUUGAAAGUGAGGGACCAAAAUGAUGAGUUUGGUCAAUCUCAUGGACCAUUUGUAAUAAAAAUCCUACAUUUAUUUAUAUGUUAUAUAAUAAAUUUAAUUAAAAUUAAAAAAACUGCCUUGGUCCCUGCUUAGACGCCUAGGCGCUAAGCCUCUGUCUACUGCCCGACUAAUCCUAGCACCUGUUAGAACCUUGUUUAAAAUUAAAACAUGUUAGCCAUAUCGUUUAUCUUUAUUAGUACAACAUAAUGACUUGUGUUUGCGAUACUUAUCAAACAUUUAUCCUCCAUGACUUGAUUAAAGUAACAAAUGAAGCAGCUUUCUUGGUCAAGUGAACAGGAUUACAGGGAAGAUAAGCACAAAGUUCGUGAUAAAGAGUACCAAUUUCUGUCAAAUUCAAACCCACCAAAAGAAAAUAGAAUAAAAGAGCAAGUAGUGCAUCCACCACCACGGAGGACGCAAUUUCAGGUACUUUCUCACUAGAAUUCUUAGCAAAAUUCCAAAUAUUCCGCAAUAUUAUUCCGGGUGUUUAAAUUAGUGGCACAAUUAGGUUAACUUUUUGUAAGCAGCUCGAGGUUUGAAAUAUGAUCAAAUUAAAGCAGUCCAAUCUUCCCCGUAUCACUAUCUUACAUUAUUGUAGCAAUACUUUAUAGAGAAGGCUGAAGAGCUACCUUUAAUGUUUUAGCCUUUUAGGUACACUUGUUGCAUGAGACGACACGACAUUUUUUUUUUUGUAAUUUAAUCUUUGCUUUGUUUGUACACACUGUUGUGUUGUUCACUUGCUUGCUUUCUUCCAAUAUUUUUAUUCAUACAACUGUAAAUUCUUCGUUUACUCAUGUUAUGAUUUGUAAAUUAGUAACACCACACGUUAUCACGUACAAAAAAAAUUCUUAUAUAGAUGUAAUUCUUGCAUUUUUAUUUUCAUCUUUUGCUCUCCUUUUUUAAUUAUCUUUGCUAGUGCAGAAAGUGAAACAAGGUUGCGGAAAUCACUUCCUCUCUUCAUAUAAUCCCACCACUAAUCACCUAAAUCAUACACACCCAUCUCUAUGGGUAUGUCUCCCUCACAAAAAGAAAAAAAAACAAGGCAUUUAAUUUUCAAGUACAUAAAUGAAAGCGAGAUGUAUACACAUAAGACAUGACACAAACUCUUAUAAAAAUCAAAUCAAAUAAAAAAUAAAAUCAGAUAAUAUCAUAUCUGACUGUCAAAUAAUGAACGUAACUAAAAACAUAGGGUAAAAUGAUAAUUUUAGAAAAGCUUAUAGCUAUUAUCUGAUUAAUUUUAAAAUAAUAUCUAUACAGAUCCUCCAUUUAGAGUUUUCUUCUUAAAACGAUGUAGGAUAAUAUCACAUCACACAUGUGACAUGUGCAAUGUUUUUCUUGAUACAUUAAGGAGCAGGACCAUUCUUGUCGGAUCCUCUUUGUGAGAAUUUUCCAAUCACAUCCGUUUAUCGUAUAUUUAUUUAAAUAUAAAUAAUAUUUGACAAAAACUGACAGCUAUGAUGAAUGGAUGUGAUUGGAGGAUCUUUGGAAUCCUCAAAAAGAGGAUCUGGUCCAUUAAAGAGACCAAGAUCGUGACAGGUGGUACCACUACCACCGUACAACACCCCAGCGACGGCGAACCACUAACGCGGCCGAUUGACGGUCCACGUGAAAGAAGAUGGGACCCAACGUGAGGUCGUUGGUGCGGGGUCCGUUCGGAGAUGCGUCGGUGCACGUGCUGUGCAUUAUUGCCUGAGGAGGUUCUUAGAUCAACUCGGCGCCGUUUUCGCACCGUCACCCGCCAACAUGACUUAAUGGGUGGCGUGCUUUGAUUGGCUAGCCCACGUGAUUCUCCUUCCGUUAACGUCGGUGGAAACGUUUCCCGUUAUGGUUCGUUCCCGUGUGGGAAGAUUCUCUCUCUAUGCUUGUUUCCCGAACUUGCCACUCGGUGCGAGUAGCGUGACGUGUCGUUAUAUGAUUGGGUAAGAAUCUGGGAGGAAGAAUAUUAUUGGCUGUUUCAGCAGGCUUCAUGUCCCGCGAGUGAUGGCGCGUCUUAGCGGGUAAUACCGAAAUUAGGUCUAUAAACUUUACCGUUAAAAAACAACAAACGUAGAAAAGCAAUUAGGGGAUCUGUUUUGGAGGAAGAGAUUCUCUCCGGAUUCACUUUGUCAGGAUCCUAUAAAUCUUCACAUUUUAAUCGUUUAUCGUAUAUCGUGCGUCAAAUUUUCAUCAGAUACUAUUUACGUUUAAUUUUAAAUAAAAAAAUCAAAUGAUUUCUGAUCGCACGAUGUAUGAUGAAUAUCUGAGAUAUGAACAUCCAACAAUUUGAAUCCGGAUGGGAUCCAAAUCCUGUUUUGGAUGCAUGCUUUGCUGCCACAUGGUUGGGUUAGGCUUUUAGGCUUCUCUCUUUUCGCCAAACCUCAAAUUUACAAGUUGAGAAAUGUUAUUAUCUCAAAAUUGGAACUCAUUAUCUGUCACCUGACAGUUUAAUGUUACUUUUCAAGCAGUAAUUAUAAAAUACUAUACUAAAAUCAUGAGCUGGUAGAGAGUUUAUGGUGAGUCUCACUAUAAGAAAGUCCCAUUCUUUACUAUUAAUUUUGACAUAAAAAUUGAUGUUAAACUGUGCAGUGACAGAGAGUCUAUGGAGAGUCUUACUUUUAAGAAGUCUCCUUAGCAUUUCUCUUGAACCAUAUUUACCAAUUGUUACUCUAGAAAGAUUGCAUAAUUGUUAUUUACAUGUACGUGAUCUAGUUAUGGUUGUUUUUACUUUGUGAGUCAUACAAACAUGAAUAAUCACAAUCUAUCUAUAAAUGCAUGCGCGAUAAAUUUUAGUGUUUUCGAAGUCACAUAAGCAGAUCCAUCUAGUCAGUAAGGUAAUCAAGAAAUACAUCGUUACACCAAAACCUCAAACAUACUAAAUCUUGUAAUUGACAUCAGCCUACAUAGGUAAAAUAAGCAUUAAAGUUUACAAAUUCUGCAACUUUUGAAACACAUUAUACUUCUAACAUGACACAAGUACGUCACAAAACACACCAUAAUUUAACCCUCGUUUUCCCACUCUUUAUGGCAAAAAGGAAAUGGAAACUAAAAGGUAAAUACUAGGUAAAGCCAAUAAAGACAUAACAAGCUAACAACAGAAAGAAAAAAGGGUAAUUAAGUCGUUAAAACAAUGAUUAGUAAGUAGUAAUUGAGCAAAUGAGCUCCAAUCACGGGUUAGGAGUAAAUUAAGGUUAGUUUUUGUGGUACCAAACCAGGGGCGGAUCAACUUAGGGACAAGGGGGGGUCAGCUAACCCUCAGUUCGGUAAAUCUUCAUAGAUGACUUGAGUCUGCUCCUUUGUAGGUUGGAGUUGCUCUUCAUGCAUGCCUUCCAACUGCUUAAUAAACAGCCUGAGAGAGAGAGAGCUUGGACUGUUGGGCAGCAAGGCAUGCUUGGCCACAAAUGAGGACUUAAAAGGCGUGCAAUAUGUCUUUGCAAAUGACUUUAGGCAUGUCAAGAUUCGAUGAAAUUUGCAUGCUAUAUCAGUAAAAAAAAAAAAAUUUGCACAUUACACACGCUAUUCUUAGAGACCCCCCAAUAAUAUUUCUUGGAUCCACCACUGUACCAGACUCACAAACCCAAAUACAUAAUUUGCAUGCACGAGUUGUGAAAUGUUGAAUGUGAUUGAUUAGGUUUUUGGCACGCGCUUGCAAUUCUAUUCCUUCACCCACAAGUUUUAGUUUGGAUAUAUAAUCUACUUUUUGAAGGCAUCAUUGCCUUGGCGACAAUCUUCUUCCCCGUAUUGCGCUGGGGCCUUAGAUGUUGGCCUUCAUUAUUUUUACGGUUGUAUGCAUGGCGUGAUGGCAUUAUAACAUCAACACUCGCUCACUUCCCCUGCGCUCCAGAAGCUAAUCACUUUAUGUGUUCCACUAUUUCUUAAUUUGCUUUGCUUCAACAGCACUACACUUUGUAAAGUAGAUUAUUGGAUACCUCACUUUUCCCAUUUCCUUGUCUUGCGGGCCAUCAUCACACGAUUUACCAAAAAACCGUUACUUAUGGUUGAUUUUGAGUGAUUUUUUGCCGUUGAUACAUGUGGAGUCUGUGGUCAUAAUAAUCAGAAAUUACAUGUGGGCGUUUUUGGGACUGAUGUCAGCAAAAAAAAAAAAAAAAACAAAACAAAAAGUCUUGUAAACUAAACUUACCUACGACCAUCUCCUCAUAUUAUUUAUGUUUAUACAUUGAUUCUAAAAAUUAUAAAACUUGUAUGGCGCUCAGGUCGAGUAACUAUGAAUUAAUAUUAAUUAUAUAUUUUUUGUGAAUGCGGGUGUCCCAACUUACAACUGAGGUCGGUCAGGCGAGUAGAAUAAUGUGAUGAUGGUGUUGAAUGUGCUGCUGACUUUUGCAAUUGAGUACUUACGGCUGAUGAAGGAACACCUUUAGGCCUAGAGUUCUAAAACCUGAAUGCAAGGUUGCCUAAUUCACUACAAAGUUUAGGAUCUCCUGUACCAGGUUUGGCUACCUCAACUAUAUUCGUGAGAAUAUAUGUGCUCCAAAUCGGGCAAAGAUACUAAAAAAGAGAUGAGUGUUUUUAUGGUAAAUAUGGUUUGACCGUCUGAAUGUCGAACUACAAAAUGAACUUGAGAGUAGUUAAUCAUAGAACAUUUCAUUGCGCCAGAAAGCUAAUGAAGUGACCUCUUUCAGCGAAGGAAUCGAAGAUUCUUUACUGGCUAAGACUUAGAUAGAUAAUCGAAUGAACUAGAAGUAGUGUUGUUCCUCCGAACUGAAGGUACUUCUAAAGCGAUUAGUUCUACAACUCCAGUGAUGUUUCGAUGAACAACCACUGGUGUUCCAACGAACUGAAGAUGUAGUGAUGGAGGGGUUUAGGAUAAUUAGUAUUAUUCUCAAGGUUAUGAGAAGAUUUUGCGUAGAUCGUUUGAGUUGUUUGUUGAGUUGAAGGGACUUCUACGUUGCAAAACAUCAUGUAUUUAUAGAGAUGAAUUCCUUGAUGGCUAAGUCUACCGAAUAAUAUUAUUCUAAUAAUAUUCCAAUUAUUCGGCAUAUUCUCCAAGUAAACUUGAAAUUAUUCUCGGCUGAAACUCUAUUGUUAUCGAGUCUCGUCGUCUUCGACUAGGAAUCUGAACCUAAAUUGAUUAAAUGAUUGAUUCAACCUUUAUCCGAAAAGCAAUCAUGAUCCUUAAGAUUUAUUUCAUCUAACAACUUACAAUAUAUAGGUCAAAUGCGUGCAAAAUCGAGUCCAAACAACUUGUUAAUUAUUUCAGAGUUUCAAUGCCUCCAAUACAUUAUUCACCAUGUUUAGGGAUGGGCAAUGGUUAUGUGGACGGGUAACCGCGGUUACUUUACCCAUAACGGUUUAUGUUCAUACCCGCAUAACCGUUUACCCGUUGGGUAAUUACAUAAAUGGUUAUACCCAUAACCAUAACCGUUUAUAAACGGUUAUCCAUACCCAUAACCGUGUACCCAUUUACCCAUAACCAUUUACCCAUUUAACCAUAACCAUAACCAUUUACCCGUUUACCUAUUUUUUCGCUCAUUUAUCCUUUUUUUUUACCCAUUUACCUUUUUUUUUGCCCGUCUACAUUAUUUUUUUUAACAAUUUGAAAAUUACAAAAGAAAAAUUUGUCAUAAUUUUUAUUUUCUGACCAUUAAACACCGUUAUAAGUACAUUUUAGCAUACAUUUCCCUAUUUUAAUCAUUUAAGUCCUCGUAUAAUUCCAAUAAUUGAAAUAAUAGUUUACGAACGAUAUUUUUCUGUAUAGCAACCAAUCAGUUUUUUUUUAUUCUGAAUAGCAACCAAUAAAUUAUGGAAGUUCAAGAACCUGAGAAAAUUGAGCCUAAAGGAAGAGUAAAAGUAGAGCUUUUUUAUUUCUGAAUUCCCGAAUGAUUUUUAAAGCAACAGCUCAUAAAUCUGUGUUUCUGAUAACAAAAAACAACCAUACGAAACCAACCAAAUUUCAUCUAAUUCAUCACAAAACUGAGUUAACCCUCUAUUAUUUCAUAUAAUUUCAUCUAAUUGAAAUCUGUGUUUCGAACACGUUCAAUCACAAAGUAUCAUCAACUCGUUGUCACCAAAAGAGGCCUACAAAAGAAAUGUAUAAUUGAAUUAGUAUGCAUAAAUUGAAUGAGUAUCACCAAUAACUCCAAAGUAAAAAAAUAAAUAAAGAUUAGUUUUUACCACAUUCACAUCAGUAUCAUCACCGAAUGAAGAAUCUUCAACACGAGUAGAGUUUGAAUCUGGUUGAAUAGUAAAAUUAAAAUUAGGCUAAAAUAGUAAAUUUUUGAACAUAUACAUAAUUUAUAUGAAAUUUUACAGUAAGUACCUCGCAUCUGACCCCACAACCAGUCUCGAGAACACAUGAGUGCUUCCACUGUGCUUGAAUGAAGUCGGCUACGGUGUGGACUAAUAAUCCUACCACUAGUACUAAAUGAAGACUCUGAAGCUACUGUAGAUACAGGAAUAGCCAAAAUAUCUCGAGCUAUCUGAUGCAAAAUAGGAUAUUUAAUCCCAUUUGUCUUCCACCACGACAAUAUAUCAAAAUCUUGAGUCCUAGGCAAGACUUUCUCCCCCAAAUAUAGGUCUAAGUCAGAUUGUUCAUUAUCGAUGGUAGAAUCCAUAACAAACUGGUCAUAAGAUGUUAAAGGAUCACCAACUCUGAAAUCAAAUGACUGUGAUGGAAAAUCAGUCGAAGAAGAAGAUUCAGAAGACCGAUGCCCAGGUCUAUGCUUCAAUUCAUACUCUUUGACCAACUUAACAGCCAAGUCAAAAAUUUUCUCAAUUUCUGAUGGAGCAUUCUCUUUAUAAAUAAGAGAAAAAUAAUACUCAAUCAAUUUCAUCUUGAACCUUGGAUCCAGAAUAGCUGCAAUUUCCAUAGCACCAUGAAUUUUAUGCCAAUACUUUUCAAACUUGAUUGACAUCUUUGUUGCCAUUAACUUAACUUCAACAUACCCAUUGAUUUGUAUGUUUGAUGGACCAUUGAUUUGUAUGUUUGAUGGUUAAUUGGUCUCAUAUGCUACGUAUACAAGGGUCCACUUAUCUAAGCAUACAAAUCAAUAUUAGAUCCCCUGCAAACUGCUAUAAUAUGGUUUUUAGUUUGCUAAUUAAAAGCUUAACAUGCAUGGAUUAACAAGAAUAUAAAAAAACUGAUGGGCUUGUGUUUUGUUUUGUGAUGAGUAAUUAUACUCAUCUUUUUACCAGACUUUGGGUAAGUAAACGUAACUGUCAAGGAUGGGAAGUUGGGAACAUUUGUUCGUAUAAAAUGGCGGCAUUUAGCACAGCAAUUAUACUUGGGGCUACUUUCUGUCGGUGCCCCUGCAGGUCGUUGCAUACUUGACUCCUACCCCCCCAAAAAAGAAGAGAAAAUUGCAUACUAAAUUGGGGUGAGUCUAAAUCAUCCUGUCUCUUUGUUAUAUCUUGCCGUGUGACCAAUGCAACAUAAUUAUGUACGGAUGCACGUACUUUUAUGGGUAUCAAAACAUUAGGGAGUGAUUCCACACAUCUCUUUCACUUUAUUUUUCUACUAUUACAUUCAACAAACCAAAUGAUAAUAAGGGGCAUGAAAAGAAAAGGUAAUUGGAGCAACGGACCUGAAGUUCAGUUUUGAACUAAAAAUUUGUGAAUAUUAGUCCUUCAAUUUGUUGUAAUGUGGAGCAAUGGUUCUUUUGACUAACUAAGUUAGAACUUCCAUCCAAAAUAAAGGAACAAAAAAUGGAUGCUAAUUCUGACGGAGUUAGCCAAAAAGACUAUUGUUUCACAUUGUAACAAGUUCAAUGAUCAAUACUUGUGGAUUUUUAGUUUAGAGACCAAAAUUCCAAUUGGGCUGAAAUUCAGGCACUAUUGCUUCAAUUUAAACCAAAAAAAAAAAAAAAAAACCAAAGAUUUGCCAUAAGGAAAAAUGAAUGUAAAAAUCAUUUCCCAAACAGAAUGACCACAAAACAUAAAGAAUUUCAAUAAACCAAACUAAAUCGAUGAUGUAGGGUUGGCUACACUUUGGCCAAAUCAUUACCAACAUGGUUAGUUCAGUUUACAGUUUAGGUCAUAAACUGAAAGAAACUAAAUCUUGUCCACCUUUACUCAAAAGGAUAAGGGUCGUUUAGUGGGCUGGAUGAGAUUUGGUCUUAAGGAUAGGUUGACUGAUAGAGACAUGUAAGACAAGGCUUGUAAAACACGACAAAGAUAGGUUCGAUAACCACUCUAUUGUAGAAUCAUAACCAAUAAUGUUCAAUCAUGUCUAUCACACAUUUGACACAACAAAUAAAGGAAUGAACUCAAGUCUAUUUUAAUUGGUCAUAACCUAUCCCAACCAAACCACCAAAAAGGCCUAAUGCCACAUAGACAAACAAAUAUAACCAUGGUGUAUAUGGGUUUCACCUAUAUUUAGAUAAGUGGUUUUUGGCUUGUUAAAUAGUUUGUUUUUGUAUUAAAUUCAGAAUAUUUGUGAGAGAAAGUAUUUUGGGCCCCAAAAUGGCCCAACACUUGUCCAAUAAAAAACGAAACGUACAUAGCCCAAUUUUUGUUCGAGAUUGGGCCACUAUGGGGCAGUUACUAGCCCAAUAACAAAUUAGCAGUAUACCACCUCUCACUUUUCAAGUUUUGAGCAUCAAACUUGCGAAGCCAAAAUUCCGACCACACCAACUGAAAUUUAAAUCUCAACGGUAAUAUGCUUCGAGUCCUAAAACCUCUUUCUGGACUCAGCCCCAAGCAACAUUCACUUGGGCAGCUGCAAUCGAGGUACAGAUAUCGCCGCCACCCCAAAAACGAUGGCGGCGGCGAUGGCGUUUGGAAAACAGAGGAGAAGAAGGAUGGUUAUUUGCAAUUGCACAAGAACAAAGGGCAGCACCUCUUAACCAAUCAACGAAUUCUCGACAGUAUUGUUCGAAAUCCGCGAUAAAACCUACCGACACCGUCCUCGAGAUCGGACCCGGCACCGGAAAUCUCACCCUCAAGCUUCUAGAAGCCGCCCAGAUGGUCGUCGCCGUCGAACUUGAUAAGCGGAUGGUGGAGGUUCUUCAAAAGCGAGUUGCGGAGAGUGGGGUUCAAGAUCGUUUGACUGUAAGUUAAACGCCGGUUAAAUGUUCGAUGAAAUGCCUGAACGGGAUUUUGAGCAUUUGGAAUGAAUGACAUUGGUUAAGGCGUUUGAUGAUUGGUCUUUUUGCAGGUUAUCUGUAAAGAUGCAUUGAAGGCGGAGUUUCCACCGUUUGAUCUUGUUGUGGCGAACAUUCCAUACGGAAUAUCUUCGCCUCUGGUGGCUAAAUUGGUGUACGGGGCAAGGCCGUUUCGGAGCGCCACACUGCUGCUGCAAAAGGAGUUUGCGAGGAGAUUGUUGGCUAAGCCAGGCGACUCGGAGUUCAACCGCUUGGCUGUGAAUGUGAACCUGGUGGCGGAUGUGGAGUUUGUCAUGGAUGUGAGCAAGAGGGAGUUUGUUCCUUGCCCAAAAGUCGAUUCAUCCGUGGUUAUAAUAAGGCCAAAACCUGAGGUUCCGAACGUUGAUCUAAACGAAUGGUGGGCUUUCACGAAAGCUUGUUUCUGUAAGAAGAACAAGACGCUUGGGGCUACAUUCAAGCAGAAGAAAAAGGUGAUGGAGCUACUGGGGAUGUCCAAACUGGCAGGCUCAAAUGGUGAAAGCAAAGAUUAUAUUAGCAGCACUGACAACGACGACGAUGAAGGAGAGAGUGAUGAAGAGGAGUUUUCUCCGUCUCCUUGCUCGGAAAUGGGGGCAAGUUCUUUCAAGGAGAAGUUAAUGGGGGUUCUGAAAUCAGCUGAUUUCGAAGACAAGAGGCCUUCGAAGCUGUCGAAUGAGGAGUUACUGCAUCUACUGGCAUUGUUUAAUCAAGCGGGAAUAUAUUUUCAUGAUCAGUCCAAGAGUAGGAAUGCAGAGAAUGAAUCAUUUACUGUUGCUUACAGUUGAUAGCUAUUAGCUUAAACUACUUGGAGGGAAAUUCAAAUUUGAGCAUGAAGAAAAAAGGCACACCGCUCUAAUCAAUUUGGCUAUGUCCAAACUUGCAAUAGCUAUUAACCUAUUAGCUACGUGGUGUUGUCACAAUUUCACUCAUUAGUUGGGGAUGUCACAUUUUGGGGAUUCUCUAAUACAAUUAGGGAGUAUAAUCCAAUGAUCUGUAUCUAUCUCAUCACGUGACGAGAGAGAUACUGAUAAGGGAUAUAUCCUAAUUACAUGUUAGAAUCUCUCUAGAUUUUGAGGCGCUCACACUUAAUUAUAGGAGAACCUUACGAUAAUAUGACAAUGAUCUUAUGAUGCCCUCACAAAUAAUUGUUUAUAGUUUUUGUUUAGCUAAAUUGGUUGAAGCGAUCAAUUCAUAAAUCUCAAUUAAUGAAAUGCUCAGUUUUCUAUAUUUUCAUUGAUAUGUAGUCAGUAUUUGAUUUUCACCAAUUUAGCACAAUUAUGAUUUGUAAAAUUGAUCAUUUCAGUCAAUGUUCCUUGCGUCUAUUUGUUUUUCCUUGUUUUCACCAUAAGCUAUACUAUUGUAGAAACCUUGAGAAAAUGAUCAAUUUAUUUUGUGCCUGAAAUUCUCAGGGCACUUGUGCAUUCCUCAAAUUGAUUGUCAAUGUAAUCUCAUGAACAAAAUGAUCAAAGAUCCAUGAUUCAUCAUUUGAUUGUUUGAUUUAGAACAUUAUUGAUGGAAGAGUCUUUAAUGAAUUUGAAGUUGAAACUCAUUCCAUCAAAGAGAAUGAUUGGGGUGGUUAUUUGUUCGGUUUUACGUCCGAUACCCUAUCCAUUUGGUCGGCUUUUACUUGCUUUCUUUGCUCACUCCUAGUUAGAUUUAACCACUAACUGAGUUAGACAAUCAUGUGUUUAUCUUUCUUAUCACGUGAUUGUAGAAAGUUUUCGUGGCAACCUAGGAGGCAGGCUUCGACGUGCAACCAUGAUCACCUUGUUACAAUUAUGGUACCAUGUGUGGCUCCACCAGCUCAAAACUAAUUGAAUGGUGGUACUGGAACUGGAGCCUGUAUGCAGCAGGGUAGGACCAAAGGCAACAUUUCUUUCUUUGAGUAGAUAACCACCACUCAACUCAAGUUAUCAGAUCGAUGGGGCUUUAAAAUAGGAAGUUUUAACAAAACACUCCCGGUACUGUUCACUUUUAAUGAAAAACCACAUUUUUACAUUUCCUGGUACUAUUCACUUACACAUUUAUUUGUUCUUUUUCAUUAAAACUAAAGCUUUUGAGGAUUUUUUUGUUAGUUUUUCUUUAAAAAUAUGGGAGUUAGAUUCAUUCAAACCUCACUUGUAUAAUUGCAUUCAAUUUUUCAAGGGCCAAGAAGAAGGAGCCAGCCAAAGGGCCCAAAAGCACCUGCAAUUUACAAGAUGGCGACACAAGAACUACCCUAUAAUAGUAUAAUACACUUAACAUGGGGGCUUGUUAGAUUUCAUGAUUGGUCUUUUAUAGUUCGGAAAAAUGCUAGGAUCAGUCGUGCAUGCCUGUGACAGCAUGACGGGAAGCUAGUCCUGGCCACUAAUGCUUGUGAUGCGCAUGUGUGGGUGAUCCUAGUAACUCUUUGUUUAUUCAACUGGUUGCUAUUUGUACAGAUAAAACUAACUUUCUAAGUGUUUAUGGACGUGACUUUAAUGGGCAACUUCCUCUUCAUCUUGACCAUUGGAAAGUGAACAAUGUCAUCCUUCUCAGCAACCCAUCUGAAUUGAAGAACCAAAAAAAACUUCAGCAAGUGGAAAUUGCAGCAAUUGGGUUUUAUUUAACAUUUUUUUUAAUUAACGGCAAUUUUAAUACCUAUAAUUGGUGACAAGAUGAUGAAGAAAGAUUGAUAAUUCAAGCCUGGAUAGCUCCAAACCAGGGCACAGCCUCUGUCCUCCACCAAAGGGUGUAAAACUAGUGUUGUAGUUUACAGCAGCUUCUAAUUUCUGUCAAAGAAAACAUAUUUGCAUAAAAAUUAACAAAUUUUCAAUAAAUUAAAAAGCUGACGUUCUACUUGUGAUUUGUUGACUUUGCGGUACAACUAAAGAUUAACAUGUAUGAUCUUUGAUUUGACGAACACUCGAUUGGAUCGUCAUUACACCAACUAUUCCAUCUAGGUGGCGUAAAUUAUCUCUUGAGUGGUAUAAUCAUAGUUACCAAAAUAAGAUAAACUAGGAGGGUUUAUCUUACCUCCCAUCUCCAAGGAUCAAACUGGUAUGGGUUUUUAUAGUUUUCUUCAUCCAUGUGAACAGAAGUAAAAGAUGCCAAGACACACCAUCCUUUUGGUAUCAAAUAACCUGGAAAAAAAAAACAACAUAAAAUCAUAGGCAAAACGAAACCGAGAUAUUAUUGAUAGUUUAAAAAAAUCGUUCUAAAUUCCUCCUUUAUAGAAACACGAGGGAAAAAAUACAUGCGAAGGAUUACAAUGGGGCUUUUUAAAGAAUGCUAAUAACAGCUAUCAACGAAAAUAAUAAUUAAUUUCCUUUUUGCUUCAAAUAAAUAGUGAUAUAUACCUUUGAUUUCAACAUCCCUUUGAGCUUUUCUCCAAACAGCAUUGAUGAUAUUUGCCAUUCUAAGAGUCUCACUUAUCACCUUAAUGAAAAAAAAAAAAAAAAAAAAUAGAGCAAUUGACCAAAACGAAAACCUAAUCUCGAUUGUCAAAAUAAUUAGACGUGUUUUAUAGACUCAUCAUAUAAUCCUUAUCGACUCGUCAUUUCACUCUUAUAGACCCAUCAUAUUUUUAGAACGGUUAGUUCAGCACUUAACAAUAAAAAAAAUCAAGAAUCAUUUUAUAUAUAUUGGAUAGUACUAUUUAUAUUCAUUUUUACCUUCUACACAUACUUGUUAAUUUUUAUCCAUUGAAAGUCUUCAAUUCAUUCGAUUCAAUGACCGAAGGAUGUGUGAGAGAUAAAAAUCGAUGUGUGCAUACCACCACCCUUUAUAUUCUCUUUGAAACAAAUUGGGACUCACAUUUUGAGUAAAUGGCAAGGACAUGUAAUCAGUCCAUGCAUAAUUUUCCGUGGAAUCAGUCUUCUUCUUCUUCUGCCUCUUCAAUUCCAUGUUCUCCUCCUGCAAAUAUAUAUAACAACAAAGAACAUUCUGAUCACUAAAAAUACCUUUUGUGGUACAGCAAUCAUACUAAAAAUAUCAAACUGAUCACUCAAAGUAUUUCACUUUUUCACCCACUUUCUCAGAAUUUCGCAGUGUCAGAGAGAAGAGAAACAAAGGGUUGUAUUCUGUGACAAUGUACUGCACCAAACAGUUCUUAGAUUCAUCUUCCACUAUGAUGUUCUUAAUAAAUUGCCUUUAGCCCUACAUGGGGUUUAAAGUUUGGAACCCAACUCUUUUCAGAACUUUCUCGUCACAACUCUCUCGCAUGAAAGUGAGAUAAUGUCGCAACAUAAACUACUUAUAUUGUCAUAAUGUAAAUCUUGUGAGUUAGUCAAUGUUUGUUUUUGCCUGAAUGUGCAUGGUGGGUUCAUAGUUUAUAACUCAUAAUGUACUUUUCUUUAUCAUAACUAUCGAGUCUCGUUUUUAUGACUAUGAUUCAUGAUCGUCAACUCUCUUUCAUAUCACAUAUUGAGAUUAGAAUAGUGAAAUUAUUUAUAAUUAUUAUUGACUUUUGAUAUAAACUUUAAUGGUAAGUGAGAAAACAAAUUUCAUGUAAUUCAUACGAUAUAUCGUGGACUAUAAAACCUAACAUAAUUUUACUUACAAAAAGGGUUGCUGACCCGAGCUAAGUGUCGUAUAGUGACUGUACGACUGUGCCCUAGUGGUCGUAAUUCGCACAGAAACGACGUUAAUUAUAAGAGUGGUCCCUCAUCCAGAAGCCGUUGGAUUUGCAAAUCCUACGGCUGAAAACUGUAACAAAGUGGGGACCUAUUCCCCGCCACACAAACUCUCCAUGUCUGACUCAGUGCAUGCAGUCGAGUUUCUAAAGGAAGAUGAUUCUUUUUGGAUUCACUUUGUAAGAAUUUUAAGGAUUCUUAUAUUCUAACUGUUUAUCGUAUAUCAUAUGAUCAGUUUUCAUCAAAUACUAUAUAUAUUUAAUUUUAAAUUAAAAAAUUUAAAUCAUUUUUAAUUGCACGAUAAAUAAUUAAGAUGAAGGGAUCCUCACAAUUUACUUCCCCAUGGAAUCCAAACCCGUUUCUAAAGAAACGAAAGCAAAGUUUGUAAGAAAAGUCAAGCACUUUAGAGAUAAAGUGACUGGGCCCACAGACUCAGUACAAAACGAAUCCUAGCCGUUCGAUUAAGAAGCAAUGAGUAAACCGUUGUGAUGUCAACUGAGGUGGAUAUACGUACGUACCCGUAAUUUGUCUAAGGCCACAGGGCUGUCACUUAGAAAUUUGACGGCUAGGGUCAUGGCCAUGGGAACAGUCUCCUCUCCUGGGAUCAUCAUCUCUAUUAUAUUUCCGGUGAUGAAAUCCAACGGCAGGCCUUGAGCCUCGUUGUUUUGGUCACCACCUUCUAACAGCACAUCCAUUGCAUCUUUUACUGGAAUUGUAUUUUGAGGACAAUUUAUAUUCUCCAUUGCUACCUUUUUCAUGUCUAAUAUCUUCCCCACCAUCUUCAACAAUCGCUCUCUAGCCUGCCAGCAAAUGAAUCAUGAUACAUCCACACAAAUAACACCAAUAAUUGAAACAAAACCCUGGAUAUGAGUAGUAUUAGAGUAGCGGAAUUCAAUCGAACUUGAGAUCACGGGUGCAAGAGUGAAUUAACUGAGCUAACAAACCCUUGCAAAUAUAAGCAUGCACUAAAGUUUAAACGCAAAUAAUUCACACGUACUUUACCUUGAGAGAUUUAUAUAGCCUUGUUCCAGGGAGCUUGAUAGGUAUGCAAAUUAAUCCUUUGAUGUACUCUUCAAAUUCUCUCUUGAGAAGGUUUAAGUCUUCACCAGGAUUAACGCUCAUUAAUACUUUAACCAGUACUUCAAAGGUAAUCUGAAAUAUCCAAAAAGAUAGUAUACACUACAUAAAUGUUCUCACAUGUAUGAUGAAAGAAGAGCACUAUAUAUAGUACAUUCAAUCGCUCAUGCACGCCCUCGUUCGUUAAUACAAGAAUGCUUCAACAACCAAAAUAUGCACAUACAAUUGAAGGGCAUACAUUUGCAAUUCUAUGUGAUAUGAAUGACAAUUUCCUAUCGUAUAUCUAGCAUGUUAUGUUACAACCAAUUAAUAUGGUUCACUUUGUUCAAAUUUUUACUUUGGCAUGUAAAAUGUACUACUUGAGCACAUAGAUAGUUGGGGGACCUUUUGGGUUUCAUCUUGGACGUAAAUGGGAGACUGCAUGUCUCUCCAAAGAGCCAAGUUGAGUUUGAUUGAGUUUUCGAUGUCGGUGGUGAUUCGAGCUUUGAACUGUGGUGAUUUCAGAAAACCAGCGAUGAGUCCAUGCACUCUCUUAUGAAGGCUUCCAUUUGUUUGGAGAAUGGAGUAUUUUCCCAUCAGUUCUGUAAUUGAUUUCGGAUAAGCAGGAAUGAAAGUAUUUCCAUGGUUUUGCAUUACCACCUUGUUCACCUCAGCAUCCGUGGAUACUAUGAUAGGAGUCCCCAAUAUGUUAGUCUUGAACACCUUUCCAUACCUAUAUUUAGAGAGGCACAUUGUUAUUAAAAAAUUCUAGUGUACUCCGGUUUAUAAUUAACAUGCAUCAUAUAAAUAGAGAGUUGAAUAUACAAUUCAGAAUUGAACAGACUAAGAAUCUAACGGUUAAGAAUCCCAAUACAUACUAUACACAGAUGAAUAUUAGAAAAUCUUAUUGCGAGUAUAUAUAUAGGAUCUAGAAGCCCAUGUAUAUCAUAUACUGAUAAAUACUAGAAAAUCACAUUGUACGUGUACACUAUACAUUAUCAAAGAGGAUGCAUACUAUACACCAAUUCGCUGAUACAUACUAGAAAAUCGAAUUACUCAAGCCAAUUAAAUUUGCUAGUUUAUCAUUGAUGAUAGGAUAUGUAUGGUCAUUUUUGUUGGGAGGCUGAAAUCUAUGGUCCCAUGGAGAAUAGGAUGUGUUGUUAGUUAGUUAGUACAGAACUGCAGAAAACAAUAAAGGUUGGGGGAAGGUCUAUUUUCAAGGCUUCCCAGCCAGUUAAUUAGUAUAUAUAGCAGGCUUUUUCUUUCCUUCUUUUAACUCCUUGGGGUGGCUCCUUUUACACCUUGUUUCUUUUUUCUGCUAUGGUCACCAUCUGCCAUGAAUGAAGAAAUUCCAUUCUUUUAUUUUAUUUACUUUAUUUAUAGAUGUUGGUAACACUUUCUUGUUGCCCUGCCGUGCCUGCCCAUUAAUUUCUUAUUUUCUUUGUUUUAAAAUUAUUUUAUGACACAAUAUUCUAUUCUAUACUUUUAUAAGCCAAACGACCUAAUAAAAAUUAUUUACGGUGGUAAACAAAUGUUGUUUUAUAUUCGACAUUUUAUUUUAAGAAGGUGGAAGAAUUGGACUAAGACAAAUUUGACCUGUCAUAAAAAUUAAAUAUCAAACUGUCAUCUAAGUGAAUUAAAAUGGAAACUUCCUACUAAGUAUUAGAAAAAUACUCGUAAGCUGCCAUGUAAUGAGUCAUUAUUUUUUUUUAUACUAAGAGAUACGUGGUAAAAGGAAAAUAUUAACUUAGAACUUGGGGUGGAGAAAUAAAUGUUCUAAAUAACAACUUGAACUAUAUGAAUUGUUAUGGUGGAUACGACAUUCCUUCUCAACCCAUUCUACCUCGAAUUUCUCUUUUCUUAGUGUAGCUUAAAAUAAUAAAAUCGCUUAAAAAACACAUUAAACUACAAAUGCUAUAAAAUCAUUAUUUCAUGUCUCAUCGUUGAUUAUCACUUUAUAUUUAAAACAUAUAUUUGAAAAGAAAAAAAAAACUAAAACAUAUAUAUUUUAAUGUUUAGUAUAUAUUUUCAUGUCUCUUCGUUGCGGAUGCUUUGACGUCUAUUGGCCUAAAUAGUUCGAAUCUUUGGGUUUAAGGGGUUUUUCUCUCUAAUAUAUAUAUAUUUUUUCUAUCAAAAAAAAAAAAAAAUUCCAUCGGUUAACGUUAUCCUUUUCUUUCUUCUUAUCUCUUUUUUCUGGUACAUGUUAGAUGAUUCCCAUUAAAAGCAAUACCUUUACCAACUCGAAUCUCUUUACCAACACAUGAACCGAUCCAACCCUUAACUUUUAGGGAAUAAAUUUUUCUUCCAUAAGAGUUCUACAACAUCAAAUAAUCAUGGUUGAAUGUUUGGGAAAAAUCUAAAAAUUGAAAAGAAUAUCACCAAAGAGCAGGAGUACGUCUGAAGUUCAUUGAAGCACAGCAGAGCAAUAAAUACACACAUAUAUUUGUAUAAUAUGCUAUAUCUAUAUCUAUAUAUUUGGAUACUUUAUAUAGUUUAGCCUCAAGGCCAUAAUUCCCUGAUUAGGAUAAUAAUAAUACGAAGAAAAUAGAAUUAAAUCAGAAACUAGUACUAUUUUCCGACAAAAUAAUCCAAUAUUAGUAAGGGUAGAGAGAAGGGAAGAAGAAAAGGAGCGAGAAUUCUUACAGAGAUCUGCGUUUUUCCAUGAAGCUGACAGGUCGAGAGGUGUAGCCACAAGCAAUGAAGUCAAGGGUUUCUCCUAUGAAAGGCCAACCUAACUUCCCUUUUGGAACUUGACCCUUUUGAUUUUCCCUCUCUUUCUUGUUCUGGUCCUUAAACCAAUACAAUGAUCCUACAAGAAUUCCCACCAAAACCCAACAUCCCAAAACCCAUCCCAUCCUCACAAAAAGUAGAAGGAUAAAAAACUUUUGGUUCUUUCGAACUCCUUGUGAUGUUUAUGUAAAUCCCUGGUUGUAGAAACCUAGCUAGAUCAAGGAUUCAAAACGCUGGAGUUAGCCUAAUGGCAAGGAUGGAUAGAAUGAUAAGUAGGAGCAGGUUAGGUUCAGAGUUGGAAGUUGAGUAUGAGUAACACAGAGAUUUUUUGAGCAACCCAACUGCUGGUUAUGAGCUUCUCACUAUUCCAUGCAACUCCAACUAGCUAGCUCUCUCUAUAUACCGUAGUGUUUUUGUGUGUGUGUGUGUGUGUGUGUGUGUGAGAGAGAGAGAGAGAGAGAGAGAGAGAGAGAGAGAGGUUGUUGUUUUUGAGGGUUGAAAUGAAUUGAAUUGAAUGAGAGGAGGAUCGAGUGAGAGAUUCGGAAGAUCAAUGAGGUUUCAACAGUCAUUAAAGAGGUGGUCAUAUUAUUAUCAUUAUUGGGUGCACCAAAUAUGUGACACGCUUCCAUUUGAUAUUUUCCCCUCCAUGUUCAUAAUUUUAUAGAGUGAUAGGAUUUUAAGUGGAUUUUACUUAAUGGAAAAAGGGGGAGAGGAAUAUUUCCUUGUAAUUUGAUAUGAGAUUUCGUUGGUCUUGAGUAUAUUCAUAAUAAUGUUUUUUUUCUUAAUAGCAAUGUUGGAGUGACAAUGACAUUAUUGCUUUAAUUAAAAAAAAAUUCAUGGACUAGCAAAUAAUCUCUCUAUCACACUUUUCAUUGUUUUUUUCGAAAAUGUUUUUCGCACUUUUCUCUUUCUGGUUAUACACUCCCUUUCUUUUUUAGGACUCAGAAGUUAGAAACAAAUAAUAGGGAAAAAUAUAAGACUAAGAAGAGUAAUAGGGAAAAAGUUUUAAAUGGUUUUUAGACAAGUAUUGAUUUACAGCUAAUUUAAAUUGCAAAAAAAAAAAAAAAAAAAAAAAAAAAAAAAAAUUCAACAUUGAAACUAUAAGCUCUUUGAUGACGGUAUGUUCUUCGGUUUUUAUGACACUCAAACUCCACUUUUUUCAAAGAAACUAGUUAGUCAAACUAUAAUUUUAAAGGAUUUUAAAAGUGAUAGAUUUGAUAGGAUUUAAGAAGAUUAAAGACUCCUACAAAAUUCAUAUGGAUUUUAAAGAAUUUGAAUGGAUUGUGGUGGAUUGUGGGGGAAUGAUUUGAAAUCCUAGGAGGUGAGGUUGUAUUCUUUUUAGUUUUGGUUAUACAUACUUUUUGCUUUCAAAUCCCACAAAAUCCACAACUUAUUGAAAUCCUUCAAAAUCUUAAUUUUUUUAAUACACUUAGAUUUGGAUGGAUUCUAAAAUCUUUUAAUUGACUACACCUAGAUUUUAAUGGAUUCUAAAAUCCUUUAAAAUCUUUUAAUUGACUACAAUAGGAUUUUAAAAUCUUUUAAAAUCCUCUCAAAUCCAAGUUUGACCACACCCCCUAAAUAUCAUAAAUUUAGUUGUUAAAAGAAUAAAUAAAGAAACUUGUCAAAUAAAUAAAGAAAAUUAUUGGAGCCAAAAAAUAAAAAAAAUUGUCAACCUCAUCUUUUUAUCUCAUUUGGAAUGUGUUCAACAACGACCACCCUAUAGCUUUUUAGGUUUGAAAGAAACCUAACAAGGGGGAGUCUUCUAGUUUAGUAAAAUACUUUAUAACCAAGCUCACGAGUCACGACAUAAGUUCGGCUCUUAUUAUCUGGACUCUUUGAGAAUAAAAAUAACAAGAAUGAAGGAAUUAUAAUAUGAGAAAUAAAAUAGUGGAGUGAUUAUAACAUGAACAUACUUAGUGCAACAGUUAAUUAACAUUAUUAUAGAAUCUUUUGCAUUGUUUAUUCACAUUGCCCAUAAUGAUUAAGUGAGUGUGACCUAAAGUACCAAACGAAUUACUAUUUAUUUAGUACUCCAAUCAUAUCCUCAACAUUAUUCGUUAAUGCAAAGACACGUGUUCUUUGAUUAUGACGCCUAGAGGGGGAAAAGUGGAACUCUAGUGUAGUAUCUCACAUCGGCAUGGUGAGGGUUGGUUCCUGGCAUUAUAUGUACUUGCCCCUCUUCCUAGCAUGAUGCGUUUUGGGUAGUGAUGUUCUCUUGCCUAGGAACAAAUCCGUGAGAGCGUGGCCCAAAACAGACAAUAUCGUGCUACGACGCAGUCGAGAUGUGACAUCUAGCGUUGCUAAUAUGAUUUUUAACUAAUAGAGAAGAUUUAGACUCAAAAUCUCAACGAAAUAGAAUACUUUUAAUCGAUUAAACUUUGGACGCUUUAAAUUAAUUUUCGUUUAAAAAAUUUAUUGGAGUCAGGUGGGACAAAUCUUGUUUACAUUCUAGUUAGAAUUCAUCCCAUAAGUCUUUAUGUUUUAUAUUAAGUUUUACGAGGGAUGCUACAAUAAUUUGUGAUUUUCAGGACACUAAAAUAUUAAUUUCUGAUUUAUUUCUUUAAAUAUCACUCGUUCAUUUUCCGUUGUAGGGUGGAAGAUGUCCCAAAGUUUCAUAUCAUUCUCAUUUCGCAAUUCAUUUCAAAGUUUCCAAACAUGUGGAUUGCUAUGAAAUAAAUUAUGUGAGGAAAAAAAAAAAAAGAAGGGAAGGACAAGGGUGAUGACUACUGAGACUGCUGAGUGGUAUGAGCGGUGACAGACGGGUCUAUUCCAAGAAAAUAUGAGCCGAAUUAUCUUCAUGAACCUCAUGUUUAUAGAAUGAGAGUUGUUAAUGAAUAUGAUGUCGUGAUGUUCUUUUUCAUUUUUAAGUCAGAGAUUUUUGUUUUAAUUUUUAAAAUUGAUGAGUUCGUUACUAAUUUAUUUCCACCCUUAUCUAUCUCAUUGUAAAAAAUAAAAUAAAAAUGUUGUCAAACACAUUUAUUUCUUUGUAAACUAAAAGAAAGAGUGAAAUGAUCAUUUUAAACGUAAAUAGCAGCUUUCGACGACUUCCGAUUGAGUUCGUCAAUAAAUGUCCACAUAUGCAAGAAACUUUGUCAAAUAAAUGUUGACAUCAGAGCACACAAAGGCAAUGCCAAUUGUUGCCAAGUCUCACUCAUGCACUUUGUCAAACAUUUUAAGGUGCACAAAGUGGUUACACCUCAACGACCAAGGAGUCAUCGGAGGCGAGCUCAACAACUUUUUUUGGCCACCACGGGAUCAAUCGACCCCUUUGACCUCAACGUGAAUCCGCCAAUAAGGAUGUAUGAUGCACACGAUUAUGUCGGUAAGUCUCUGAUGAAAAAUCUGCUAUAACGAUUAUUUUUUAAAUUAUUUUACUAAAAUGAUAAUUUUUCAAUAUGUUGUCAAUGUUUGCUCACAACAAUUAAAUAUUUAGUGACAUACUGAAAAGUUGAUUGUUUUAACCAUUGAAAUUUAAGAAAUGAUGGUUUCUUUUUUGCAAAAAGAAAUGAAUGGAUGCCAUAAGAGUGAGUGGUUUGGGUUGCCAGCAUGUGAAUGCACUUAGGUAAAAAGAUGAUUGUGGGGGUGGUGCACUCUGAAGGGCCAGUGCUGCUCAUAAGUCAUUGACCCUUUUCAUUUGCUGCUUGGCCUUGGAUUAUCAUGACACUUCAAUGUCACCCAUUACCAUAUUGAUGAUGAUCAUCAUGAACAUGUAAUCACUCGACUAUAUAAAUUUCACGGCAACAAAUGCAUAAUUUUAGUGACGCCACCGGUUGUAUAAGAAAUUUUCUCUUAUAACAAUGUAUAGUUACAAUAACGUCAUCGUUCUAAUUAAUGUGAAGUCACCAGUUGCACGAGAGUAUUUCUCGGAGAACCUAAUUGCAUAUUUGCAUUAUUUCUGACUGAUUUCAAAAUUGAUUGAUUUGUCCAUCAUCAUCAGUGUUACCGUUGGGGAUUUGGGUCAAAAGGACCAUCCUGCCAAAUUUGGGAUCUCAAUCUUUUGAAGUGUCGGAGUUUGGCAGGGAUAUGAAAGGGUACCAGAAGUUAUGAAGAUGUAAUCCGUUUAAGAUUUGCUAUUGCAGAAAGUACUUAUGCUAUAAGCCCUUUUAUUAGAAGCACAUCAAGCUCUAUUAAAAAUCCGAUUACUACUUAAAAAUAGCACUUAACAGAUGCUGCUUCAAAAAGAACUUCCAUUAAGUAUUUUAUGUCUGCAAAGUUCUGCCUUUUAUGAUAGAAACAACAUGGAUAAGUUUGUAGUAAAAUCUGCUGUAAUCACAUUCAUCAAACAAAUGGAAUGCCUACUUGAGGAGAACUUCCCUGCACAGCGGCAUGCCUGUCGUAAGUUUCUUUCUAUCCUGUUCGAGAGAUCAAAGGUAGGGAACAGGGUGAAGAGAUCAAAAUUUCAUAAAUAUCAAACAUAUGGUUAUAUCAACUCUUUAUACAUCAAUGCGAAGCACCCUAAACCUUCUCGAAGUUUGAGGUUGUCACUAGUCACUGAGAAUGUCGAAUCUGUACUCUAAAAUAGGGGUGGAAAAAAUAUUCCAAACCGAAAAAAUUCUAAUCUCAAAUAAAAAAUUUCCCAAAUCGAAAUUUCGAUACAAGAUUCAGGAUUGUCUUCUCAAUAUUUUGGGAAUCCCAUACAGAACCGAAAAUAUAUAUUAUUAAUUAUUUUAUAUAUAUUUAUACAUAUUAUAUAUAUUUAUAUAUAUAUAUAUAUAUAUAUAUAUAUAUAUAGUUAGAGUUAAUUUCAACCAUUGGAUUGUUUCAAAUUGAUCUGUGCGGUCCAUUCAUUGUUACGGUUCUCCAGCUUUCUCUCCAUUCAUUUCAAUUGAAGCUAACCUCCCUCCCUCAGCCACCUAGCCCUCUCAUCUCUGUCUCGAAUUUGAAGUCAACUCUGGCCCACCACCUCACCAUACUAUUACUACCGUAUCCAAUUGUGGAGCCUUUGACACACCCCGACCGAGAUCAAGGCAUGCUGACUGUCACGUAAGAGUGACGUAGCCAUGUGCACAAUGCGGAAGCGAUAAUGAUAAGAAUUAUACGAAUAAUUGAAAACCAAAUUGCUAGAGUGCACUACUAAACAGAAAGUGAUAGAAAUUAGUUACAACAGUAAACACUCAUAAUCAGAGCAUAAAGUCUAGGUGCAGUCCAGUAGGACAAGUACUAGUUAUACAGUACCAGGAAUGUCCUACUAUUAUUUAGAUAAGUCAGAACUGCCGAUGUCCUCAAGCCACCAACAACAAGCUUACUUAAAACCUGGAGGGGUGCAAAACAGAAAACGUGAGUGGGCAAACAAAAAUGUUUUACAAAAUCAUUUCAUUUAUCAACAUAUCUAACCCCUCGCUGUAAAACAUGUAUAAUUUUCCUAGAAUCAAGAUAUAAACAUAUAUAUAUAUAUAUAUAUAUAUGAAAUCAUAAUAAUUCAAUUCAUGCUUUACAUAAUCAUAUUCAUAUGUAUGCCAUGCCAAAAUAUAACAAAGUAAACAAUCCAGGUAAGAAUGAUUUCAUAGAAAAAUGAUAUGUUAGCCGGAACCCAUGUGGUAGUCUGUACGGCUGAUUUUAUAGCUCAAAAGUCAAUCUAGCCGAAGUCACUACAAUAACCUAUACGACAAUAUACUACACAUAAGUCGGAACCACUAAAAAGGGGUUUGUACGACAAGAUUGGGUGUAAUAUAAUUAUGCUCAAUUCUAUUCUCUCAUAAUAGCUGGGCGAUAAAUCGCUAGUCACCUACGAGUCGGAACCAUAAAUAAGGUCUGUAUGACAAGACUGUGCACUUAAGUUGGAUCCAAUAUGAGCAUAUAGUGCGGGAGGUGACCUAAAUAAACAAGCCUGUAUUUCACAUUUCUGGCUAAAUCACAAUCACCCUAGGUGCAGUUUUAUGAGCUUAACAUUAUUCAAUCACAUAUCACAUCAUCGAUGAUUCAUAUAACCAAACAUAACUUACCUGAACUUACCUGUGCUUCCACAGCACCACAUAUAUAUAUAUAUAUAUAUAUAUAUAUAUAUAUAUAUAUAUAUAUAUAUAUAUAUAUAUAUAUAUAUAUGCAACAUGAAAUGCAUAUUCAGAAUAUAAAAGCAUUUGGCAUAUUAUUUCAAAGCAUACUUUCCUUAAAAAAAUGCAUUUCUGGGAAAUAUAUCAGUCGACGGGUCGUAACCCCCGAGUCGCCCGUGGAUACGCUUAUCCUCGGGAUAAGUCUCACCUAUAUGCGAAUUAACUAUAAAAAUGUUAUUUUAAAGCACAUAGGCAAAACUAGCUAAUAACUUCUCAUACAUUGCUCUAUUUUGGUAUUUGAAUAUACCAACGUGACCUACACAAACUCACGAACAUUGUGAUAUUUUUAAAAUAAUUUUUCUAUGGCUCACGCGCCCUUACGCGCCUGGGAGGGCACGGCCUCACGCUCGGCCCUUACGCGCUGCCCAUGCGCAGGUGCACUGAUGGAUUCCCUAACUGCCGUUAGGGAAUAUUCUGUUAAAAUCUAACAGAUUACGUUAAAACUUACUGACGAUGUCAGCAUAUUCCGUCCAAAUUGACGGAAUAUGCUGUCAUCUUCUCCGGCAAGUCGUCGGUCACCGGAAAACUGGGUAAAACUUUAAAACGUCUAUUCUCGCUCGUUUCUUAACCAUUUUUCAUGAAAUUUGUACCAACAUGAAGCUAGGGACAUCCACAAUCACGUUAUAAUAGUUUUAAGACCUAAAAACUGCUACAUUUUUCCUAGGGAAAGCUAGAUAGUUCGGCUUACCUAGAAUAGCUUCAAUCUCGGCCCUCAGACGUCCAUUUCCUUCCAACGAAGUACCCCGAGACUCGUGAGGACCUCUUUAAGCUUCAUGUGAGCUUGAAAUUUCCAAAAACAAAGAUUUAACGUUUGCAUGAACAAUACCCCAAAUCGGGUUAUGGUUUCGACGUGAAGAUAAAGUUGUCCUUACCUGAAAAUGGUCUAGAUGUGUUCAUGAGCUUGCAAGGAACACGAUGGUACCUUUAAUGUCCUCGAUCUACGAAGUUUGAAUAGGUUUUGGUGUUUGUCCGUACACAAUGCCGAGAGGGAGAGAGAGAGAGUCUGAAAGAUAGAGAGAUAGCACGGGAAAGAAGAGAGAGAAAGGGGUAUGAAUGUGUAUGUGGUCCAAAAAUAAACACCAAUCAAAUUUGUUUAAUCCUUUUGUUCUAAUUGGGUCCAAUUAUUUAGGAAUAGAACUAAUUGACCCAAUUCCUUAACCCAAAACACAAACACACAUCCAACGCUCAAGGGUAAAUCUGUCUUUUCACAACCACGAUAAUUAAUUCUCAGGACGGGCUGUGACAGCCUUCCUUUAGCACACAGAGCCACCGCUCUCUCUCUCGCAAUUCUCUCUAUCAGACACUCAAAGUCUGAGAGUCUUCUUCAUCCAGUGCACUGUGCACCGAUUCUCCUCCAAAUCAAGUAAAAUUUGGAAUUAAUUUAGGGUUCGAAUUUUAGAUUACGGUUUGUGAAAUUUGUUCAUGUUUUAGAUUGGAUGUUCAUGAUUCCAUCCUUAAUUUAAUUUCUAUAUUUAUGUUUACCAUUAGGUUAGGGUUUAUGAAUUUUUUUUUUCGAUUUAGGAGUUUGGCUAUGAUUUGCUAUGAUUUGUUAUGUUUUGUUUUUGUUAGGCAGCUUAAAGACUUUAAAAAAUUUUCAAUUGGCGACUACACUUUUUGUUACUUAACUGAUUGGAAAUGUAUGAAUUGACAGUUGAAGCCACCACUACCUAGAAUGCUAGAUAGAGGGAGAAACUCCCAACCCUAGGAAAAGAAACUCCUAAAAGCAUACAUCAUGAAAUCAUUGAUGCCCUAAAUUGGAUCAUUAUUUAAUUGAAUCAUAUGCUAUGCAAGAAAUUGUGCCUUCAGGGAUUAUUAGUUGAUUGAAUCUUAUAUGGAGCACAACACUGGAAAGAAAAGAUCAUUGUUUAACAACAUAUACAUAUACAUAGACAUAGACAUAGACAUAGACAUACACAUACACAUACACAUAUACAUGUGUUCAAUAAUAUUUUGGGCUAGAAAAAUUGAAGUCAAAUAAAUUAAACUAAGAGGAAAAAGGCUAAUUUGUUUCUAUCUCCAAACAAUAGUUGGCUUGAAAGAUAAAAACACUAGUUGCAGAGUUUUUGGUUGUUCUGGAAUUUUCUGAUGUUAAACUGAAGUAAAUGCAGAGAUGUGAAUAAUUUUCUUGCCCGUAGGUUCCCGAUAGGUAUAUAUGUUGUGCAGACAAACCUUCAUUUUGUAAUGCGCUGCUCCUCUCAAACGUGUUGUGUUUCUCCAUUUUUGUUUACUUCCAUUCCACGGAGAAGUCACAAUUAAGUUGUAUAUUAUUAGUAUGAUUUUAAAGUUUGUGUUGUCCUCUCUUUAGGAGCACCACCGUUGAACUUGAAUUAUGUGAUUUAAUUUACACAGAUUUGAGAAAUUUAAUUAUGUAUGUUUCAUUGUUUUGUGACUUUGUCCAUUUGUACUCUUCUUUGCCAAAACUCAGAAACUUCAUCACACAAUGGAAUGCAGUAGCAACAAUAGGAAUGAUAAAGGUGUAGAUUUAAAGUCCUGUUUUCUCCACAAUUUUUUGCUUCUUUAUAUAUACUUUUCAACUUUCUAAUUUGUCUUUAAUGCUUUAAUAGGUCUUCAAUCCUUUUCUCUGCUAAUUUGUCUUGAAUGCUUUAAUAGAUUUUAUUCAAUCCUGAGAUUUAUAGCACCGACUGCACCACUCUGUUACUCGUUGUAAUUGACAAGUGUAUUCGGUCUGCUUCAAUUGACACUAGGAGGUCUUUGUAUAAGGUGAAGUUGGCCUUGAAUUGAGCUUAAGGAGACCGGUCCUUGGUUUGUAUUGAGGCUUUUUAAGGUUAGUACUCUAUCUUCAUUGUUGAGAAAUUUAUGCUUCUUGUAAGGAUAUAACACGUGUUUUAUUUUGCAUUCUCAUGUUUGUGUUGUUUAUGUCAUAUGGACAUUAAUUAGAUAUGAAUAAAUAUAAAUCCUCUUUAUGAAUAGAUAUGAAUUUUCUUUAAUUGUUUCCUCUUAAGAAAUGCCAUUUAGCAUGAAUAGAUUUAAAAUUUAAUGUUGUGCUUACUUUGCAUAUAUUGAAUAUGUUAUUGCACUUGAAUUGGAUAUGUGAUUUAUUGAAUUGGAAUUUGGAUAUAUGCUGAAAUGUGGUUGUGAUAUAUUAAUGUGCAUUGUUAGUUUAUUUGUUAGGAUGGACAUAUCUAGUAGCCAAUUUAGUACACCUAUGGUCUCGGUAUUAGGAAAAUGAAAAAAAAUCCAACCUAGUGGUACCUUUCAACUAGGCACUCCCUCACCUCAAGAUUAUUUGCAUGAUGAUUAUUAUGAAGAUUGUUGGGAUGAUGAUCCGGAUGAUAUUGCAUUAGAACAAGUAGAAGAACAGGGAGAAGAGGGGGAAGAGGAAGUAGAAGUAGUGAGAGAAUGAGAGGGACCUCAUCGGAAAAAGGAUAAUAGGAGAAAGAGCCCAAGUCCAGUGUGGAACGAUGGUAAGAGGGUAAUUAUCACCGAUAAUAAUAGGGUGGAAUUGUACAUGGCCGAAUGCAUACAUUGCAAACUCUUAGUAUCGGCACACCCUAGAAAUCAUGGGACGGUGGGAAUUCUUAAGCAUCUGAAGAAAUGCCUGGGUUCUAAUCUCUUUGAGAGUGUGGAUCCGAACCAACCAACAUUGACACAAGCAAGGAUGGGAGGUGCGGGUCACUCACACUUUUAAUAAAAAAAGACUUGAUAUGAGAUAUAUGAGGUGGAUUAUAAUAGCGGAGAUGCCUUUUAUGGUGGUCGAUCAAUAGGACUUUCGAGCUUUUAUUCGUGACUUGAAUCCAAAGUGUAAACUUCCUAAUAGACAUUGGCGACAACGGUUUUGGAGCUGUUUUUGAAGAGAAGGCAAAAAUAAAAAGUCUGAUUGAGGGGUUGAGAGUGAGUAUCACAACCAAUACUUGGACCUCGAUCCAAAAGAUAUACUACAUGGUCCAUCACGGCCUAUUUUUUGGACACUAAUUGGGCAUUGCAUAAGAGGAUCCUAAGCUUUGUCCAAGUUACUUCUCACAAAGGUGAUGACAUUGGAAGAUGUCUAGAGGUUUUCUUGAAUGAUUGGGGCAUAGACAAGGUGUUUAGCAUUACCGUUGACAAUGCUAAUGCAAAUGACACUGCUAUUGCAUACAUGAAAAGAAGACUCAAGUCAAAUGAUACUCUUUUAUUCAACGAGGCUCACGUGCACAUGAGGUGUGCUAGUCGCAUCCUCAAUUUGAUAGUUAAGGAUGGAAUGAUAGAUCUUAGUUGUGAGAUUGAUGCCACAAGAAAUUAUGUGAAGUUUAUGCACUCAUCCCCGGCAAGGUUGGAGUCUUUUAGGGAAUAUUGUGUCUUGUUGAGACUUGAUAAGAUGUCAAGUAACCUUUUGAUGUUGUCACAAGGUGUAAUGCCACCUAUGAAAUGCUUAAUAGUGCUUUCAAGUUUAAAGAAGUGUUCUCUAAGAUGACCUUUGAGUGUGACUCUUUUAUUGCUUACUUUAAAAAUGAGGUCUUGAAAGAGGUUGAUGAAGUGACAACAAAGGCUAAGUGGGUGGGUUAUCUGGAGGAUGAUUGAGAAAGGUCGGUGAGUUUUGCUCACUUUCUCAAAAAGUGUUAUGAUGCCACCUUAACAUUGAAUGCAACCCUUACUCUAGCGUCACACUUAAUACUUAGCAUGGUGAUUGCUUUGCAAGUGGAGAUAGAAAAACAAAUUUUAAACAUCUCUAAUGGCACUUUGCAAAGUGUGGCUACCUCAAUGAAGCUCAAGUUUGACAAAUAUUGGGGUGACGUUGAAAAGGUGAACCGUAUUCUCUUUAUAGCCCAAGCACUCGAGCCGAGGUACAAAUUUGAAAUGUUGGAGACAAAUCUAAAAGAGCUCGGCUAUGGAUGUGACAAAAUAAGGGAAGAGAAAGCAAGGGUUAAAAUCCAUGUAACCGAGUUGCAUAAUGCAUAUAAGGAGGGAGUGGUCCUUAGUAGUAGUAGUAGUAGUAGUAGUGCUACUUCAAAUGUGGAGCAAAGAUCAAGUGUUGUAGUGGAUGAUUUUGGGGGGGGGGGUGGUAGAUAUUGAUGUUGCUAAAAGGAUGACAAGGAAGAUCCAACAACAGAGGGCAGCAACACAACAAAAUGAGAUAGCCAAUGAAGUGGAUAUUUACUUCAGAUCCGCAUCAAAGCCUAACAUAUGAAAGUUUCAAUCUUUUGGAUUGGUGGAAAGGAAAUAGUGGUACAUAUCCAACUCUUAGUAAAGUUGCUAAGGAUGUAUUUGCUCUUCCUAGUAGCACCAUUGCUAGUGGGAAUGCCUCUAGUCUUUAUGGGAUAGUUGUUGAUCUUUUUAAAGCUUCCUUAACAACUAAAACGGUUGAUGCUUUAAUGUGUACUAGUGAUUGUCUUAGAGGGAAUGAAUUUUGUUUCUAUAAGGAGCCUACACUGGACGAAUUCAUUUUCGACAAGGAACUUGAACAAUUAGAAAAAAGUAAGUAAAUAAUUUAAUUUCCUCUUUUAUUUUCUUAGUAUUUAUUAUUAUAAUUCAAUCUAAAUGAUUUGUGGUUUAUUAUUUUAGGCGUGACUAAUUUAGGAGGUGAGGAGAAUACAGCACAUGGAAACAAAAUGCCACCUCCACCUCCUUGACCAUCUCAAGUUGAAGUUGAACAACGUCAAAAUCAAUCACUACCUUCACGAGCACCCAUUUUAAGGGGAAUGGCUCAACCAUCAACAUCAAGGGGAAGAGUAUCAACAAGAAGAGGAAUGGGUCAACAAUCAACAACAAUAAGCAUGGUAAGGGAGCAACCACAAUCAUCAACAAGAUUAAGGGGCUAAAGGGGCCAAAGAGGCCAACAAUUUUCACAAACUUUAAGCUUUUCUUUUUGCUUUUGGUUUGUAACUUAAUUUAUUUUAAAACUUUGGCUUGUAACUAAUUUUUUUGCUUUUGGGUCUGUUACUUAAUUUAUUUUUGUUGCAUGCAUGUGGAAUGUUGAAUUUAAAUAGUUUGAUAGUAGAAUAUAUUUGAAGAAAAAUUCAUAAUUUUAUAUUUCAAUUAGGGCUAUAAAUCCAUGAUUGCACAGAUUGGUAUGUAUGAAGUAGAAGGCUCAAAAUAGAUUGCACAAACGCACAUAUGACAUAUUGGUAUUUAUGAAAUUGGGCUGAUAAUUUCAAUCUAAAAGGCUAAAUUUUAGCCCAAAAGCCCAAUAUAUCAAGUUUCAGCCCAAUAGCCCAAAAGCCCAAAAUCAAAAUUUAAUCCCGAUUUGUCCUGAAAUCCCAAAAAUUUGGUUUGGGAUUGGUCUUCAAAUCCCUGUCCUGAAAAAUUUUAGUUUGGGAUUCGGGAUACUAGUUUCGGUUCGGUAUCCCAUACCGAACCAGCCCUAGUUUCAUUUUGGGGUUCCCAACUUUUUUUUUUUAAUUUUAAUUUAUAGUUAUUCAGUUUGUUUUGGCCCCCAAACAGGAGAGAAGAGCAAUUUACAAUAAGUAAACCCAAAAUUGAUAACCGCCAUACUAAAACUCAAGGAACUCCCUUUUGGUUUUGUCUCAGAAUCAAAAGGAAAAAACAAAUCUCACAAACUAAUAACCACUAUAUUGAUAUUCAAGUAUCCAAAUCUAAAUCCAUGUAUGAACUCCACUAAAUAACCAAUUACACCCAAACACCUAAUUGGUUAAUUAAAUUAAAUAUCUUUUUUUUUUAUAUUAUGCGGUUCGGUUCGGUUUCAAAUAUUAGGAAUUGAAACCAAACCGUUAUUUUAACUUUCGGUUCAAUUUCAAACCAAAACUAUUUAAACUGAAAAAAUUGAACCGUUUGAUGUGGUCUGACUUAAUUCCUGUAUCGGUUUCAAUUUUCUGUCCCACGUGCCCAACCCCAUCAGCCGCUCUCUUAUUUCAUUUUUUUUAACUUUUUAUUUAUUUCUUCUUCUGUCUUGUUUUUUUCUUUUCCAUUGUCUACAUUUAUCUCUUCGAUAUUUUCUUCUUUCUUCCUAUCUCUUCUCUUCGCUCGCACCGUGGGUCAUUGAUCUUUUUUUCUUCUUGUUUCCUCUUCUUCUCUUCACCCGCACAUGUCUUUUUUUUUAAUUUGGGUGAAAAAUACAUGGGUCUAGUGUGUUGAAAUAGCAUGUUUUGAAAUAAAAUAAAAUAUUCAAUUAAAGCUGAAAAUCGGUCAAACCAAAACGGAAAUCGGAUAAACCAAAGCAUGCCGGUUUUACUUAUUUUUUAGUAGAACCAAACUGAACAGCUUAGGUCAUCUCCAUUGGAGAGAGCUAAAUGUCCAAAAGUAAAAAAAUGGUCUGAUUUACCCAAAAAUUGAUCUCCAAUCGAUGGCUAGGCUGUAACUCUAUGGAACCCACAUGCCAUUAUUUGGCCAAAGGGGCAUCACAUUAGCCAAAUGUAGCCCCACUAUUAGCUCUUUGUUUGGAGUCUAGCUCCUCAAUUGCAAUAAUGUAUUCAAAUUCAACGACUAGAUUUGAAAACAUCUCACGGUAGUUUAAAUAAAUUAAUCAAUAAGUUUAAAGUAUGAACUUGAAACUAAUAAAUUAUUGAGGAGGAUAUGUUUAGGUUAAAGAAGUAUCUAAGUAUGCCCUGACACUGUGCAUUUAAAAAUAAUUUUUUUGUAAAUCUAUAAUUCUGGACGAGAUUACGUUUAGUCUUUUCGAUUAGAAAUGGCCUUAUAUUAUUUGGUUUUAGUUCCGAUUUAGGAGAUAAACCGGACCAACUACAUUUUUCAUUGAGCUUCUAUUGUUUGCAAAGAGCUAAAGAUCAUAACGUGUCUACUAUUUGCUAUAGAAAAAACCUCCUCAUCAUAUUCAGAAGACUUUCUCUCUCAAGAAAAUAUUUUUUUUAUCACUUUACCAAUUUUCUCUCAUUUUCUUUUAACAUUUUCAAUCACUUCCCCUACUUUUAUUUUUCCUCAACCCAAGGGUAUGGCACAUUUUUCUCGAAGAUUUUCUUAGAUUUUCGCGGAUUCCAAAUAGUAUAUGGGCUACAUUCUGAAUAUUCUAGAAGAUAUUAUCAAUAAGGUUCUCUCUUUCAUACCGAUUAGAGACGAUGCUUAGACCAAUGUCUUGUCCCUGAUCUAGCACUUUUAUUGGAGGAAAACUCUCGUUCUUGAAUUCGAUUGGGAGACUUGCCCUUAAUUCAAAGAUGCACCGAGAGACAUUGUCACACCCCGAUCCCGACAUACGUCCAGGAUAGACACGUGACGCCAUCGAGUAUCCGUAUUUCCAACAUACCCCAUCUCGGGGAUAUGUACAGAGUAUAACUCAAGAUUCGAAUUGCGUAGUAAUUUUUGUAUACUUUAUGGCUGCAUUUAACCUCUUCGUUAGACUGCCUAUGUACCCUGAAUAGGAAUCAAGCCAUUCGUAGUUCACCAUUCACUACACUCGAACAUUCAUCGCAUAUAUCAUUACGUCUCAACAUAAUACCAUGUAGCACCUCAAGGAACAUUCAACAAAGCACAAUAAUAUUCUCUAGUCAUCUUGCCAUUCACCCACACAUAUGCAUUCCAACACCAUCCAAUAAUCACACCAAUCAAUAACACAUACAAUACACCUAAAUGCAAGGCUAGAGCGACACAAUUUGGCCGAAGCCUACAUCUCUGAAGAAUGGGAUUUUGAAUCCAAGGAACCAACAAGUCAAAUGAUGAAAUUUUAGACCACUUAACAAAAUCCAUCAGCAUCAGGUUCCAGACCACUCAACGGAACCAAAACACCAAGUCGGAUUCCGGACCACUCAAUGGAAUCCAAACCAAGAUACUAUUCCGGACCACUUAACGGAUUCGCAGAGAAGAAAGGAUUUCGGACCACUUAACGGAAUCGCGGAGUACAAUGCGUAUCGAACCACUCCAUGAAAUCCAAGCUGGAUACGAUUCUGGACCACUCAACGGAUUCGCAAAUCAUGAGGGAUUCCGGACCGCUCAACAAAAUCCAGACAGAGCAGGGAACCAGACCACUCAACGGAACCCCAGCAGAUAUCCAGUUUUGGAUCACUCAACGGAACUGAUCGGAAGGCCAAGAAAUAUAUCACCGAUUCAAAGAACAAAACAUGAACCAAGUACUCAAUUUACAAAGGCUCAACGAAAUGAAACAAAGCACAAGUACUAAAUUUAGAAAUGAUCAAUGAAGCGAGAAAUGAAACAAUGAAAUGGGAUAUGAAAUAAGCUUCGAAGAAACAAACCCCAUGGCAAUGAGUUAAUGGUCCACUACUAGCCCUCAUAUUUCAUUACAUCAUACCAAUCAUGCAAAUCAAACCACAUCUUAAAUAUGCACGUCAAUCACAUUUCACAAAUAUCAUCAGUACACAAGUCAAAUCACAUUUAAUAAACAUAGGUCAAUGGCUAAAUAUAUAAAAAUCACAUUUAUAAAACCAAUUCAUAUUCACAAAUGAUAUCAAUGUAAGAAGUCAAGGUAAUAACCAUAUCACAUAUAUUCAAGUCACUCUCUAACCGAUGUAGGCCUACUAGACUUCACUUAGUCUCCUAUAGUACUAAUUUUAGUAUUUAGAAUGUUUCGAGACAUGUUGACCAAAAGUUAACUUUUAGUCAACGGUGGGGACCUUAUGUAAUUCGAUCUGGAAGAUCCGCACAUCGGAUUUCGGAUCCGUAACUUCCUAAAGUCCUCAUUAAGCUCAUAUAACGACAUACUAAAAUCUCAUUACUUGGAUCUCAGCCAAUUGCUAGAAUUAGGUGGCGGUCAACAAUUAGUUUUACAAACUUAGAAAUCCAAUUCAGGAAGAUCCGUACGUUGGAUUCCCGAUCUGUCAGUUCCUUAUGUCCUCAAAUAUUACAAAUAAUAACCUUUUAAAGUUUGGUGAUAAUCCAAUGGUUGGAUCGUCAAUUCAUAUAAUAACCCCGUGGCGGCCAACUAGGCAAUCAACUACAAAACUACGUUAAACAUUGAAAUUUCACUAAACGGAUGUCAAAUAUGGAAUUGGGGCAUCAAAAUUAGCCUAGAAUGGUCCGGUGGGUUCUCAACCCACGCGGCGGCCGGCCGCUUAUACUCGCUAAAAAAUUCAACUAAUUCUAAAAUUUACCAAAUUUUACCAGAAUGAAGAUCUCAAUGAGUGGAGUAAGUUUCUUACCUGUGACUAAAGCUAAUUUGGCCGGGAAAAGCCUCAAAUCGCCACGAACCCGCUGAAAACCCUAGAAAUGGGUGACUUCGAUUCGACUUUUCUGGUGCUCCGCCGCCUCUAAGGUUGUUUGGGCUUUGUUCCUGGCCUCAAGGAGAGUCUAAUGGUGGUGGAUAUCGAUGUGAUUGCAUUCGGAAAUGGCUGAUCUUUGGCGUGGUCAGUCGCACCCACCGGUGCGAUUCUUUGUGAUUCUGAGCCCAAUUUCUUCGAAUUUGGGGUGGAAAUGGUAAAGAGAAGGUUGUGGCGUACUUCCCAGGUGGUGGCUCGGCUUAAUUGUCAGAAUUUGGCCAGAGGAACCAACGGGUUCCAUUAUUUCCAACUAGGUCGGGUCGCAAGGGGAAAUCGGCUGAAUUAUCCGGUGCCUUCCCCCUCUCUCUUUCCCUCAUUUCUCUCCUUUCCCCCUUCUCUGCCGUCCAUCUCUCUCCUUUCUCUCCUCCACUGUUCAUCACAACCGUCCACGUGGCUCAAUCAGAUUGUUCCAAAAAAUCUGGAACCUUAUAGAGUGAAGGUUAAAUUUACUAAAAUGCCCCCGACUUUAAACGUUAAUAUCUCAUUCGUUAUAACUCCAAAUUACGUUCCGUUUGCGCUCACGCGCUCGUAUUGACGAGUACUAUCCAAAUACGUAAAGAAAAGUGAGAAAAUAUAUGCAAAUCAAAUACAUCCUCGAAAAAUCCGUUUGGUCUAUUAAGGGCGUUUUCAUCCUUCUAUUGAAAUAAAUCUAUGCGCCGCAAUAUAAACGCGUUGAAUUAAUAGUACAAAAUACGUAAUUUUAAAAAUGUGAAAUCCGGAGAUGGGAUUUCACAGGCAUUGUUGAGAACCCUGAAUUCUCGUGGCCUAUUGUCGGGCAAAGAGUCUACUUCAUUGAUCCAUAGAAACAGUGACAUCACUUCCUUCCUGUUGAAAUGAGACAUGUAUAUGGUACAUAUUAUUGUGUAAGGCAAGAUGUCAAAUAAUGCCACACUGGAGGGGUUGUGUUGAGCCUAUCCGUCCAUUGCCAUUAUGCAUCGCACAACAUCCGCAUACAAACCUCGAGUAGUUAGUUAUAACACCAGUGUGCAGCUGCACUGCAUGCUAUAGGGUUCCAACGCCCAAUUGGGGUGAUUUAAAUAAUUAGAACAAACAGUUUGUGACAUUAAAAAAAAAAAAAAACUACAUUUUAGGCUGGCAUAAUUGGGGAUAAGAGUGCGUUGGUACAUAAACAAAACUUCCGGGUAACUUUCAAAAGCCAGAAAGACAAUUUCCUGGGGAGUCCCUAUCCGUCUUCCAAACAACGGAAGCAUCAAGUAGUUAAAGUUGGUACAAUGCAUGGGUGAAGUCCAUGAGGCUGGCUUUAAGGACCUAAGUGUCCAUUACGCUUCCCUUCCAUAUUUUCCUUCAACACCUUUGAAGAACCUCAAGAACCAGUACGCAGAAGAUUUUGGGUGUCUCGAGAGCCCAUUCUUAUAGUCAACGUAAACCAAACCAAAACGCUUGGUAUAUCCUUGAGCCCACUCAAAGUUACCCAGUAAUGACCACGCAAAGUAUCCCCUUACAUUUGCCCCAUCCAUGUCCAGGAAAAAUGUGACAGUAUUGGUUUCCUUUAUACCUACCUUUUCAGAACAUUGUUCACACACUAAUAUGAGUUAAUUACUUUUUAACAAGGUGAUAAUAUGUACUAGACAUGUGAAAAUGCUCAAGAUGGAGAAACAAAAUGACCAACUAAAGCUUUUCUUUGGUUAAUAACAAUUGAAGAUAUUUUGUGAAAUGUGACAUCUAUGUCUUUCCUCGUUUGCAGUUUCCCGCUACAAAUAAAUAGAUGAGUAGCACAAGCCACAAGUUAUAAACCCACCUCCCAUUUAUGCAAGAUUUUUGAAUUUGACAGGAUACUAGGGUUUAUAAACCUAACACCCAUGGAUGGAACCCUGGGGACGCCAGUGGAUUGGGUUGGGUGGGGGGCUGUGCAUCUAUUGGAGUAUAAAUGUAUUUGCUGUGAUAGUUACAUUAUAAGCAAUGUGUAGGCUUUAAUGUGAACCGUUGGAUCAUAUUCCAAUUGGUAUUUAGUUUAGAGUGUAAUGAGUCAUAGCUCAUGACAAGUGUAAGCAUCUUACAUGAUAGCUUAUGAAUGAAUGGUUGUGAUUGCUUUGUAAUAGAGUGAGUGAAAUUGUUCUCACUCCUCUAACUGUCAUAUAAGCUGUAAAAGGUUUUUAUGAAAAAGAGUUGAGAUGGAAUCGACACAGUACUAAGAAACAUUUCUCUCCUUCUUCUUCGGUGUAUUUUCAUUGAGUUUUUAAACUUCCAUUGAAACUAACACAGAAACCAAACUCUAAUAUGGUAUCAGAGCUUGCCAGGUUGGAUCUCAAUCUGGGCGUGAAUCUGUGACAAGGUUCGCAACUGAGGAACUCGACAGAGAAUCGAGUUUGCUGCGGUUGAAGAACGAUCUGAAAAUCUCUGGGUAACUCGAUAACAAGUCUAAUAUGGCUGGAUCGAGUGAUGCUGAUCUUCGAGCACCGAUUUUCAAUGGAGAAAAUUUUGAUUUUUGGCAGAUAAAGAUGAAGACUAUCUUCAGAUCUCACGAUCUGUGGGAUAUGGUUGAAACGAGGCAUAAUCCUUUGGCGAAGAAAGAAGAAGAAGAACUCACUGCAGCUGAGCUAAAGCAUCUGAAGGAGAACAUGAUCAAGGAUGCAAAGGCUCUCAUAAUUAUUCAAGGAGUUGUGUCAGAUGAAAUUUUCCUAAGGAUUGCCAUUAUGGAGACAACAAAAGAGGCCUGGGAUAUACUGAAGCAGGAAUUUAUUGGAGAUAAACAGGUGAGAUCCGUGAAACUUCAAAGCUUAAGGUGUGAUUUUGAAUAUACUCGAAUGGGUGAACAUGAAUCAUUUUAUGUGUAUCUUGUGCGUUUGUUGGAUCUCAUUACACAAAUGAAAAGUUAUGGUGAGAGUAUUGGAAAUCAAAGAAUAGUGCAGAAAUUAUUGAUUAGUCUUCCUAGAUCCUAUGAUAGUAUUGUAGCUGUGAUUGAGAAUUCUCGGGAUUUGGAGACAGUUGAUGUGCAGGAUGUAGUUGCUACUCUAAAAGGGUAUGAACAAAGGAUUGAGAAACACUCUGAAAAUAACACUGAAAAGGCCUUUGCUAGUUUAAGUAUAGCUCACAGGAAGAACAAUUACAAUGGCAAUCAAAACUUCAAACCCACAAAGAACUGGCAGACAAAGGGUAAGAAAUGGGAUAACAAAUCUGUGCACCAUCAAGGAAAAUUUACUGGGUCUUCUGAUAGUGUUAAGAAUGCUUGCAAGUACUGUGAUAAACUUCAUUUUGGAGAGUGUUGGUUCAAAGGGAAACCAAGAUGCCGCAACUGUGAUAAGCUAGGGCAUUUUGCCAAGGAUUGUAGAUCUAAAAAGGUUACCCAACAGGCAAAUUAUGCUAAUCAAGUGGAGAGCAAUCCAACUAUGUUCUAUGUGUGUAUGUCUGCUGCAGUGAAGAAUGGAGAAGACGUUUGGUAUGUUGAUAGUGGCUGCAGUAAUCACAUGACAAGAAGAGAAGAUUUACUGGAGAACAUUGAUAGAAGUGUUACUGCCAAAGUUGAGAUGGGCACAGAGGAGUUGGUUAAUGUAGUUGGAAAAAGAGAGUUAAUGGUUGCAACUAAGCAAGGCAAAAGGUACAUCAAGGAGAUCAUGUUAGUACCUGGUUUAAAGGAGAAUUUAUUGAGCGUGGGACAGAUGAUGGAGCAUGGAUAUUACCUUGUGUUUGGGGGGAUUGAAGUCAGAAUUUAUGAAGACUUUACAUGCUUUAAUCUGGUUGUCAAAAUUCCUAUGAAGGGAAAUUGAAGCUUUCCUUUGAAGUUGCAACUAGGAAUCCAAAUUGCUAUGAGGGCAAGUGUUAGACAAGCAGCUGAGAUAUGGCAUAGAAGACUUGGGCAUCUAAAUAUGAACGCUCGAAUGCAACUCCAAGAGCAUGACAUGGUGACUGGUUUACCUGAGCUCAGAAUGAACUCCACAGUAUGUGAGGGAUGUGCCAUUGGAAAGCAUUCUAGAGAUGCUUUUCCUAAAGAAACAAACUGGAAAACUGCAUUACCAUUGGAGUUAAUAUAUACUAAUAUAUGUGGACCAAUGCAAACACCUACUAAAGCUGGAAACAAGUAUUUCAUCACUUUCACAGAUGAUUGUACUAGAAUGGGAUAGGUCUAUUUCAUGAGGAACAAGUCUGAAGCAUUUGGUAUAUUUAAAAGGUUCAAGGCAACUGUUGAAUUACAAAGUGGAUUCAAAGUGAAGAAAUUAAGAAGUGACAGGGGAUGGGAGUACAUUUCUCUGGAAUUUUCUCAGUACUAUGAAGAUCUUGGUCUAGAAAGACAACUCACAGUGGCCUAUUCUCCUCAACAGAAUGGUGUUGCCGAGAGAAGAAAUAGCACCAUUGUAGAGAUGGCUAAAUGCAUGAUGUUGGAGAAAGGCAUUCCAUUUGAGUUUUGGGCAGAAGCAGUUAACACUGUAGUCUACAUUCUCAAUAGAUGUCAUACCAAGACCUUGCAUAAGAAGACUCCAUUUGAAGCCUACAGUGGAAGAAAGCCUGGAGUAAAACACUUAAGAGUGUUUGGAUCCCUAUGUUAUGCACAUGUUCCAUCAUAGAUGAGGCAUAAACUAGAUGCAACAAGUGUAAUGUGCAUAUUCCUUGGUUAUGGAACCUGUGAGAAGGGUUACAGGUUGUUCAAUCCUAAAACUAACAAGAUGGUUAUUUCUAGAGAUGUAAUAUUUGAUGAGAACUCUUAUUGGGAUUGGAAAUCUGGUAAUAAGAAGACUAUGUCAAUCUCAAUUCCCAGUGAAGCUUAUGGAAGCGAAGAGAAUGAGGUUGAAGCUGCUGAAAAUGAUGCAGUAUUUGAAUGCACAUAAUUACUAUAUGAGCAACAUGAGCAAGUUAUUGCUUCUCCUUCAAGACAAGAAGAGCAAAUGGAUCACACUGGUUCACAAGUGUAUGAUCAUACUCUUCUAAGGUUCAAAAGCUUGAAUGAUAUCUAUGAAAUGUGCAAUUUCUGUGUGAUAGAGCCUGAAUGUUUUGAAGAAGCAUCAGGAGAUAAAGCUUGGAGAAAAGCUAUGUCCACAGAGAUUGAGAUGAUCGAAAACAAUGACACAUGGGAGUUGGUCAAAGGGCCAUUUGAUAAACCUGUAAUUGGUGUAAAAUGGGUCUACAAAACAAAGCUUAAUCUGGAUGGUUCAGUGCAGAAGAACAAGGCACGACUAGUGGCUAAGGGUUAUUCUCAAAAGCCUAGAGUGGACUUCAACGAGACCUUUACACCUGUGGUAAGACUUGAUAACAUUAGAACUCUAAUUGCAUUGGCAUCUCAAAAGGAAUGGAAGUUGUUUCAAUUAGAUGUUAAGUCUGCAUUCCUAAAUGGUACACUGCAUGAGGAAGUAUAUGUGGAUCAACCACAGGGAUUUGAAGUUCAAGGACAAGAAGACAAGGUUUACAAGUUGAAAAAGGCCUUAUACGGUCUGAAACAAGCUCCCAGAGCUUGGUAUGAUGAGAUAGACAAUUAUUUCAAUCGAUCCGGUUUUAAGAAAAGCCAAAGUGAAGCUACUCUGUAUACAAAGUUCAGUGAUGUAGGUGUGCUUAUUGUAUCUCUAUAUGUAGAUGACAUUAUCUAUACAGGGAAUUCUGAUGAAAUGAUUCAAGAAUUUAAUAAGGAUAUGAUGAAGCAAUAUGAGAUGUCAGAUCUAGGACUAUUACAUCACUUUCUUGGUCUGGGCAUAAUUCAAACCGAUAAGAGUAUAUUUAUUCAUCAGAAGAAAUAUGCCAAGUCACUACUUGAGAAAUUUGGAUUGAAAGAUUGUAAAGCUGUGAAAACCCCACUUGCAAUUGAUGACAAGUUAUCUAAGGAAGAUGGGAGUGAAGAUGCUGAUGAAAGUUUGUACAGGACAAUGGUUGGUAGUCUGUUAUACCUGAUAGCUACUAGACCCGAUCUAAUGUAUGCAUCUUGUUUGCUGGCAAGGUUCAUGAAUAAAACUACCAGAAAACAUGGGGACAGCUAAAAGAGUCUUGAGAUAUGUACAAGGCACAUUGGAUUUUGGGAUUGAAUAUGUGAAAGGAAAAGCUGUUGUGUUGAUAGGCUACUGUGAUAGUGAUUGGGCAAGAAGCUUGGAUGACAUGAAAAGUACCUCAGGCUAUGCAUUUAGUUUAGGUUCAUGAGUGUUUUCUUGGGCUUCUGUUAAACAAUGCAGUGUGGCUUUAUCUAUUGCAGAAGCCGAGUAUGUAAGUGCUGCAGAAGCUACAACACAAGCAAUGUGGUUGAGGUUUGUUUUAUCUGAUUUUGAAGAAGAACAGGUGGAGGCUACACCUUUGCUAUGUGACAAUACUUCUGCCAUAGCCAUGUCUAAGAAUCCAGUGUUUCAUCAUAAAACCAGGCAUAUUAAUCGGAGGUAUCAUUUCAUAAGAGAUGCCAUUCAAGAUGGGACAAUUGAACUACACUAUUGCAGCACAGAAGAGCAAUUGGCAGACAUCUUUACCAAGGCUCUUCCUAAGGAUCGAUUCGAAUACUUGAGAACUGCUCUUGGUGUGAAAUUAGCAAAACAUUUAGAAGGGAGUAUUGGAGUAUAAAUGUAUUUGCUGUGAUAGUUACAUUAUAAGCAAUGUGUAGGAUUUAAUGUGAACCGUUGGAUCAUAUUCCAAUUGGUAUUUAGUUUAGAGUGUAAUGAGUCAUAGCUCAUGACAAGUGUAAGUAUCUUACAUGAUGACUUAGGAAUGAAUGGUUGUGAUUGCUUUGUAAUAGAGUGAGUGAAAUUGUUCUCAUUCCUCUAACUGUCAUAUAAGUUGUAAAAAGUUUUUAUGAAAAAAGAGUUGAGAUGGAAUCGACACAGUACUAAGAAACAUUUCUCUCCUUCUUCUUUGGUGUAUUUUCACUGAGCUUUUAAACUUCCAUUGAAACUAACACAGAAACCAAACUCUAAUAGCAUCAGCCACCCACGUGUCUCCUAAUAACCCAUCUAUACGACCUUAAUAUCACAAGCCGUGUACACAUGCAUAUUUUCAUGCAAAGUAGAUGAGCAGCACAAGCCUCAGCCUUCCACAUCCAAGACAACGGUUGCUGCAACUAAGUACUCAUCAACCUUGCAAUGGUAGCACGACUCCAUGCAGGCGAUGAAUGACAUGAUAAUCUAUAUGGAAUUUGUGAAGUCUUUCGUGCAGGACUUACUAAAGAAUGACUUGAAAGCUUGUUCAUUUGAUAAAUGGAUGAAAUGAAGUCGACCUACCUUAUCGCUUUGGCAACUGCUGAAAGGUAUCUCUUAAAGUAACUAACUCUCAGUUUGUCAUCCAGCAUUUCAUGAAGUGGGGAGGUGUCAUUAUCUUCGUCAUCCAUACCUGUAAUUUAAAAAAGAAAUUAAAAGAAUCAUAAUGUUGACUAAGUACAAACUCCUAUAGUUUUCCAGACCAAUAAUCAAAAGAACUUUAAUUCAAUAUAUUUCACCUCAGUACAUAUUUCAUUUAUAUAAUGGGCAAAUGCAUUAAACCACAACUGAAAUUCUAGAUUCAAUUUUGUUUUCCAAGUAAAGUCUCUCCAAGCAUACCAUUCUCAGUAACAUAUAUUGGGGGAUUAUUGUAUCUCUGCGCUUUGUAAUUCAGAACCUUAUGCAUGCCCCAAGGAACAACAUACAGCCAUUCUGAUGCUGCCCGCCAAGCAAAAUAUUUCAGUAGACUGGACAGUUAGUGGAAUAUGUCUGCAGGAGAGAGUUCAUACCUUCUCACCAAUAGCCUCACCCCCUUCCCAUUCAACUGAUGAUAAAGAGAGAAAAUUAUAUAAAGAUCAAGAGAAAAUUUGUUGUGAAAACCAAUGACAUAGUAGUUACAGUAUUUUACCAAUUUUCUCUAUCCCUUGUGCUUUAUAAAAAUCACCCUUAUCAUGGUUAUCUCUUCCAUGUGCAAUAAAUCUCGAUGCAUAGUGAUUCAGACCAAUAAAGUCUACUGAGUUCUUAAGCAACUCCUUAUCUUUCUCUGAAAAUAUGGGAAGCCGAUCUCCAAGUCUUUCACGCAUAACUUUGGGGUAUUCCCCAUGAUAUAUUGGAUCUAAGUACCUGCGUUUGGAAUCAGCUGAGACGGAUUCUAAACAAUAGUGUAAGAGGAGAAAACCAUUUAAAUUCAUCUAACGAACUGCCUGGCUUGGCAGCAAGCAGAGCUGGAGAAAUUGCUAAAAUCAUCUGCACCCAUUCAAUGAUGCGGCCCAUAUGCUGUUUAUAUGUCUCAGAGUAGGUUUUAUAUCUUAUAAGGAUUCAAAUAGAAUGCAUCUUUCAAUUAAUAUGGUUUCACCAGAAGGCAACAAGACAAUUUGGUUGCAUUUCAAGUAGAUGGGAAUACUCAAUAUAAACAGCACGAUACAUGAAAACUUAUGGAUCUGCUCAAAACUAAGAUACAAACUUUGUAUUUCUAUGUUGUUUUGUCAUUAAUUACAGCCCUACUCUCACCAAUUAAAUAACUACACAAUAACUACACUGAGAUCAGUUACUCCUGCUAAUUUACCAUGAGGUUUUCCAAUGUACUUUGACGGUAUGGAUGCUUUAAUCGUGCACAUUUAGUGUACUUGUGUGAAUAUUGAAUGCACAUUAAAAUUGUUGAGAAUGAGUGUCUGUAUGAGGGCUCAUGUGUGUGUGUGUGUGUGUGUGUGUGUGUGAGAGAGAGAGAGAGAGAGAGAGAGAGAGAGAGAGAGAGAGAGAGAGAGAGAGAGAGAGAGAGAGAGAGAAAGAGAAAGAGAGAGAUCCAUACAUAUUAUCUGAAGUUACAUAGUUAGUUAACAGUAUUUUUUGUGACCAAACAGUUACAUAAUUUAGGGAACAAGUAAUUACCACCCAAGCUGAAAAUCUAGGCGCCUUGCUGCAGCAACUUUAUCUUCAAUUGUGUCUGAAUUAGCCUCUGCCCAUUCACAGUCUACGACCAAGCCAACUUGUCCCCCUUGCUUGUCCUGAAAGACAAUAGUAGCAGCAAGAGUAAGAACAAUAUAUAAUAUUUGGGUAGUGGAGUGGAGAAAGAAGAUAAAAAAGGUCGUACCCAGUGCACAAGGCUCCCGCUUUACGCAGGGUCUGGGAGAGGUGAAUGUCGGCUAGCCUUACCCCCAUUUUAUGGAGAGGCUGCUCCCAAUUCCGUAUGGGCUGCUUUGAGCGACGCAAGUCCUGUAUGUGCCCAUAUUCAGAAAUCUAUAUUAUGUAUCUUUAACCUUGACCGUCUUCCAAUCAAUUUCACAUUCAUUGCACUUUACGUGAAAUCUGAUUUUGAACCCAAAUAUUUAAGCACGGUUUAUUAAGUUUACAUUUUCCCAUAUGAUGUCAGUUCUACUUAAAAACAUAUCCUAAAUUAUAAACGAAUUAUGUGAAAUAUUUCUGGAUAUCAGCUAAAUGAGUUCUUUAGCUGACUACAUGCACUCUCCCAUAUAUGAAAGGAAAAACAAAUAAAGGAAAAAACAAACAGAGAGAACACUAGUGUUAAGAUUUGCUUGUUCACAGAAUCACAAUCUAAUCUUACACAAGAAGGAAGCUAUAAAUUACUGAAAUGCUGACUAAUAUAUUACUUCCCUUGUUGAGUAAAACAUCUUGCCUUUAAUAAAUAAAGUGAUGAAGUCAACGGCAAAUACCAGAAGCUCGGUCAGUGAUAAAAAGAGUAACAAGGAGACAAGCAGACAAAGAAACAAACAGUAAACCUUAUACUUGCUUCGGUAUAUGGAAACAGCAGCAGCAUGUGCCAAUAGUUGGUGGUGUGCAACCCAAAAUGGUUCUGUUGACGUGCAUUCAUGCCUUCCAGGAGCAAAUCUCCCAACACCAUAACCGUUAAUAGCAGUCUGAUAAGGCUCAUUAAAAGUGAUCCAGUCCUUCACUCUAUCGCCAAAGCUUGCAAAGCAGGUGUCUGCAUAGACUGAGAAGUAUUCUCUGCAUUCACAAAAUCUGACUACUCAUAUGAUAGAAUCUCACAGCACUAAAUAACAUAUAGGCUAUGAGGAAAUUGUCUAACAAUGACUUAAACACAUACAAAAAAUUACUAUAUUUGUUUCCUGAAAGUAACGGAAGUUUGUGCUGCAUAUCAUUUUUUUUCCCCUGCCAAUACUGAUGCAUGCAGACAAACUGCUGUAUUGUAGAUGAUUUUAAGAUUGCUAAUAACCUGUAUUCCCUAAUAGAACAUUUAAUAUUAGCCAGAAGACCCUUAAUGCUCUUGCUACCCAGAGUUUCUGUUCCUCUUCUAUAGAACUACCUUCUCUAUUGAAUUAGUCAUUCUUUCUAAUGGGUGCUCUAUUAAUCUUUGUUGGGUCUAGUAACCACCAUAGCCCAUGUCUCCUUUUUUAUCUUCUACAGGUGCCACUUAACCUUCUCAUAUACGAGUUAGUUACUCUAAGCCACAUUAUCUCAAUCUCUCUACCAAUGAUGGAGCGCAGAUGGCACAAAUUCUUCUCUUUUGGAGUUCUUUUGACUCACAAUAUUGUCGCCACCUCCACACCUGUAUUUCUUCUUUUGUUGUAAUUGUAUUCUACGUAUUCAGUUUUAUAUCUACUUAUCUUAAGUAUAUUGCUUCUGAAGUUUCUCUCCGUAACUCUUUUUUAUAGCAUUCUUGCAUCUUUAGUCUAUUAAAUCAAAAGAAUAUGCCAAUAGUCUGACCAUAUAUAAAGCUCAUCCUGAAUAUCAGUUUGUCCAUAAAGAAAGGGCCUCUGUGUUGAUCCCUGAUAUAAGUCUACACUAAAAAAAAACUUGCUUUUCUCUCAUGAAAUUCUUCACAGAAUAGUUGUACAAAAAGCAAUUCGGGGUUGUCCAAGAGAAUGAACAAUGUACGGUUGGUCAAAUAAAAGCAACACAUAUACCGAUAGGCGGAAAUAUAUUUUAGCUCACGUGCCUUGAGUUAAAAUACAUCCAAAAGGAAGAAAAGGGAUGAACUUGCAACUUGGGUUCUUGCGGAUCAAUUCACAAAAUUUUAAGCAGUUCUAAAAGCAUUUGAAGUGCUUCUUGCAAGAAGCAUUUUUAAGUGUUUUUCCAGGAUUUACUUGCAUUUUUACUAAAGAUGAGGUUCAAGAACAUUUUCACCAAAAGAACUUUCAACAUUUUUAAAAGCACUUCCAAAUAAUUCCAUAAUUGUUGGAGCUUCUAGAAUAAUUCAGAGUUUGUCUGAUUUUAUUUAAAAUGCUGGAGCUUCUAGAUGUUUUAACACUGUUUUGCUAGGCUUUCUUUCGUUUUCCUAGGGCAUAUGGUCUUGUUUUUAUCAGUCAAUAUAAUUAGACUUUUAGAAUUCCUAUAAGUCUUUAAUGUGAGUCAUUAAUUACUAGCCUUCCGGUGCUUGUGUAGCUCUAUAUAAGGGAAGCAGAUUGUCUGCCUCUUGUUUGGGUGUCCUCCUCAUCCCCUUUUAUAUUCUUAUUGCUUUUUGUCUUAUUAUCUCUAUAAAAAAAAUUAAUAUAAAAUAUUGACGUAGCUUAACCGUGACCGCACAAAAUAUGAAAGGAUAGGAAGGACACUCAAACAGGAGGGCAGACAAUCUGCCUCCCUAUAUAAGACCCAUUUUGUACUUAUACAAUUAGUCCAUGAAGAAUAUUGUGUUUGCUUCAACAUAAGUUAUGCCCACAUUCCCACAAUUCAACCUCACCAAACACUAACUUUAGCCUGUUGUUGUGGACCUAAACAACCACAUAAGACCCAAUCCGAAACGUGCAGCAUUCUUUGAGGAAUCAAGCAUCUUACAGUGGUUGUUUGUUACCUUGCCGGUGAAUCUUUUUUGUAUUUCUGGAAUUGUGUGUUAACAUUUGUGAGAUAUUUAAUUUUCUUCCUAAUUGUUAUUUUAAUUCCUAUCUCAGCUUCAUCAUUUGCAUCCUAUAGUGCCUUGUACAUAUGAAUUAAGAGUUAGGUAGUCCUAUAUUAUAAUUUAAUGUUAGAAUAAUUCCUAACUCUUGCUAUAGAGUCUAGUGUUUGUCUAACAGAAAUGAUUGCAGUUGUUCGUGGAAAGGCGUCAUGCGAUGUUAACGUAUCUGUCUAAAAUUCACAAUGGAAGGAUCUUACAGCACUCUGCAAUUCGUUGGCACAUGGACAUAAACUUUUCUCUAUUCCUUGCUUUCAAUUUCAAGAGAAGAGUUGGAAUGAAUUGAGUAGAUAUCUUCACUUGUGCAAUAAUAAAACAAAAUUGAUAUUUAAAUGAUGAUAUAGAACUUACACAAUUUGCUUAUUCAGCCACCCUCCCAUAUUCUCAUGAAGGUACAAGGGUAGAUCCCAAUGGUACAGUGUUACGUCAAUGAAGAAGGGAUACGUCAAGAGAAUGAAACAUGGACAUACGCUUCAAGAACUUUUUCAAGAACUUUUUCAAGUCCUUGUCUGAAUUCUGCUUGGGGAUAUCCACUUAAAACAUGUCAUAUUGUAAUCUCCACAUGUUUUCAAAACCUUAGAUAGCUAAGGACACUUCUGCCACAACUAUCUUAAGUUUUCCUAAGGAGCCAAUUAUAAAUAUUUUCGUCUAAACAUCACCAAAACAUUGUCCAUUCAUAUUUGCCGAACUUGUGAAAGAUCCAUUCAAUCUUGAAGUUAUUAUUGACCAUUAAUCUUGAAGAUUUGAUCAAUAACAUUUCAACUUAGCUCAAGCAUCUAUGCCGUUCAAAUCACCUUCACUACCAUAUUUUAAUGCAGAGAUCACUUCCCAGAGGUAGGAUGUCAAGAAGAGUCAAAUGCGAAGGUAAAUGCUAAAAAGGAAAUGAAGGUGAGAAAGUAAUUUUAAAACAUAAAACCAGAGGACAGUGAAUUGAUAAUAUCCUGCGUUUUAGCACUAGAAAGAACUCUAUAGAUGGCAAAAGGUAGCAUACCAGGGAAGAUUCGAGACCAUGAUAUGGAAAAACGAUGAGCUUCAAAUCCCAACUUGGCAAUGAGUUCAACAUCUUCCUGUUAGCAUUAAAUAGAUUGUGAGUUGUGUUAAAUGACUCAGAUGAAUUGAAAUUUCAGACUUGCAUAACUAUCUGAACAGAAUGAAGAACGGCAAGUGUAAGAAUUUUAUCAUGUUCUUUUAAACCAUUACGAAAAGAAAACGCUACUAACAGAUGGGGCCAGAACUGACCACAUUCUUCCCCUUCCUAAACCAUCAACAUAAAUAGGGGGAAAUGACAUUGAAAACUAGUAGAGACAUCACAAAUACCAGCAGUUUUGGGAAGAUAGCACUGGCAUAAUGCCAAAGACCAAAAGGAUUGAUUCGGUUAUGACCAACUUUCUACUAACCUUAUACCGAUGAUAUUGAUCAACUGCAACAUCCCCAUUGCUUCCAUCAAUGAUAUUCCCUAAUGAACCAAGACACACAUAAUAAGUUCCGUAAGUUGCUAACUAAAAAAAUAGUAUCAGAUUGGACAAAAUCAAGAGAAAUUCAGGUCCUAGAAAAUAUUAUCACAAGCUCAAUGAAGAAAAGGUACCUUUUGAAUGUGAAAAGGCAUCCCAAAUGCUGGGACCCCUACCACCGUCCUUGCAGGCUCCCUCUACCUACAGAUAAACAAGAAGCCCCUAAACCAAAAUUCAUAGACUCUGAGUUUUGGAAUUCAAGACAGUGCAUUGGACAACUCAAAAGUAGAAAAUGGGAUUUGUUAUUUUGCAAAAAUAUGAUUGAAGACAGGAUACUCACAGUUACAAACACUACAUUAUCUUAGUGGUCGCUUGUUUUUUAACCAUGGAACAAUCAUGUACAUAUUUUAUUUUGAAACAUACAUGUACAGAUACUUAAACAAACAAACAAACAAUAAAUAAAAUUGCUGAGUAACAUGCAAUGCAACAAAAACUGGGAUUGUGAUUGGCUAAAAUUUCAUUUACGAAGUAGAAACGUAAAUUAAGGGCGCGUUUACUAAUCCAUAAUCAAAUUGAGAGGAUUGAGUUGAGGAGGAAUUGGAUUGAGGAGGAAUUGAAAUGAGGUGGAAUCAGAAUCAGAUUCCUGUUGAAGUUGUUUACUAAAAUUGUCUGGAAUCGGAGUAGGAAUGAUGUUGAGUCCAUAUAAGUUGUUUACUAAUUCACUUCAAUCGGAAUGAAAACUAGGUUAGUUACUAUAUUGCCCUUACAUAAAUAAAUUAUUUUCAUACUAAUUAAUUAAAUUAAAUUCUUAAUUAAAUUUAUAUAAUAAAAUUCAUCUAUAUAAACAUUUAUAAAUAGAUUUUAUUUAUUUAUUAAAGAUGGCAUGAAUGAUGUUAAGUCCAUAUAAGUUGUUUACUAAUUCAUUUCAAUCGAAAUGGAAACUAGAUUAAUUACUAAAAUGCCCUUACAUAAAUAAAUUAUUUUGACACUAAUUAAUUUAAUUAAAUUUAUAUAAUAGAAUUAUCUAUAUAAAAAUAUAUAAAUAGGUUUUAUUUAUUUAUUAAAAGAUGGCAUAAUGAGUAGGGGUGGGUUCAAAAAACCGAAAACCGAAAAAACCGAAAACCAAACCGAACCGAAACCGAAAAAACCGAACCGAACAAAAAAACCGAACCGAAUUGAAAAAACCGAACCGAACCGAAUUCUUUUGGUUCGGUUCGGUUUUAGUGAUCUAGAAACCGAACCAAACCGAACCGAACCGAAUUAAUUAAAUUAAUUUUUUUAUUUAAUUAUUUGUUUUGGAUAUUAUUUUCUAAACCCAAUUUGUAAGUUAAAAUAUGCUAAACCCAAUGUGUUGCCAAACUUUAAGCUCAAAAUAUUAAAAAAAAAUCCUAUAAAAACUUUAAACCCUAACCUAUUAUUUAUCCCCCAUAUAAGGUUCCGGAGCCAAACCUCAUCCUGAAGUACCUACAUCCAUCUCCAUAGCACUGUCUACUUUUGUCUCAGCUUUCUUUUCCAAAUCUACUCUCAUAUAACAUGUAACAGAAUCUAUAAACAUUUAUUUCGGGUAGAUUACUUAGGGAAUUUGUGAUGGAAAAGAAUCCAACACACACUAAAUAAAUCCACCCACGCAUUUCUUUUACUAAUCAAGUUGUCAACAUGCAGUUACAAGCAAACAACCCUGAUCUUUGAACAACAUCAUACAAUUUAACUUUUCUAAGUCAUUUGUACGAUUUUUGUGUUGUGAUGUUGUUAGUUUGGACUUUGGAAGACUUGAUUGAUGAUUUUAGUUCAACUUUAAAUGUUUAUUUUCAUUGUCUUUGAUUAUAGUUAGAAUGCUUGUGUUAUGAUUGUGUUGGAUACGUUAAAAUUUAAAAUUUCAAUGUUUUUCAUUUUUUGAAAGAAAAAAAAAACAAAAAACCGAAACCGAACCGAAACCGAACCGAAAAAAAACGAACCGAAAAAAAACCGAACCGAAAAAAACCGAAAAAAAAAUGAACCGAACCGAACCGAACCGAAAUUUCGGUUUGGUUUCGGUUUUGGCAAAAAACCGAACCGAAUUAAACCGAACCCACCCCUAAUAAUGAGUGUCAAAUGAAUGGCAAUAUUUAGAUAAUAAGAAACAUGUGAGUGCAUAAUAGGAAUAAAAGAUGCAUUCCCGAUUCCUUACCCUCAGGGAAUUCAAAUACCUCACAAAACUAGGGAAUCCGUUCCUCCAAUUUCAGGAAUUUGAUUCCUUGUUUUGUGUGGGCUCUAUCAUUUUUUUAUUCCUUAAUAUUUAAUAAAUACCGGAAUACUUUGUAAUCGGAAUUCAGUUUCGUUUCUUUAUUCCGAUUAGCCUUACGUAAAUGUGUCAUAAAACUAUUCAAUGAAAGAUUGCUGGAAACCACACCCAAUCGAAUGCAUCAGAAGCAAAAUAACUCCACUGUAUGACAAACUGACCAAAAUAAUAAAAUAAAGAAAAACGGAAUUCAUAAUCAAAUUGAAUUAAUUCCAGCAACUAGAUUUUGGUCUGGUGUUUCUGCUGCAUUAUUGGAAGAGGUCCCCAAUUUGGAUCCCUUCACCAGUUGAUGAAAUAAAUAAAUAAAAAUAAAUCAAUUUAAAAAGGAAAAAAAAAAGAAAAACAGCCACUAACUUGAUACGCGGAAGUGCCAACGCCAAAAACGAAGUUGGGAGGAAAGUCACUGCGACCAAGGAUUAAAAUAUUGAUAAUAUCGGUGAAAUAUCGCAGAUAUUAUCGUUUUUCAGAUAGAUCGAUAUUUUCCCACGUAUCCUCUAAUUAUCGUCAAAAUAUCACGAUAUUAUCAAUAAUAUCGAUAAUAUCGCGAUAUAUUCGAUAUUAUCGAAAAAAUCGUCGUGGCUCCGUCGUCGGAAAGGCAGCCGAGGCUGCGUCGUCGCAGCUGCCCAGAUCUCUCUCUGCAAUCCAAGCUCAGACCCAAGAUCUGCGCCUCCGUCGUCGGAAAUGAAAAAUCCAUUUUCUCCGGAUCCCAAAACCCGCUCGGGUUUGAAUCAAACCGUUUGAUGGAUCCCCUUGCCUGAUGGUGGUCGCCGGGAGGUGAGAAAGGGAGGAGGAACAACGACAUGGGUUUUGAUAGACUCACCCACUACACUCGAUCCUCCUGAGCCCAGCGUCAUAGAUGAUGAUCAGUUGGGUGGGUGGGUGGGGGUGGUUUCUCAGGUGGGGGUGCCAAGAUCUAGGGGAAGGGAGAGAUAACGGAGGAGGGGAGAGGGGGUCGAACAGGCGGAGAGUGAGCACUCGAUCCUCCUGAGCUCAGCGUCAUAGAUGAUGAUCAGUUGGGUGGAUGGGUGGGGGUGGUUUCUCAGGUGGGGGUGCCGAGAUCUAGCGGAAGGGAGGGAUAACGGAGGAGGGCGGAGGGGGUCAGACAGGCGGAGAGUGAGGAAUUUGAGAGAAUAUGGAUGGAGAGAGAGAGAGGGAGAGGCGACUAAAAGGCAAAGUGGGAAUAAAAAGGGAAAGAGUCUGAGGGCAAUAGGGAUUUUGAUAGGUUAUGAAGAAAGAUGAUGGGUUGGGAUUUUUUGCAUUUUUGGGAAUUAAGUGGGACUCUUUCUUUGCAAUUUUCUUAAUGCCCAUUUUGCAUUUUGAAAAUAAAAUAAAAUAAAAUAUUGUUUUCGAUCACAAUUUUACAUAAUUUAAGAGCAUCUUCAAUAUAAAUUUUAAAUAAAACCCCCACAAACAUAUAAUUCUUAAAUAAAAAAAAUAAAGGGUAAUAAGUCACUCAUGUAUCUUACCUUGCAAUGUAUAAAGUGUAAAAUAUUGUACUAAUUCAUUAUAUAUAAAUGAUUAUGGUGUGUUUAGACUUCUUUUAUUAAUUACUACAUAUUUUCUACACUCACAAUGUUUGUCAGCUCGUUAUAUAAUCAACUUGAUAAUGUUAAAUCCAUCAUGCAAUGCAUUUCCUUCCAAUUUUUUGUGAUAAACUAAUAGAUAAUUGACUAAAUAAACAUCCUGCAAAGUUUCAAUAAAAAUUUCCAAGUUUUUCUUACAAUUUUCGUGGUUUCCAUGUAAUUUUUAUCGAUAUCGAUAUUAUCCCGAUAUUUCCAUCGAUAUUUCCGUGUUUUCGGACUACCGAUAUUUCCGAUAUUACCGAUAUUUUCUUCCUUGACUGCGACAGACUUCAUGAGUUUCUUCAUCAUAUUCCUUCAUAUUCCUUCAACAAGCCCUUCUUUGCCAUUCCUACUCCUACUUAGAGCAGCCAAGAAAGUAAGGAAAAUACUUGAUUUAGGGUUUAUGCAUAUCGGAACCAAAGGACUGCGUUGGACCUGGACUAUGGUUACUGCAAAAAUUUAUUUUUAAACAAAGACCUACACAUCCAGAAACCAAAUAGUAGGUGAGUCGCCAGAAAGAGAAUAUAAAAUGGGGAAAGCGUCACCGCCAGUCAUUGUAGCCUUUCUAAAAAGACGAUACCUGCCCACCCACUCACACAAUUUAACAUAGUUAAAUCCUUUGUUUCCAGCAAUCUUUCAUUGAAUGGUUGGAUCCUUUGCUUACAUCACUUUUCUGUCCACCCAUUAUCUAGUGUUCACCCACUCACGCUUAAUUGAGGAUUCCAUUUCUUUCUCCAUAAAGGCAGAAGGAGGAAAGAACGCGGGAGGAACAACACUACGCCGGAAAACAACACAGCAGCAACAAGAAAUAUCUCUCCUUCUCAGACCACUCCCCACCAUCCUUUUCUUGUACCUUAUGUACAGUCUCUAGGUCAUCUUCAUUGUAUUUUAUAAAUCUCCCGUGCAUAGUGAAAUCCAAAUGCAUAUGCAACUCUAGUGGACGUAGCCGAAUUGAUGAGCCACUUAAAUUCGGUAUGUCAUUGUGUUUUACUAGAUUUAUUCUACUCUCUGCCUCUAUCCUCUCCCAGCAAGAACUAUGAAAAUACACCACCAAUCAACCAAAAAAAUAGCUACGCAUGUGCAAGUAGAUUAGACAUGAAUCACAAAGCAAAGGGGGAAGAAAGUAUUUGAAAGCAAAAGAACCAACACAAACAUAUCUAAUUCCUUCCAAUGGAUUCUUCUUGUCUUCCCGUUGCUUAUCAAGCUCAUCAUGGCCAACCUAAUUCCUUACAUAUUUAUUCAUCAACUUAAUCUCAUCUCUCACAUAUCAAGUUUCUACAAAACAAAACCACAAACUCACGUAUCGUCAUAAAAUGCCAAACUACAUAUUCAACACCACCAAAAGCUGCAUUGUCAGCAAGAAGCUCGCAGUGUCGGGACGCCAACCUGCAACGACAACGUUGCCUGUGGCCAGUCAACCUGUCACAUCCAGUCCGCAUAGUAAGAUAUUAUCCAUUUUGGGCCACAUCCUGAUUUGUUCUUGGACUUCCACGCAAAACGCAUCUCACUAUAGGGAGGUGGGCAUGUAUGUUAAGGCACAUUAUCCCCUCUACCCCGGGCGAUGUAGGAUCUUACAAUCCACCCCCCUCAGGGGCCCGACGUCUUUGUCGGCACACUUCCGGCCAGGGACUACCAAAUUGUCACAUCCCAGUCCGCAUAGUAAGAUAUUGUCCGCUUUAGGCCACACGCUCAUGGAUUUGUUCUUGGGCUUCCGCCCAAAACACGUCUCACUAUAGGGAGGUGGACAUGUACAUAUAAGGCACAUUACCCUCUCUCCUCCGUGCGAUGUGGGAUCUUACACAACCUCAUCCCAAUGAGAGACAUGGCGGACGUUGACGAUGUUGAGGUUAAGACUUGUACAACCGAGCAAGCUAUAUUCCAACAGAAUUGCUCUACGGAACCCAAAUGGGGUUAUGCAUCAAUAUCGCCUAAACGAAGAUGGAGUACAAUGGUAAAGUAAUAUUUCUCAAUUAUAUUGUUGUGUGUUAUCAAAUACGUUAUUAUUGAUAAUAUAAUACCAUUUUUGCUACUAACUAUUUUGAUUAGUUUUGCAGAUUGUUUGAUUAUUAUAGAGCAUGCGAUUAGUGAUCAUAUCCAUAUUACUUUGCAUAUUCAUAAGCAUGCAAAGCAAGAAAAAAAAAGUUGUGUUGUGUCAAGUACUCACUUGUGUAAAGUGUUUGAGUGGUGAAGAUAUUCAAGGGAUGGCAUUGAAUAUAAAAUAAUAAAAUAUUGUAUAUGUUAGGGGUCGGGGAAAGGAUUUGAAUAUACAAUUGGGCGUCAGUGGAAGUGCAUAUAUAGUAAAAUGGAAAAACUGAGAAUUUAAUUAUGAAAAUUGGGCUUAAGGGAUGAACGGGAGUUAACUCAUAUUCUAAUGUAUUUGGAGCCAAGUGGUAUAAGCAUGAUAUGGGACGUGCAUGCUUGGGUGCUUUAGAUAUGUGUUAGUGGGAUUAGAUGGAAGUGAGUACAUUAAUCCAUCUCAUUUGCAUUAUUUCAUGCAUUUGAAAGAAUUGUUAUAAUUUAAUUAUUAUUUUGUUAGUAGUUUUGGUUGUAAAGUAACUUGUGCACUAAUUUUAUUCCAUUGCAUAUUCAAUAAAUUUUAUGUAGUAAACUCAAUAUUUUUAUCUUGUAAAUAUUAUUACUCAGUAUUAUACAAUGUAUUGUGUAAUUGUUACAGAUUACUUUAUUUUAUUUUCCACCAUAUCUUGGUUGUAUAAUUUAUUUCUAUAGCUAAUAGAUAUGACUCACAUCCUAAAUCCUUGCCAGCAUUUACUUCUAACUCUAACAUUACAAAUUACAGGUCCUAAACCAGCUCCCUCCCUUCAUAUUUGUAAACGCCAAAUUAGUGAACCUGUGUAAUAAGUUAUAAAAAUAAGUGAACCAGUACCUAUUCUAUCAUUAGUGAACGUAUAUCCCUAUAAUUAGUCAACCUGUGGGCUAGAGCUGUAUCCCCAAUUAAGGUAAUUGGAUAUGCGGUUUUAAAUGGUUUUGAUUGUGAAAGUGCGUUUUUUUUUUUUUUUUAUGAUUUACUUUUCUGCUUUAGUUGGUGAACCUAAGCACAUGAAACUUCCUUGUUAGUGAACCUAUCAUCGUCAAUGGCCCUGUCAGCGUGGUCUACUAAGUAACACUUUUAUGCAUUGUUUAUUCCUUACUCUAAGCUUGAUGCAAGUUAGGUUAGACCAUUGUCGACAUUUUGCCGUGUUAUAUUGAGGAUGAGGAAUCAAAUCAGAAUAUUUCAUAAAGAUGUGCAUGACGUCAUUUUUGGAGUUAUUUAAACCAUAUUACAAAGGGAUGUCAUCGAAAUACCAUAAGAGAUCAAGUUUACUCAACAGUCAACACUUGAUCUUGAUGAACAGACCCAUUUUCGCUAGUCCCCCAAUAAGAGUACCAAAGGAACACAAAUUAGGAGAGUGAAACAUGCUAACCAAAGCAAACCAAAACUUUCAUAUAUGAUACCUCUAAUCAAGUCCCCAAGCACACUAACAACAAAGUCUAAAUAUACUAAUACAAUCACGAUGCAUACAAUGUCUCAAUAGCUUAUAAACAGUGAAAGUCAAAUGGGGUAAACAAAGAGACAAAGUACUCAAAAUCAAGAGCAUUAAGAUCGUGUAACCGUGCAUAAAUUUAAAACAACAAUUUAGAUUUCUAAAUGGGCUUAAAUGUCAACAUAGUCCCUAUGUUUUACUUUAUUGGCCAAUUUAGACCCUGUGUUUUCAAUUCAACCAAAUUGGUCCCUAUGUUUAUAUAUGUUAGCCAAUUCAAGGUAAUCCGUUAAAAGACUGUUAAAAUUGACAUGUGCCAGACACAUGAGAGGACAAAAAUAUAAUUUUAUUGUACACCCACUAAACAGAUACAAUGCAUAUCUUUAAGAAUUGAUGCUUCGUUCGUUCAGUUCACUUGAUUACUAUGUGAUUUAGGGUUUCAACAUCCGUCAGGUCAGAAGUUGUGGGGUUGCCAACUGAGAUUUUGGUGAAUACUCCAGAGAAGAUGACAAGUCGACGAAUUGAACCAAACAACCAAGGUGACGAUCGCGGCUUUCAAUAUUGUUGAGACAAGGCCAAGUACAACCCCAACUUCUUUGCAAGCUAGGUUUCCAUUGCCUCAAGUAGUCCCAGGCUCUAGUAUAUACAUGCCUAGAAUAUCCAGGCUAAGCAUACAAACUAUGCCUUCAACUUCAAGUACGUAUGGAACUUCACAUUCAUGGAAACCACCUGGCAAAGCUGUUCAUACAACGAACGCAACUACAAGUUCGAAGAAAAAUAAUAUUUGAUUAUAGUUUGAGUUGUUUUAGUUUUUCUUUGGCAGUAGGGAUUCUGUUAAGUUUUAUCUAUGUGACGAAAAAAGACCAUGUAGUACUUGUUUUUGGUGGAGUUCAAAGCAACUUCAUUUUAUAUUGUUUGGAAUUAAAGCAUGGGUUUUAUUUUUUACGUUUACAAAAGCAUGAAAUUAGUUUUCUUUGUGAUCAUGCUAGAGUUCACUUUGAAGUUGCUUUUUGUUUUCGUUUGUGCAUAUAGGAAUAUACUUGUGAUCAAGUUUAUGUGUAGAUUUAAUUGGAACAAAUGUAGUCUCAUUUAUACUGAAAGCAAACAAUAGUCAACAAUAAUCUCAUAUUUAAAAUUUAAAUGAAUGAUUUUCUCUAUUUAUGUACUUGUGACCAAGUUUAGUGGUUGUAUAAUAAAAUUACAUUUUUGUCCUCUCAUGUGCCAAGCACAUGUCAAUUUUAACUUUCUUUUAACUAAUUGUCUUGAAUUGGCUAACGGAUAUAAACACAGGGACCAAUUUGGCCAAAUUGAAAACACAAAGACUAAAUUGGCCGAUAGAGUAAAACACAAGGACCAUGUUGACAUUUAAGCCUUCUAAAUAUAGCCUAAGGGUAUAUACUCGGAAAAAAAAAUACAAAACACAUCUUUAAAAUUAGGCUAACACUGUCACUAGUACUGCACUUGUAUGAAGGUUUUGGAUUCGAUUCUCACUAAAAGCAAAUUUAAACCACAUUAUUGCUAGCCUAUUGUGAGACUUAUCCCACUCUUCACCCUUUAGUAUAGAUAAUAUCGUUUGCUCAAAAAAAAAAAAGGCUAACACAUUAUCAUAAAAGUAAGAAAGCCAAUAGACCUGGAUUGAUAUGCAUAAACUUCAUGAUAAAUCUAAUAAUUGAUGACAAAUUAAAUUGGAUCUAUAUCUAAUUAUCUCGUGGUUAGGCGUGGAUUUAAGAUGGACCUUAUUUGAAGUAUAAUAGUGGUAAUUAAGAAUGCUUGAUCGUUCAAUUAACUAGCUAAGACGACAUAAUGCAACAUAGGGCACCAAUUUGCAGUGUAUAUAUAAAUUGUUCUAGUUGUUAUAUACAUACCAGCAGUACGUUAAAAAAAAAGGAUCCAAAGGACUAAUUAAAAUCGAAUUAUAUAUAUACUAAUUAAUUGAUUCAUUAGAUCUUAGACUUCAAGAAGCAGAGUUACAUAGAAAUCAAAGGGGAUUAGAAGUUGUCUAGGAAUCGCCUCGAUGAAAUAAUUGUGAAUGUGAUGAUGUGAGUCAACUCAAGCUCAAGAUAGCCUAGGCGGUAUAUGAAUGGGUGAUGCAUGGUUGACAUGAGGCAUUUCGUGUCAAUAGUACAAGGGCAAGUUGGGGUGGGGUCGGGAGGAACAAAGUGUUCGGCCGCACAGAACUCUAAAGUUUAAGAAAAGCUUUUGUUAUCUAAUAUAAAUUGCAACAUUAUAUUUGAAUAUGACUGAAGAAUAAAAUUACAUAGUUAAACACGAAAAAAAUAAAAGAGAAAUUCAAGACCUACACUUACCCCUUUAACAACUUUCCCAUUUUUCGGAAAAAAAAAAAGAAAAAAACUUUUCCACUUUUUUUUUUAUUUUUUUAACAAUUUAAUAAUACUUUAGUGGGCCUUACAAUUAUAAUUUAAUUGAUAAUUUUGCACCAAAAAAUGUACGGAUAUUCAUCUUUAAGUGAAACUUUAAUGUUGUACUUUUUGCAGGUUUUGUUUAUUUGGUCUUUUAAGAUUGAACUGAUUGUUGAUUAUUUAGUAAUGAUUAUUUUUGUAGCUUUCUUUACUUAUUAUGUAAUGAAAUUUGGAAACUCAUAAUUAGCAUGAGUUUUAAAGUUUGUUUGAGUUUUAAUUAUUGCUCUAUGGUAUCAAUAUAAUAAAUAUAUUUUCUGUCAAUAUACUGUAUCCCCACUUUGCGUCUAAGAAAACCUGCGGGUGGUGUGCCCAACGAAGCAGACCUUUUCUGUUUAAUGGAAGUAAUUUUAAUCUUUUGUGUGCUAGCGUUAAGGUAGACCUUUUCUAUUUAAUGGAAACCAAAAUAGAUGCAGAGAAAGUCCAGGUAAACUUUUAUGGAAGGUUUUUUUUUAUAAGAUGUUUAGUUGUAGCCCUACUGGUAGGGCUGGUGGUCUUUGUUUAGUUUGGAACUCGUGCAAAGUUGUAGUUGCUGUUAUCACUUCUACUUCUCGUUAUUUGCAUUGUUUAGUGAAUGAUCCUUGUUCUAAUCAAGAUCAGUUUUUGUACUUUUGUGUAUGCUUUUCCUAAAAAACAGUUACAAUUGGAAUUGUGGAAGGAUAUUCUUAAACUAGACCCUAAGAAUAAACCAUGGUGUUUAAUGGGGGAUUUCAAUAAUAUAUUAGACAUAACUGAGAAGAAAGGUGGUUGCCAAGCUACAACUUCAUAUAUGACCAGGUUCAUCAAUUUUUCAAACAGAGGAAACCUUUUAUCUCUAAAUGCUUAUGGUGUCCCUUUUACUUGGUGUAAUAACCAAGUUGAUAUCAACAGAAUUUAUGAGAGACUUGAUAGGCUUUAGCUAAUACCAGUGGUGGAUCCAGGAAUCUUACCCCAAGGGGUCGCAGUGUAAAAGUUCAAAUAAAAAUUUAGGAUGGAAAAACAUAUUGAAAAUGAAAUCAUAGUACUUUCAUUCAUAAUUCAUAAUGGAAACAAUAUUACAAACUAUAAUUGUCCACGACGAGGUUUCAUAUUUUGAAAACGAAGCAUUAUAGCUUCAUUUUCAAUACAAGCAAAAAUAUCUCUCUCAAUAUAAACAAGCAAGCUAUCACUCAACCAUUGAUCUCCCAUUUUGUUCCUAAGUGGACCCUUAACAAUAUUCAUAACAGAAAAUGCUCUCUCCACUGAAGCAGUUGCAACUGGUAAAACUAAAGACAAUGAAAUGAGCAAAUAUACAUAAUUGAAUACUUGAUGCAUUCUUGUCUCCACCAUUUUUUUUUGCAAGAUCACCAAUCCCUUCCAAUUGAGAGAAAUCACUACUGGAACACACAUAAUGAAUAUAAAUCUCAAGUUGAUCUUCAAGUGCCAAACGAUCUUCAUCCGAAAAGUCUUGAGGAUAAAAUUGAGCAAGACGAAGUAACUUUGGUUUAUCAAAAGCUACAAAUGAAUCUUUCGGACUCAAACAUGCCAUACAAAUAAGCAACUCGGUAUUUACCUCAUUAAAGCGAUCCUCUAACUCCGUAAUUUGCUCAUCAAUGACAUAAAUAAAGAGCUCCACACGAUAAUGAUGACGAUUUGUCUUUAUUGGAGCAUAACGCCUUGACCUCCCUGGAAGUAUAAAUGCAUCUUCCAUGUUAGGAACAUCAAUAUGAUGUUUUUCACAAAAAGAAGAUACUUCAUCAACCAAUGCAUCGAACCCAUUAUUCCUCAUCCAAUAUAGCUUUUCCUUGCAUGAUUUCACUAAAGCCAUUGCAUUCACAAUUUCUUGAUCUUUCCUUUGCAAUGCUUAUGACAAAUCAUUUGUGAGUCCCAAUAUGACUUUCAUCAAGAAAAGGUGAAACACAAACUCAAAAGUAAGUAUCACUCUCAUUAACGUAUUUGCUUCACCCGCACUUUCAUUGGGAUUAUCAUCAAUAACCAUUUGAAGCACAUGAACCACGGAUGAAAACAUAGAAAUGAUGCUAAUCAAGGUACCAUAGUGUGAGUUCCAUCGUGUGUCACCGGCACGUUUGAGACUUGUUUCUUGAUUUAAGCCUCGCCCCGUUAUAAGACAAUCAUUUUCAAAAGCUAUCACAAGCUCUUCUUGAAGUUGCCCUCUAAGUGAAUCACGCCGCUUACAAGAUACUCCAACAUGAUUAACCACAUUAUUAGCCGUUGCAAAAAAAGAGGCAAUGUCUAUAUUAUUCUUUGCUACGGCAACAAGAGCUAGUUGAAGUUGAUGAGCAAAGCAAUGAACAUAAUAUGCACAAGGUUGUUCUCUCAAUAUCUUUGUUUUAAGGCCAUUCAACUCACCUCUCAUAUUGCUAGCACCAUCAUAACCUUGUCCUCGUAGCUUGGAAAUGCUCAAACCGUAGCGAGAAAACAAUGUGUCAAUAGCAUCCUUUAGUGAACUUGAAGUAGUGUCGGUAACAUGUUGGAUACCCACAAAUCUUUCAAUUACAUGCCCGUUGUCAUCCACAUAACGCAACACCAUAGCCAUUUGCUCUUUCACAGACACAUCACGUGCUUCAUCCACCAAUAUUGAAAAGAAUCUAUCUUUUAGACCAUCCAUGAUAGCAUCAAGUGUUUCAAGGGCACAUGAAUUCACAAUUUCUUUUUGAAUGGAAGGAGCUAGUAAUUUGAGAUUCCCCGGAGCAUUUUCCAUCACAACUUCUCUAACUUUAUCAUUAUUAUAUGCAAGAAAUUGCAAUAACUCCAAGUAAUUUCCCCUAUUGCUUGAAGUGGCACUUUCAUCAUGGCCACGAAAAGGAAGACCUUGUCGCAAUAAAAACUUAGUGCACUUGAUUGAAGCAAUCAAGCAUGUGCGAUAAGCCUUACGAGCUUGGUCAGAGUGUUUGCUCACUGCCGUUUCAAUAUGUGUAGCUUGAUUCAUCAAAUUUGUAGCAGCUUCUCUAGCCUUAUUAUGAACACUCCCAACCGGUCCAACAUGCAUCUUAAAUCUUUCUCUCCCUUUCUUCCAAUUCUUAAAUCCAUCUCCAGUGAAAGCUUCACUACCCACUUGUUCAAAAUUGGUUUUAAAGAGAUAGCAAUAGAGACAAAAUGCCGCAUCUUUAGAUACACUAUACUCCAACCAAUCAAACUCAUCAAACCAUUGGGGAAUGAAGCGUCGAUUAAUUCCCGACAUAUUAGUUAUUGGGAAAUUAUGACCUCUAGGUUGACAAGGUCCUUUUUGUAGAUAUAAUCUUCAGACUUUAUCUCUCAUAUUAGCGUCAUAAUCUAUUAUUCGAGUUCUUAAUCCAGGAUCCGCUUGAAGAUUACCCAAAACAUCAUCUAACUGACUUUGUCUUGAACUUGGAGUUCUUGAACUACCGACAGUAUUUGAACUAUCAACAUUAUUCGAACUACCCGAACCCGAUGAUGACUUUCUCUUAAAAAACCGUUCCAUAAUAAUGCUACAUAUACAAAAUAUUCAAAAUAAAUACUCACAAUAUAAACAAACCAUAAAUAUAAUCAAAAUAAAUAUGAAUUGGAUUUCAAUUAAAUUAAAUAUCUCAUCUUGCAUUCUACAUAUACAAAAUAAUGAAAAUAAAAACUCACAAUAUAAACAAACCAUCAAUAUAAUCAAAAUAAAUAUGAAUUGAAUUUCAAUUAAAUUAAAUAUAUUCUACAUAUACAAAAUAUUCAAAAUAAAUACUCACAAUAUAAACAAACCAUAAACAUAAUCAAAAUAAAUAUGAAUUGGAUUUCAAUUAAAUUAAAUAUCUCAUCUUGCAUUCUACAUAUACAAAAUAAUGAAAAUAAAAAAUCACAAUAUAAACAAACCAUCAAUAUAAUCAAAAUAAAUACUCACAAUAUAAACAAAGGGAGGAGAUGGAGUUGGAGCCGCUAGCAGGGGAGUAGCAAGGGAGGAGAUGGAGUUGAGGGUUUGGGGGCAGCAGCAGCAAGGGAGGAGAGGAGUUGAGGGUUUGGGGGGAUUGAGUUAGGGUUGGAGGAAAAGAAAUUGGGGCUUUUGAUUGUAUAGAAGUCGGGUAGGAAGGCUGGGAUUGGGGGGGGACACGGUGGGAAUUUCUUUUUUUUUUUUGUUUGUUCGGCCUGGCCCAAAACGACGCCGUUUUGGCCAGGUCAUUUAAAAAAAUUUCCUGGGCCAAAACGACGCCGUUUUGCCCGUCUGUUUUGAAAAAAAAGAAGCGCGCGCGAGCGCUGCUUCUUCUUCCUCUUCCUGCCGAGUCUUGGUUCAGGAUUUUUGUCGAACAAUUGGCGUGCGAGUCCGACCCCGACGACCCCGACGACCCCAGCUCCAAGAGGUCGCAUAUGGGAGCUUCAAGGUUGUUUCCAUGGUUUCCAAGGGGUCGUGCGACCCCGACGACCCCACUGUGGAUCCGCCACUGGCUAAUACAUAUUGGUUAAAUGAGAACUCGAACUAUAACCUACAUAACUACCGAAUUUAUGGGUCUGACCAUGGACCUAUUCUCUUAACCUACAACUUAAAAAAUUGUUAUAAGAAUAGAUUUGAAGGCUGAAGCUAUGCGAUUUCUUCAUCCUGAUUUUAAGGAUUUUGUUAAAGAAUGCCUGGUGGUGAAAUGGAGUGUUUGGCCCUAUUGAAACUUUUAAGGCAUGUGUUGGGACUUUUAAAUAUAUGGUUAAGGUUUGGAAUAAAACAACUUUGGUAAUUUAAGGGAAUGUAAGAAAAAAAUCCUUGGAGACCUUACUUUGGUGCAAGAAACCAUCAUGAAAAACCAAAAUGUUGAUUCAGAGAUUGGUUUAGAAUUAAAGCUUAGUGAGGAACUUAAUUCAAUUCUAAGACAAGAAGAAGUCAUGUGGGCGCAGAAAGCUAAAGUCAAUUGGCUGCAAUUAGGUGAUAAUAACACAAGGUAUUUCCAAAUGCUGGCAACUGUUCGAAAAAAAAAAGAGAAAUGAAAUUAGAAAGAUUAAGGAUAGUUGUGGGUUUUGUUGGAAUGAGGGUGAGGGUCUAGAACAAGUUUUUGUGCAUGACUUUAAACUGCACUUUUCUUGUGAUAGUCCCCCUGUUCUCAUAGAUAUCUCUUCAAUUGCAGAUAUUAUUGAUCCUUGUAUUCACAACCAUCACAAUGAACUUUUACUCAAGCCUGUUGAAGAUAUAGAAAUUUGGGAUGUAGUUAAAAGUAUUGGUGCGUUGAAAGCACCAGGUCCUGAUGGAAUUGGUGCAAGUUUUUUUCAUGAAUACUAAGAUACAAUCAAAGAUUCGGUGAGUGCUAUGGUUAAGAACUUCUUUGAAAAUAGUACUACCUUGAGCCUUAUUAAUCAUAUCAACAUUGCCCUCAUCCCAAAAGUGGAAAAUCCAGAGGUGGUAAGUAAUUAUAGACCAAUUAGUCUUUGGAAUGUGAGCUAUAAAAUAAUCACGAAAAUCAUCAUUAAACGGUUAAAGCCACUUCUCGACUAUUGCAUAUCUGGAAACCAAGGGGCCUUUGCUCCGGGACGUUCUAUUCAUGAUAAUAUUUUGAUUGUGCAUGAAAUGUUUUCUAGUUUUAAAGGUAAGAAAGGACGGAUUGGAACAAUAGGAAUAAAGCUGGAUUUAGAAAAAGCAUAUGAUUAUCUUAAUUGGGAGUAUAUCAUGUAUGUGCUUCUUAGAUUUGAUUAUGCGGAAAGAUGGGUGAGUUUAAUUAUGGAAUGCAUUACUUCAACUUCCUUCUCGGUUUUGAUUAAUGGUUCUACUCAUGGUUACUUUUAUCCUAAGGCCAUCUUUAACCGAAGGGUCCAGAGGGCCAGAGGGUCGAAAAUAACCCUAAAACUGUCUCCAACCGAGGGCUAGGCCAGAGGGCUCUGGAAUCUGGGAGGGCCCCACGGGAUCGGAGAGGGCUGGAAGGCUGGAGGGCUGGCUGCUUUCGGCCAGCCAGCCAGCCCUGGGCUGGCUAUUUUUUUUUUUUAAUGUUUUCCUAUUGCUGUCGGUUAUAACCGACAGCAUUAAAGAAGAAUUUUUAAUACUGUCGGUUAUAACCGACAAUAAUAGUUAUUCAAAGGCAAAAUUUUUAUUUUUAAUUACUAUUAGUGUCGGUUAUAACCGACACUAAUAGUUUGAAUUUUUUUUAAUAUAACGGCUAGUAGCCGUUGUAUUAACUUUUUUUUUAUAUAUAUAUAUGAAUUUAAACUUCUUUUUUCCCUUUUUUUUCCUUUUCAUAUGAAUCAAAUUUUGUUUCAUAUUUUUUUUCAAUUCUAUUUUACAAAAUUUGUUUCAAUUUUUUUUUAAAUUCUAUUUUUUUUCCUAUAACUUCUAUUUUACAAAAUUUGUUUCAUAUUUUUUUUUAAAUUCCAUUUUUUUCCUAUAACUUCUAUUUCACAAAAUUUGUUUCAAUUUUUUUUAAAUUCUAUUUUUUUUUCCUAUAACUUCUAUUUUACAAAAUUUGAUUCAUAUAUAUUUUUUUUUCAUAUAACUUCUAUUUUACAAAAUUUGUUUCAUAUUUUUUUAAAUUCCAUUUUUUUUCCUAUAACUUCUAUUUCACAAAAUUUGUUUCAUAUUUUUUUUCAAUUCUAUUUUUUUUCCUAUAACUUCCUAGGCCAUUUAUACAACAUUAAAUUAAAUUAAGUAACAUGAAACAACAUUAAACAAUAUGAAACAACAUUAAAUAACAUUAACCAACAUACAAAUUAUACAACAUAAAAAAACAUUUAGCCGUUAGAUUUGAAUUUAAAUUGUAGUUUUUAAAUAAUAAAUUAUGUUUGGCCCUCGGUUGGAGACAGUUUUUUGUGACAGUGCUAAAACGAGCCCUCUGGCCCUUUGGCCCUCGGUUGGAGACGGAGGCCAAUAUGGCCAUGUACUGUUCAUUAAAAUAUUAAUAUCUUGGGGAAUCUUGGAGGGCCAGAGGGCUAAAACGAGCCCUCUGGCCAGCCUUCGGUUAGAGAUGGCCUAAGAAUGGAAUUAGGCAAGGGGAUCCUUUAUCACCUUAUAUUUUCAUUCUUUGUAUGGAACCGUUGAUUAGACAUUUUAAUGAAAUGGCUACUACCUCUAAAUCGCAUGUUGGUAUUUUGUCCUCUCCUGGUGGAUUUAGAAUAUUAAAUCUAGUUUUUGUAGACGAUUGUUUGUUAUUUGCUAGGGCAACUACAAAAGGUGCUAGGAAUGUACUUCAUGUUCUUAAUAUGUUUGCCAAAGCUUCAGGUCAAAAGGUAAAUUUCCACAAAUCCUCGCUUUAUUUUUCAGAAAAUACUAAUGCUCAAACUAGAAAUGCUAUUGUGAAUGUUUUACAUAUUCAACAUAAAACUACCAUUGGCAAAUAUCUGGGCAUUCAUAAUAUUGUGUUUUGGAAAGAUCCAGUGAAUUAAUGUGAAUUAAUCAAAAGAGUCAAGCAAAAGCUUGUUGGGUGGAAGGCUAAUACUCUCUCUAAGGCAUGAAGACUAACCUUCAUUAAGUCCAACUUAUCUAGUAUGCCGAACCAUAUCAUAACUUGCUUUAAAUGUCCUACUCGAGUAACUAAGAACUUAAACAAGGAGUGUAGAGACUUCUUUUGGGGGAGAGAUAGGAAGUUAAAACCUAUGGCUUGGAAAAGAAUGUGUACUUCUAAGGAUCCACAAGGGGGGUGGGGGGGGGGUUCGGCAUAAGAAGAGUGGAUCAUUUCAAUAAUGCAUACUUGUCUAAGUUAGGGUAGAAAGUUUUGAAGGAUGAAAACAAUUGGUGGGUGCAAAUUGUUAAAAGAAAGUACUUAAAGAAAAAUGAUUUUUUUAGUUGCAAAGUCAAGCAGAACCACUCUUUGGCCUGGAAAGAGAUUUUGAAUAGUAGACAUGUUAUUCACAAGGGAAUUAGAUGGGUUGUGGGUAAUGGUGAGGAUAUUCUUUUUUGGACCCAUCAUUGGGUUUUUCCUUAUCCAUUGUUCAGCUAAUUCCUGAAAAUUAAUGACAGAACAUAAAUUGGGACACUAAAGUGAGUGAUUUUAUUGAUAGUAAAAGUUAGGAUAGAGUUCGUCUCUCCCAAGUGUUGGACCUGGAUGUUGUGAGGAAAAUUUGUCUGGUGCCUAUUUCCCUUCAAAAUAAAAGGGACAAUUUCGUGUGGGAACACUCCUCUAAUGGUGAGUUCUCAAUCAAGUCGGUGACUUGGAAUCAAAGUAAUAAUAAUCCAGAAGUUAAAAGGCAGAAGCUCCUUAAGAAGAUAUGGAAGUUAAUGAUACCUCUGAAGGUAAAAAAUUUUGCAUGACUUUUUACUCAUGAAAAACUGCAUACAGGAUGAGAUUGAGUAAAUUUAUUCAAAAUAUUGACAAAUUGUGCCCUAUGUGUGGCAAUGAGGAUGAGACUCAAAAUCACAUUUUUCUUAAUUGCGAGCAUGUUAAAGAAAUGUGGAACCUCUCUCUGGUAAGUCCUUGGAAGAAUAAUUUGACUCAGUUUAAUAAUGUGUUAGAUUGGAUGGAACUAAUUGACAAUGUUGAAUGCAAUGAUUUGAGUGAUCUUAGUAAAGCGAUUUUGAAUUGUUGGCAAAUAUGGAAUGAUAGAAAUAAUAAAGUUUUUAGAAGUAUGAUUCCUAAUCCGACUAGGAGUGUCUCCAUUGCCGCAAGUGUAGGCUUAUCUUUUUUUAAGGUUAGUAGUAAGAAGAUCUCUAGGGAUGAUCCUUGCCACCAACACCCCAUUUGUUGGCAUCCUCCUCCCUAUGGCUAUGUGAAAUUAAUCUUUGAUGGGUCGAUUAGUUUAGAUCGUUCUGCAACUGCUUUUGUUCUUAGAAAUGAGGAAGGGCAACCUGUUGGUGGGCAUUGAACCUUGAUGGUACCACCAUUUCGAUUGUGGAGGCCGUUGCUUUAAAGGAAGGGCUUUUUUCGCUAGGCAAACAUGUGUGAAGAAACUGAUGGUGGAAGGGGAUUCUAAGCUUGUUAUCCAAGUGGUGCAAGAUGUUUGGAUCCCCCUGGCCUCUUAAGACUAUCAUAGAGGACAUCAAAUGGUUGACUUCUAAAUUUCAACAUAUCAUUUAGAAGCAUAUUUAUAGGGAGGCUAAUUUCGUGGCAGACGCAUUAGCUAAUGUGGGCCUCACUGUUGCCAACCCAUAUUUUUUGGGAUUUUUGUCUUCUGAAUUCGGCUAUGGAGUCUUUUAAUUUUGAUUGUAUGGGAAAUGAUUGUAUUAGAGGUUUUAAGCUUUAAUAAAUUUCUUCUUCAUAAAAAAUAAAAAAAAUAUAAUAAAUAUUGUAAAAAAAAUUAAAAUUGGAAGACUAUCUUAACUUGCGAAAUUUCAAAGACGGCCGUUUCUUAAUUGUUACCACAUAUUCUACUUUUGUUAUUGGGUUAGCCAUACACUUUACAUGUUUCUAACGAUUCAUAUGACAUCAUCAAAUAAUACAAGUCUUGGAUAAGAAUAUACAAUGCACUAGAACGCCCUUGUUGGCGAUCCUUGCAUUAAAUGAACGGAAUGUCACCAUGUAGAUUUACCUAUGCCAUACAAGUCCCUUCUUAAGAUAAGGGGGCAAAUGGAUCUAUUUCGAGAGAAAUAUUAGAGAGAUGAGGUUAUAUCAUCUCCUUAAUAAAGAUGAAAUCAACUUGCACUGUGAGCCCUAUUUUUAUUUCGAAAAUAAUGUAAUGUGGUCCACCAAAAUAUAAUCCCUCUAACAUUUGCAGCUUGCACGACUAUUUUUUUUCAAAUAUGUAUUUUUCUAGUGGAGGAAAGAGGCAAACCAUAUCACUCUAAAACAGUCUCGAGAGCGAACCGAUUUUCAUCGGCAAAAUUUGAAAACGAUCGCUGUAUUACAAGCAUCCACAAAUUCUCAACCCUCAAGCAAGAAGCUGCUCCAAGUGUCGCCUUCGACAAAACAUGAAUAAACUAAUCGGUAGUGACAUGCUGUAUAUAAAUAAGAAAAAACUAUUCUCCCGCAUUUGUGAACAGCUCGGUUCAACUUCUACUUCCACAGGCAACAGCUUCUUCCUCCACACUGUUGUAAAACAAGCUCAAUUUACUUAUCGCAACAGCCUCUCCAAAUAGUGAUGUUCUUGUUGAUUUCAAUAUACGAACUUCAACAUAAUCACCCACUACGGGAUUCCUUUCCUCAUUUGAACCAGCAUCUCGAUGUGGUAACAGCACGUUAACAAAAGAAACUCUAUGACCUCUAUCACUUUUGCCCAUGAGUUCUGUAUCUGGAGCUUUCUUAUUAGGUCCUUCUACUAAGACAAGUUGGGUAGUUCCCACCUGUGAGUCGUAGCACUGACCUGUGCUCUUAUGGAAAGCCUUGAUAAGUUCCGCCAGCCUCCUCUGCUUCACAUCCUCUGGAACAUCAUCAUCGUAGUUUCUAUUUGCAUGGGUUUUAUCCCUCAUGCUAUAUGCAAAAAUGUAAGCCAUAUCGUAGCCAACAGCCUUUACAAGGCUCAGUGUGUCGUCAUGGUCCUCCUCUGUUUCCCCACAAAACCCUGUAAUAAGGAACAAACAUGUCAGUAGGGAAUACAAUACGUUUAAAGAGAAACGAGAUAUUGUAAGCUUCCAAUUAUCUGGUAAAGGGGCAUAAGAACAUUCUUGAGCAAAGAAGGCAUGCUAAUAAAUACAUGUGGAAAAUUAAUAUGAAACAACAAUUCUGCUUUUCGGUUCAGAUUUAAAAUCCAGAUAACAAACUGAAAAUAUAUAACAACUUUAUGUAAGGACAUUGAAAAAGUGAGAAUGCGAUGCAAUUCCCGAAUUUACGCAGUAAACUAAAAAAAAAAAAAAAAAAAAGUAGCAUAAUCUUGCGAAAACUAAAAACAACCGACAUGAAAUUAGGACAAACGUAAUCAACAGGUUUGUGGGUAGGAUUCAUCGGUUGCGGAUAGAUGAGUAGCUCAGAACUCUGAAAUUUAGUUUAACAAACAUGAACCCACAGUUAAACAUCAAAAGGAAAAGAGGAAUGCACAACUCUAAACUGAGGACGAAGGAUCAAUUAACCAAUCUCAUGCUUUGGCAGCCUUCUCAAAUAAAAAAAUCGAAGUUGAUCAUAAAAUUCUGGUAUCUCUAACAACCUUUGAAGAGAGAAACUAGAUAUUUCAAGUAAAACCUCCUUCCAAGAAUAUUUGAUCACUACUAUUACCUUGUACAAGAUUUCCACUGGGUACCACAAAUCAACAUACAGAAAUAUGGUGAAGACGGAAAAACAGAAGCUAAGUUCCUUCUCACCAAAAGUUGAUUGCAAGUUUUAUAAGCAAGAUUACCAGAAUGUAUAGAAUAUUGAUAAGAACACUUACCGCAUAUGAAAUCACUGCUGAUGCCCACAUCUGGAAUAAUUCUCCGUAUCUUUUGCACAAGAUCUAAGUAUGCCUCACGGGUAUAGCCACGACGCAUUCUUUCUAGCACAGUGCUACUCCCACUUUGUGCAGGCAAAUGGAUACUUCUGCAGAUAUUAGGUCUGUCUCGCAUUAAAUACAGCAACUCAUCAGGGAAAUCUUUAGGGUGUGGGGAUGUGUAUCGAAAUCUCAUCUCUGGAAAUUCUGUGGACAGUCGAUCCAAGAGAUCAGCAAAACGUGAACCAACUUUUUUCACCUUGCACAUGCUGGAGAAGCCUUCGCUGUAUCUCCAAUUAGUUCCUGCUUCAACUUCCUUUUCAUUCUCAGAGGCAUCAUUGUAGCUGUUUACAUUCUGGCCUAGCAGUGUUACCUCUUCACGCCUUCUUCCCAAAGCUCUCCCACCUCCCGCACAAUAGAUUCCACAGAACGCGAGCGCUCUCUGCCUCUAGUGAAAGGAACAAUACAAAAUGAGCACAUAUUGUUACAUCCCCUCAUAACAGAAACAAAAGCACUAAUUGAAUUUUUGGAGAUUCGAACUGGGCUAAUAUCAGCAUAAGUCUCUUCCAGCGAAAGAAGAGUAUUGAUUCCUUUCUGACCAUAGUCCACAUCUUCUAAUAAUCUCGGCAAGUCUCUGUACGCAUCAGGCCCACAAACCACAUCAACCAUUUUGUCUGAAUCGAGUAUCUGGUCCUUUAACCUCUCCGCCAUACAUCCCAAAACUACAACUUUUGGAGGACGUUUGGACUGCGACCUCCCUAUUUUAACAUUGUCCUUCCAUUCCCUCUUAAGAAACCAAAAAUAAUUAAGCCGCUGCCACACCUUCUGUUCCGCAUUGUCCCUGAUAGCGCAGGUGUUAAUAAAAAUAACCUCUGCAUUCUCAGGGACAUCAACGACUUCACUAUACCCAGCAUUCUUCAUAAUAGACAGAACAAUCUCCAUGUCAUUAAUAUUCAUUUGACACCCAUAAGUCUCGUGAUAGAUACGUCCUAUCGGAGCAACUUCAGUAGCAGUCAAAUUCACAUCCCUACACAUAAAAAACAGGAAGAAAAAUAUAAAACCAAAGCUAAGCAUGGGAUACAGUCUGCACAAUAUGAAAUCCGGGUGUAAGAACAUCGAAAGACGUUGAUCAAGAGUUGUUGGAUUGUCCUUUUAUGUUCAACUUUCGUCUAUGAUCUAUCCGGAAAAUUUCUCCUACAAACAUGGCAAAACAUCACAGUAACAUUUUGGACCAUAUGCACUAGCAUUGCUCAGAUAAAAAUUUCAACUUGAACUUGCAUCUCUUAUAACUCAACAGCCAGCUAAUUUUGGAUGUUUAAAAAAGCUGCUUCUGUUCGGUCGGUUAUACAACAAAGGUCAUUACUUUAAACCUUUCCUGAGACAACCCAAUUCGAAUUAUAGCAUAAUUUCCCCAAAAACUAACAAAAUACAUUAAAACUAAAAGAAUUUACACUGUGUGUGGGUUUGAAGCGUGGACUCACUGGGGCUGAGCUUCAGCACCGGCGAGAGCAGCUUGAGCGACAAAGUGGCGGAGGCUGGGGCCACCGGACUGGCCGGAGAGAGAAGAAGUGUUGGGGCUAAAAUUCGAGAAGCUUCUGGAGCUACUGCGGCCAAGACUCCUCCUUUGUGGCCGAGGCUGCAGCUGCUGGCGGCGGUGGUAGCAUCGGGAACGGGACUUCUCCGGUCCCCAAUUGAGGAACCCGAGAGUGAAGCAGGACGGCCUCUGGAACUUCAGGCGCAGCGCGCAGUGUGGGUUGUUCAGGAUCGAGGACAGGGACGACGAGAGCGACGUCGCCAUCGGUGAGAUUGUGUUCGCGCUUCUCAGCUUCUCUACGUCAGAGAGAGUUGGAUAGGGGUAACGAUUUACGACUAUCAGGAAAGAAACCCGGUAAUAGUGUGAGAGACGACAUGUCGUUUUUAUUUGGGCCGGCCCAAUAACGCUUCUCACUAAUGUUAACUAUGGGAAAAUAACACAAAUGGCACCUGAACUUUUCGGUUUUCGUGCAAUUACCAUAUGAACUAAAUCCUUUUACAAUUAAACAUUCAAACUCCUUCUUCUGUUAUUAUUUGCCAUCCAAACUUCUGAAAGGAAUGCUCCCCGGAUCCCUUCCAGCUAAGCUUUCUUAUCAAACAAUCUGAAUCUUUAAAAUUUGAUCCAACAGCUAAAGACAAUGGCUCACUUUAAAAAUUAUAAUAACUUUAGCCGUUGAAUCAAAUUUUAAGGGUCUGGAUUAUUUGAUGAGAAUGAUUAGAUUGAAGGGAUCCGAAGAAGAUCCCUUUCCUCAAACUUCUAGCUUUAAAAGAAAAGUCAACUAUUUUCAUUUCAUUUAUACUAAAUCUCGUCGAAUAUCUGACAUGAAUGUGGACAUUGAUCAAGAGAAACGAUGACAAUGACGUUAAAAAGUUGUAUUCGUUAUAAUAUAGAUAAUAAAAGUUAUUAAUUAUGGCAAACUUGACACGUUUAAACACCACACGAUUCUAAAAUCGCACGGUUUAAAACAUGAUACGAUUUCAUGGUUACUCUUAGGAAUCAACGGUUAUGAUGAGGAGAGGAAAAGAAUACUUGUAGAGGAUGUUAAGAAUGUUGACUUUCCAAGAAUAUAAUCAGACAUUGGAAGAUUGAUUUCCCAAUGGACAAAUUAUCCGGGAACAUUUCCAUUAAUCAAGGCAGGAAUAUGCUAACCGUAAUUAUGUCCAUAACUUAGAGGAAAAGCCAACUGAUGACUUUACAAAUUGGUUUUCUUUACUUGGUAGAAAUAUUCAAAGAUACUGGUCCUUUGGGGUGUUAUUAGGAAUUGGAUCCACUCUGGAUUUUAAUGUCUGGAGCCUAAAGAUCAAUCCAUCUGGGCAGCUGAUUGGUGUGUAAAAUAAAUCAGAGUUGUUGGUUGUGUGUGGUAGGCUAAGAAAAUGAGUUAAUUAAGAUUAUUGGAUUCAAUUUGUGUGACCCAUAUUAGUUGAUCCUUAUGCUCCGGACAUUAAGGUCCGGAGCGGAUCCAAUUCCGUUAUAUUAUAUUAUUUUAGUGGUAAGGUAUUCAGUUUUUAUUUGUGCGUCUGAAAUUCGAAAUCUUUUAUCUUCUAAAUUAUUGUAAUAGUUUUGAACUCUUUCAUCUCUCAUAAUAUAUUAAUUGGAUAUGUUGAAGGAUUCCGCACGUUUUACCUAACCUACUCUUACCGACCGUUAGAACUGCGCUAAUACGAGUGGCUUAAAGAAACUAAAAGCAGUUAUCGAGCAUAAAGUUGCCUCAGCUGCCAUUUAGUUUUGAUUCGGUUUUUACUUCGGCCGACCAUGCAGACUCAUCGUUACAACAAUAGUUUAAAAACCUUAAUAUUAAAAGAGGUUCAAAGCUCGAACCUUCCAACCGCUGACAAUAUAGUGGAAGGAUCAAAUUCUUUACGAAAGUCACUUAAAUAUUCAACCUAAUCCACCUAGUUGGGAAAGUGGAACCUUAGUUCAAAGGUGCAAACUGCCUUUCGGCUUUCACUUUCUGGAGCUCUUCUUUCCAAGCAGUGGCCGACGCAUAUACUGAAAAAAAAAAUAAUGAAGGCAAAGUGCUUUUCUUCUCUACUGACGGAAAGUGAAGGCAAAUAGAAGGUUCCUACACAAGCAUGAACCUAUCAAGAUGCAUAGAUUAAGAAGGCAUUUACCACUUAGCACUACAAUGUCGGAUAAUUGUUUUAAUUUGUAGUGAUAAGUUACAUGUUGAAUUUUUGUAAAUAAGUUCAAUACUAAGUUAUUAUAGCUUAUUUGUUUUGUGUCUUAACUCAGGUCUCUUACAUUUUAGUGUAAUUUUAUCAUUAGAGCAUAACAAGGAAGUGUUUGCACUAGCUGUUGUGAAUUAAGUUAGUUACCUUUGUAUAUCCGCUCCUUUGCACUAGAGAAUCUUGUGUACAAAUGGCGCUCUCAAUGUAUAUAAAACAAAAUAAGGAAAACUAAUGAAGUGGCUUGAAAAGUUUUAGUUUUAAUUAAAAAUCAUGUUAUAAAUUUUGUUUAAUGAUUAGUACAAGGCACAUAUUAAAGUAGUCCAAGUAAAAAUGGCCUAACUAUAAUAAAUUAUGAUUUGUCGAUUUUACCCCUAACUUUUUUAGGUUGAGUUCCAGAUUUUCGUCGUUAAUGGAGUUCAUUGUUGUUUUGCAGACCUUCUUCUUUUUCUUUGAAACAAAAUUAUAGAUCCUCAUGCUAUUUAAUUUAUAUUUUGUAUUAUUUCGUUGAAACGUGAUUGUCGUUAUUAUUCAUAAAGUAUUCGAAGUACUGUUUUUCAAUUUUUCUUCGUUAGUGGAGUUCAUCGUUUGUUUAUUCAGAAAAUAAAUUUGAGAUCUGCAGGUUAUUCAAUAAUAACGACGGGUCACUGUUUCUGGACUGUAAAAAUAAACUGUUUCUGGAUCCAAAUGAAAUAGACACACUGUUUCUUAAAUGUAAGCUAGAAAAGAAAUAGUGAAAUUCAUUGUAUUUGGAUUCAAAGCAAAAUAAGUAUCUUGUUUCUUAAAUAUAAUCAAUUGAUGCAUGAAAAGAAACAAUCAAAGGUUAAAACAUAGAUUGUUUCAAGAAUCUAAGUCACUGUUUCUGGAUUUUGGAUACAAUGUUUGUUUGUGCAUAAAAACAAACAAACAUUGUAUCUGUUUUUUUUUUUUAUAGAAACAGUGUUAUGUUUUGGGUUCUCCAGAAACAGUUUUAUGUUUUGGUUUUUUUUUUUCUUUCCUAUUUACAGACGCCUGACAUGUACGUACAUCAACGGGACCGUAGGUCCUUAUUGGAUCUGAUUGGAAUAUAAUACUAGCACUAUAAAUUGUUUGUGGUGCAGAUAAGAGGAUGAGGAUGAGGACGAUGACGAGGAAAAGGAGGAUAAGGGCACGAAAAAGGUAGACAAUAGUUUUGGAUGGUUUUUUAUUAAACUUUGAGUCAUUUUGGUUAAAUAACUUUUUAGGAUAGUUUUUUAUUAAAUAUUUGUUGGUCCAAACCCUUUUCAUUAAAGCUCCCAACAAAAUAAGUUUUUGCGUUUAUUUUUAUUCAUUUUAUAUCUAGUGGAAUUUUACGGUAAGCUCACAUAACGAUUUGUCAUAAUAAUUACCUAUCAAACUUAUCGAACUGAAUUUGAAGUCUAUUCUUUCAACAAGUAAAGAAGGUUAAAACAAGGUUUUUUAGCCAAAACAGUUAUUGAGAUUGACAUAACUUUUCAUUUUGGUCACUGAGAUUUAAAAUCGAUACAAUUGAUUUUUGAGUUUAUCUACCGUUAAUCAUUUUGAUCAUUCUGUAAACGAAAAAUCUCUGUUAAAUAAGGAGAAAUGACCAAAAUAUCCUCAAUUUUUGUCAAAUCAUUUUGGCCUAUUGUUUAUUAAAUUAAGGGUAUUUUUGUCAUAUUGUUUGUUCUUUAAUAUAAAAUUUUCACGGAAUGACCAAAAUAAUUGAUGAUGUACAAACUCAGGAAAUACUUGUAUCGAUUUUAAAUCUCAAAAUCUAAAGUGAGAAGUUAUGCUAAUAUUAAAGACUAUUUUUGCUUCCAAAAAAAAAUAAAAAGACCAUUUUAGAUAAAAUGCCAAACAACAAUUGGUAGGAUCUGAAGUGUCCAAACACUUGAAAAAGUCCGACAACCACCAUGACAAAGUCAAAAAUAAAAAAACCAAAGAGAGAGGGACGGUGUGAUGGUAGACCAAAGAGGCGACGACGUCGUCUACCGAGGCAGCACCUUGGCAAAGAUAAAGAAUAAAGAAAAUAUAAAAAUAAAGAAAAUGGAUAUGGUGGGGAGCACCCAAUACCAGUUGUGAAAUCAACCGUGCCCUCCCCCUCCUCUCCCUUUUGUCCCUUUCCCCCUCUCCCUCUCUCGUCAACACCUCCUCCAUCCUCACAUUCUCUCUCUAAAACUCUCUCUCGACCAAUUUCCUUUCCGGAGAAAAGCAUGACCAGCUCCUCCGCCUCUGGCCGCAAGGUUUGCCCUAAUUUCACACCCAGUCACUUUUUCCGUGCAAUUUCUGUUUCUGGGUUUUGAUCUUUUUAUUGGGUUUUGAUUGUUGAUUUUGUUGGGUUUUGGAAUUUGUAGACUUUGAGUAAGAUCGCUUGCAAUCGGCUCCAGAAAGAGCUUCUGGAGUGGCAGGUCAAUCCUCCGGUGGGCUUCAAGCACAAAGUCACCGAUAAUCUCCAAAGGUCUUCUCUUUUUUUUCUUCUGCUCUCUGUUUGUUUCUCGAGAAAAGAUAAUUCAUUGGAAUUGGAGGAAGAGGAGAAUUCAGAAUUUACAUAAUCUUACACUUAUUGGGUUUUCAGUUUAAAUUACCCCUUUUUGAAUUUUUUGUUUAGGGAAAUUGAAAUCCAACUGUUUAGGGUUUAUGAUGUGUAUUUUUGUCCUUCAAUGUUCGUGCUUUUCGGCUUUAGUUAAGUUGGUUCAAUUUUAAUUGUUGUGUUUUGGUAUUUGUGAUCCAAAAGGUGGGUGAUUGAAGUCAAUGGUGCUCCUGGAACUCUCUAUUCUAAUGAGACCUUUCAGCUUCAGGUUGAUUUUCCUGAGCAUUACCCGAUGGAAGCCCCGCAGGUCUGUGCAAAUUCAUUAGAUUGUGUGAUAUGACUUUGCUUCAAGAUAUAUGUUACGAACGAUAUUGUGUUGGGUAGAUUUUGAUUUUCAUGAAGCACUUAACCGGUUUUGGGUCUGUAUACUUGUGGCUGGUUUGAACAGGUUAUAUUUGUCCCUCCAGCUCCACUACAUCCUCAUAUUUAUAGCAACGGUCAUAUUUGUUUAGGUAAUUUAUGGGUUUCAGUUAAGCGUUUGAUAUCUGAUUUGUAUUUAGUUACAGCACGAAAAUGUUUCUUUUGCUUGAUUUGCUGCAUUUGCUCAUUUGUUGAAACCUGAAAGUGAUACUUGUCUUUAUAAUGGGCUCACGUCUUCCUUUGUUGCUUCUUCUUGCUUCUUCUUGCUUCUUCUUUCUUUUAACACACAAUUUUAUUAUCAUUGCUUAAAACAUGUGGUAAGUGUUGCCUGAAAGUAUUGUGCUUUUAUCUCAAUCUCUUGCUGAAAAGAUGUAGUUUUCAGCUAGCUGAUACAAAUUUUGUUUGAGAUAAUAAGGCCUUCACUCCUUUAUCAGCUAUUGUGAUGACUUUCAAGACCCUAUCACAAACAGGGAGGAAUAAACUGAGGAAAAGAGAGGAAAAAGUGGGGUGGGGGUUGCCUAGUAAAGCUGGCCUUGGAAAUCCUACUGAAUGUGAUUUAUGUUGUCUGUCGACUAAGCUAAAUUUAUCUUUACUGGAGAUUUGAAUAAUUGCUAGAUAUUAGAUGCUAAACUGGGGACGCUAUACCGCUUAACAACAGAUUUAGGUUGUCAUUACUUACUGUGUGCUGUAUCAAACAAUAUCUUGAUCCAUCAUGAAUCCACUGACUGAAUUUUAGUUAUACUGUAUUAGAACAAUAUAUUGUUUCAUUUUACUCUCACGGCCUCAUAUUAUGUGAUCUAUGGUUGAUAUGGGAUUUUGUAGAUAUUUUGUAUGAUUCAUGGUCACCAGCCAUGACUGUUAGUUCCAUCUGUAUUAGCAUUCUCUCCAUGCUAUCAAGCUCGACCGUGAAGGUUUGUGUUCCACUUCAAUUUUUUCAUCUUUGGUGAUUUCAGUUCUUUUAACUAUCAAGCCUAGAUCAUGUCCCAUCAAUUUAUUCUGCUAAAACUUUCAAACGAGGAAAUGACCGAUCAUUAAUUUGUGAAAGAUGGACAUUCCCUUGUUGAUUAUCAAUUCAAUGGUAUAGUAGAUUCUAAAUGUGUUGGGGAUGUAUAUCUGAAGCCCUUUUGUAUAUGCCUGCAGCAACGCCCAGAAGAUAAUGACCGGUAUGUAAAGAACUGUAGAAAUGGCAGAUCUCCCAAGGAGACGAGGUGGUGGUUCCAUGACGAUAAAGUGUAAAAACCAUGCACUGUCUUCCUGUUCAAAGGAGGACGAAGACGAGAGAAAAAAGGCAAUGAUAAAAACUGGGAGUUGUUCCAAUUGCUCAGUAACUCUUAUAAAUUGACAAUGCUCGGUACUUGUAAAGCAAAGGGAACAAUUUGUGUUUCUAUCGAUUCGUAAGGAACAAACUGAGGUCAGAAGUUGCUAUAAGCUUAUGAUUUAAGUCCCUUUUCUUCCCAAGUGCUCACCUCCUGUAAGGGAAGUGAGUGCCUGGCUUUUAAAAUUUUCGUAUAUCUUCAUCCGUGCAAUGCGAUUUUCAAGAUAUAACAUUGAAAAAAAGGCAUCCAAUUUUUCAAAUCUAGUGCACGUAUGUAAAACUUAUCUGUAAACAUGACAGCUUCACCAAGUAUGUGUUCAUGUUGAGUGAUUACGUACCGGCAAGCUCAAAUGAAUGAUAUCAAUUCUAAGAAAAUUGUCCCAAACAAUUAAGUAUUUUAGUUCAUCUUUAUUUAUGACAUUGCAUAUUUUGGUAGUAAGUAAACACGAGUUUUUUUUAACACGGUACAAAAAAAUUAUAACAUCACGAUGUGGAGUUCAUUUCUAUAUAUGACUGCCCAAGUUGGGAUAGAAAAUUUUAUGAAGGCUUACAUCAUACAACAAUAUGAAUUGUUAGUCCCUGGUUUCCUAGUUGUUACUUUCAUUGAAUUGAUAUACGGCACAUCUCCAAUUCUUGGUUAAAUAUGAAUUGUUAGUCCCUGGUUUCCUAGUUGUUACUUUCAUUGAAUUGAUAUACGGCACAUCUCCAAUUCUUGGUUAAAACUUAAAAUUUUAGGCUUUAAAUUAGCUUCUUCAAAUGUCUGAUCUUGUGCUUGUGUAUGUUAGGCUUUGAUAAAUCUAGCCCCGAUUUUGAGAGAAUUAACUUAAAAGUCCACAUAAAAUCUGUAGAAGAAAUUGGAACAACAAGACUAAUCUAGCUUAGAUUUCAAGAGAAUUCACUUAAAAGUCGACAUGGAAUCUGUAGAAGAAAUUGGAACAACAAAACGAUAUUUUCAUUUUCUGUGGAUGAUUCCAAAAUAUCACUAAGUUGAUGAUGUUAUUUGGAGAUAUAGUUUGUGCAUGAUAACACUCCAUUUAAAAUUUCACAGAAUUUUAUUCCAAUACACCCCUAAGCCUAUUUCAAAAUGAAACUAAACAUAUUACUUUAAUUCCCUCAAAUAUCUUACCCGAGAAUCUGAACUAAAUCUACGACUCAAAUAUUUUCAAAAAUCAAAAUUUUUUGUUUGAAAACUUUGUUCUUGUGCAUUUGUGGUUAACUAUCACGUUAAAAUUUCACACAAAAAAGAUAAAAUUCAUGCAAAAAGAAAUGAAAGUCGUGUUCAUAACAAACUAAUUUACUUUCACGUAGUUAGCAUGAAAUGUAGUGCGCAGUGUAAUUUUUGAGGGUAAUGAAAUAUGAUAAAAAUAAUUUCUUCCAAUGUAACACAAAGAGAGCGAAAAUCCCAAUCGUCUUACGGUUCUGGUUUAUUUUUCUGGGUAACUCUGGAAGUGAAAUUCUAUGAAUCUCUUUCGUCUUUCAAGGUUUACAAUUUGUCUUGAAUAUGCAAGACUUCGGGGAAAGUUGUUCAAUUUAGCACACAUUGAGCACAAUGCCUUCCAACAACUCGAGAAACGCAUCAAACAGUAGCUCCUAGUUGGCUCUCUACCAUGAUCCUUCAGCGCCCAAUGUUGGAUUCUCGAACGCAGAGAAACCCCAGAAUGUCUUCAAAGAGUAGGGCUGAGAAAUUGUUACGCCUUCUUCGGUGAUUUUAGCUAUCUGCAAUUACCAAGUUUAAAAUGUGUCAUCUUACUGGUACCGAUGCAUGUUCAAGGGUGACAAUAAAUUAGUAGGAAGUCCUCAAUUUACCAAGGAUACUAAUUUUUGAACGCAAAGACUUUCCCACCACAGCUAUAAUCAUUUCGAAAAGUGUAAGAAAGUGUGGAUAUGUGUAGAAAUAAAACAAUUGUAUACUUCCUACCUCAAUCUAGAACACUUCCUACGCUAAAAAAUGAGCGCAGACAAGGAGGAAGCAUACCCCUAGUACUGUAGAUUGUCUCACAUAACUACAGAAUGACAAAUCUUUAAUAAAAAGAAGUAUUUGGACGUGAACACGUGUGUGAAAGACAGAGAGAGAUAUUGGAACUUACAUGGACAAUAAUAGCAAGGUUUAUAAAUUCCGAAAAACAUCAAAGACGACAGACAGGCGGAUUCUAUGCCAUUUAAAGAAAAUAAACCGAUAGACAGAUAAGAAUUCCCACAGGAAUUGCUAGCAAAAAGAUCUAAGGUUGUUCUUAACAGCCUAAAAACUAUGAAAUCUGUAACUUAUAGCAUUGUCAUUAUUAUAGGGUGCCAAAAGACAGAGAAAAUAACGUUUAAGUUAUCACUACCUGAAGCUUGUUCACAGCAGACCGAUCUCGAUAGAGAAGGACACGCAUGCACUUCUCCAGCAGCUUUACAGCCUCUUCGAAAGUCAAGUUCUCAUGCCACUCAUCACGAAGAAUAGGCCGUGCAAGGUGAUUUCCAAAUCCCGUAGCCACAUGAUUGUCCUCAAAAUUUACACCUAUCAUGCUAACCUGAAUAAAGAUAAAAAGUAUGACAAGCAACUAAGUCCCCUGAUUCAUGAUGCACACAGCACACUGCAAUGUGUUAAGGGAAGGAUUAAAUGAGGUUUACCAUGCCAAGGUACUUCUGUCCAUUUUUCACUCCACCGAGGACAAGAGAGUUCCACAAUGGAUUGAACUUGUUACGCCUAUUGUACAUCACACGGGUCAAAUAGUUGUGCACCUCUUUAGGUCCCAAAGAGUUCCCAUCAUCCCACAUGUUGUCAUACAGGCUACAACCAGAAAAUCGAAAUGAAUAAUCCUAAACCAACUGUUUCAAAUAAUACAAAGAAGCAUAGAAAAAAUCACAAUGGAAACAUUAUAGAAGGUAGCCAAACGCUUAUCUUCAUAAUUUUUCUUAUCAAUAAUGCUUACACGAGUUCAUCAAGAUAACGUAAGAGCUCCUGAAAGUCGCUUAUUUCUCCACUUGCACCAAGAAGAGAAUGCUUUCCGAUUGGCUUCAUUCUUUCCACACUCUUGUAUCGCAGGGUAGAGCCAUAAGAACCUAUCAAAACAUCCAUUCUUUUGAUACUGUUAAGAGACCUCAACAGACACAUAAAAAGAACAUACAUGGGCGUCUAACUUUUGAGUCAUGAACAAUAGGAUCCCCGACGCUAUAAAAAUAUAUGAUGUCUAUGACUGAUAAAGCGAUAACCAUAACGUAAAAAUAGGAGAUACUGUAAGAAAACCUCAACAGACACAUGAAAACCACAUUAGGUGAUCUAAAAAUCCAGUCUGACCAUUAAGAGCGGCCGCGGGGCGCCAUACAAGAACACAAAAACUAAUGUAUCUAACUUUGAAAAGACUCGCAUUUGAAUUUUGAACUGUUUCUCCUUCAGAUAAAGUGAAACAAAUACGACAAGCCUACACGAACAACUCCAAAGAUUUCAUAACAAUUUUCGCUACAAGAAGCUAAGAGAAAUGGCGGAAAGAAUCCCACUUUUUUCAAACACCAGAAACAAUAUAUACUCCGCAUUAACAUCAAAUCUUAAUUUCCCGUAACCAAACAAGAAGCUAAAUAAAAUAAUGGACCAAAAAAUCAAAAUCAAAACUUGUUUUUGUGACGCAAGGGUAAUGGAAUUGGAAGCUAACCUCCCAUAUCAGCAGCCAUCAAAAUUCCAUCUUUAUACUUGAGAGCCACAACAGAUGUACCAGUUACAUAUGGGUACCUUCAAUCAAACAAAUUAUUAAAAUUUAAAAAAAAAAAAAUUUAAAAAAAUUAAAAACACAAAUUAAAAAUUAAAGGAUUGAAAUUUUCAUACAAAAAGUUAAAUCCGCAAAACCACAGUUACCCAAAUCCCCAUACAAACGAAAAAUGCACAUAAAAACUUAAAAAUCAAACAUUAAGAAAGCAUACAGGGUCCUCUGCGAGCCUUCAGGAUUGCACAGUAGGCCGGGUUUGGAUUGGUUCGACUCCAUUAACUACUCAAAGAUAAUUAGAAAGUUAAAAUCAAAGUAAUUAAAAAAUAAUCUGGGAUUUGGAAAUCGAAGGGUACUCGAAACUUACACUCGUUUUUGUUUUCGUAGAGCUUGAAAUCGCAGCUUUUAGUUUCCAGCACCUCCGUUCUCUUGUGUUUUGCUCCGGCCUGUGAUGUGGGCUUCUUUCGUAAUUUUGAAUGAGUUUCUGGCCAGAAAAAAAAAAGAACAAAAAAAGAGAGGGUACAAAUAAAAAUUUUAAUUUUCUUUUCGCUCAAGAAAUUGCAAUCCGAAUCAGUUUUAAGGUUUGGAAAGCCCAUAUGGAAACGCACUAAAUUUUAGGCCCAAAGGUAAUUAAUGACCAUCAGCCCAGUUCAUUGAAAAAAAACGAGUCUGUUGUUUUAAAAAGUAAUAAUAUGUGAGCCUAUGCCACUCGCACUUCUGUAUGAGUUUCACUUCUGUAUGAGUUUCGUUCUUUUAGUCACUUGGUAAUCAAUGAUUGAGUUUCGUUCUUUUAGGUAUCGUUUGAUAUGCAGACGAAACGGAAUGGAACAUGAUGGGAUGGGACAGGACAGGACAGGACGGAACGGAGAAUGAGCAAAUAUGCCCUCGGAUGGAAACAAGAAGGAAGAAGAAGGAGACGGAGAUGUUAUAAUUUUGUGUUCAUUGGAUGUGGAACGAGUCAUUCUAGGGAGGUGAGGCGGAACGAAAAUUCACCCAAGAUUCGUCCCGUGGAACAGCGCGUUCCACCCGUUUUAGGCGCACCAAACGUGAGACGGAACGUCUCGUCCCACUCUGUUCCGUCCCAUCCCACGUACCAAACGGUACCUUAGUCACUUGAUAAUCAAUGAUUGAGUUUCGUUCUGGUCAUUCACUCUUUGACUUUAAUAUAAACGGUAGGAAUUAAAACAUUAAAAAGAACAUGUCACCAGAUCCAUUACCGAACAUCUUUCUUAUGCUAAAUAUUUUGUUUUAAGUCAUAUUUGGGAAGGAUUAUGUUACUUAGUUCGUUUUGGUUAAUCCUCGUAUAUACUUUCCAGUUUCGUGUUGUUUUCUUGUUUCUGGGAAGUUUCGGUUUUCCUUGACGCAUAAGGAUAAUGGUAACUUUCUUUGUCUUUCCUAGUUGUAAUAGUUCUUGAGUUUCAAUCAGGAUUUGGUUUUAGUUUUCCCUUUCCAGAUUAGGAUUUGAAUUUGAGUUUCCUUGUGUAGCAAGUAAACAAGUAGUGGGUCUUUUUGAGUGCCUAUAUGUAGAGAGAGAAUCUAAACCUUUCUUUCACUUGUACUCUGAGCAUAGUGUUGGUUGUAUGUCAACAAUCUGUGAUAAUUUAUAUAUGCUAAUAAAUAAUAAAUGCAAUAGGAAUUAACAGAAUAUAAACUAGAAUACGAAUUAUAAAAACAAACAACUUGAAGAUCGAGGCUUGCGUACCGCAAUGUCCUUGAAACAGAAAUUUCGUCCCUACUCUGUGCUUGUAGUUCUACGGAUGUCUGCUUCACCAGGAUUCAACGAUCAAGUUAAAAUUCCAGCACCGGAAAAUUUAACUUCUGGCGAAUUUAGUGUGGUUCUCUCAGUAAGAAGGUUUAGGAAUGUAGAAGAUGAAGUUGAUUAUUUUCUGUGUUUUAGAUGCUAUGCAAAUGAAUGUAUAUAUAGCAUAUGGAUGCCUUUUUGCAACAGGUAUGAGAAUGGGGUGUGACUGUUGGGAGACAUCUCUUCAGAGGGGUGCUUUGCUCUGUGUUCAAAAAGAACUCUCAGACUUCAUCUGAAAGGAUGAGUCUUUUCAUAAAAAAUAAAUAAUUAAUUAAAUUCGAAUUUAAUUAAAAAAUAAUUAAGUAAAUCUGAAAAAUAAUUAAUUAAAUAAUUAUAUAUUAAUUACCAAAUAAUUAAUACACCCCAAAGCCCAACCCCAAGGGUGAGCCCAAUUUUAGUCUCCAGGCCUAUUACUCCAAUCACUUUCUUUAAAGGACAAAGCCUUAUAAAGUGAUAAAAUCUUUUGGGAAUGACCAAUGUGGGACAAGAAAAUUUCUACUCAAACUACUCAAAUUUCCAACACAUAGGAGCACAGACACUACCACUCAAGCCUUGCUGUGUCCGAAAAACCCUUUGGGCUCUGACCAUGCCCAAAUUCGCCAAUGCUUUUGCUCUGUUGGGCGAGAGCGAAAGUGAAGAUGUCAAGGAACUCAUCGAGGUGGUUGAUGAAAGGGCAGAUGUUUCGCUUCUAGAAGCCUUGAAGAAGAAGAAUGCGAUUGCAAAGAAGGAGGCCGAUGCAAAGAAGAAGAAGGAGGCAAAGGAGAAAGAGCGUCUGCAACGCGAAAUCCAGUUAAAAAAAUAAAAAACCAAAUGUGAACCGAAGUCUUCGUAGAUAACUAAAGAAGAAGUUGGAUAGAAACCAAGACGACAACAAUGCGGCAGCUGCUGAGGUUACAAGUGCUGCUGUGAUUGUUCCUGCUGAGAACAAGUUUUCUCCAUCGUACACUUUGAAAGAGUAUGAGAAGGAGGGAGAGAAUGACAAAUCCGCCACUGUCGAGCAGCCCCAGAAGCCUAAAGAUCAGCUUAAUAGGUGGAUUGAUAGUCUCCAAUGCAGGCAAGGAUCGUAGAUGGCGCCGAGAUUGGAUGAACCAUCAACCUGAUGCCAAGGUUUAUGUCAAUUGUUCGCAGCAAGCGGAGGUGGCAGAGCCGCAUAUUUCCUGAAUGCUGCGGAAUUUGCAGUCCUGUAACAAAUUGUAUUAAACUUUCCUAGUUCUUACUUGAACUAUACUUUUUUGCAAGAGAAGGGUCAUAGAAGCCCUAUUUUCUUUUAAAAAAAAAAGAGGACACUGGUGGCAAACCACGGUUAUCCAACUUACCUAAACACAUGCAUGCCGCAUGAUGUGUUUCUUUAGCCAAAUUCAAAUAAUACCAAAUCCAACAAUAGUUGCAAGAAACAAAAGUAGACUAGGCAUAACCUAGUUGGUUAAUAAUUCAGGAGUUUUCUUAAAUGAUAAAGCAAUGUUACACCUGAAUUCUCGCUCUCUUAUUUUAUGGACAAAAUUAUAUUGUUUUAAGGCAAUGUGAUCUCUUCAACAAAUCUUUAUUCAGUUUUUGUAUAUAUGACUAAAAUUUCAUGAUUAAACGUAUUAUCCAACUAUACAAAUUCCCUCAUUUAAUCAAUAUAAAUAGGUCAUCAAAUCAUACAUAGAGUUUGACAUAAACAUUGCACAAAGAAUUGGAUCGAUCAUGAACCUUUGAUGACUAUAACAAUAUAAAUACGCUCUACCUAGUUCGCCUGCACAUGAAUUGCAGACUUGGAUAUUGUUCGUGAUGGCUAACUCUCAGUUUGUACCAGCAUGUAUCAUGUUCAUUGCCAAUAUUGUCAUCGUCAACAUUGGCGCGGCAAUAGGCGGAUGGCCUAAUGGGCAUGCAACAUUUUACGGUGAUAAGCAGGGUGGAGGAACCUAAGUUUGAUUGUGUUUAUAAAGAAAUAAGUUAUUACUCGAAAUAUGUACGUAUAAUAUUAGUCAAUCCUAAACCUAAUGCGUACGUUUUUGUAUUAAUAUGACGACUAUAUAGUAAUCCAAAUUUAUCUGUAGUGCUUACUAAUUUUGGAUCUUUCAUGCAUUCAACUUUGAUUAGGGGGAGCUUGUGGAUACGCUGAUACCAACAAACAAGGCUACAGGGUGGAAACGACAGCCCAAAGUUCUGCUCUCUUCAACAAUGGCCAAACUUGCGGGGCUUGUUUCGAGGUUACGUGCGUGGAUGAUCCAAAAUGGUGCCUACAAGGCACCAUCAAAGUGCUUGGUGCAAUCCUCCCUCAAAGCACUUUAAUUUGUCCCAACCAAUGUUUCUAAAGACUGCAAAAUUCGCGGCCGCCGGAAUAGUCCCCGUUGGCUUUCAACUAGUGCCAUGCUUUAAGAGGGGAGGGAUCAAGUUCUAUCUCGGUGGGCGCCCUAAUUUCCUACUUGUGUUGAUACACAACGCUGGAGGGCUGUUGAAUUGGUCGAUGUAAAAGUAACAGGCUCGAGCACUGGUUGAGCACUGGUUGGAUACAAAUGACGCGUAAACUGGGGAGUGGGGACAAAACUGGCAGAUUGGAGGAGGUUUGGAAGGAAAAAAAUGGUCUUUCCAAGUAACAACUAGUGAUAGAAGGACGCUGGAGUCUCUCAAUUUUGUGCCUGCCAAUUGGCAAUUUGGACAAACAUAUGAAGGGAGAAACUUUUAGUUAAAAAUUCUUGUGGAACAUUAGUAGACCGUGAAACAAGUUUUCUGUUUGAGUACAAGAAGAAAGGAGAGAAUCACAAAACCGCUGCUGUCGAGCUACCCCAACAGCCUGCAGAACAGCUUACUGAGUGGAAAGGGAGAUUCUAACUUGAGUGCGAAGAAACAAGCACAUUGCUCUAGCCAUCUGACCUAAAAGUAUUUCAGAAUAUUUUGCAGAAUCUUCAAAGCUGCCUACGAGGUAUAAUUAACCCAUAAAAACAGAGCAAUCAUAAGAUUAUUAUGUACAAAAUAGUUGUUGACUGGGUGCUAAACCAAUAAAUUUGGGCCAGCUCAAAUUUUUCAUCUUUGACUAUUACACUAUUGCCCUCAAAUCAACCGACCGCGACAACCUUUUGAUGACUAAACAGUUCAAUUAUGUAUAAAAGCAUCUUCAUCAUUCUGCAGGCAGUCAAAAAUCUCUCUCUCUCUCUCUCUCUCUCUCUCUCUCUCUCUCUCUCUCUCUCUCUCUCAACCAUGGAUUUCAUGAUAGAUGUGAAUCACCAGAGGAUCCAAACCAAUGGAAUAUGGCUUCAUGUAGCCAAAAAAGGGACAGGUCCUCUGGUUCUCUUGCUUCAUGGCUUCCCAGAAAUCUGGUAUGCCUGGCGCCACCAGAUCGAAUACUUGGCGGAAAACGGCUACCACGUGGUGGCGCCAGAUUUGAGAGGUUACGGCGACUCUGACGCUCCUCUCAACCACAACUCCUACACCAUCUUCCAUAUAGUUGGAGACCUCAUUGGCCUACUUGAUCAUUUUGGUCAACAACAGGUGACAAGCUUUUUCUCUACAUGAAGUGAUUUCCGCACGACUUUAUUCUCGCAUGUAUAUUUUACACAUUUGGUUGAUUAAAUUAAACCGAGGAUUAAGGGCCAAAAAUAAGUAGAGCCCAAAGGAGAAAAGAGUUGUGCGGAAAUCAUUUUCCUUUCUUGAACUGCAAUCAAAGAAUUUAAAACUUCAUAUGAACAUAUCCAUGUUGUUAUGUAUGUGAGGGGUUUGGAUUUUUGAAAAUCUAAUGUAAUGGUUUGUGAUUUGAGAAGGCAUAUGUGGUGGGACAUGAUUGGGGAGCAGUUGCUGGUUGGAAUUUGAGCUUGUUUAGGCCUGAUAGAGUGAUAGGGCUGGUUAACCUAUCAGUUCCAUACUUUCCAAGAUCUCCAACAACCAAAACUACCGAAGCUAUAAGACAAAUUUUUGGUGAAGGAAGUCAUGUGAUUCAAUUCCAGGUACUUCCUCUCUCCAGAUGUUUGUAUCAAAAUUAGUAGCCACACGAGAUGUUUAUGUUGUCCGACUGUCACCGAUGGGGUUCUUACCUGAACGGUGUGGUCCAAAUUCACAAUCUAACAAUAUAUGUAUGCAUAUGUCACUUAAUUAUUGUUUCUUGGCUGAGAAGGAACCGGGAAGAGCAGAGAAAGCGUUUGCGAGGUAUGACUGUAUGACAGUGAUGAAGAAGUUCCUGCUGGUAACUAAUAAUUUGAUAGCUCCUCCGGACAUGGAGCUUAUCGAUUACCUGGAGACACAAUCAUCAUUGCCGGCAUGGCUAACUGAAGAGGAUAUCCGGGUCUUCGACAAAAAAUUUGAGGAGUCUGGAUUCACCGGUCCUUUGAACUACUAUCGCGCAAUGGAUCUGUAAGUUUAUAGAAACUUUACUGUGUAUUCCCAAGCUAAAAUUGAUUCAAAAAUAUGCCUUAGGUACAACCACCAUAUGCUUGAAGACUUCUAAUCCGAAUUGUACUUAAAAUAUACUCAAGUUACCAGCUUCUAUAUCCAAGAGAACCAUAGAAUAUUUUUUUGAUUCGAAGGAUAUUCUAAUCUAAUUGAAACUGAGAAAAGGGGGAUUCGAACUUGGUGUAGAAGGGGAAGCCACCGCUCUAACUGACUUGUCUACGCUUAAGUCUGUAAAAAUGCAUGGAGCCAACUCAACUGUCCUGCUUUUUUUUUUUGGUCGUUUUUAUUAGUCGGUUGAUGGUGAUGUAUAUCAUGUUAAACAGGACUUGGGAGCUGCUUGCGCCCUGGCAAGGAUCGAAAAUCAUGGUACCCGUGAAGUUCAUGAUCGGCGACAAAGAUCCAGGGUUUAAAUCCGGCGGAACAAGUGAAUUUGUGCAAGGUGAUGAGUUCGGAAGCCUUGUCCCGGACCUUGAGGUGGUUAUCGUAGGCGGCCACCAUUUCAUCCAACAAGAGAACCCUCAAGAAGUCUCCAGCCAAAUACUUUCCUUCCUCCGUCAACAUCCUGCAGAUCAGUGAAAUUUUCGUGUUAGAGUGUUUCUGUAUAAUUAUUGUUCUUCUUAAGACAUGUUGGAAAUCUGUUUAUAACCUCAUGUGAUAGCUACUUGAGAAGUUUUCAUGGAAUUGAAGGGUAGGGACAACAUUGAUGCGGAUCAUAUCAUCGAGGAUGAUACCGAUCAAUUUUAUGUUAAGGGCCAAAGUGAGGAAUUCUGUAAACUUCAAAAACCAGUUACAAUAAAAACUCAACUACUUUGUUUGAGGAAGCAUAUAGGCCUUGUUCCGUAACAGAAAUCUAGAAACUCGACACAUUACAAUACAAUCCAAUACAAUUUACCAUAGAGGUACAAUCCGUGAUACGAAAACCAAAUUCAGAACAAGAAAGGAAACAAUAUCGUCAUGUAAGCAGAUGUUGCGUUUCCAAAAUAUAAUCACAAUGGCACGGUGAAACACAUAGAAAACCAUAUACUAAAACACUUUUCUAUACAAGACAGAAGCAAAAUUCUUGGAAGGCAGUUUCCAGGAAAAUGACAUGGAUAAGCACUAAAAUUUAAUUAAAUGAAAUCAUCCAGUGAAUAUUAGUAUAUUCUUUCUACAAGAUGAUAUUUUAAACUACAUUAAUUUAUUUGAAACGGAAUUCAAACUUAUAUACAAGAAGACACAUACAUUAACCACCCAACUGGUUUAACCCCAUGUACUUAAAAAUUAGUCUUUAGGUCAACAAAUUGUACUUUUCUACACCGUACUCGUAUUGGAGCAUUUGAUACGUUACCCUUCUCUGGCCCGAUUCAAACUUGUCAUCUUUGACUGUUUGACAACCAGAAUUUUCAAGUCACAACUUCCCAAUCAUUUUCUGCAAAUUAUACAUAUAAAAAUGAUCUCUCUCUCUCUCUCUUCUCUCUCUCUCUCUCUACCAUUCACAACAUUAAGCACCAGCCUGAUGCCGUUGCGGAUGAUGUCUUUUUACAGAGUGUACAAAUCGAUUGAAAUUUUAAAAUCCUCCAUUAUUACAAGAAUAGAGAUUUGAAUUUGAGUGUGAGGACGUUAUCGCAUAGGUCCGACCAACUAACUUAAACACAUCCACAUGGUGUAUUUCUUUAGCCGUUCUAAUAGUACAAAAUCCAAGAAUAGUUGCAAGAAACAAAAUUAGACCUAGAUAUAGCCUAGUUGGUUAAUAAUUCAGGAGCUUUCUUAUAUUAUUUUACACUAUAUUAAAAUACAUAUGGCUCGAAUAAAAGAAUUAAAAUUAAUGAAACAUAAAAAAUCUAUCGCCUACUUAAAUUCGAGUAAUAAUAGGGAUAUCAAAAUUUUAAAACAAUGUAUCAUCUCAUGUGGCAAAGUGAUGCAUACAACUAACAUUUAUUUAGAUAGAUUAUUAAUUGACGUGACAAGUACACAUCACUUACCACAUUAGAUGGUACACCACUAUCAUACAAAAAUGUUACCUCUCUAAUAUUUUUUCCCUUUAAAUUCAAAUUUUAACAAUUAGACAACAAAAAUGCUAUUUUUUUUUUGGUUAAACGAUAAAUUUUGUUAUAUUAGAUAUUAGAUUAGUCACUGACAAAGUUCGAACUCACGCCGCCAUGCAAAGACUCAACUCUUUUCCAUAAUUGUGGUAAAAGGCCACUUGCACAAAAAUACUAUUCUUAAUUAUCAUCUAUUUUUACUAUAAUUUGUAUUAUAUCUCUAAUAGAAAUAAGACCCACAUGCGUUGGCGGGCCUUAUAUCUAUUAGAAAGAUAACAUAAAAGAUAAUACAACUAGAUAGUAAGUGUAGCAUUGCUCAUUAGACAAUACCCUUUGCGUCAACUAAUUGAAACAUGAAGUCUUGCUACUGAGUUUCAUUUCGUAUAUUGUCCAUUCAAUGCGAGGGCUGGUAUUAUGUUAAGGGUUUAAAUAAAAAGGCAAUGUAAAUCUCUUGAACAUACGUUAAUUCAACUACAAAUUUCAUGAUUAAACGUAUUAUCCAACUAUACAAAUUCCCUCAUUUAAUCAAUACUAGCUGCAUGCGCUCAUGCGCGUGCAUAAUGCAUUUUCUGAAUCACGACGUGCUACACGCGACUUACACCUUGUAAAUGUAUUUAUAUGUGUGAAUUGCUUCAAUAAUUUUUUUUAUGACAAAAAGAAAGUGAAAUAUUUGAAGUAAAUGAAUAAUAUUAGAUCAUGUUAAAAGAAACCCCUCAUAAACCAAUCAAAGCAGCUGAAUCCACCCCUUAGUGUAGAUAACAUCAUUAGUUAAAAAAAAGACCAUUUGACAACUAAUUGAAUCACAUUAUUGUGAGCGUGUGAAAACCUUUUUUUUUUAUGGAAAUUUGGAAAAAUAACCAAAAUUUAGACCCCAUGUAGAAUUAUAGCCACAAUUUUAAGUUUAUGAUAAUUAUAACAAAAAAUUGAUAUAAAAAUACUAAUAUACCCUUAAAUAGAAAUUAACAAAUAGGGAGAGUGUUUGAAUACAGAUCCAAAAAAACUCAAGCACAAGGAUUUUCUCAGUUUGAUUUGUGCGUGAUAAACAAAACUUGUUAUCUGGUUAAGAUGGUGGGGAUGGUUAAUUUGAUUAUCCAGACAUCUUGCUCUUGUUUUCGAGGCAGAAUGUCUUGAAUAAAGGAUUGAACAUCAUGGGUAUCCUAGUUUUCUGGACAUGAUUUUCCUCUCCUCGUUUCGUGUUUGCCCAGUGAGAGGGUUAUGUUUGUGCUAGUAGCAUUUUCAUUGACAUCGCUCAAGCACAUCCAGUUCACAUCGAGUCAUUUAUCCGGCAACACCUAUCGAACAUCAUUUGUUUCCGCGAAUGCCUCGUGGACAACUGAGGAAGAUUGCUUCAACUGUGAACACUCAUGUCUGAUACCUCUUGGAGAGCAUGUCUAUAUAGAUUUACUACGGCACCACCCCACCACACACAUUGAUUCGUUUACAUUUCGCAAUUUUUUUUUAUAAGUUUGGGGCAUCUAACUAGCAUAAAAAAGAAGAUGAUUAUCUAUAAGCUGGGUUUUGUCGAUUUCGAAUUUUGUAUCUGUUGAUGCACAAAACCGAAAGUCUUGGAACAACGUAAAUCCAACCGUGAAUCUGCAAGAAAUGUAAAUAACACAAGAUGUAUCGUGGUUCACCCCAAGGUUUGGGCUACGUCCACACUGAUUGUAUUUAUCUGAGAGUAUUUGUGAGGGAGAGAACCUCUGAAUAUGAGAGGGGAUGUGAGAGGGGUGAGAAGGCUCCAGAAUUGGCUUCCCUUAAUUGUGAGGGUGAGAAGUCCUUUUAUAGAAUAAUGACUCCUCACUUAUUGCAUAUUUGCCCAUUCCUUUAUCACAUAAUUACAUUUAAGUUCCCCAAAUAUUUGUAUGAGAUCUAAAUACGAGGCCCCAAAUAUAGUAUAAACAGUAUCAUUUUUUAUUUGGCAUUAUAUGAUUUUGGUAUGUUUUGUCUUUGAACUUGCAGUGGAAAUAGAUUUAAAUAUCCAUUUUUUGAGUUUUUAUUUUGAUACAAUUAUUAUGUAAAGAUAUAUUAGUACUUUCAUAUCAACUUUUGGUUAUAAUUAUCAUAAAUCUCAAAGGAUAGCUAUAAUUCUAUUUGAAGUCUAAAUUUUGGUUAUUUUUCCAAAUUUCCCUUUCUUUUUUCUUUAUCAUCGGUAAUACGUGUCUCUUAAGAUGUUUUAAACGUGUUUAAAAAUAGAGAAAAUAAUAUUUAAUAAAUAACUGAUUGAAUCACAUUAUUGCUAACCCAUUAUGAGACUAAGCUCACCCCCCUCUUCCUUAGUGUAGAUAAUAUCGUUUGUUUGGAAAAAAACACAAUCAUUUGACAACUAAUUGAAUCACAUUAUUAUGCGCGUAUGAAAUACCUUUUUUAUAACCGACACUACACGCUUCUUAAGAUGUUUUGAAUGUGUUUAAAAAAAGAGAACAUAAUAUUUAAUAAACAACUGAUUGAAUCACAUUAUUGCUAGCCUAUUGUGAGGUACUAAAAAAAACUGUACAAAAGGAAUUAAUUAUUAAAAAACAUUGUUUAUAUGACAAAAAUACCCCUGCAUUAUUUUGGACUGUUUUUGAAUUUUUUUUGUUUUUUUUUUGGGGGGGGGGGCAUAUUUUUGUUAAAAAAAAAAUUGUGAAGCCCGUGACCUCAAAAGGAAUUGUUGGUUUUAUAUAUAGAGAUAAAUAGAUUAUCAAAUCAUACAUAGAAUUUGACAUAAACAUAUGUUGCACAAAGAAUUGGACAGAUCAUGACCAUAACAAUAUAAAUACGCUUUACCUAGUUCGCCUACCCGUGAAUUGCGUACUUGGAUAUUGUUCGUGAUGGCUAACUCUCAGUUUGUACCAGCAUGUAUCAUGUUCAUUGCCAAUAUUGUCAUCAUCAACGUUGGCGGGGCAAUCGGCGGAUGGCUUAACGGGCAUGUAGCAUUUUAUGGUGAUAAACAAGGCGGAGGAACCUUUGAUUAGUUUGAUUGUGUUUUGUGAAGAAAUAAGUUAUUAUUCGAAAUACGUACGUUUAAUAUUAGUCAACCCAAAACCUAAUAAGUACUAGUCCAAUUUUAUCUCUAGUGCAACACUGAUUUUGGAUCUUUCAUGCAUUCAACAAUGAUUAGGGUGAGCUUGUGGAUAUACAGAUACCAACGAACAAGGCUACGGGGUGGAAACGACAGCCCUAAGUUCUGCUCUCUUCAACAAUGGCCAAACUUGCGGGGCUUGUUUCGAGGUUACGUGCGUGGAUGAUCCAAAAUUGUGCCUACCAGGCACCACCAAAGUAACAGCAACCAACUUGUGUCCUCCAUCCAAAAAUGCUAGUGCAAAUUGGUGCAAUCCUCCUUCAAAACACUUUGACUUGUCCCAACCAAUGUUUCUAAAGAUGGCAAAAUUCGCGGCCGCCAGAAUAGUCCCCAUUCACUUUCAACGAGUGCCAUGCUUUAAGAGGGGAGGGAUCAAGUUCUAUCUCGGUGUGCGCCCUAAUUUCCUGCUUGUGUUGGUAGACAACGUUGGAGGGGCUGGUGAAGUGGUAGAUGUAAAAGUGAAAGGCUUGAGCACUGGUUGGAUACAAAUGACGCGUAACUGGGGACAACAGACUGGAGGAGGUUUGGAAGGAAAAAGUUUGUCUUUCCAAGUAACUACUAGUGAUAGAAGGGUGGUGGAGUCUCUCAACGUUGUGCCUGCCAAUUGGCAAUAAGGACAACAUAUGAGGGACAAAGGGAGAAACGUUUGUUAAAAUUCUUGUGGAACAAUAGUAGAUUGUGAAACUGAACACUGUAUUUGACAAAGUGUUAGUGGGUUAAAUAAAAUUAAUCUACAAGCAACAAAGAUCAUUUUGUGCGUUGCUUAAGAAAGAUCUAAAUGUAUGUAAUCUAAAAAUUCAACAAAAAUAAAAUUAUCUUCGUUCCUUAUCCAAAUUUGUCCAUUUUGCACAUGGAAUAAAGUCUUUUAUGGUUCUCGUUGGGGAUGAAACCGACUAGUGUGCGUGUGUGUGCGCCCGCGCAGAGAGAGGCCAAACCCUUCUUCUCAUGUAUUCUGAUCUUAACAUGAGAAACACUACAAGUCAAGCCUUAUUGAGCCCUCUAUGGCGAAAUUCACCAAUGCUUUCAAUCUGUUGGGCGAGAAGAAACUCAUAAAGAUUGUGGACGAGAAGGCAGACGCGUAGCUCCUAGAUGCGCUGAAAAAGAAGGCGGACACCAAAAAGAAGGCAGAGGAGUAGAGGAGGAAGAAGAGCAUCUGCAGCGCCAAACUGAUCCACUAAAUAAUAAACCAAACGUGAAUGGAAGUCUUCAGAGAAAACUGAGGAAGCAAAGGCAUAAAAACCAAUAUGAAAACAAUGCAGCAGAUGCCGAGUUUACUAGUACUACCGCGACUGUUCCUUCUGAGAACAAGUUUUUGGUUUCAAUCACUUUGAAAAGAGUACGAGAAGAAGGGAGAGAAUCACAAAGCCGCCACUGUAGAGCAGCCCCGACAGCCUGCAGAACAGCUUACUAAGUGGAAAGGGAGAUUUUAGCUUGAGUGCGAGGGAACAAGCACAUUGUUCUGCCCCGGAAAGUAUUUCAAUAUUUUGCAGAAUCUUCAAAGGCUGCCUAUAUUGACUUUGGCUCCACAUCACUAGGGUACUAAGUGUAAUUAACCCUUAAAAACGGAGCAAUCAUAAAGAUUAUAAAGUACAAAUAAUUGUUGACCAAAGUUUUUUUAGUGCUAAACCAAUAAAUUUAGGCCGGCUCAAAAUUUUCAUCUUUUACUAUUACACUAUUGCUCUCAAGUUUACCAACUACAACGACCUUUUGACGAUUAAACAUUUAAAUUACGUAUGGAUAUAAGCAUCUUCAUCAUUCCGCAGGCCAUUGACCAAUCUCUCUCUCUCUCUCUCUCUCUCUCUCACACACACACACACAACCAUGGAUUUCAUGAUAGAUGUGAAUCACCAGAGGAUCCAAACCAAUGGAAUAUGGCUUCAUGUAGCCGAAAAAGGGACAGGUCCUCUAGUUCUCUUGCUUCAUGGCUUCCCAGAACUCUGGUAUUCCUGGCGCCACCAGAUCGAAUACUUGGCGGAAAACGGCUACCACGUGGUGGCGCCGGAUUUGAGAGGUUACGGCGACUCUGACGCUCCUCUCAACCCCAACUCCUACACCAUCUUCCACAUAGUUGGAGACCUCAUUGGCCUACUUGAUCAUUUUGGUCAACAAAAGGUGAGAAGCUUUUUUUCGACAGAAGUGAUCUCCCGCACGACUUUUUUCUCCCAUGUAUAUUCUGACAUUUCGAUUGAAUAAAAUCAAACAAAGAACUAAGGGGCAAAAAUAAACAGGUACGGCAGAAAGGGAAAAGAGUUGUGCAGAAAUCAUUUCCUUUCUUGAACCCCAAUUAAAGAAAAUUUAAAAUUUUAUGUGAACAUAUCCAUGUUGUUAUGUAUGUGAGGGGUUUAAGGAUUUUUGAGAAUCUUAUGUAAUGGUUUGUGAUUUGAGAAGGCAUAUGUGGUGGGACAUGAUUGGGGAGCAGUUGCUGGUUGGAAUUUGAGCUUGUUUAGGCCUGAUAGAGUGAUAGGGCUGGUUAAUCUCUCAGUUCCAUACUUUCCACGAUCUCCAACAACCAAAACUACCGAAGCCAUAAGACAAAUUUUUGGUGAAGGAUGUCAUGUAAUUCAAUUCCAGGUACUUCCUUUCUCUCCAGAUGUUCGUAUCAAACUCUGCACCCACCCGAAAUGUUUAUGUUGUCAGACUGUCAUUGAUUGGGUUCUUACCUGAAUGUGUGGUCCAAAUUCUCAAUCUAACAAAUAUAUGUAUGCAUAUGUCACUUAAUUGUUGUUUCUUUGCUGAGAAGGAACCAGGAAGAGCAGAGAAAGCGUUCGCGAGGUAUGACUAUAUGACAGUGAUGAAGAAGUUCCUGUUGAUAACCAAUAAUAUGAUAGCUCCUCCUGACAUGGAGUUUAUCGAUUACCUGGAGACACAAUCUUCACUGCCGGCAUGGCUAACUGAAGAGGAUAUCCAGGUCUUUGCCGAAAAAUUUGAGGAGUCUGGAUUCACCGGUCCUUUGAACUACUAUCGCUCAAUGGAUCUGUAAGUUAAAGAAAUUUCUCCGUGUAUUCCCAAGCUGAAAUUGUUCCUCAAAAAUAUGCCUUAGGUACAACCACCAUAUGCUUGAAGACUUGUUCUAAUCCAAAUUGCUAUUAGAAUAUACUCGAGUUACCAGCAUCCAAGAAAACCAGAGAAUAUUUUUUUUUGAUUCUGAGUGAUAUUCUAAACUAAUCUAAACUGGGGAAAGGGUGAUUCGAACUUAAUGUAGACGAGGGAACACACUGCUCUAACUAACUUAUCUACGCUUAAAAUGAAGCCAACCCUCCUGUCCUGCCUUCCUUUUUGGUCUUUUUGUUUUGUUGGUUGAUGGUGAUACUACUUACCAUGAUAAACAGGACUUGGGAGCUGCUUGCGCCCUGGCAAGGAUCGAAAAUCAUGGUACCCGUGAAGUUCAUGAUCGGCGACAAAGACUUCGGGUUUAAAUCAGGCGGAACAAGUGAAUUUGUGCAAGGUGAUGAGUUCAGGAGCCUUGUCCCGGACCUUGAGGUGGUUAUUGUGGGCGGCCACCAUUUCAUCCAACAAGAGAACCCUCAAGAAGUCUCCAGCCAAAUACUUUCCUUCCUCCGUCAACAUCCUGCAGAUCAGUGAAAUUUUCGUGUUAGUGUGUUUCUGCUUCAAUGACAAUUUCUGCUUUCUGUAUAAUUAUUGUUCUUCUUAAGACAUGUUAGAAAUCUGUUUAUAACCUCAUUUGAUUGCUACUGGUGAAAUUUUCAUGGAAUUCUAGGGUAGGGACAACAUUGAUGCGGAUCAUAUCAUCGAGGAUGAUAUCAAUCAAUUUUCAACGUUGAAGGAUUAAAGUGAGAAGUUUUGUAAACUUCAGGAAUCAAUUACAAUAAAAAAUCAACUAGUUAGUUUGAGGAAGGAUACAAACCUUGUUCCACAAAAGAAGUGAAACUUGACACAAUACAAUACAAUCCAAUCCAAUUUACUGUUCAGUAUAAAUCAGUUCAAUGCAAUCCUAUAUGGCUGUCUUUUUAGUCAAAAUAGUUCAUGAGAUUGAUAUAACUCCUCACUUUGGUCCUUGAGAUUUGAAAACUAUAGAAGUGGUCCCUGAGUUUGUCCACAAUCAAUCGUUUUGGUCCUUCCAUGAAAAUCUCUGUUAAAUAAAAGACCAAAAUAACAAAAAUACUCUCAGGAACCAAUUUUAUCGAUUUUAAAUCUCAAGGAUCAAAGUGAAGAGUUAUACUAAUCUCGAAGGCCAUUUUGGUUAAAAAAUCAUCCCUUAAUCUAUACACAAAGAGAACAAUCUGUGAUAUGAAAACCCAAAUUAAAACGAAAUAAGAAAAAAAUAUUGUGAUGUAAGCAGAUGUCGCAUUUCCAAAAUAUAUUCACAAGGGCACAGUGAAACACAGAAAAAACCAUAACUAAAACACUUUUCUAUACAAGAAAGAAGCAAAAUUCUUGGAUGGCAGUUUCCAGGAAAAUGACAUAGAAAAGCACUAAAUUUUUUAUUCAAUGAAAUCAUCCAGUGAAUAUUAGUAUAUUUUUUUUACAAGAAGAUAUUUUAAAUUAUAUUAAUUUAUUUAGAGGGGGGUAAGGCUAGCCGACAUUCACCUCUCCCAGACCCUGCGUAAAGCGGGAGCCUUGUGCACUGGGUACGACCUUUAUUUAGAGGGGGGAUUCGAACUUAAAUAUAAGAAGACAUACACCGACCAACUAAUCUAACCAUAUUUAAAUAAAAUUAGUAAUUGGGUCAACAAAUUGGGAACCGGAUCCCCUCUGGAUCCAUAUAUACUAAGCUUGCUGAGCAGGUGAUCCGGGUUGUUAAAAUUUGAUCUAACGGCUACAAUUAUUAUAACUUUUAGAGGAUCCAUGUUUGUAGCUAUUAGAUCAAAUUUUAACGGGUCAGAUCGCUUGCUCAGCACACUCAAUUUUAUUGGAUCCGGUUCCAACCAAUUGUACUUUUCUACACCAUAACUCCCGUUCUUUCUCCCAAAAAAAAAAAAAAAAAAAAAAAAAAAACACUCACGUUGGAGCAUUUGAUACGUUACCCUCUCUGGUCUUAUUCAAACUUGUCAUCUUUGACUGUUUGACAACCAGAAUGUUCAAGUCACCAACUUCCCAAUCAUUUUUCUGCAAAUUGUACAUAGAAUAGUGAACUCUCUCUUUCUCUAUCUCUCUCUCUCUCGCUCUCUCUCUCUCUCUCUCUCUUUCUCUCUCUCAGGAAAUAUGAAUGAUGAGGUGACUCACCAGAGGAUCAAAACUAAUGGAAUAUGGAUGCACAUAGCGGAGCAAGGGACAGGGCCUCUGGUGCUUCUCCUCCACGGCUUCCCGGAAAUAUGGUAUUCGUGGCGCCACCAGAUCAGUUUCUUGGCUAAGCAUGGCUACCAUGUUGUUGCUCCUGACAUGAGAGGCUAUGGCGACACCGACGCCCCUCUCAACCCUUCCUCCUACUCCAUUCUCCACCUCGUCGGCGACCUUGUUGGCCUCCUUGAUCAUUUUGGUGGACAGCAGGUUUCUCUCUCUCUCUCUCUCUCUCUCUCUGAUUGUUUCUUUUACUUAACAAUUGUCGUUCAUGAGAUUUGAACUACGAUCUAACAAAGCGGAGAGUUGGGUUUUUAGCAAGAGAGUUUGAUCGUUUGUGUCUUGUUGGAAAAGGCAUUUGUUGUGGGACAUGACUAUGGAGCCAUUGCAGCUUGGCACCUGAGCCUUCUCAAGCCCGAGAGAGUCAAGGCCGUCGUUGCACUAUCUGCUCCAUACUUCGAAAGGUCUUCAAGCACUAGGAAUUCCGAUUCGAUGAGGCAGCUGUUCGGCGAGGGGUGUUACGUUCAUCAGUUUCAGGUUCUUUUACAGCAAAACACAAACAUGUAGAAAUUGUGUUUUAACAAAUGUGUGUUUUUAUGAUUGGAUUUUCUAUGGCGUAGGAGCCAGGAAGAGCAGAAAAAUCGUUUGCGAGAUACGAUUAUUUGACGGUGAUGAAGAAGUUCCUGCUGUAUAACAAGACAGAUUAUCUGGUGGCUCCUCGUGGAAUGGAGAUAAUCGAUUAUCUGGAGACACCGGCGGUGUUGCCGCCAUGGAUUUCUGAAGAGGACCUCCAAGUCUAUGCUCAAAAGUUUGAGGAAUCUGGCUUCACUGGUGCUCUCAAUUAUUUUCGUACAAUUGAAAUGUAAGUGUAGCCACAUUGGUCUCGUCUGUGCACCUAAGUUCAAAUCUUCCACUCCGAUAUUUAGAUUAUUCAACAUAGAAAUAGGAACAUGUCACGGGCUUGGUUUACCUGUUGCACCUGUCUCUUUGAACGUGACCUGACCUAAUCUCUCUUCACGCGGUUUGGUUUGGUGUUGGGGCUGGCUUAAUUGCAAUUGUCAACCCUAGAGAAUCUUCAAUGGCUUUUAGGUUUUGAUUUGGUGAUUUGAUGCUACCAACCAAAAUGGGUCGGAUUUUGGGUCGGGUUUACCCUACUAACCGAAGGGCUUGGGUGUGCUUAAUUCGAAAUGAGAUCCACUCCUGAUCUUUUUGUUCGGAGGCCGUAGACCAAAAGAUCCAGACCGUUCAAGAGAGAGAAAGAGAUCCAGACUAUUCAAGUUUUUGGAUUUUUGUAAAGUGGACCAGUGGAAUGGACUAAUGAGAGUCGUAGGAUUGAAAUCGAGUGGUCCGGUUCUCUCAAUCUGUGGGCUUCAGACAUAGAAAUCAACUUUACCAAUCACUACACACGCUUGAUUUAGCUUGCACAAUACUGUUGAUAUGCUCAAUCACUUUAAUACUCUACUCAGUCUCACGUCAUAACGUUCGAUGGUAUUCAAUGGCUUUUGCUAAUUUUUGACAGCUGUUAACUUUGGAAAUGGAAACAGGUACUGGGAGCUCAUGGGACCAUGGCAAGGUUCAAAGGUUAAUGUUCCAGCAAAGUUCAUUGUGGGUGACAAAGACAUUGGUAUUGAAGUUCUGGGCACAAUGGAAUAUGUAAAAGGAAGUGUUUUCAAGAGUCUUGUGCCGAACCUGGAAGUCGUGAUCUUGGACGGCCACCAUUGUAUCCAGCAAGAGAAAGCUCCAGAAGUCUCCGACGAGAUUCUUUCCUUCCUACGCAAGUUUUCUACAGAAAAGAGUUUGCCAGUCUAAAUGAGAGUUUUGCCUUACCUAUUUUUCAAUGUUAAUACAAUGUAUGACAUUUGCAAGCAUUUGUCCGUGAGUGAUACGAUUCGCAACUAUUUACAUGCUUUUCCAAAAAUACCUUCCGAUACUCUUUUAAGUUAUGAAAUUUCAACUGAGAUAAUGUUUGAUGUAGAAAGAGUACUCAAAAUUGAGGAUGAAGAGAAGAACCUUACUCGUUCGUUCUAGCCAAUUUUAGAAAUUUCAGUACAUUUUCGUAUACAAUAAAAGUGAUCGAAGAAGCAGGAACAUUUUUCAGAAGAUUUGGUGUGAUUCCCUUGUAGAAACCUCGAAUGCCCUCAAACCUACAAGCCGCAGCAGGAAAAUAUGGAAAUAGAGAAGUUAGCAUCCGAGACAAAAUCAAAGGGGAAUUUAUCAAAUAAGAGCAACUUAAUGCCUUCAAUAACUAGUCUUCUGCUUUCAUACGUUAAGGGUAAUUGUCAUCCUUACCGUGCAGUUUCCCUUACUACAUGCCAGCUAUCCAUAUAUCUUGGAAUUCCUUCGCUACUAGGUCGUUGCUGACAAAAUGAGACAUUAGAAAGUUCCAAUCAUCAAUAAGGAAUACGAGCGAAUAAAACAUGUAGAAUCACAAAGGGCAACUUCCUGAACCCAUCGUGAUAAUAAAAGCUCAAACUGUUUCAGACUGGAGAAACUUGCACGUAUUGAGACCAUGUAAAGAGGAAAAAUAUAUGGAUAUACCAACCUGCAAUCGAGAUCGUAUCACCUGAAAAAACAUGAAAAGAAAAAACCAGGUCAUCGAAACUGCAUAAGUAAUAAUCUAAAAUUGAAAUGAACAUCUAAAAGAAUUUUACACCAGAGCUAAUAAUAUGUAUUUAUGCGUGCCUGGAAUGGAUAUGAUAGAAGAAUGGCCGCAACUUUAGAUGAUCCACCCAAUGCUGCAUAGUCAACUGAAUUCUGUGCAGAAACCAUUGGGCCAUAAGAUUCCGUAAACAGGCUGCUUAAUUGGCAAAAGAGCAACAAACAUAUGUUACCGUGCAACAAAUGGUGGUCUACAUUGCAGUAGCUGUGCAAACACUUAUACUUCUCCUAGAUGCAUCGUCAGGAAUUUAAUAUGCUCAAGUAAAUCAAUAAAGCAAAAGUUCCAAAUUCUUCAGAUGAACUAAAGUGGACAAAAAAUUGAACGACUGUUCCCCUGUGAGUGCAAGUGUAGAUGAGAAGAAAUUAAACUGAUGAUGAUUUGAUAAGAUGGAUUCCCAUUUGUGAAACAUGUAGUGUAUAAUCCUACAGCACUCUUUAACAUGCUGCGAUGUUAAUGCCAUAGAUAGAGGAGAUGAACAGGCACAAGGAAUGUGUGCUUUUCUCAAUCAUGAAUGGGUAGGUAUAUUGAGCAGAAGAUGCGUACUAUAGUAUAAUCCAAAUCCUGUUAUUACCCAAAUAUCCACUUUUUUUUUCCUUUCUCUUUUACGAAUUUGUAGAACAAAUCUCAUUUCCCCACCAAUCUGGGAUUUCUUCAUUUGGAGCAGUAAAUCCUAACCAAUGACUAGAGGACAAAUUUUCCAACAUCCGAAAAGGACCACUAUAGCGAACUAUACAAGAUAUGGGAAUGUAAGUAAAAAAAUCCAGAAAUUCUCGAUGUAUAGACGGAAAUAGAGCCAUUCUAUAAAUACCAGCACUGUAUCAGCACUUCCAGAAUGCGUUCUGCGUCUUUUAGACUUGAAGUCAACAACGAUUUUACGGAGUUCUUCAUAUGCUGUGAAUUGAAUAGCACCAUGAGAAACCUGCUGAAACAAUAAGAAGACUGUAAGCUGCAAAUUCUAAAGCAUGAAAGACUGGAAACUUUUGGGCACAAUUGAGACAUGUGUAUACUCUAAUGCAAAUGCACUUAUAUGGUCUUAACAUACAAUUAAAUUUAGAAAUACAAAAUAAUCGCCAGAAGCACUUCCAUCUCUCCGCUCGGCAUUGUAAAUCAUUAGAUAUGUCAGAUACUCCCAUAUUUUUCCAUAACAAAUUCUUCACAUGUUUCUUCAGUUUCCUUUUGCAUUGAUUAACUCAAGUAUUUGACAAAAUACAGAGAUCAACUUGAGUAUAAAUUUCGACAAUCAUUUCAUGACAUCACAACUAUGAAUAUGGUUUUUUUUUUUUUUUUUUUUUUUUUUGUAGUGAAUUAGUGAUGCAUACAAGCUGUACAGAGAGGCUGUUAGUGUCUGUGGGGAGACAAGAAAGUAACCCCAAAUCCUCUAUACAAGCUGUACAAAGAGGGGUCAUAUUAAAAACACAAAAAGAUCAUAGACAAAAAGCAUACCAGAAAGAGACUGGGAAGAAGACCUUUAUAAAGCGCAGCCCACCCUUCCUCUCUGAUUAUGGUUCUUAAGGCAUCUGAGAUAUGAAAAAAAAAAUUAAAAAGCAAAGUAAAACAAAGGUUAUGAACAUAAGUACAUGAAGAAAAUUCUCUAAAACAGACACAUCACAGAUGAUUGAGCAAAAGUUUUUAGGUGAUAGUUAUUGCAAAUUCCCUUGAAUCGGGAAGUUUUAAGUUUGGUAUAUGCUUGAUAUCAUUAUGCUCAUCUUUCUAAAAACAAGUUAGCGUUAAAGCAAAGCAAACUUCAUUACAAUUACAAUCCUGUCAUAUUGUCUAUGUCCUACUUUAUAGCCAAUCAGACCAAUCUUAUAAAAUAGGUUAUCUUCUAAUUCUAGAAGUCCUCAUCAAUAAUAGUUUAUUUUCAGCACAAAUUAACAAAUAAGGAAUAUUUAGCAAGCAACAAACUAGUAAGUGAGCCGAACAAACUAAAAAGGGGAUAUUGCAGUCAUUCCUAUCAAGUUAAAGUAAGAUAAGAAGCAGACCAUAAAACCCAGAAUAUGGUCGAGUUUGAUGGAGAGGAGUCUGAAGCUGCAAUCUUGUUUUUACAAGCCAAAUAGGAUUUGUGCACAAGGAAACCUGACAAAAUCACAACAUUGCUAUCAUCUAUAGGCAACCAUCCACUAAACUUCUGGCUACCUUCUAAAAGUAUUGGAAAGAAACAGAAAGUGAUUUAUUAUUCCUCUAAACACUUCAUAUAAAAUUUCAAAGUUUGAAACAUAUUAAUGUGAUUUCCUAACUUCCCACCCUCCAACAGUGUCUUGAUUUCAGCAUACAAAAAGUUGGAUAACUAGCAAUAAUAGGCACGAUAUGCAAUAUGCACAUAGAACUGACAAGCAGGAUUGCAUAAAACUUUGAUAAUUAACAACCGAACGUUCCAUUAACAUUUUCUACAACCAUAUUAUUCGAAGGUAGCAGAAGACUCACCAAAGCACCAGCUUCUGCCGCAGAAGCAAGAUGAAGGCCAGCGCUCAGCUGCUUUUCCCUGUCCUUCGAAUACCUUUCUUUUGCUCUUCCAUAGCUACAUACAACAGAAGUUUUCGGUUCACUCAUAACUUCCUUCUGAAAACAAUGAAAAGACCAAAAUUGAAAGCAACCCAAUUUCAACUGCAUUGCGAAAGUCGAACCCUUUUGAUAUCUCAAUAUUUAUCAAAUAAAAAAGCUCCAAUUUUAUACUAGAAAAAACCAUACAUUUCUACUUACAAGAAGAAAUAUAAACCCCAUGAAACAGUGGAGCCUAGAACCGCAGGAGAGAAGCCUGCGUAGAGUCCUCUCAGGCCCUGUAAAACACAAAGCAAUGUGAUCCCAAAUCAUCAUCUGACAAAAAAAAAAAAAAAACCCCUGGGGCGUUUGCAGGAGGAUAGAUUUUUACCUCCAAUCGAGCAAUGGUAAAAAUGGCGUGAGCCGUGUUCUUGUAAGUCGGAAGAUUCAAGACUCGACCGUCGUUGACUUGAAAUCUGGUCCGGACAACGUCGAGGGGAUGCAUAGCGGCGACGGUGGCGAAUCCUGCGACGGCGCCGGCGGUGGCGGUUUCCCACUGCCACCGCGACGCUGACGACAUUUGUAUUUCACGACAGAUUUAGAAGACGAAUUGUACUCUUUAAGCUGUGCAGCUCUGAGUUCUGAAGAGUGAAGCGAGCAGGCUUUUCUAGGCGAUCGACCGCGACGUCGUCGUUUACGAUUUUAAAUCGAACCGCCAGGUAUUUUACCGGUAACGACUAACGAGUAACGAAGUGGCGGCUUUGCCUCUCGACUCUUGAGUGCCCUCAGCUGUGACCCAGACCGUGCCGUUGUGUGUGCAAGGUGCGUACUUGGUGUUUUAUAAAACUGGUAUCUUUCACAGUUUUUGGUGGAAAAAAAAAAAAAAUGUGAAGCAAUAAAAAAAAUGUGAAGCAAUAAAAAUAAACUUAUUUUCACAGCACAGUAGAAUUAGUUUUUUUUUUUUUCAAAACACAGUAAUAUCAAACCAGCUCUUAUACCGGUUUGUUAUUGAGGUGCUUUUUAUAAAAAGUGGGUAUCAAAAAAAGCUGAGCUCAAAAAGAUGUUUGGUAAACACUUAAAAACAAUUUAUUUUUACAACUUUUGGUGAAAAAAAAAAAAACUAAAAACGUGAAGCAGCAUAAAUGUUGGAUUAUAUGUUGAAUGUUGGAUUAUGAUUUCUUGUUAAACGUUGGAUUAUAUGUUUAAAAUAAAGUUUAUAAAUAUUUUUCUUUUAAAAAUAAAGUAUAUUUAGUAAUUCACUUUUAUUUGUUAAGAAAAUUAAAUUAAUGGCACAUCUAGUAUUAUACUAUUUUUUGUCAUUACACACAAUCACAGCUGUUUUACAUAAAAGUUUACCAAACACUAUAAUACUGCUUUUUUCCAAAAGCACUUUUACAAAAAAGUUUAACAAACACUCUGCUGCUUUAUUUCACAGCUGCAUACUCUCACAGCACAGCAGAAACGGUUUUUUAUUUCAAAGCACAGCAAUACCAAACUAACCCUUAAACAGUGUCGUUGGAAAGUGUCUAGACUAGGCUUAUUUUCAAACUAAUUAGGUCCUAUCCUUCGAAGUGAAAUUAGUCACCCUAGGAUAAUUCAAGUUUUGAAACCUCAAUAGAUUUUGGGAUUCUGAAUUUUAACAUACAUUUCAAUUCUAAUACAAAUUGUCUCGAAAGUUUUUGGCAUACGAGACUUCGGAUGUCAAAUUUGAUUCGGAUAACGCCAAAUUUGAAAGCUUUCGUAUAAAAACUUAACCAAUUCAAAAUUGUCUAUCCAACUUGCACUCCAUAGUUCCCAAUUUUUCUAAUACUCAAGUGCAACUAGGGUUUAGACCGACGAAUAUUAUAACUGGUCCACAAAUUUCAAAUCCUGGAUCAAAUUUUAAUCCAAACCCUGAUUGAACUUAUUGCAUCGGAAGAAAAAUUGCUAGUUUCAACUCAUCGUAUUUGAAUUCACUUCGUAGUAAGUAUGGUAUAAAGAUAUGUUAAAUUGAUGAUAAGUAAGCCCGAACAGACACAAGAAAGAGGCAUAGGUUCGCACUACGGAAUUCGCAAUAAUGUCCCUCAUGAUCUCCCACCAUUCACAAGACAAGAACCUGCAGCCUCAUGCGCUGCCGCGCUAGCCCAAGAAGACAUUGCAGCACAAGGAAUGCCUGAACAACAACAAGAACUUGGACUAAGUUGGCUUUUUGGAUAUUCUGUACCUCCUCAUCUCCUGCCACCAGUAGCAAGCCUUCGACACUCCAUUCUGUUGAGUCCCACGUUGGCUAUACAAAAAGAGAAAUAAUAGUUUAAAUAUCAUAACUCUACUCCAACUAACACUGAUGUCUUUUGUGAUAAAACUCCACACCUGACGGAUUGUGCAGGUAAUAAUUACCAAGUUGGGGAUAGUAUUGGUGUUGUUGGAAGUGGGCUCUUGGCCCGUUUCUCGGAUAAUUCUACACAUUCAGUUUCAAGAACCUGCUGCCCCUCAUGUCUUGCAAGCCAGGAAAGCCAUUGCAACGCAAGAACUAGGGCCAGGUUCGUACUGUGAAACUCAGAACUCUGUACCUAAUGAUAUCCCAUCGUUUCCAAUCCUCAAGAAUUCAAUUCAACUUCAAAAGCCUGCCUGCUCCACAAGCCCAGCAAUCCCAAAAAGCCAUUGCUGCUGCACAAGAACAUCCAAAACUGGAACCGGGAUCUUAUUAUAAAAACGUCAACUACGUGCCUCCUGAUAUCCCACCGGUCCCAAGCAUCCAACACCUGAUUCAAAUAUGCAGCAAGCCUUUUGAGAAGCAGUUGGCAAAAAACGAUGUGACGCGAGAGUUAAGGCUGAAGGAUUGUGAUGUGGAAACGCACAUCUUGCCGUUGUUGAACCCGUCUGAGGACCCUAAACAAGGAAUCUGGAUCACAGUAUACGACAUCGCUGGUAGUGAGUACAAGAUGAUGUUUAAGGCCACAAGAGUCCGCAAUAAUAUUCAAGCCCUUACCAGUGUAGGUUGGAAACAUUUUGUUGAACAUCAUGGCCUGGUGAACUGCCAAGAUUUUGUUACCCUGUGGGCGUUCAGGAAUGCACAAACUGGAAAGCUAUGCUUUGUCAUCUGUUUGAGAUAUGGACUGCAGCAUGAAAAGGUCUAAAAAUGUCGAUGAAGUUUCAUUUGGUUCCGGUUCCAUCGACUUGUAAUUUUGAGGUGUACACAUGGAUCAAGAUCAUUUUUGUGAACCAAUUUAUCAAAAUGCUCGGUGUAACUUUAGCAAAGUAGAUAUCAUAAAUUCAACUUUGUGAAUCAAUUUACGAAAAUGCUAGGUCUACAACAGUUGGUAAAGUAAACGUAAUGAAGUAGAAGAUAGGACUGAAUGUAACAAAUCGAAACAAAACUUGUGCAGAUACAUUAUUCUUACUCAAAGAAAGAUGAGCAAAGCAACUGUAUCGAUGAAUGCCUUUCAAAAAACGAAUGCUUUUCAUCAUGAAGAUCUCCUAAUAGACUCGGUUAACUGCACUUCCACUGUGAUGAAUCACUAUUUUGCUACUCUACAUUUUAACAAUCCUUGCCACCUGAAACUUGAACUUCUUCAAGCAUCUCUCCUCCUGGAGAGUCACCAAAAGAAAAUAUAAACCAUUAGGUACUGAAGUUGCAUAACCACAUCAAACCAGAAAAGAGUGCAGUAACGUGCAACGAUAACAAGUGCUGUCAAAAACCAUUUCCUGAAACCAUUGACAAGUGAUUUGGCCGAGUGGGUGAUACCAUUGUGCACUUAUGUGUACUGCAAAACUGACGUGUAGCCGUAUGCACAUUCGGACACUCAAAUAAUUUCCGAGGUAAACACAGAUUUUCCUACUAAUUCCUCUAUGACAUUCUCCAGCUCCCCAACAAGGUCAUGCUAUAAAGCCCUAAAUACCAAGGAAACCUAUUCACUAUUUAGAGACUGGAUGAACACUGGAUUCGGGACACGACUCAAAACUCAUAGUACCUAUAUAACAUCCCUAAAUUCUCAGUAACCUUUACAUAUGAACAAUAAAUAGCCUAAGACUAGCCGUUAAUCAUACUGAACAAAGCUGGAAUUCUAAACCAGCAUGCUACGAAAACUUUCCGGGUUACCGAUCCCUGAAAAACAACGAAAAAGCUCAAAAAGGGUUUAUAGCUCCUACAGCCAAACUACAAUGCACACCAUACAUUCAAACUUCAGUUCACAAAACGCAGGAGCAGAAUUCCAGAAUUUACCUCACUCCAUAGAAACUUUGGCACCAACUUCCUUCAUCUUGGCAACAAUCGAUUCGGCCUCCUCCUUCGUAACCCCCUUCUUCAACAGCGUAGGCGCCUUCUCCACCAAGUCCUUGGCCUCCUUCAGCCCCAAAUCCGUAAACGUCCGCACCUCCUUAAUCACCUUGAUCUUCGCCGCAGCGUCGAAAGAAUCGAGCUUUACAUCAAACACCAACUUCUCCGCCUUCUCCUCGCUUUUGGCCGCCGCCGCGCCGCCCUUUCCGGCCCCCCUCAAGCCGCCGAAUCCCAUCCCGGGCAUCAUCAUCACCAUCCCCGGCAUCUCCUUCACCCCCAAUUUCUCCCUCAGAACCUCCGUGAGGUCCGAGACUUCGAGCAAAGUCAGGCCCGAGAUCUCGUCCGCGAUCGCCGAUACCGAUUCGGACGGCGGCGGCGGCGUCUGCUCCGGUACAGCGGUGGUGUAAUUGCACACUACAUGAGAGAAAAUCUGGGGUUUCGAUUGGAGAGACGAAAUGGGAAUAGGAUUUGGGGGGUUUAGGGUUUUUUUAAUGCAGGAAAAAUGUGGGGAAAUGAAUCGUAAAUAUCUCAUUUUUUUGGGUUCGGGAAUGCGAUUUUAGGGAAUUUGAGGUAGCUAUCUGGGCAUGGCGGUUGUCGUCGGAGCAUAGAAUUUCAGAAGGUUGGUGGGUCCAUGGCUUUGAAGCUCUCAGAAAAAGAGUGAAGAGUGAUUGGUAUGGCGCGAGUGGGAGUAACCCGCUGAAGCCUGCAGGCUUAAACCCUACAGGGACGAAGGGUUAUGUUUUGGGCUUUGUGAAAUAAAAUCAAUUAUGAGCCCAAAUCCGUUUUGGGGCCCAAGAACACCAUGUUCUUGUUUGUACAAAAUAUCCGUCGAUGUGGUGUCAAAUAAGUAGUGGAUCAAGAGUAAUGGUAUUCUUACCGCAAUUUUAUAUUACAUUUAUUUACCAUCUUAGGUGGCAGAUGAGUUGGACAAGUUACAUCAUUUAAUUUCAAUCUUUUUAUUAAUUAAGGCGGUGUAGUCAAACUUGGAUUUGAAAGGAUUUAAAAGAUUUUAAAAUCCUAAUCUAGUCAACUAAUGGAUUUUAAGAAUCCAUAUAAAUCUAGGUGUAGUCAAUGAAGAUUUUAAUAGUCAGUUUUAAAGUUCACCCAAAUCUAGAUGUAUUCAAAAAUUAAAGAUUUUGUAGGAUUUCAUUAAGUUGUGGAUUUUGUAUGAAUUCAUUAAGUUGUGGAUUUUGUAGGAUUUGAGAGGAGGAAGUAUAUAUAACAAAUACCAAAUAGAAUCCUACCUCACACCAUAGGAUUUUAAAUCCUAGUUAAACGACUCCUCUUCUUCUCAUUGCCAGUCACUUUCUUUGCUGUAUCUUCUUCCUUCAUUUUUGCAAUAUUUUCUUCAAUUUUUGUUGUUGGGUUGCAUCAUUUUAUGCAAUUUUUUCUUCAAUUUUUUGUUGUUGGGUCGCAAUCUUUCUUCAUGUCCGCAAUGUUUUCGUUGCUGCUGGACCCUCAUGCUAAUUGCUGCUACGUGUGCGGCAUGGGUUCAUGAAUGAAUAAGGUGACAACGAUUGAAUUCGUUUCUUCAUGUGUGCUUAUUUAUGCUUUUUUUGUUGUUGGGUCGCAAUCUUUCUUCAUGUCUUCAUGUCUACUUAUUUAUGUUUUUUUUUUUUGGGUACCAUGAAUGAAUUCGUUUCAUUAAUAAAUAUCAAGAAUAAAUAAGGUGACAACGAAAGGGAUAAGAAUAAAGUGAGGGAGGAAGUAGGAUUGGAAAUGGGUGCACUGGGGAUCUUUGAGGAGUUAGGUUUAUGUGAUAAUCUUGACUUCUUUUUUUUCGGCUCCAAGGGAUGCAGCUCCAGAUCAUGAACAGUUUCAUUUGAUUAAAUUUACCUAGGUACAUUUAUCACCAUUUGAUUUAUUUGAUGGUUAAGAUUCAACAUUACAAAAUCUUUCAUUAAAAUCUUCUCAAAUCUUCCAAAAUCUAUAGGAUUUUGUAGAAAUCUAUAUAAUCCUAUGAAAUCCAUCACGUAUCAAAAUCUAUUAAAAUCCCCUCAAAUCCAAGUUUGACUACACCCCCCUAAAACACUUAAAUAAUCUUAGGUGGAAGAAGGAGACUUCUUGUAUACCAUAAUCAUCAUUUAAUUAACAAUCUUUUUAUCAAUUAUUGAUUAACAUUUUGAAAUUAAAUGCUAAUUAAUUUAGAUGAUAUGGCUGUCCACAUCAAAUGACACCUUAGGUGAUACAAAAUUAUGGUAAGAAUAGCAUUAUUGGUGGAUCAAACUGUUUCAUGUGAGUUUUUAUUUUCAUGUCUUAAUAUAGAAGACUAUGUCUUGGCGCUAUAUGAAAUAUGAAUAUUAAUUAAUAAUAGCAUGACACUUCGAAUUCGAUAUGAUAAAUUUUUUUAAACCCUUAAAUUAUGUAUCGAAAGAGUAGUAUGAGAUAAAAUGUAUUUCCGAUUUUAUCUAAUCUAUCUGGAGGCCUAUUUUAGUGUCACAAACUUUUUUUGUUUUCAUGCCGGGAGGCUUUUAACAAUAUUUAGUGUAACAUCUCACAUCGCCCAGGGGAGUGAUCCUUAAAUGUAUAUUCUCAUCCUUACUUAGCACGAGGCCUUUUGGGAGCUCACUGGCUUCGGGUUCCGUCGGAACUCCGAAGUUAAGCGAGAAGGUGGCCAGAGCACUCUCAUGAUGGGUGACCCACUGGGAAGUUGCUCGUGAGUUCCCAGAAACAAAAUCGUAAGGGAGUGGUCGGGGCCCAAAGCAGACAAUAUUGUGCUAUGGUGGUGGAGCGGGGCCGGGAAGUGAUCCACCCCGGGCCGGGAUGUGACAUUUAGGUUAUGAAAGAAUAUGAAAAAAAAAAAAUCUUGUUAUUUUAUUUGAAAAAAAAAAAUAAAAAACUUUGGGUCUCAGUUUUUUAUUCCUAACUCAUAGCCUUCAAGUGAUUUUUCUUCAUUACUUAUAGGCGCUUAAUAUCGACACAUAUUUAACUGUUAAAUUUAAUUUAAUUAUAGAAAUUAAAUGACCAAAGACAGUUAAAUCAAAUACAACGGUCAAAUAUGUGACUAGGAACGGAAGAAAAUUUCCAAAAAGCCAAAUGAAUGAAGAAAAAUGGUGCAAUUUCCAUUAAAUUUCAUCAAGUGAUGCCCAUAAUUUAUCCUUGAAAUCACAAAAUACACACACACACACACACAAAAUGCCCACAAUUUAUCCUUGAAAGCACAAAAUACACACACACACACACACACAAAAAGAAGAAAAGCGAACUCCAUACAAAUUUCCAGCACCCUCAUAAGCUAAGAGUUAACCUUCCUGCAGCUCUUCCUAAUCUCUCCCCUCGACCCCGUAAUCGGAGAAAUAUUCCCCAUCUUAACCAUGGACUUGGCAAACUGCUCAAAGAAAAGCUCAUUGUUCUCUGCAUACUGCUGCACCAACUGCUUUGACACCUGACUUUUCGUGACGAGAACUUCGUCCGAGUUCAGAAGCCCCUUGAUGGCCAGCAGGUUCUUGAAGUAGCUGUUGUCGAACUUUGUAGGGCUCACAAAGUCCAUCACGAACAGGUUCUGGUCCCCGCCGGAUCUCGGGCACCUGGUUCGAAGCUGGGCGGCGUAGGACUGGUCGAGGGUGAAGUCAGCCAGACCGUUGCCCGACUGGUUGUAGAGCCUCUGCCUGAAGGAGGUGCACCUGGCAUUUCCAAUGGUGUGGCUUCCUGCAUGAACACAAAGUUUAGCGCAUGUUAAUAUUUGGGUAAUUUUUAUUUUGCAUGUUGGAGUUGUGUGGCUAGAUACAAGUUAAAUGUUAGUGAUUACUAAUAGCACCAAAGUCUUUUGAGAUAGUACCCGACGGAUUUGGAUCCUCUCCGAGGUAACUGGUCAAGAUCCUCCUGACCAGUAUUCGUGAACCGUUGGAUUUUUAUCCAACGGCUACAAACAGGGGACCCUCUAAAAGUUAUAAUAAUUGUAGCUGUUGGAUAAAAAUCCAACGGUCCACGAACACUGAUUAGGAAGAUCUCGACUAGUUGUCUCGGAGAGGAUCCACUGUCAGACUAGGUGGGCUCCAACAUAGUGCAAAAAUUGGGAAAUUAAUCUCUUGGUGCUAAUUCUUAUAAAGUUCAUCCACUUUGUGAAAAUUAACCUAUUUCACCCUAGUGAAAAUUGGCCCACUCCACCUUAAUAACAUCGAACAAAGUUAAUCACUCAACAAACAUUGACUGUAAAAGGAUAAAUUAUAGUCCACUUCUAUGAAAAUUCUUGGUUUUGCCCUUGAAGGUUAAAUUUGAGAUUAAUAUCGGUGAUACCCACACCGAUUUUCUGUAAAACAAGGUAGUAUAUAUAAAAUGGUGUGUUGGGAAAAAAUUUACCAGAUAGUGCAACAAGAUCAACAAUGUCGAGCUUUUUCAAUUUGAACUUGGUGAGAAUAGUUUGGAAUGUGUUGUUUGGGGCAGGAAUGUUGUUGUUGGAGCCACUCAAACUUGCUCCUCUUGAAUCCCUUCUUCCAAGUGGGACCUCCCAGUUUGGCCCACCAGUCUGAAAUUUUAUGCAACAAUUGACAGACAGCAUAUGUUAGAAUUUAGGCUUUUGUCACACACCAUGCAACUUACAAAAAAAGCUAAAAUUUGUAGAAGCACUUACCAGAACAGUUGAGUCUCUAGCAGCAAGAGCCAAAAUGUCAGCACAAGACACAGUGCUGGGGCACUCAUUCUCCAGUGCAGACUUGAUUUCGUCAAUCACUUCGAACCCUCGCGCUGAAUUCUGGUUCGGGACAGACCUCUUUUCGGUGAUUAUGUUCUGGCUGCUGUCCAGCAGAAGUGAUGCAUCACAACCCUGCAAAAUAGGUAGCAAGUAGCAAAACAAUCUUAAGUACCUCACUCACAUAGAUGUACGUGUAACUAGAAGUAACUGGGACACUUUUUGUGAUCGUAUACCUUCACGAAACAGUCAUGGAAAUGCAGCCUGAGCAAAGAAGCUGCCAUUCGGGUUUCCCUAGCAACUGCUUUCGCAACAACGGACUUGACAAUCUCUUUGGCUCUGGGGCAGGAGCGGUCAUAAAACUGUGGGUAGAGAUACCCACCAGGAGUUUUGUCACAGAAACAUAGUGGAGAAAAUGCAAGAAGAGAAAGAGCAAGAAGGAAGCUCAAAGAGUUGGCCAUAAUAAUGUGGUUUCUUGGAGAAGAAGACUUGAAAUUUGAAGACUUUGGUUUGAUGAAUCCUUUGGUUGGAUUGAUGAAAUUUAUAGAGGGGACUUUGUCGGGGGAGAGAGAGAGAGAGAGAGAGAGAGAGAGAGAGAGAAGCUGCAUGGAGUUGGUAGCUUACGAUUGCAAGCUGCUACACCAGUAGACAGGAUCAAAAGAGAAGGUUGGAGUGGUAGCUUUCAUGCUUUUGGCAGAUGACAAAUCAUAAUUAUGGUAACUUCGUUUCUAAUUAAGAUGAUAAUAAGUUAGAAGGUCUAAGCUUGUUCUAGAGGAACAAAUCUUUUUGACUCACAAUGCAAAACUGCUAGACAUAAAAAAAUUUACAGUGUGAUUAUGAAAAUUUUAUAGUGUGAUACUGGAAUACAAUCAUGUGGUAUAAUCAGUCUACAUGUCACAAUAUAAACUAACCACGGUUCUUUAGAGUUGAAUGGCUACAGUAUCAAUCAAAUAUUCAUGAUACCAUAACACAUGAACUGGCUAUACCACACGGUAUUUUAGAUUUGGAAUCCGAAAUCCAACUAGAUUGACAUGUAAUCAUUAUAAAGAAACAUUAAAGCCUCUUUCACUUCAUUAGGAGAUUGGCAUCUUUUAUAUUUUCAAAAUGAGAAUACUUCAAUAUUGGUGUUCGAUCACAUCAUUCAUAAGUACUCUGAGCAAAAACGAGGAACUCCAUGCAUUUAGUUUCACCUGAUCCCGAACUAGUUCCGCCUAGUGUAAAAAUUAAAUGCCCAAGUUCCGGCUCCCCGAAUAUGCUUGUAUCAAGGGAAAAAAAACCUAGUAUACAUGUCUUGUAUUAUUGUUUGCUUUUGCCUUCCUUACUAAUUCAUGAGUUCACAUUGAUUCCAUUAGUUGGUUAAUCAUUAAAUUUUUCCGUUAUCAUGAAGCUUAUAUGCUCGUGGCUUUCUGAGAAUCAAUAAUUUUCAUAGAUAAUUGUUGCGCGUUCAAUGUGUUGUCCUGUUACAUACUUACACCUGUUUGGGCAUGUUAGAAAACUUGGAUUAAUCCAAAGAAUAUGAUAACGGGAAUAUUAGGUUAAUCUGGACGGUCCAAAAUCUAUAAUAAAGAUAUCGUAGGCUUGGUAGGAGAACUACUUCUAUAAGCAUCCCUUAAUUGCAAAUAAAAGCAUAUGCCAUUACAUAUAGCAAGUAUAUCCCUAACAUUGCACUUGACAUAUUAACGAACAAGCAUAUGACUAUUUUGUCUAGUCGCAUUCAAUUUUUACUUUGUUAAAGAAGAUUCUAAUUUCAAAGCUCAUAAACGAUAUUUGUUAAUUAAAAAAAAAACAUGAUAUGAAUUGAAUUCGUUUGACUCACAAUAUCACCGUGCUAUGACAAUUUGAUCUCGUUGAAAGACAAACAUUUUGCAGUGAAACUUCUAAACCUUUGUGUGUUAUACUAGUACAAGUUAGCUGAUAUUCAGCGUGCUAUGAAAAUUUGAUCUCGUUGAAAGACAAACAUUUUGCAGUGAAACUUCUAAACCUUUGUGUGUUAUACUAGUACAAGUUAGCUGAUAUUCAGUGUCAUGACGGUCAAAUUGCACCAUAUCUUCUUUCAUUGGGCCUCGGUGUUCCUCGAGUAGGAGUAUGAGAAGGUGAACGUUCCCAAGAGGCUUCACUGGCAAAGGCAGUAUUAAGAUCUUCGUGUCGGGUGUAACUUUGCCUUGUGUCACUCACCUAUUUUUGUAUCCCCAAAUUAAGAACCAUUAGAAAGUAUACAGUGGACAUGGGCACUGAUUAAGCUCAGUUGCCUUGUAAGGUUUCUCUACAAUUUAAAACUAAAGCAUCUUGCAGCAGGAUCUAUUUGUUCCUAAGAAUUCGAGUCUAACAAAGAAAUGUUCUAGGACAAUGCAGGGAAAUUGCCGUCUUAACAAUCAGAAAAAAUCAUGAUGAUUGUCCUCAUAAAACCUAUACAUUUACCUAAGGAAUGGUGCCCAACAUGCUUCAGUUCCCCCCGGGCUUAUGGUUGAGCCCCUUAUUGCAUGGUCCGCUUUACGUUUUUAAGAAAGCAAAGAGUACUCAUCAUAAGAAUAUUGUUGAUUAAAUAAUGGGCUCGUUUGGAAGGGUUUUUAAAAUGAUCGAAAACGCGUUUAAUGAAAAUGUUUUUGGGUUCGAAAAACACUUGAAGUGCUUCAUUCACUUGCAUUUUUAGUAAGGAUUGGUCUCAAAAUCAUUUUAACAAAAAACGUUUUCAGUUAUUUAAAAAGUACUUCCAAACGAGCUUGAUAUUAUAUUUCGGCCACAUAAGUAGUUUAAAUUCAUUAGCCUCUCAUAUGCAUAAGUCAUAAGGCAACCAAUCAUUUGCUAAGUCCAAGGCAUACAACAUAAAUCUUAAUGCUAGUGAUGUAUGCUUACAGUUUCUAAACAAGCAGAUAUAAUUUGUCAUGCCCGGCAAUGCGUCUAUCCCACGCUGUAUGUGAUCAAGCGUAAAUAUUAAACAUAUAACUGAAGACAUACCAAUUGAGCCUACGAUGACAAACUGGAAAUUAAAAAACCAUCCAAGAUAUUGAAGCCAAAGAAAUAAGGCCUACCUUCUGUUCAACUCGAGUCUUGUAUAUAAUGUUGGAUAUAUGUCAACAAUCUAUGAUAAACUUGCAUAUACUAAUAAUAAAUAUAUUACAGAGAAUAAACAAGAUGAAAUAUUAUUUAAGCAGAGAAACAGAAGAUCGAGGCUUGCGUACUGCAAUGUUUUUGAAACAAAAAUUUCGUCCAUACUCAGUGCUUGUAGUUUUACAGACGUCUGCUUCACCAAGAUUCAACGAUCUAAGUUAGAAUUCCAACACCGGAAAACUAGACUUCUGGCGAAUUUGUUUGUGGUACUCUUAGUAUGCUUGGUAUAUAAGGAUUGAUGAUUUUCAGUGUAUUGAAUGAUAUGUAGAUGCAUGUAUUUAUAGUGAGCAUAUGUCUAUUUGCAACAUACAUGUUUUUAGGAGGCGACUGUUCAAUGCAAAUGGUGUGUUGCUUCAUGUGUUUCUCAGAUAUGUUCAUAGGCUCUCAGACUUCAUCUGAAAGGAUGAGUUUUUUCAUAAAAAAUAAUUUAAUUAAAUUCGAAAUUAAUUAAAUUUUUUAAUUUUCAAAGCCUGGCGAAUUUGUUUGUGGCACUCUCAGUAUGCUUGGUAUAUAAGGAUUGAUGAUUUUCAGUGUAUUGAAUGAUAUGCAGAUGCAUGUAUUUAUAGUGAGCAUAUGUUUAUUCGCAACAGACAUGUUUUUAGGAGGCGACUGUUCAACACAAAGGGUGUGUUACUUCAUGUGUUUCUCAGACAUGUUCAUACACUCUCAUACUUCAUCUGAAAGGAUGAGUCUUUUCAUAAAAAAUAAUUUAAUUAAAUUCAAAAUUAAUUUUCAAAGCCCUCCCCCCAGGCCCAUCUAUUGAUAAUUACACCCCAAAGCCCAACCUCAAGGGUGAGUCCAAUUUUAUUCUCCAAGAUCCAUCACUCAAAUUACUUUUUAUAAGGGACAAAACCUUAUAAAGUGAGGAAAUCUUGUGGUGGUGAGCAACGUGGGAUAAUGAAAUUCUAUUCAAAAUUUCUAACAUAUAAACCCUCCACAACAAAACAGUGUCGAUGAUGCAGUGAAUCUGAUCUGAGACAGAUCGCUCAAACAUCAACUUCAGCUAAAAAUAAGGCUAUACUGGAUUGAUUAUAAGGAUGUGUAUGAUAGACCCCCCACCGUCCCUCGCAAAGCGAGGAACCUUGUUGGCUUUGGGUCGCCUUUUUAAUCUGUUUGUUGCCAUUGAAUGCCUAUACAGCAUACGAUGCAGUUGCUCACAUCACAUGUUUUAGUUAUCGAAUUUUAUCAUGGCAAUUGAUAAAUAUUUGUAGUAUGGAUAUUUUUCAGUAGGAACUGGCUUACUUGCAGGAUACACUCCAAAUGUAGCCCAUCCCGUUGUAAUCUCUCCACUUUUGCGCCUGCCUAUGUUCUGCGAUUGAGCAAACCAAGCUCUUUCAGUUGAUAUUAUUACAAACCACUACUGGUAUCAAUUUUCAAGACAUUUACCCACUCAGUCAGCCAAUUACAUUUCACCAGCAAGUUCGACUGCAAGAAGUGUCGCUUUAAUACGAUUUGGCACAUUGCAUCUCCAGAACUUGUUCUCUUAAGAUAGGUUAUGUUUCUCCACAGUUUGAAACAUGAGAGUUUUAAGAGAGCAAUAUGAGCUUACCGCACAUUUUGGCAAGCAAAAACUGGAUGGGCUCAUAACCCUCCACUGGGUAGUGAUAUUUAACUUCAUAUGGAGUAUCACGUGCCCUUUCACCUGAAAAUUACAAAUAGGAAUUAAGAAGACGUUGUUGUAACUUGUAAGGGAUAUCAACACCCACUGCAGUAAAGAUACCCUUACAUCUCCAUGCAACAGUUGAGAUUGUGGGUGAGGGUGACAAAGUUGGAGGGGGGCUCCCAGUUGCUCCCGACCCUAAUAACUUAACAUCCAGGCCAUUUUCUGGUAAGACCUGCAAAUAUUUAAUCAAACUGAGGACAGAUAAUUUGAACAUUUUAUUUACUUAUAAAUGGUUUUGCAUGCAUCAAAGUGUACGGAAGCCGAGCACCUUAAUAUUAGGUCUUUGCACCAAAGUGGAAAAGGAAGCAAUAUUGCAGCCAUAGAAAGGGUUACACGUCUCUGUUCGGUCCCAAAGCUGCAAAAUGCACUUUAUAGGUCAGAUUGAUGGAGGCUACUUUUUUCUUUUCUGGUUUAGGGGAAGGAGAUGUUAAACGACUCAUCCCAUACCUAAACUCGCAGUGAGACUUUUCAUAGCCUAAUUGAGUCAUGCCAUCGUAAACCUGCAAGUUCACAAAAGAUACAUAUUAGUCCCCAAGCUAACAUUCAACAUGCAGCAUGUGUUGGAUAAUUAGGUGAUGCAUAUUCUGUCCACUUCACACAUUUUCGGUGUUCAUUCAUCUUCAGAAAAAUAAGAUCAAAUAUUCAAAGUUGGCGCAAUAUGUAAUGAUUGCCUCAACAAAUAUUUAACGUUACAUUUUACCAUAAUGAAUUGACAAUGAAUUGAACUGUGGAGGAAUUAAACUUUGAAUUUUUGUUCAAGCUGUUUUAUAUAAUAGUAAAGGGGUGUGCUAUUUACACACAUUUUUUACUUCUCACACAUCCCUUAUUAAUUUAUGUUCUUUGAUCUUUUUCAAUUGAUCUGAUCUGGUGACCGAAAAUUAGAAGAGUGUGUGAGAAGUAAAAAUGGGUGUGUGGAUAUCACACCCCAAUAGUAAAUGAGAAAGCUUAAAACUUUUUAAAAUAAUGCGAGGAUAUAAUGGGUAAAAGGUGAAUUGGUGAUAAAUUGUUAUUCAAAAUUAAGAGCUAAAUUUAUGGCAACAAUUGUUAUUGUCACUUUAUCAUUGACUUGUUUAAUACAUAUUUGAUAAUUAACCAUGUCUGUAAUUUGAUUAGUUUAUUUUGUUUUUUUGCAUGAUUAUUUUAAAAUGUAUAUAAUAAAAUUAUGUUAAAUUCAAAAAAUUUUAUUGUUAGAAAUUCAACAGCCUAGAAAUAUAGCAGUUGAAAAUCCAACGGUUCGGAACAUACCAAGUCGCCCCUCUCAAUCGGGUGUGAGGGCGUCUGCCAAGCGGGCCUCGCUACCUACUUUUGGUUGGCCCAAAAACUUGAACUCUUGCGAACCGCACGUGCCUGACCCAAAAUCUCACCUCAAACGGACAGGCGCGUGAGAAUGGCCCGAUUGUUAGGUCUGGGGGGUUGGGCCCGCUGAAUGGCCCCAAGGUAGGCUGGAGCUGUUUUUGCUGGAGUGGGAGGAUUGACUCACUCAAUUGCAAGGGCAAUUCAAAGAGGUGGAGGUGGAGUUGCUCCAACUACUCUGCAGACCAAAAAAGGGUAGAGAAAUUUUCCAAAAGUAAAAGAAGAAAAAAGAGAAAAGUGAAAAUUGAUGACAACAACAAACAAGUGUUAAAAAUUGGAAGAAAAGGGAAAAAGGAAAAAAAACAACCCAAAAAUAAAAAGCCACAAGAAACCAUAUUCCAAAAUGCAAAUUCCAUUCCAUUUUAUAUUUUUCCAAAUUCCUAAAACAAACAAAAAUAAGGAAAAUUAAUAAAAAUAGUUUGAAAACUUUGUGUUUUAACGAUAAAUAUAAAAUAAAAUGUAAAGUAAAUAGUAUUAGAAUUAACCUUUUAGUGUAAAAAUAUAAUUUUUUAUUAAAAUGAACAGUACUGGAAGAUUUUCGUUAAAAUUUAAAAAAAAAAAAAAAGCAAAAAAGCAUUGAAAAUUCCAAAAAACAAAAACAAAAAGGCCUCCAAACACUCCCACACACAAUAGAGAGAAGCAGCACCUCUCAACCUCGAGCUCCGCGCUCCGCGCUCCGAUUCUCUGUAAAGAAACACAAUCGAACAGAAGAAUUACGAUCAAAGCUUCAAACUUUCCCAUUAAUUUCACAAAAUUUGAGCGCCAAAAUCCAUCGGAGCUUCGGCAAAAACCUGGAAACUAUCAUUAUUUACAAGCGUCUUCAAUCGCAGAGAGCCAAAUGUACGAACCCCACCGGCCGCAGUCGAAAACCCAAACCCUAGAACUAUGCCGCCGGGACUCGCAGUGACGGAACUUUCAAACCCUAGAAAUAGCCAAGCAUUCCGUGGGGUGGGUCGCGGCGCAGAAGCGGUGGCUUCUGGCUUUUCUCGUCAUGGUCUCCCUCUCUACCAUGAUCGCCUUCUUCAUCAGAGCCGCGUUUGACACCUGCGAUCGCGGCGGCCUCGACGUCGUCGAUAAGAGGGUUCCGCUGGGGGCGCCCAUUGGAACCAGUCCUAGCCCCCUCAGCUUCAUGAAGUCCAAGCUCGUGCUCUUGGUCUCCCACGAGCUUUCUCUUUCUGGUAAUGUCUCUGUCUCCAUUAGAUUGUUCAUUUUUAUGAAUUUAAUGCAUUUUUUAUAUUAAUCGUGUUUAAUUAGUUGUGUUAAGUUUUUAAUGACUUAUUAGAUUAUACAAACAUAGAAAGUUAGCAGCUUUAGAUGAAAAGCACCACUUGUAUCGGUGGAAUCUGUGAGCAUUAACUGGUUUUCGAUAACCCAUUUGACAAUAAGUCCUUUCCUGUCUCGCAUUAAAUACAGCACCAGAAACUUUGGCACCAACUUCCUUCAUCUUGGCAACAAUCGAUUCGGCCUCCUCCUUCGUAACCCCCCUUCUUCAACAGCGUAGGUGACACGCCCCGAUCCCGAUAUUUCCCCGAAUACUAGGAUAGGCACGUGCUGGCCGACACCCGAGGGUGACGAAAGCCAUUUAUUGAGUGUAAUUGCUGAAAAUAAAGGAUAGAUAAAACUUAUAAAUGUAAAAGAAUAAGGAAUAUGCAUUUAAGGAACGUGUUCAGAGCAUACAACUAACUAGAACACUAAAGAAAAUAAUAUGAAAUUAGAUGAACAAAGAAAUGGGUCCUACAUCGAGAGGACUCGAAGAUACCGAAGCGGAAGUGCCUGGAUGCCGGGAUUGUACGCCUCGAUUCUAAGUCCUGAAGGGGGCGCAAAACAAACAUGAGUGGACCGAUUUGAUAUAAAUAUAAUAAAACAAUUAACAACUUACUAACCCCCAGGUUUUAUGAAAACACAUAUAUAAUGAUAAACAUAGGUUUUCCGAAACCUAGCAUGAUGUGCAGUAUCUCAAAUCAUAACUCAUAUAUAAUAAUCACUAGUGAAUUGUCCGAUAUAACCUCCAGGCCCCAUGCCGGCUCCCCGUCUCUGAGCAGACAGUCAGAGGAAAAUACACUUCAGGCCCCAUGCCGGCUCCCCGUCCCUGUGCUAAAUAGCCAGAGGAAACAUACUCCAGGCCCUAUGCCAACACCAAACCGUCGCCCGGGACGGACCGGAAUCUAUCCCUACGUCCCGUAGCGGAAAGGACCACUAGGUAGGUACAAAACCAUUGAACAUAUAUAUAUUGAAAAACAACUUCAUAGUAUAAAGUCAUCCAUCAUCUAUACUAUAAAGAGGUGUUCGAAACAUGUUCUAAAUAUCAUAUCGUCAUCCAUCAGAUAUUCUAUAAGAACACGGGUUAUAGGAAAAAUAGUAAUAAUUCAAAAUAGCCUCAGUAAGCAUGUUAUCUCACAAAACGUUUCAUAGAACAUAAUCAUCAAAUCAUGUUUUUCAUGUAUGCAUUUCUACUAUUAAAACAUGCUUUUGAAGGGGUCCACUCACAGUACUUAGCCGUCGAAGAGCCACGCAAACUAACGAACAAGAAAACGUCACCAAUAAUUGCCCCUAAGCACAUAAAGGGUCCAAUUAAUAAAACUCUAUUUUAACAAUUGAAUUUGGGAAAACAGACGUUGGAAACGGAUUCAGAACGUCGAAUUACCCUAAGAAGGGUCCCGGACAAAAACCCGAAAAGUCAACCCUAAAGUCAACGUUGACCGGGGUCAACGGUCAAAUUAGGUCUAACGGGUUUUAGGCUUGAAAUCUGGAUUAAGGUUUAGGUUUAGGUUAAAUAGGAUUAGGAUCUAUUGGGUUUUGGAAUUCUAAGGUUUUGGGUUAAAAGGGUUUUGGGUGAAGAAAUGUGGUUUGGGCCUAAGCCCAAACACAUACACACCACAAACACACAUACACAUGCACGGCAUGCACAUGCAUGCAUGGCAUGCAUAUACACACACUUAAACACACACACACAAACUCACACACUCACACAGCACACACACACUAAAUAUACAUACACACACACACGGGUACACACUCACACACCCACACAAUCUAAAACACACACACACAUGGCCCAAAGGCCUCACAACCAAAAGGGUUGGGCUCAGAGGGAAGCCCAAAGGCUUGGUUGGUGGGUCGCCGGACCCAAUGGGAGAGAAAGCCGAAUUCGGCCGGAAANNNNNNNNNNNNNNNNNNNNNNNNNNNNNNNNNNNNNNNNNNNNNNNNNNNNNNNNNNNNNNNNNNNNNNNNNNNNNNNNNNNNNNNNNNNNNNNNNNNNNNNNNNNNNNNNNNNNNNNNNNNNNNNNNNNNNNNNNNNNNNNNNNNNNNNNNNNNNNNNNNNNNNNNNNNNNNNNNNNNNNNNNNNNNNNNNNNNNNNNNNNNNNNNNNNNNNNNNNNNNNNNNNNNNNNNNNNNNNNNNNNNNNNNNNNNNNNNNNNNNNNNNNNNNNNNNNNNNNNNNNNNNNNNNNNNNNNNNNNNNNNNNNNNNNNNNNNNNNNNNNNNNNNNNNNNNNNNNNNNNNNNNNNNNNNNNNNNNNNNNNNNNNNNNNNNNNNNNNNNNNNNNNNNNNNNNNNNNNNNNNNNNNNNNNNNNNNNNNNNNNNNNNNNNNNNNNNNNNNNNNNNNNNNNNNNNNNNNNNNNNNNNNNNNNNNNNNNNNNNNNNNNNNNNNNNNNNNNNNNNNNNNNNNNNNNNNNNNNNNNNNNNNNNNNNNNNNNNNNNNNNNNNNNNNNNNNNNNNNNNNNNNNNNNNNNNNNNNNNNNNNNNNNNNNNNNNNNNNNNNNNNNNNNNNNNNNNNNNNNNNNNNNNNNNNNNNNNNNNNNNNNNNNNNNNNNNNNNNNNNNNNNNNNNNNNNNNNNNNNNNNNNNNNNNNNNNNNNNNNNNNNNNNNNNNNNNNNNNNNNNNNNNNNNNNNNNNNNNNNNNNNNNNNNNNNNNNNNNNNNNNNNNNNNNNNNNNNNNNNNNNNNNNNNNNNNNNNNNNNNNNNNNNNNNNNNNNNNNNNNNNNNNNNNNNNNNNNNNNNNNNNNNNNNNNNNNNNNNNNNNNNNNNNNNNNNNNNNNNNNNNNNNNNNNNNNNNNNNNNNNNNNNNNNNNNNNNNNNNNNNNNNNNNNNNNNNNNNNNNNNNNNNNNNNNNNNNNNNNNNNNNNNNNNNNNNNNNNNNNNNNNNNNNNNNNNNNNNNNNNNNNNNNNNNNNNNNNNNNNNNNNNNNNNNNNNNNNNNNNNNNNNNNNNNNNNNNNNNNNNNNNNNNNNNNNNNNNNNNNNNNNNNNNNNNNNNNNNNNNNNNNNNNNNNNNNNNNNNNNNNNNNNNNNNNNNNNNNNNNNNNNNNNNNNNNNNNNNNNNNNNNNNNNNNNNNNNNNNNNNNNNNNNNNNNNNNNNNNNNNNNNNNNNNNNNNNNNNNNNNNNNNNNNNNNNNNNNNNNNNNNNNNNNNNNNNNNNNNNNNNNNNNNNNNNNNNNNNNNNNNNNNNNNNNNNNNNNNNNNNNNNNNNNNNNNNNNNNNNNNNNNNNNNNNNNNNNNNNNNNNNNNNNNNNNNNNNNNNNNNNNNNNNNNNNNNNNNNNNNNNNNNNNNNNNNNNNNNNNNNNNNNNNNNNNNNNNNNNNNNNNNNNNNNNNNNNNNNNNNNNNNNNNNNNNNNNNNNNNNNNNNNNNNNNNNNNNNNNNNNNNNNNNNNNNNNNNNNNNNNNNNNNNNNNNNNNNNNNNNNNNNNNNNNNNNNNNNNNNNNNNNNNNNNNNNNNNNNNNNNNNNNNNNNNNNNNNNNNNNNNNNNNNNNNNNNNNNNNNNNNNNNNNNNNNNNNNNNNNNNNNNNNNNNNNNNNNNNNNNNNNNNNNNNNNNNNNNNNNNNNNNNNNNNNNNNNNNNNNNNNNNNNNNNNNNNNNNNNNNNNNNNNNNNNNNNNNNNNNNNNNNNNNNNNNNNNNNNNNNNNNNNNNNNNNNNNNNNNNNNNNNNNNNNNNNNNNNNNNNNNNNNNNNNNNNNNNNNNNNNNNNNNNNNNNNNNNNNNNNNNNNNNNNNNNNNNNNNNNNNNNNNNNNNNNNNNNNNNNNNNNNNNNNNNNNNNNNNNNNNNNNNNNNNNNNNNNNNNNNNNNNNNNNNNNNNNNNNNNNNNNNNNNNNNNNNNNNNNNNNNNNNNNNNNNNNNNNNNNNNNNNNNNNNNNNNNNNNNNNNNNNNNNNNNNNNNNNNNNNNNNNNNNNNNNNNNNNNNNNNNNNNNNNNNNNNNNNNNNNNNNNNNNNNNNNNNNNNNNNNNNNNNNNNNNNNNNNNNNNNNNNNNNNNNNNNNNNNNNNNNNNNNNNNNNNNNNNNNNNNNNNNNNNNNNNNNNNNNNNNNNNNNNNNNNNNNNNNNNNNNNNNNNNNNNNNNNNNNNNNNNNNNNNNNNNNNNNNNNNNNNNNNNNNNNNNNNNNNNNNNNNNNNNNNNNNNNNNNNNNNNNNNNNNNNNNNNNNNNNNNNNNNNNNNNNNNNNNNNNNNNNNNNNNNNNNNNNNNNNNNNNNNNNNNNNNNNNNNNNNNNNNNNNNNNNNNNNNNNNNNNNNNNNNNNNNNNNNNNNNNNNNNNNNNNNNNNNNNNNNNNNNNNNNNNNNNNNNNNNNNNNNNNNNNNNNNNNNNNNNNNNNNNNNNNNNNNNNNNNNNNNNNNNNNNNNNNNNNNNNNNNNNNNNNNNNNNNNNNNNNNNNNNNNNNNNNNNNNNNNNNNNNNNNNNNNNNNNNNNNNNNNNNNNNNNNNNNNNNNNNNNNNNNNNNNNNNNNNNNNNNNNNNNNNNNNNNNNNNNNNNNNNNNNNNNNNNNNNNNNNNNNNNNNNNNNNNNNNNNNNNNNNNNNNNNNNNNNNNNNNNNNNNNNNNNNNNNNNNNNNNNNNNNNNNNNNNNNNNNNNNNNNNNNNNNNNNNNNNNNNNNNNNNNNNNNNNNNNNNNNNNNNNNNNNNNNNNNNNNNNNNNNNNNNNNNNNNNNNNNNNNNNNNNNNNNNNNNNNNNNNNNNNNNNNNNNNNNNNNNNNNNNNNNNNNNNNNNNNNNNNNNNNNNNNNNNNNNNNNNNNNNNNNNNNNNNNNNNNNNNNNNNNNNNNNNNNNNNNNNNNNNNNNNNNNNNNNNNNNNNNNNNNNNNNNNNNNNNNNNNNNNNNNNNNNNNNNNNNNNNNNNNNNNNNNNNNNNNNNNNNNNNNNNNNNNNNNNNNNNNNNNNNNNNNNNNNNNNNNNNNNNNNNNNNNNNNNNNNNNNNNNNNNNNNNNNNNNNNNNNNNNNNNNNNNNNNNNNNNNNNNNNNNNNNNNNNNNNNNNNNNNNNNNNNNNNNNNNNNNNNNNNNNNNNNNNNNNNNNNNNNNNNNNNNNNNNNNNNNNNNNNNNNNNNNNNNNNNNNNNNNNNNNNNNNNNNNNNNNNNNNNNNNNNNNNNNNNNNNNNNNNNNNNNNNNNNNNNNNNNNNNNNNNNNNNNNNNNNNNNNNNNNNNNNNNNNNNNNNNNNNNNNNNNNNNNNNNNNNNNNNNNNNNNNNNNNNNNNNNNNNNNNNNNNNNNNNNNNNNNNNNNNNNNNNNNNNNNNNNNNNNNNNNNNNNNNNNNNNNNNNNNNNNNNNNNNNNNNNNNNNNNNNNNNNNNNNNNNNNNNNNNNNNNNNNNNNNNNNNNNNNNNNNNNNNNNNNNNNNNNNNNNNNNNNNNNNNNNNNNNNNNNNNNNNNNNNNNNNNNNNACUCAAACUUGCUCCUCUUGAAUCCCUUCUUCCUAGUGGGACCUCCCAGUUCGGCCCUCCAGUCUGAAAUAUUAUGCAACAAUUGACAGUCAGCACAUGUUAGAAAUUUAGGCUUUUGUCACACGCCAUGCAACUUACAAAAAAAGCUAAAAUUUGUAGAAGCACUUACCAGAACAGUUGAGUCUCUAGCAGCAAGAGCCAAAAUGUCAGCACAAGACACAGUGCUGGGGCACUCCUUCUCCAAUGCAGACUUGAUUUCGUCAAUCACUUCGAACCCUCGCGCUGAAUUCUGGUUCGGGACAGACAUCUUUUCGGUGAUUACGUUCUGGCUGCUGUCCAGCAGAAUUGAUGCAUCACAACCCUGCAAAAUAGGUAGCAAGUAGCAACACAAUCUUAAGUACCUCAUUCACAUAGAUGUACGUGUAACUAGAAGCAACUGAGACACUUUUUGUGAUCGUAUACCUUCACGAAACAGUCAUGGAAAUGCAGCCUGAGCAAAGAAGCUGCCAUUCGGGUUUCCCUUGCAACGGCUUUCGCAACAACGGACUUGACAAUCUCUUUGGCUCUGGGGCAGGAGCGGUCAUAAAACUGUGGGUAGAGAUACCCACCAGGAGUUUUGUGACAGAAACAUAGUGGAGAAAAUGCAAGAAGAGAAAGAGCUAGAAGGAAGCUCAAAGAGUUGGCCAUAUAAUAAUGUGGUUUCUUGGAGAAGAAGACUUGAAAUUUGAAGACUUUGGUUUGAUGAAUCCUUUGGUUGGAUUGAUGAAAUUUAUAGAGGAGACUUCGUUUUUUUUUUGGGGGGGGGGGAGAGGGAGAGAGAGAGAGAGAGAGUGAGAGAGAAGCUGCAUGGAGUUGGUAGCUUACUAUUGCAAGCUGCUACACCAGUAGACAGGAUCAAAAGAGAAGGUUGGAGUUGGUAGCUUUCAUGCUUUUGAGCAGAUAACUAAAUCGUAAUUAUGGUAACUUCGUUUCUAAUUAAGAUGAUAAUUAGUUAGAAGGUCUUAUCUUGUUCUAGAGGAACAAAUCUUUUUUACUCACAAUGCAAAACUGCCAGACAGAGAAAAUAUAUUAGUACAAUGAACCUUAUAGAAAUUUAUUAGUACAAUGGACCUUGCAUCCUUAGUACAAUAUUUUGGUACACUAAUUGAUUGCAAGACCAUCAGAUCUUGAAAAAAUUUCAACGUAAUACUUGAAUACAAUCACGUGGUAUAAUUAAUCUACGUGUCACAAUAUAAACUAACCACGGUUCUUUAGAGUUGAAUGGCUACAGUGUCAAUCAAAUAUUCAUGAUACCGUAAUACAUGAACUGGUUAUACCACACGGUAUUUUAUAUUUAGAAUCCGAAAUCCAACUAGAUUGACAUGUAAUCAUUAUAAAGAAACAUUAAAGCCUCUUUCACUUCAUUAGGAGAUUGGCAUCUUUUAUAUUUUCAAAAUGAGAAUACUUCAAUAUUGGUGUUCGAUCACAUCAUUCAUAAGUAUUCUGAGCAAAAACGAGGAACUCCAUGCAUUUAGUUUCACCUGAUCCCGAACUAGUUCCGCCUGUGUAAAAAAUGCCCAAGUUCCGGCUUCCCGAAUAUGCUUGUAUCAAGGGGGGGAAAAAAAAAACCUAGUAUACAUGUCUUGUAUUAUUGUUUGCUUGCCUUCCUUACUAAUUCAUGAGUUCACAUUGAUUCCAUUAGUUGGUUAAUCAUUAAAUUUUUCCGUUAAUCAUGAAGCUUAUAUGCUCGUGGCUUUUUGACUUGAGGAUUAAUCCAAAGAAUACAGUGACAUAUUAGAAAAGUUGGUUAAUCCAAAGAAUAUGAUAACGGGAAUAUUAGGUUAAUCUGGACGGUCCAAUCUAUAAUAAAGAUAUCGUAGGCUGGGUAGGAGAACUACUUCUAUAAGCAUCCUCCCUAACAUUGCACUUGACAUAUUAACGAACAAGCGUAUGAGUAUUUGGUCUAGUCGCAUUCAAUUUUUACUUUGUUAAAGAAGAUUCUAAUUUCAAAGCUCAUAAACGAUAAUCGUUAAUUAAAAAAAAACAUGAUAUGAAAUGAAUUCGUUUGAAUCACAAUAUCACCGUGCAAUGAAAAUUUGAUCUCGUUGAAAGACAAACAUUUUGCGGUGAAACUUCUAAACCUUUGUGUGUUAUACAGGUACAAAUUGCACCAUAUCUUCUUUCAUUGCAGGAUCUAUUUGUUCCUAAGAAUUCGAGUCUAAGAAAAAAUGUUCUAGGACAAUGCAGGGAAAUUGCCGUCUUAACAAUCAGAAAAAAUCAUUAUGAUUGCCCUUAUAAAACCUAUACGUUUACAUAAGGAAUGGUGCCCAACAUGCUCCAGUUCCCCCGGGGCUUAUGGUUGAGCCUCUAGUCCGCUUUUCUUUUUAAGAAAGCAAAGAGUACUCAUCAUAAGAAUAUUGUUGAUUAAAUAAUGAGUUCGUUUGGAAGUGCUUUUAAAAUGACUAAAAACACAUUUAAUGAAAAUGUUUUUAGGUUCGAAAAGCACUUAAAGUGCUUCAUUCACUUACAUUUUUAGUAAGGAUUGGUCCCCAAAUCAUUUUAACUAAAAAUGUUUUCAGUUAUUUAAAAAACACUUUCAAACGAGCAUGAUAUUAUAUUUUGGCCACAUAUGUAGUUUAAAUUCAUUAGCCUCUCAUGCGCAUAAAUCAUAAGGCAACCAAUCAUUAGUCAUUUGCUAUGUCCAAGGCGUACAACAUUAAUGCUAGUGAUGUAUACUUACACUAUGUUUGGAUGGAGAAUUUCUAAAUUUUCAUAGAAUUCUAAAUGACGGGAAUUACAAUUCCCAGUAAUUGAAAUCAUGUUAAUUGAAAUUUCAGUGUUUGGAUGUUGGAUACAUGGAAAUUGCAAAAUGAAGGGAAUUACAAUUUUCAUUGUUUGGAUAUUCCCUAGAAUUUGUAUUCCAUAGAAGAAUACAAAUUUGAAAAAAGAAAAAUGUUAAACUGUUAACAAAGUCAUCAAUGAUAAAGGUCAUCAAACCCCCAAGAUUGGGGCUGCCAAACCCGCACUAAAGGGAAAACUGUCUAAAUUUUCCAGCAAUUAAGAACUUAUCAAAGGUUUGCAAUAAUAUUUCAUUGGAAAAAAAUGUUUGCAAUAAUAUGAUAAAAGUUGAUUGAAGUAGGAAAAUCCCUGUAAAGCACACUUGCAAAUAUCAACCAACAUUCGUGACAUGCAAGACUUUUAUUCUAACUAAUGUCUUACUGAAAAACACUAAAAUGAGAAACAUAAUGAAAACAAUCUUAUGCGCCUUGUGAAGUAAGCAAUAAUACCAUAUUCUUUUUCUUCUCAAUUGGGAGAGUCUUCAACAUGAGAAAUUGCUUGUCAUUUUCGAUCAACCAAGCACAUGCUUUGAUUUGUUCUUCUUCACUGAGAUCUAGUAUUGCAUUUACUUCAUCAUAUACCUCUGUUGGAUCAAGUUUCUUUGUGUCUGCAGAAAUAUAGUCUUGAAAUGAUGAAGCCAUCUUGGCAAGUGAAUCUGCAAUCACAUCUUUAGGCGUGGUUGAUUUUCUUUUUGUAUGAGGCACAUCAACAAAACUUGCUGCCUUUCUCUUGCUUUGAGUCUUUUGACCAUUGGUUGAACUAGGUGAAAUCUCAUUAAUAAUUUCAAUAUCUUCUAAACCUUGUGCAUCACCAACCAAAUCUACAUGAUCAGGUUCAUUAUGUGGAGGAGUCAUAAUCUCCACGGCUUCUACACCUGUUUCAGCACCCUCACCCGUCGCUCUAUCUUUGCCACAUAAAUCCACUAUAUCAUCCCAAUUUGGAAUGACCUUCCAACGAAAGCUUUUAGCACCAACAUGUGACUACCAAUCAAAACAUAAAAGAUCAAAAAGCAACAAUUAAAAGAAUUUCACACACAAAAGAAAAAUAAUGAAUUUGUUACCUUCACGUACUCUUGCCAGGCAGGGUCUUCAUCUACACUUAUCAUCUUUUUGGUUGCAUCCCAAUUAAAUCCACUUUGACUUAGUAUAUCACUCACUAUUGCAUAAAACUUUUUCCAAGACUUCACACGAUUUCGAAUGUUAUCUGCAAUGCCAAUGUAUCACGAAAUGCUGUCCAUUCGACUGUAGCUUGAACAGAUGUAAUCCCAUCAGAGUUAUUUUCAUUUUCCUCUCUUGUUGAACGAUUUAACAACUCUGAGUCGACAGAUGCUAAAAAUUGUAAAUCUUGAGCUUCUAAAACUGGAUCAGUAGCUUGCUCGGUUCUAAUAAAAUUAUGUAAGACACAACAUGCAUUUAUAAUCCUAACUUGUGUUUUAAUGUCGAAAAAGGAUGGUGUGCGUAAUAUGCUCCAUCUCUUUUUUAACAAUCCAAAUGCCCUCUCAAUAACAUUCCUUGCCCUUGAAUGACGCAAAUUAUAUAGUUCUUUGUAGUUUUCAGGUCGACGGUUUCCAACCCAUUCUUUCAAGUGAUAUCUAGUUCCACGGUAAGGUGCUAAAAACCCGGGUCCAUUAGUAUAGCCAGCGUCCACAAGAUAAUAUUUAUCUACAAUAAAAAAUUUAGAGAACAAAUUUAGAUAUAUUUUUAAGUUUUUUCUUUCUAAUAUAAAGCUAAUUGGUAUCAUACAUUACCAUUUGGAACAUGAAACCGGUUACUCCUAUGUAAAGCAUCACGCAAAACACGAGCAUCAGAUGCAGAGCCUUCCCAUCCAGGUAACACAUAAAAAAAUCUUAAAUCUGGACCACAAACUCCUAACAUAUUAGUGGAUAUAUCACCCUUUCUAUCUCGAUAUCUUGGUCUUUCCUCAGCCGUUAUUGUUACUGGUAUGAGAGUUCCAUCAAGUGCUCCAAGACAAUUCUAAAAAAAAUGUCAUACAAAUGAAAAAAGAAAAGAAAAGAUAAGUCUAAAAAGCUAAUGAAGAUAUCAAACGAAGACAUUUAUUUGGUAUAGUUGUUGAUUGAUUACCUCAAACCACCGCCACUUCUCUCUUUCAGAAUUGCCAAUAACACAUGGCUGAUAUUUCACAUAUUCUUGAAUAACACAUGGCUGAUAUUUCACAUAUUCUUGACUUAUUUUCAUCAUUGCAUGCAACACAUUGUGAAAUUGCCGACUAAUUGUUUCCUUGGAACGAUAAUAAUGAAAACCGAUGACUCUAAACUUCAAGUUGUGGGCAAGUAUAUUCAAAAAAAUUGCAACAGAUUCUUCAAUGGACACAUUUCUCGUGCGAACUAAUCCACCAAUCCCUUGUAAAAUUUCACAUAACUGCUUAAAUGCACUCUUGCUAACUCGUAAUUGUUCAAUGCACGUUGAAUCCUUUCCAUCGAACAAUCGGCCAAGGAAAGAUUGCCUUUCUUGAUCCCAAUCAUUUGAAGGUUCUUUGAGAAGAACACUCGUACUAUACCAAUGCAUGACCAUGACAAUAACAUAUAUAAUUGUGCUGACAAUAAUUUUCCUUUUUUUCCUAUUUUCCUCUUCAUUUAUAGCACGCUUUCACUUUAACCUCAUUAGCAUGUCUACAAUAUGAGUAUUUUCCAUACCUGUUUGAAUGUAUGAACAAAGAUAUAUUGUGAUAUAUGAAUGUAAACACACAAGGUUUUUUAGGCAAGAAUGAGGUGAUGCAACCAAAAAAACAAAUGAACUAACACCAAAGGCACAACAUUUGAUCAAUCUUGGCUAUUGUUAAUGUGAUCAUCGUAAACUUAUAUAUUUGAUAUAGAUGGGAUCUCUGAAUCCCAGUAGGACUAUACCAAUCCAACACUUAUUUAUAUUGCUAAAUGCAGCAAUGAAAGUCACGACUUUAAUCAUACUAGCAUCUGUAUUUUAGUUUUUUGACAGUUAACCUUCAAAAGCACAAUAUCUAUAACAAGGAACUAACACCAAAGGCCAUCAAAAACUAAAAAUGGGCUCAAUUGAUGGUGGUCAAAAACCAUGUGUAUGGUCAUCUCCCCAAAGAGGAUGUAAAAUUGACAUAAGAAAGCAGAUCUUCUACAACAGAUCGUUGAAUAUGAAGAAUAUUGUUGCAGAAGGAUUUGAUAUGGAUUACACAUUGGCACAGUACAAGCCAGAAAUCUUCGAGUCUCUUACAUACAAUGGAACUAUCUAGAAGUUGGUGUACGAUUAAGGAUACCCUCGUGAGGCUUGUCUAUUCUGUCUCUUACAUUUCAAGAAGAAAUUGAUAUUGCUAACAUAUCAGAUAUUCAAUUAAUCUGGUUUAAUAUUGCAAUUAAUCCAGUAGUGUUAGUGCUUUUUAAUUUCAACACUUAGCAUACAUCAUUUACUACCAUUUUAAAUUAUGAGCAAAUCAUUCCACCCUUCCUAGAUAAGGUUACAGAGCAAAUAGACAAUUCAAUCGGAGAAAUAAAACAUAAUAAGAUCACACCCAAAUGGCAAUUCAAUCGGACAAUUCACCCUUCCUAGAUAAGAUAGCACCCAAAAAUACAUGAUGCUUACAGUAAUAAGAUCGCAGCCUAAAAUACAUGAUCGCACCCAGAUAGGGAUGGAAUGAAACCAGAAAUACAUGAUGCUUACAGGAAGAUCGUACCCAAAAAGCUAAAAAUAAUUCAAGAUAGAAGAGAGUAGAGACGCUGACCUAGAACAAAGGAAGAAGAUGAUUCCACAAUCGAAAAUCCCUUCGAAGAUUGGAGAGUUAACAGAGUGAAGAUUGUGCAGCCCUUUUGUUGUGAAAUUUGGCGGUAGAUAUCCGAGUUUGGCGCCCUAAUCCUGAAGUUUGGCGCGCACAAAAUCUCCCCGCGGAUGAAUUCGGGAUUCUCAUCGUUGUUGGAAUUGUGAAAUUACACCUCUUUAGGCGGAAAUUAAACUCGGAAUUCUUCAUCCCUAAUUUCCACCUUUUUUUCCCGUAGAAUUUGCCGUUUCUCGCGCUGCAAGGUUCCCAAACGAGGGAAAACUGCUUUCCCAUCCUAAAUUCCCUAGUUUAAGUCAAAUUCUGUUUUAUUUUACCACAUCCAAAUGGAGUGUUACAGUUUCUGAACAAGCAGAUAGAAUUUGUCAUGCCCGACAUGCUUCUAUCCCACGCUGCAUGUGAUCAAGCGUAAAUAUUAAACAUAUAACUGAGGACAUACCAAUUGAGCCUAUGAUGACAAAUUAGAAUUAAAAAACCAUCAAAGAUAUUGAAGCCAAAGAAAUAAGGCCUACCUUCUGUUCAACUCUAGUCUUGUAAAUAAACCCUCCACAACAAAACAAUGUCGAUGAAGCAGUGAAUCUGAUCCGAGACAGAUUGCUUAAACAUCAACUUUAGCUAUAAAAAUAAGGCUAUACUGGAUUGAUAUAUAAGGAUGUGUAUGAUAGAUUUGUUUGGGUUAAUAUUUAACACUGGACUUAAUGUAUUGAGGCCCAAAGAUGUCACAACGGAAUGUGGACUUGCCCGAAGCCCAUCAAUAAAGCCUGAAAUAAAGUGAAGCCUUCUCAGCCAAGGUGCUAGGAUUAAAAGCACACCACAAAGUAGCAUACAAAUGUCCUAUUGAUUUUCCUUAUUAACACUAAGAUUUGUCAAUUGUAGCAUAUGAAAAUAAGAGUCUUUCCCAUAGAAGAUUGUUUUAUCUAACUCCUUAAUAUGUCACAAAAAUUGGGCUGAUGUCCCUACUGACCAGCCACCGAAAAAUAAUUAUUAGACUGACUUACACUUAUCUAAAGUCUACAAAAUUUUAUAUGCAGACACUAGACACAGAGAGAUACACUCGUACAAAGUUUUGGGAUUUUUGGAGUUGAUUUUCUAUUUAAAUUAAAUCAAACAAAAAUAGAACAGAAACAGAUUUUUAAGUAGUUCACAAAUUAAUAAAAACGAGUUAGGGGAAUUGCUAUCCACCACAAAAUAAUCAUGCAAACAUGUUAUGUUUCAUUCAAAUUUCUUUUAUUUCUGGAUGAAGAUACUCAAGUUGGCUCAAUGUUAAAACUCAACCUAUUACUCUUUCUUAUGUAGUAUGUUAAGAGAAUGGCGUUUUCAACUUAACUUAGUCCCUAGCAUGCAAUCGAGAAUGACGUGUUCAUAGAUUUAACAAGUAGAAAUCAUUAAGAACAAAAAGAGUUUGAGUCAUCACAAGGCAUCGUAAGUACUGGCGUUGUCUUACAUAUCAUAGAAAUUAGUUCACACGUUAAUCGCAAUUAACAAGUACUACUUUAUAACAUAUGUAGGUCCUCAUUCGACAAGGGCAAGCACACACAUAUUCAUAGCAUUAGAAUCCUAGAUAUGCUUACUAAGUAUGCAUCCAUAGAAAACAAAUAAAGAAUUCAUCAAUGAGACAAGUAGUGAACCGAUUUUCAUCCAUUCAUAAAAGUAAUUCAAACAAAAUGUCAUAACAAACUUACAAUCAUAUUCGGGGCUUGAAAACAACCCCUAACUACUAAAAAUUUAGUUACACACAAUUCCUAAGUUAAAACAAAAGAUAGACACGAGUUUGAGAAGAUAGAACCGAAAGAAAUCGACCGAGGCCUCCUCCUUCCUUUCCUUCAUUCCCCAACGUUGCUACCUUGCCUUUUCCUUCUGUUCUAUAUUUUUUUUCUCCUUAACUCACCCACUAAUAGCCAUUUAGUGAUGACAAUAAGUGAGAGGAAAUGGUAAAACAAUUGUAACUCUUUGGGUAGCAUUUAUGCCAAUUACUCCCUCUUAAUCCUCAUCUUUAAUUUCACUCCCUUUUAUAUUUGAAUAAGUGUCAGCUAACUUGUUCUUGGCUGCAUCAGUUUUGGCUGCUAGAUUUAUUAUGUUUACUGCUUUCAUUGCAAUUACAAACUGCUCGGCCUCUUGGUAACCUUUCCGUGUUAAAACGACCAUAACUUCUUCUAGAAAAAUGAUAUUAACAAUCCGUGAAAUACUCCAGAAAAUAGACAUCCGUAGCUUUCCAAGCAUAUAAGGCUCAUUCUCUAAUUAAUUCUGAGCUGUUUGCAAAUUGCUUCCAAAGUCAGCUGAUCUACACAUGCAGUUUUGACGAAUUUGUUACUUAAAAUCCCACUUGUGUUAUUUUUCCUUUCUUUGCUUGACAAAUCCCACAAAACACAAAAACAAAGUAAAUAGCUCAAAAAUAUAAGGAACUAACUAAGAAAAGACAAAUGAAUUUGAUGUAAAAUAUAUAAAAAUAUGAGUUUAUCACAAGGCAUAAGCCAUGUGCCUAUGACUGAAGUGACAAAUGACAGAGACCAGCUCACUAUCAGCCAAAAAGCACUUUUUGAUGGCAUAAAGGUGUAAAUACAAGAUGACUCACUACCCCUAAGGACCUUCGGCCAAGAACAAAGCUAAAGCAGUCGGGCCAAAUCGCUUAUAAAAUGGGAAAGAGACAUCAGAGACAAGGACACUCAACCAAUCAAACAAACAACAUACAAACUCUGCUCUCAAGCUAGAUUUGCAUCCAGAAAGCUAAAACUCACCUAGAUUCAGUCCUUUUAGCAAUAAUUCCCUUAGAAAAGUCAUCUUUUGUCUAGUGUAAAAGCUCUGCUACCUUCCCUAGUGUUGUAGUAUCGAUCCCUUUGUAUAAAACCUAUUUACCAUCCAUCCUUCUAGCAUACAACCUCUGUAAAUUCAAAGAGAAGUGGCUGCAAGAAGUUCAAUCUUGCCCGACAAGGUGAAAUCUUGCCCGAGUCUCUUUGUUUGUACUUUAGCUUAAUAGAUCUGUCGCUUAAAUGUACUUUUCAGCAUGUAUUCAAGUUUUUUUCCAACAGUUUUCUACCUAAUAGUCCUAUUUGCAAUCGGAUCUGAUUAAUUUAAUAGACUUCUUUUUAUUAAGAACAAACUGAGAUCGAGGAAAUGGUGCAAAAGGCCUUGAACUUCCUUAAUUUCAAACAUACAAGAUUAUGAACUAAAAGUCAUUGUUUACAAGGCAAGAAAAAGAACUCAAUGCAAACAUAACCCAUCUGUGACAAUCCUUUGAUAACAAGAAGUUUAAGUAACUUGGGGUGCAAGUAAUCGACUUAUAACACACUUAUUCUACAUCGGUUAUACUUAGAUAGCGGUGACACGUCUAGCACAUUGUUAGUUUUAAUUACGAGCCUCAAGGCCUACACCUAAGGCCCCACUAAGGCACCUUUCAAAUUAACUUUAAACUUAUCUUGCAGCAUAUCAAACAGUAAGAGCAUGCCCGACUACAAAACCUAAAGUGCCAUCCACCAUUGGGGAGCUGUGUGAGGGGUCAUCCUGUUUGCCUUGAACAAGACCUUUUCUCCACCGUCCUCGCAAAGUGAGGAACCUUGUGUUAAAGUCCCACAUCGGUGGGUGCAAGAAAACCAAAUGGGUUUAAAUAUGAUCACCUCACUCUAACUAAUACCGAUGUCUUUUGUGAUAAAACCCCACACUUGACGGAUUUGGCAGUGGUAAAGUUAAGGACAAUAUCAGUGUCGUUAGAGUGAGGCGGGCCCGACGAUAAUCCAACAUGGUAUCAGAGCCCACGGUUCGGGCCCGUGCAAGCCAAUGAGCUUGUCACAAAGAAGGAAACAAAUAUGAACUCUUAACAUAGAGACGACCACUGAGUUCCAUUGAAAAUAAGUGGCCCCAACAUGAGCCGACCUCUGAGUUUCAAUUACCUGUAUGGAUCUCCAUGUGUGAAACACUAAAUGGGGUUACAAAUGAGGGGGAGUGUUAAAGUCCCACAUCGGUGGGUGCAAGAAAACCAAAAGGGUUUAAAUAUGAUUACCCCACUCUAACUAAUACUAAGGCCUUUUGUAGUAAAACCCCACACCUGACAAAUUUGGCAGGUGGUAAAGUUAGGAACAAUAUCAGUGUUGUUAGAGUGGGGCGGCUCCGGCGAUCCAAAAAUCCAACACCUUGUUGGCUUUGGAUCACCCUUUUAAUAUGUUUGUUGCCAUUCAAUGCCUAUACAAAAUAUGAUGCAGGUGUUCACAUCACAUGUUUUAGUUAUCAAAUUUUAGCAUGGCGAUAAAUAUUUGUAGUAUGGAUAUUUUUCAGUAGGAACUGGCUUACUUGCAGGAUAACACUCCAAAUGUAGCCCAUCCCGUUGUAACCUCUCCACUUUGUGCCUGCCUAUAUGUUCUAUGAUUGAGCAAACCAAGCUCUUUUAGUUGAUAUUAUUACAAACCACUAUUGGUAUCAAUUUUCAAAACAUUUACCUAAUCACACUACUACAAAAAAGACUAUCACUGACGGUGGAAAAACCGACUAGAAACCCCAAUUACUGUCUUAUUUUUACCAAAAAUCUGACAUCAAAUCGUGCAAUGUCGGAUUGGAGAACCGAUGUUGUUGCUAGCGUCACGAAAAGGGUAUUGACGUUGGUUAAUCCCCUUAAUCCGCCACCAAGAAGCAAAAUAAUAUAAAAUAAAAAAGAACAACAGCGUCGGUUAAAACCGACACUAAGUCUCUCCAUUCAUUUCCUCGUGUAGAACAAGUGGGAAUUUUCCCGCCUAAUAUUUCAAAUUAUUCGACCAAUGCCGUCGGCUAAAAGCGACAACAUACUAGUUUAAAAAAAAAUGUUUAACCCAAAGAAAAAAAAUAACCAGCUAUUUUGUUUUUGUGUUAUCUCAUAUAACAUUUUAGGAUUUUAAUAAAUAAAAUUUAACUUGAAUAAAAUAUGUAAUAAAAAACAGAAAUAUAAUUUUAUUAUAAAAUAUCAUCACAUACUAAUUGAAAUAUAGUCUAAUUAAUACUUAAAAUACAUGAAAUAAUUAAUAUAUUUAUUCCAAGUCAUCAUCUGUUAGGUUGUCAUCAGUAUUGGCAUAAUUAAUGAACUCAGUAGGUAACGGUAAUGAUUCAUGAAAAUGAGUCUCUUCCACGCCAACCCUUGUAACAAAAUUUUCAUUGUCAAGUAUCCGAUCAUCCAAAUUUGCAUCACUAUCCUCUAAUACGUCAAACAAAUCCCUCAGAUGCGUUUGAACAACUAAAUGCCAAUCGUUUUCAAUUGUGUCCUCGAUGUAAAAUACUUGUAAUGCUUGUGAUGCUAAUAUGAAAGGAUCCUCUUUAAAUCCCAAUCGAUUGAAGUUCACCAUAGCAAAUCCAUAUUGAUCAGUCUUCAUUCCUUGUUGACUUUCACUGACACACCCGGACCUAGAUCGAGGCAUGCUGGUCGUCACGUGAGGGCGACGUAGCCAUGUGCACAACGCGGAAGCAAUAAAGAUAUAAAGAAAUGCGAAUAAAUAAAAACCAACUAACUAGGGCACUAGAUAAGAUAAGGUGCAAGUGCGAUAUUAAGUGUGAGUUCAUAAUCAGAGCAUGAGUAGCCUAAAUGCAGUUCAGCAGGACAAAUACUAAUUAUGCAACACCAAAGAUAAUCCUACAUUAGUGAUAAUCUGUCAGAGCUGCCGUGAAUUCCUCGUAAGCCACCGACAAGCACUCCUAACUAGAACCUGGAGGGGUGCAAAACAGAAAGUGUGAGUGGGCAAAAAUAAAGCUUUUCAAAACCAUUUCAUUUAUCAAAAGUUCUACCCCUUGCCGUAAAACCUAUAUAAUUUCCCAAAAAAAAGAAUAAAUAUAUACAUAUCUCAAAACCAUGCUUAGAAAACGAUAUUCAUAAGUAUGUCAUGCCAAUAAUCUCAAAAUAACUGAAUAAGUAACUCAGGUGAAAUAACAUAUCAGCCGGAUCCACCUAAAGUGGCAUGUACGGCUGAAUCUAUAUCUCAACAAGUAUGCCUGCACACGAAUCGAAACCACCUAAAGUGGUUUGUACGACAUGACUGGGUGUAAAUAAAUACGCUCUAGUGCUACGAUCAUGUGAAGACUGUGCGAAUAAUCACGGGUCACCUACGAGUCAAAACCACCUAUAGUGGUCUGUACGACAGGAUUGUGCACCUAACUUGGAUCCAAGGUGAGUGUAUGGUACGGAAGGUGAACAUCACGUGAAGGCAUGUGCCCUAGCCACGGGUAGGAGCACUAACACUGGGGUGUAGGUUUAUGAACUCUCAACACAUCUCACAUAAUCAUCAAUUCACAUAUAAACAAUUUACAACUUACCUGGUACUUACCUGAGUGUCCACAGCGUCAAAUCAUAUUUAUGCAUACUAUACUAAUUCAUAAUCUAAGCAUAAAUCAAUAGGCAUGGCAUUUCAAAACAUAAUUUCAUUUAAACGCAUUUUUUGGGAAAAAUACCAAGUAUAUAAGUAUAUUGAAAACCAAAAGCCCACUCACUGAUAUGUGGAAGGGUAGUAACCCCCGAGCCUUGCUUGACUGCGCUCGUCCUCAGGAUAGGUCUCAACUAUAUGCAAAACAACUAUAUAAACGUUAUUUUAAAGCACAUAAAAAAACUAGGUAAUAACUUCUCAUACAUAGCUCAAUUAGGGUAUUUGAAUAUACUACCAUGACCUACUCAAUCUCAGGAACACCCAUAUUUUUAAAAAAAAUUCCCGAGCACCCACGCGCCCUCACGCACCGGCCAAGGCACGGCCAGACGUUCGGCUCACGCUCAGGCACGUGCCUGGCACACUGACAGAUUCCCUAACGGCAUUAGGGAAUAUUUCGUUAAAAAUCAGUAUAUACCGUUAAAGAUACCUGACGCCGUUAGCAUAUUCCGUCAACUUUGAUAGAAUAUUCUCUUCCUUCUUCAUUGGCUCGCCAGAGUCCGAUUUCGGUGCUGCUGCUAUCGCCGGAAACUGGAAAAAUCUUAGAACUUCAAUAUCUCAUCCAUUUCUCAACCAAAAUCCAUGAAAUUUUCACCAAAAUGAAGCUUAGGAUGAGAGGAACGAUUCCUUACCACUUGUAGGACCUAAAACCUGCAAAAAUCUCAUCGGGAAAACCUCGAUAUUCCUGCCACCACUACAACUUCGCGAACUGGGAUUUCUCGACGUCCAAAACCCUUCAAAACUCUUCUAAAAGCUUCGUGAAGACGAUCUAAGACUUCCAAAAAGCUUAAAACUUCAAGAAACACUCACGAUCACGUCGAGAUCACUGUGCACUUCCUCGGAACUUCUUGGUUCUUAAAUUCCCGACGUCCUCACGUCCAACCAACGCUAUGGUUCGACUUUUAGUCUUGCAAGGAUUCCAAAAACACCAACUACAACCUCGAUCUGCGACUGAUUGAGGCUGGAUGGUCAAUGGCCGUACGAUUGUAAGGACAAAUAGAGAGAUUUCGACGAAGAGUGAGAGAAAGGGUUGCAUGUGUGAGUAUGUGUGUGUCCGGAUUGGGCACCCAUAAAAAAAACUUAAGUCCUAAAUGAGCCCAAAGAUUUAGCAUAAGGAUUUUAAAUGGUCAAAAUAUUAAGCUCAAACACACAACACAACUCAACGUUCAAGGGUAAAAUCGACAUUUCACACUAGCGAGGAUCGAAUAAAUUAUGUUUCAAGACAAGUUGUCACAUUCAUUAUUAACCCAUUCACACUUAAAUAACAUCACAGCUCGACCCCUACCUUUUGCAUCAGUAUGACCACAAUAUUUAACCUCGAAAAUAUCUACAACUCUGCCAUAACAAUUCACUUGCCCAAUUGCACCAGGAACAUUUGCAGGUACAAAGACACCACAAUUUUGAUUCUUAUGCUCAUCAUCCACAAAUUUUAUGCAAAAUCUGAACCCAUGAACAAUGUGACUUUUAUAUCUACUCACAACCUUACUAGGAUAAUUAUCUAGCCAAUGCAAGUCUUGAGAUAUCAACGUGUUAUUAGGAUGACAUCUUGAAUUCAUUUGUAAUACGAAUGAAGAUAAAAGUUGACAUGAUAACUAUAAACAUGUUAUAAUUAAAAUGUAAAAAUAUAAAUAAAUAAUGUGAUUGUUAUAUCAACUCACAUGUUGCUUGAACGAUUCUGUAAAUUCUUUCUUGCUUAGCUCCUUAAUUUGUGGCAUAGUUAACCUUUCUCGAUGAUGUUUAGUUUUCAGGAAUUCCUCAUGUUGCCUGGGCAAUUAUGUCCAAAUUUAGAUAAUUAAUUUUUCAAAGUUAAGAAAACCAAUAAAACAUUAAGACGUAUGAUUAAACGUUCUUACCUUCUAAAUGGGUUAACUUCACCACAAUUAUUUAGAAUGUAUAUAUGACACUUAUCAAGAACAUUUAGAUCGAGCUCCACAUUUUCUCCUGAACCCAUAUAACAUUCUUUGGAGUCAAAAAUUGAUAAUCCACCAGAUACUCCAUGUCCAAUACCAUCUUCAUUUCGGCCUCUACAGGUGCGACGAGACUCGACAUCUCUAAGAUACAUCGAACAGAAGGACAAGCACUCGUCCACCAAAUAUGCUUAAGCUAUAGAACAUUCAGGACGACCCUUAUUACAAACAAAAUGCUUUAGUAUUUGCAAAUACCUACAAUUAUAAAAUGCAACACAAAUUAUUAUAAUUAAAGUUAUGACUACAAUUGUAAAAAAAUUAUAAAAAAUUUGUUAAUUACCGUUUAAUUGUAUACAUCCAUCUAUAUUGAAUAGACCCUGCAAGAGCUGCUUCAUCUGCCAAGUGAAUUGAGAGGUGCACCAUUAUAUAAAAAAAUGCAGGAGGGAAUAUUUUUUCAAGUUGACAUAAUGUCAAUGCAAUUUUUAAAUUCAAUUGCUUGAAUCCUUCCUCAGACUCAUUCCACACGCCUUUUGUAGUAGUAUCUGUUGAUACACAAAGUCGGAGGUCUUGGAACAACGUAAAUUCGACCGUGAAUCUGCAAGUAAUGUAAAUAACACAAGAUGUAUCGUGGUUCACCCCAAGGUUUGGGCUACGUCCACAUUGAUUAUAUUUCUGAGGGAGAGAGAGUUAUGAGAGUGAGAGCUUUGAGAGGGGGUGAGAGGGCCUAGGAAUUGGCCUCCUUGAAUGCACAAAAUCAGUGAGGACUUUGGUACAACAGAAAAUGUUAAGUUUGUGACCUUCGCUAGAUUGCUCCGGUCAUUAGUAUGGAUAAGUAUGUAAAUGGAUAGAGACAGGGAAACAAACACAAGAUGUACGUGGUUCACUCAGAUUGGCUACGUCCACGGAGUAGAUGAGUUCUCAUUAAUUGUGAAGGGUUUACACAAGUACAUAGGUUCAAACUCUCCUUUAGUGAGUACAAGUGAAUGAUUUAGUACAAAUGACAUUAGGAAAUAUUGUGAGAGAUUGAUCUCUAUUUAUAGAAGAGAGUUUCUAGUUUCAUUCUGACAUUGACACGUGUCGUGUUGUGAUUGGCUUCUGAUGUUGACACGUGUCGCGCUAUGAUUGGCUUCUGAUGUUGACACGUGUCGCGCUAUGAUUGGCUUCUGAUGUUGACACGUGUCACGCUGUGAUUGGCCUCCUGGUUGGAGGGAAACUCUUCUGGGUCCUUGACGGUAUAACGUUGAUCGGUGCACAGUAGUUUCGGGAUUGGUUAAGUAUGGUACAAACAGUAUCAAUCAGCCAAUUACAUUUCACCAGCAAGUUCGACUGCAAGAAGUAUCGCUUUAAUAUACGAUUUAGCACAUUGCAUCCCCAUAACUUGUUCUCUUGAGAUUGGUUAUGUUUCUCCACAGUUUGAAACACGAGAGUUUUAAGAGAGCAAUAUGAGCUUACCGCACAUUUUGUCAAGCAAAAACUGGAUGGGCUCAUAACCCUCCACUGGGAUAAUGAUAUUUAACUUCAUAUGGAGUAUCACGAGCCCUUUCACCUGAAAAUUACAAAUAGGAAUUAAGAAGACGUUGUUGUAAGGGAUAUCAACACCCACUGCAGUAAAGAUACCCUUACAUCUCCAUGCAACGGUUAACAUUGUGGGUGAGGGUGACAAAGUUGGAGGGGGGCUCCCAGUUGCUCCCGACCCUGAUAACUUGACAUCCAGGCCAUUCUCUGGUAAGACCUGCAAAUAUUUAAUCAGACUGAGGACAGAUAAUUCGACCAUUUUAUUUACUUAUAAAUGGUUUUGCUUGCAUCAAAGUGUACGGAAGCCGAGCACCUUAAUAUUAGGUCUUUGCACCAGUGGAAAAGGCAGCAAUAUUGCAGCCAUAGAAAGGGUUACAUGUCACUUCACACAUUUUCGGUACUCAGCUUCCAUGAUAUGACAUUCAAUAUAAGAGGGGGUCUUGAUAUCUUAGCUGUUCAUCUUCAGCAAAAUAAGAUCAAAUAUUCAAAGUUGGCGCAAUAUGUAAUGAUUGCCUCAACAAAUAUUUAACAUUACUUUUUACUGUCAUGAAUUGACAAUGAGUUGAACUGUCGAGAAAGUAAACUUCGAAUUUUCGUUCAAGCUAUUUUAUAUAAUAGUAAAUGAGCAAGCUUAAAACUUUUGAAAAUAACGUGAGGAUAUAAUGUGUAAAAGGUGAAUUGGUGAUAAGUUGUUAUUCAAAAUUAAGAGUUAAAUUCAAGAUAUUGUAUGAGACUCACUUAUGUUUUUAUUUCCCAUAUAAUUGUUAUAUAUGUCAGUGUCCAUUUAAAGAUUAUGUAUGCAAAAUAAUCAAUCCAAUUAAAGGUCACUUCAUCUUAUUUUAAAAUGUAUAUAAUAAAAUUAUGUUAAAUUCAAAAAAUUUCAUUGUUAAAAAUCUAGUGGCCGAGAAAUAUAACAGUUGGAAAUCCAACGGUCCAGAACAUCCCACGUCGCCCCUCUCAGACGAGUGUGAGGGUGUCUGCCAAAAAAUAUAAAAGACGUCGCUGACGUCAAAUGGGGGGGGUGGUUGGGCCCGCUGAACAGCCCCACUGUUUUUCUGGAGUGGGAGGAUUGAAUCACUCAAUUGCAAGGGCAAUCGAAAGAGGUGGAGUUGCUCCAACUACUCUACCAAAAAAGGGUAGAGAAAUUUUCCAAAAGUAAAAGAAGAAAAAAGAGAAAAGUGAAAAUUGAUGACAACAACAAACAAGUGUUAAAAAUUGGAAGAAAAGGGAAAAAGGAAAAAAAACAACCCAAAAAGAUAAAGCCACAAGAAACCAUAUUCCAAAAUGCAAAUUCCAUUCCAUUUAUAUUUUCCCAAAUUCCUAAAACGAAAAAAAAGCAAAAAAGCAUUGGAAAUUCCAAAAAACAAAAGCAAAAAGGCCUCCAAACACUCCCACACAGAGAGAAGCAGCACCUCUCAACCUCGAGCUCCGCGCUACGAUUCUCUGUAGAAGAACACAAUCGAACAGAAGAAUUUCGACCAAAGCUUCAAAUUUUCCCAUUAAUUUCACAAAAUUUGAGCGCCAAAAUCCAUCGGAGCUUCGACAAAAACCUUGAAACUAUCAUUAUUUACAAGUCUUCAAUCGCAGAGAGCCAAAUGUACGAACCCCACCGGCCGAAGUCGAAAACCCAAACCCUAGAGCUAUGCCGCCGGGACUCGCAGUGACGGAACUUUCAAACCCUAGAAAUGGCCAAGCAUUCCGUGGGGUGGGUCGCGGCGCAGAAGCGGUGGCUUCUGGCUUUACUCGUCAUGGUCUCCCUCUCUACCUUGAUCGCCUUCUUCAUCAGAGCCGCGUUUGACACCUGCGAUCGCGGCGGCCUUGACGUCGUCGAUAAGAGGGUUCCGCUGGGGGCGCCCAUUGGGACCAGUCCUAGCCCCCUCAGCUUCAUGAAGUCCAAGCUCGUGCUCUUGGUCUCCCACGAGCUUUCUCUUUCUGGUAAUGUCUCUGUCUCCAUUAUAUUGUUAUCAUUUUUUAUGAAUUUAAUGCAUUUUUAUAUUAAUCGUGUUUAAUUAGUUGUGUUAAGUUUUUAAUGACUUAUUAGAUUAUACAAACAUAGAAAGUUAGCAGCUUUAGAUGAAAAAUCACUUGUAUCAGUGGAAUCUGUGAGCAUUAACUGGUUUUCGAACUAUUGGAUGGUUUUCGAUGACCCGUUUAACAAUAAGUCCUUUCCUGUGCCUCAUUACUUUUAAAUUUCCUGUUUUAUUCUAGUAUUUAUGGAGAGGGUAGCUUGUUCCUUAGUGUGUUAAUGCUGUUUGAUAUAUUUUCAUCUCAGUUGAGUUUAAUUUGUUUGUGAAUUUGGAAACAUGGUCUGGUGCAGUUGCAUGCCCUUCAUUAUGUUCGAGUUUAAUCAAUGAUUUCAUUGGGGAUUUAUGUGAAGUCAAGAUUAUAGAGUGGAAGAACUGAGUACGUUACUUCUCUGCGAUUGUUGAUUCUUAUAAGACGGCAUCUGUAUUGUUCUACUAUUCACGUAUUUUUGUAACUUAAUUAAUUCAAUAACCCGAUAAGCAGGGUUGUUUGAAUUAUUUGUCCAUUCUGUGUACUGAUGUGUCAUUUGAAAAUAUUACUACUCAACUUGAAAAUGUUUGUCGUCUUUUGAACAUUAACCUAUUUAUUGGGAUAAUCUUGUUCUCGAGCUGUCAUGCAUUUUGUAAUACAAUGUGUUCUUUGAAGAAUGCUCUUUUUUUCAGAUGAGAAACUUUUGUCCUUGGUUCGAGAACUUAUUGAGUCAAUAUUCUUGCCGGCGUCAACAGACUAACGUUUUCUAAUGUUGAUGCGUUCUUUUUGUUAUAUUUACUUGCACUUGUCAGCAUAUUGAAAUAAAUGGAGUAGUACCACAACUGAUGAAAGCUAUCUUCCUCCUUAACCAGAUAUCUGGUUGAAGAGUAUAUUUUAUCCCACCAAUUUCUGCUCUUUAUAUCUUACAAACGCUACUGGAGGGAUAAUAUAUUGAACAUUCUUCCAGGUGGACCUUUGUUGUUGAUGGAGCUAGCAUUUUUAUUGAGAGGUGUUGGCACUGAAGUUUAUUGGGUUACAACCAUGAAAUCGUCAGAUACAGAUGCUGUAACAUACAGUUUGGAGCAUAAGAUGUUGGACCGAGGAGUGCAGGUACAAAUUUCACUUUUAACUUUUUAAGAGAUUAUUUUGGAAGUCUUCUUUUGCAGUCUAGUUGUUGUCUUUGUUCUACAUAGUUAUUUUUAUUAUCUCAAUAUUUCAUGAUAUGGAAGCAUUCUGUUGUCCAACUGUACUAUAUUGGCCACGUGCUAAGGAAACUAUGCUAAGUAAAUCUAGCUUCCCAUCUGAUUUGAUCUAUACUAUGGCCUUGUCUGGCUCGGUCUUCUCUGCGUGUCAUUUCCUGUUUUUGAUAGGUUAGAUUUCUCUGUAACUUCUCCAUGUUUCUAAUACUGCUUCUAUACAUCUCUAGGUCCUCUCUGAAAAUGGCCAAGAAACUGUGAAUACAGCUCUCAAAGCUGAUUUGGUUGUAUUGAACACCGCAGUUUCUGGGAAAUGGUUGGAUGUUGUUCUUAGGGAAAAUGUUCCCCGUGUUCUCCCAAAAGUGUUGUGGUGGAUUCAUGAAAUGCGUGGCCAUUACUUCAAAUUGGAUUAUGUUAAGCACCUCCCACUUGUUGCAGGUUCUAUGAUAGAUUCACAUGUAACAGCAGAAUAUUGGGAGAAUAGGACUCGAGAGCGUUUGGGGUAGGCUUCAAAUAUUCUUCCUUUUUCUUUUUUAUAUCAUUUGGUUCACCGUUGCAUUCAUUUUCUCUCUGCAGUAUCAAAAUGCCCGAGACCUUUGUUGUUCACCUAGGAAACAGCAAGGAACUUAUGGAAGUUGCUGAGGACAAUGUGGCAAAGCGAGUUUUGCGUGAGCAUGUCCGGGAGUCUCUUGGAGUUCGAAGUGAAGAACUAGUAUUUGCCAUCAUUAACAGUAUGUAUUUUGGUCUGUUUUGAUGGUUUGAUUGAAUUUGGUUAUAAUGUUUCACCAUGAAUUUACCAGUUUGUUUGUUUUUUAUCUUUAUCUUGUUUCUAGUAUGCUGGUGAAAUUUGUGUUAAUUUCCGUGGGGAUAUGACAAAUAAAAAGUAAUGUUCUGGUUAGUUUAUGCAUACAUUGUGAGCACUAAAUUACACUUCAUGUCUAUAGGUGUUUCGCGCGGAAAAGGCCAGGAUUUGUUUUUGCGUUCCUUCUAUGAAAGCUUGCGACUGAUCCAAGAGAAGAAGCUGCAACUGCCAAAAAUGCAUGCUGUAAUUGUGGGGAGUGACAUGACUGCUCAUACCAAGUUCGAGCAUGAAUUACGUAACUUUGUAGCGAUGAAGAAAAUUCAAGAUCGUGUUCAUUUUGUAGACAAAACUCUGACUGUAGCACCGUAUCUGGCUGCAAUUGAUGUCCUUGUUCAAAAUUCGCAGGUAUUAGAAGCAUUUUUCUUUUAUUAUUGUGUUAUUCAAUCUUGUUUUGAUGCAUAUAGAAUUCCCAACUAGCCAACGAAUAAAGAAUAAGAUCCAUACAAAUAGGUGUUCAGAUUAUUCUUUUUCAAGUUUGACCCUAAUGUGGUUGGAAUUACAUAAAUUUUAUUAAAAUAUCCAUUUUCAUCUUGUAUUUUUUUUUUCAUUCCGUACAGGCACGCGGAGAAUGCUUUGGUAGGAUAACCAUUGAAGCCAUGGCAUUUCAGCUGCCAGUAUUGGUAAUGAACCUUCCUCCUUUUCGUUUCGCGUAAUAUCUAAUACUGAUGCUGCCUAUCUUAUUGACCCAUUUCAUUGUCUUUUUUUUCUUUCCCAAAUAAAAUAUUUAUCAGGGAACAGCGGCAGGUGGCACCACAGAGAUUGUAGUGAACGGAACGACAGGUUUGCUGCAUCCUGUUGGGAAAGCAGGGAUCACUCCUCUCGCGAAUAAUAUGGUAAAACUCGCCACUCACGUUGAGAGGAGGCUUACGAUGGGGAAGAGAGGCUACGAAAGGGUCAAAGAAAGGUUCCUAGAACACCAUAUGGCAAAUAGAAUAGCUGCGGUUCUGAAGGAAGUAUUGCGCAAGUCAGACAGCCGCUCAGAUUCUUAACACAUGCUCUCUUCUCCUCAUGUCGAGAUUUCAGCGCUUAAGUAGGUCGAUUUUCCUUUUAUGUCGACAUAAUCGUCCCUCGGGUUUUUCACCUUUCUAUUUCCAAUAGGGCUGUACAUUAUGUGCAUAUUAAGGCAAGAUCGAGAUUGUAGCUUGUUAAAAGGUUGACAUUAAUGACAUGAUCGAUUUUGUUAUAGCAUGGGAUUGGAAAAAUUGGCAUCUCAUUGACAUGCUUGCAACUCUCUUGUUACUGAAUUAUGAGCAUUUAUGCUUGUUAACUCUUAUCAUCUUUUAUAUGGGCGGGUAGGAUGGUUUGCCGAAAUAACUUGCCGACACUCGUUUCAUGAAACGGGGCAUUUCACAUAUAAGCUCACGUACCUCUUGCAUGAUAUAGCAAAAAUGAAACGGGCAUAGGCAAGUUUUGUGCGGUUUUGCCAGCUUUUUGUUUGUAAGUUUUUGAAAAGAACAUCAUAAACAAAGCGUUGGUUCGUGCUCACUUCCCCCAUGCAUCGGAGUUUGAAUCUUCAUGUUCGAAAAUCACUUGGAUUAAAAGUAAAAUUAAAGAAUCACUGACAUGUUAACAAACGUGUCAAUAAUUCUUUUUUUUUUAACCGAUCCAACUUAAUGUGAAAAAGUUUUGUUGUUGUACCGACGUGUUAAAAAGAAAAAAAUAAUUACAACUAAGAACUUAGCUUAAGCUUUACAUUAUAGCAAAAAGUUCAAAUUUUUCAUUACAACUCAGAACAAAGCUACUGAGCUAGUAAGAAGAUCCGUAAGACUUCAAGGAGACUUGGGUUGUGGAGAAUCACUUGCUGGCUUUGGCUUCUGCUUGAAGUUGUGCUUUGUAAACCAAGUGGUGUACAGAAAGUGCUUCUGAGCUCCUACAUGGUUGCAUAUCAAUCUGAGCUUCUGCCUCUCCCUCAUCCACCUCAGCACUAUCUUCAUGUGCCUCUUGCUCGUCAACCCUCUCAACCCGACUUUCUGAAAGAAAAAACCACUCAGACAUUUCAUCAAACACUUGGUGCGCGAAAACGAAAUCACUGAGAUUACCUUGACGUGAUCCCAGGUUUCGGAAAUGGUGAGAGGACCGUGCUCCUUGACGAUGUCGAAGAUGGCCCUGGUGAUGGUCUGUGUCUGCUCAGGUGGGGUAUUGAGCUCUAUGGGUUUCAUCGGAGGUUUUGGUUUCCGAGCGAUGCACCUGAUCGCUGUCCCAAACAUGUUUCUGAUUUCCCUUUGCUAAAGAGAGUGGGCUAACAAAUAUAACCCGUUAGGUAAAAUGUUAUUCAUUUAAUUUAGCACAGAGUAAAUUGUAACAAUGAUUCUUCAACUUUAAUUAAAUUGGAGAAACAGUUUAUCAACUAAAAAUUAAUUACCAUUUAUCCCUCAACUCAUCAAAAUGUGUAGUUUGGUCAUUUUCGUCAAUUUCGUCAGAAUUUUAUCAAAAUAAGUUAUGUUGGAAUGACCAUUGCUAUAAUUGAGGUCUCUCAACUCAUCAAAACGUGUAGCUAUGAUCAUUUUUGUCAAGUACAUCAAAAUUUUGUCAAAAUGAGUUAUGUUGAAAAGAUCAUUGCUACAAUUGAGUUAAACUUGAGAGAUCAUUGCUCCAAUUGGGUUAAAGUCGAAGGACCAAUGAUAAUAAAUUUUUAAUUGAGAGACCAUAACUACAUGUUCUGAUGAGUUGAGGGAUCAAUAGUAAUAGAUUUUUAGUUGAGGGACCAUUGCUACAAUUUAAUCUAUAGCACGUUCUUAGCGCUACUGAAUCUUUUUCCCGAGUACGAAUACGAUGGUGUUGGUUUUCGACUCCCAUCGACCAUAGAGCUAAGGAUUGCUGCGUGAACACCUGGUAUAUGUCGACCUGAUCGAAGAAUUUGUCUUCGUCAUUACGAUCUGGGUUGAGGUGACUGAUCUUCCACACGCCAUUAUCCACAGUGAAUCGAAUCAUAGCCUUACAGCCUGUUCUUGUGUCUAGUCUUCCCCAAUUUCGACAUAAGCCCAGAAUAGACACGUGACGGCAAAAAAUAGCGGUAGAGUAAUACUUAAACUUAACUGGGAGCGUCAAAUCACCACCUUUGUUUUCUUCCCAACCUCCCAGUUCCAGUUUAAAUAGCAUGUUCACGUUUAAUUUUACCAAAAAAAAAAUGAAUGUGGGAAUCAACCUACAUCACCAUUCUUUGAUUUUUUUCAAACUUGCAUGGCACGGGUCCAGUGUGGCGUCUCUUGCCAAUAGUACAAAUACAUGUUAGUUAUCGUUGCAUUUCAAAUAAUAAUAAUAAUAAAACGUGUUAGUUGCCUUGUAUCGUUGGCACAAAAUGCCACCGUAGCAGUUUAUGCUGUGCCAUGCAUGCUGCAAGUGAAUCAAGAUAACUCUUCUACACCGUGCUUAAAAGUCGAGAAACCAGUGUGUCCAGACUCCAGAAGCACUCAAAGGGUUUAUAUUCAUUUCUAGCCAAGACUCUGCACAUAACCUAGAAAUAAAAUGCCAAGACAGUGUUCUAAACAGCAAUAACACAGCAGCACAUAAAUUAAACUAAAACGGCGCACAAGUGAAAAGAUGCUACUUCAGAUCAGUAAAAUCCAUUAAUAUUAAUGUACUAUAGCACUUAACGGCGAUACAAAGUAUAUAAAGAUUAACCGAGAUAAAUUAUAGAUUUCAAACUCCAGUAUUGACAACAAAUAUAAUAACCGGAUACAUCUAACAUCAAUGAACCGACACUAGAAAAAGAAAACGAUGUACAAUGUUGGCUUCUACAAAAGAAGAAAAAUAAGAAUCUAACCUUUCAUUCUGAACAUCUUAUGCAAUGAAGUGCAAUUUUUUUUUCAAUCUAGGAGACUUGUCCUUUAGCUGUCACAACCGGGGGAUUCCACACUCCCAUUAUCAAGAGACAUAUCGCGAACAGAUUGGUCAUCUACUUUGCUCAAAUUUCCUAGCAUGUAGGUAGUUUCCUCGUCACUUUCCAGCAACUUUAUGGUCUCCGCUAACUUUUGUUUGACAAUCCUUUUUCCCGAAUCACACAAUGAGCCUAUACUGAAAACAUUCGUUCCUUCAUGCAUUAACUCACUUAGGCGCAACGAUUGAGCAGAGUUGGCCUUUCUAUCUGAUGACUUACUGAACUUAUUACUCGCCACAAUCCCUUUUUUUGCCUCUCUAGUCCAUCUCUUCACUAUGUAUUGUGUCGGUAUGCUUGUGAAGUUUUUAGAAUCCAACACUUUGAGGGCAUGACGACACAACAAGCCCAUCGAUUCAAAUAACUUACAAGAACAAGAAACUGUGGAUGUAGUAGAGUUGUACCGAAUCAUGAAGACUCUUUGAUGACCUUCUUCGAUUGCUUCAUAAAUAUAUUGGUUGCCGUCAUUACCAACUUCCACCAUCCUCACCCCAAAAAUGCUCAUAAGCUCAUCUUCAAAGAAUGAAUACAUUUUGACAGUGUACUCAGUAGCUGCAUGCUUAAAUAUACUACUAUUUACUCUAAGACGAGGCUUCGCAUUUUUACAACGAAAAUCCUCUUCCAACUCUGUGAACCGCAUCUUUUUUAUUUUUUGCUCGUAGUGCUGUACAAAACUAACAAGAUCCACUAUUUUUCUGGAAACUUGAUGGAAAAUGGUGUUCGUAUUCUCACCCCUCUGGCUUGAUCCAAUAUUUGCUGAGAAAGCAUCUGAGCUAAAUGCUGGACACCAUUUAUCUCGAAGUGAAUACAACAUCUUUAGCCACGAGUUGCUUUCAAGGUUGAACAUUUUAAUCAUGUCAUCCCAGGCAUGUUGAAGUUCUUGUUCAGUAAAACAAUCGUAAAAGCAUUUGUAGAAGUGCUUCUUGAAUUCAGGAUCAGCAUAAAGACUACCAAGAUGUUGUGUAGCAUUCUUGGAGAUUUGCCAAUUGCAUAACAGAUGGCGUGUCUCUGGAAACACAAUCUCAAUUGCCCUUGCCUUUUCCAUUGCUUUAUUCUCAUCUGUGAAAAUGGUUACUGGCUGUUUAUUUCCCAUUGACUCCAAAAAUGUUUCAAACAACCACAUAAAUGAGGCAGUGCUCUCGUCCAAUAAAAAUGCACAACCAAAUGAGAUAUUCUUCCAGUGGUGAUUAACUCCCAAAAAUGGAGCACAAAUUAGAUUGUUGUUGGUUUGAAACGUAGUGUCAAAGCAUACAACGUCUGCAAAACAAUCAUAAUCCAACUUUGAUCUACCGUCUCUCCAAAAAUAAUUUGUGAUCCGAUUAAACUGAUCCACCUGUACACUGUAGAAAAAACUCGGAUCCUCCAUCUGUUUAUGCUUAAAAUAGUUUAUCAAGCUUUGUCCAUCCCCUGCAAUCAAUUCAUCCUUCCCCCUUUGCAAACAAUUAUGCGAAUCUUUAUUACUAACCCCGACAUUCUCAGCACUUCCAAAUUCCUUUCCCAAAUAUGAUUGCAACUUUGGUGGUCGUAUACUCCCAUCAACCUUAGAGCUGCCAAGUAUAGUUGCACGAACACUUGGUAUAUUUCUCCCCGACCUCAGAAACUGUCGCUCUUCAGGCCUAGCAAACUCGUGAUUAUGAAUUGGAUUAAUGUACGAGAGCUUCCAUACACCAUUUUCCACAUUGAACCGAAUCACAGCCUUGCAACCUGUCCUUGUGUCCAAUCUUCGAACUUUUCUCGCUUCACACAAGUCUUCAUCUACUUGAAACCCUUCUUUCGAGCACGUGUAUUCUCUCUGCCGGACAUUGUUCUGCGAAUCUCUCCGAAGAUGACCUUUCCGAAUACUAAAACCUUUGUUGAAGGCAUAGGUGUUGCAUAGCUGGUACGCCUCAGCUUCAUCACUAACCUCCAUUCCUACCCUCAGUUCAUCAAUUUCUCCGAAAAUUUCAUCAUUGUCGCUUUUUUCUAAUGAUUCCUUUUGAGAAUCACUAUCCAUUUAGCUCAAAUCAGCCUAAUCAUAAACGAAUAAUUAAUUUAUGUAAAUAAAAUUAAAAUUUAACUCCUAACAAAAUAAAGGUGCAAAAUUUAAGAUGAAUCCCAAAUUUUUCAAUAAAAUCGAAAUAGCCCAUUUCGCUAAAACAGAUGUUAAUUCAUAUUAUCAAUCGCGAAAUUAAAUUGAAAUAAUUGUCUGAUUCUUCCCCAAAUUUUUCUCAGCCAUUAAAAUUUCAAAACUUUCAACUUCAAAAUUUUCAGAAAUGAAAAAAAGAAGGCAACAAUCAUAUCAUCAAAGAACCAGAGAGGAGAGACGAUUACCUGGUUUUUCCGAUAAACGAGAGAGAAGAAGAGAGUCGAUACGUCGUCGUUUAGAGGAGGAACGGGAGGAGGAGUUUGGGCUGAGAGGAGUGCUGGCACUGUGUGAAUAGAAAAGGGUCUAGAGAUUAGGGAGGAACAAAACGCAGCGUUCUCAUCCCGUCUCUAUCAAAUACAAAAUUUCACUUUUGGCCUUUCUAAUUUACGCCGAGUUUAUUUUAGUCCUCCUAAUUUUUAUUGUGUCAAUGUUGACCUUGUAAUAUACCAAAAGUUGCAACUCGACAGCUGGUUUGAGAUUGUAGUGCUUUUAUAAAAAACAGCUUAUUAAAAUACCUGAAGCAUCAAAUAUAUUUGGUAAAAUAAAAAAAGCAUUUUUUUUUUAUAAAUUAAGUUUAUCCAACACUCAAAUACUAUUAUUUUUGCAAUUUGUUAUAAACAUUUUUACAUAAAAUAAAUUUACCAAACACUUAACAAAUUUAGUUUACAGCUGUUUAUUCUCAGAAAUAUUUUUUUCAAAAAGAACAACAACACCAAACUAACCCACAUUAUAACCAUCUUUUGAAAAAAAAUUCAAGAAAACUCCUUAAAAUCCCAUGACUAAUAGUGUAUUUUAGAAGUAUUUCAAGUCAUUCGGUCUUCUGCAGGUUGAAACAAACAAGGGGUAACUCAUGAGUUCUGUGCAGGUGAAACAACCCAUCCAGAAUACACCGAGAUUAAGACGACGUUGGAUGACAUUCUGGACAGAUUACAAGUUCAUGGCUACCAGCCAAACCUGGUUUCGGCCGCUUAUGCUGUGGGAGACGAAGAAAAGACGGGUAUAUUAAUGUCUCAUAGUGAAAAGCUAGCUUUAGCAUAUGCAUUGCUCAGUAUAGAUUCUGGUUCCGCCAUUAAGAUCAUGAAGAACAUUAGGAUUUGCGGACACUGUCAUUCGUUCAUGUGCGGCGCGUCCUAGGUUACAGGGAGGGAGAUUGUCGUGAGAGAUAACAUGAGAUUCCACCAUGGAAGAAGAUUACAGUGCAAUGUUUGAUAUGGCGGAAGGCCGGUUUUGAGUAAUAUGAUCAUCUAGGCAAAUGUUUCAGCCAAUGCAGUUGAUAUAUUAACAUAAUAGACAACAAAUUUUCACAUCACAAAGACAGACAUUGCGUAGUGCUCUCUGUGCAUUAGCCACACAAACAACUCAGCUCACACCAGAGGCACCAGUAGCUUAUUAUAUGACCGAUAUAAUAGUAACAAACCACUGUAUUUAUAUCUUGUGGUGUCCGCCGCGAAGCUUCUCUAUGAUCUUGUCCAUGAUCCCUUUCUUUUCGUGGUGCUCCUCCGUGUAAGCGGUGCCGCCGCCGGAGGGUGUGGUGGUCGACGUCGUAGUAUGUGAGUACCGGGGAUCAUCCUUGUGGCCAGUACUCGGCAGCUUGUCCUCGAUCUUGUCCAUCAUCCCUUUUUCCUGGUGGUGACCUCCUGGGUCGGCGGUGCCGUAUGCUGUGUCAGUUGUGGUUGAGCCUGGGAGCUUCUCAUUUAUCUUCUGUUUCAGCCCCUUUUUCUUCCUACUCCCACCUAGCCCAUCAUCCUCUGACUACAACACAAUAAUUAAAUACCCAACAUAUAACUACCAAGAGAAAAAUACAAGUUAACAAUUUCAUGGGAAAUUUUACAUUCCUUAUUUCUCUUGAAAUUGGGAUACCAAGUCCAUAAAAAAUCCACCGGAAGAAUUGAAUGCCUUUAUUGAAUAAUACUUGCAUAACCUAUCUUCAUCGUAGAAAUUUUAUAAUCAUAACCGUUUUUAUUUUUAAUCUCCAUUUAAGAUUAUGUGUACAAAAAUCAUUUGAAUAGAAUAUCGUUUUUAGUCAUCCAAAUGUAUCACAUAAAUCAACAGUGUAGAAAAAUCAUUUGAAUAUGAUAUCGUUUAGUCAUUCAAAUAUAUCUCAUAUAUAUCAACAGUGUAGAUACCAAGUAACAUAUAUUAUAAAGAUCAACAGUCCAUUUAUUCCAUAAAUUUGGAUGACUAAAUAAUGUUCGAUUAAAUGAACUUUUGUAAGGAUUGAUAAUCUUUAAAUUAAUAUUUAGAAAUUGAAUGGCCUCGAUUAUGAAACUUGUAGGAUGAAGAUACACAAUUGGGGAAAUGAGCUCAAUUCCCAGGAGAGGAAUGCAAAUAUUAUUCUUUCUAGUGACUAUAGUCAAUUCUAAUAAGAUGUGAUACGUUGAUUUGCAUUUACGGAGUACAAUACAUGAAACUAAUUUAAUCAGUAAGAUGAUACAAAUAAUUGUACAUAUUUACCCAAAAUUAAUACCAUUAGUAUCCUGGCUAAUUGUAUUAGGAUUUACACACAAAUUCAUUUUCGUGGAAAUUAUGCGGUUAAUUAAGUCUAAUCUUUUUGCUAGCAAGGUCUAAUCUUUUUAGACAAAACAAUGGUACAAAUUACAAUAUCCUACGAAAAUUAAGAUCAAAUCUUUAUAUGGGAAAAAGAGAUUACUUACAGAGCUAGAGCUUGAGCUGGCGGAGCGAUGAAGCAUGCCAGUGACACCAUGGUGCUCUUUCCUGCCGUAAUCGUGACCAAGUGUGCCGUGACCACCUGCCGUGGUGGCAGCAUAGCCAGUGGUCACAACGGCCGUGUGAUGAGCACCGUAUUCUCCGGUGGCAGCAGGAGCGAUGCCAGUAGUAGCACCGUGAUGACCAAGUGGGUUUCCAUACUUGUCCACUUGGGGAACCAAGGGGUUGCUGUUCUCGUCAGUUCCCUGAGUCGGGUUGCCGCAGGCGGCGGUGGGUGGUGCCCCGUAUUGAUGAUUUUGUAAAUGCGCCAUUCUCUAAAAACACAAUGAAACCUUUUCUUCUUCUUGGAAAUUUUUUAAUAUGCUUCGAUGAGGAUUUGAUUUUGAUGAAGUCUGACAAUUUGGGUCGGUUUAUAUAAGCAAAAUAACAAAACAUGCAUGUCACAGUAGGGUUCUUGCCGUUUGCCAAACUUUAAUAAUUUGUAAAACUAUCCCCACUCUCUCUCUGUAUACAUGUCGUAUACGGUAUACCUCACAUUGCCACAAAAGCAACUCCCGACAGCAAAAAUAGUGUUAGACAUGUCGUAUAGCUCACAUUACCAAUACCUUGAAAGCAACUGCCGACAUCAAAAAAUAAUAGAACUUGGAUUGUUCAUGCUACUAGCUUCCAUCGCUAGGACAUGUACUUGGAAGCAAGCUAUACAGCCACCUUGAAUCAAUGAAUGAACCUUGAAUCAACGAAUGAAUGAAAAGAAAUGGAAUUGAAAGCAAGCUACAGCUACCUCAAAUCAAUCAAUGAACGAAUGAAAAGAAAAGAAACCGCCUGCUUAUCUUGUGUGACAAGACCAUAGAGCGAGUGGCUCUUCUAUGUGUGAAAUUAUCUUGUGUGACAAGACCAUAGAGCGAGUGACCAUUCUAGGUGGGCAGCUGUGUGAGAGAGAGGAAUUCGAACUUGAUAUUGAUAUCAGCGGAGGCGUUUGCAAGUGGCAAACUAAAUAACAUGUUCAUGUUCUUAUUGCUACUCAUUUUAACAUAAUAGACAACAAAGUUUUGUAAGCAGUAUAUCAAUAAAUAAACUACUGCAACACAUCAUACCAACACUACCCUAGGAUUACCAACUAAUAUCAGAUUCACCAUAACUAGAGAAACACCAGUUUAUAAUCUACAAGACACUUACCUGGAGGCAUCGCCAUUGAAGAAACAACAGAAGAAGAAGUCUUCUACUUCCAACACUCGAAAGUCUCUUCUCUAAGUGAAUAGGGUUUUAGAUAAUAUUGAGAGCGUUAGUAAGGAAGCAGGGACUUCAACUAUAUAUAUAUCCAUCCAUUUUGCUACAGAUUCACUCGGUCCAACCUAUUAUCAGAAAGAGUGAUAAUCUCUAUCUCUUAAUAAGUUUUAGUCCUAUCAUGACUCUAUAUACUAGUAUAUAUUUGAUAAGGAUCAAAAUAGAACAGCUGCAACAUACAAAACUCCACGAUUCUUGUCAUACCAAAGCUCUCAGACUCCUUGUGUUUCACAUAACUAGUAUGACUAGUUAAACGCCACCCAAGUAGUCCAGUUGUAAUCUCAUUGUCAUUCAAACAAGUUUUACAUUCUCCCACUUGAAUGUCAAUGAUAUGCCUCAAUAUUAUAAGAAUCAUGAUGAUCAUACAGUUCACAAAAGCUUGCAACUGAUCCUUCAUAGUAACUUGUCAUCUUUAAGAAAAAUAUAGGACCACAAAAAACAAAGCACGAAUAGCUUGCACUUUGCACUCUGUGAUCACAUACAUAUUUAGCUUAAAAACACUAUGUCACUUUUGAGAGUCAUGACGUCAAGAACUGACAAUUCUCAGUUCCACAUAACAAAAUGAAAUAAUUCCAGUACCAAAGUUGUUUGUAGAAACAUAAUAAGCCAAUUUAAACAAAUCAAUAACGAUAACAAAUUUGCAAGAUAACUAACAAUCGUCAAUCAGUAAACAAAAUAAUUGAAACAAACCCAACACGGUUUAUGGAGUGCUUACUCCCACUCAUUAACUGAAUCAAGGACCUCUCUUACUCCCAUGUUGAAAACAUGUUUCUUGAAAACUCCCACUGGUAAAGCCUUUGUCAUUGGAUCAGCAACCAUUAAACUUGUGUUGAUGUACUCAAUUUCGACAGUUUCUUUCUUCACUUCAUCUCGUACUUUUAAGUACUUGAUGUCCAUCAAUCUGCUGGCAUAAGACCUCUUGUUAUUCUUCGAAAAGAAAACUGCAGCUUUGUUGUCACAAUACAACUUGAGAGACCUUUCAACACUGUCAACGAUUUCCAAUCCUUUCAUCAUGUUUUUAAGCCAAAUGGCUUGUUGAGUUGCUGCAUAGCACCCUAUAAAUUCAGCUUCCAUAGUUGAAGAUGCAAUACCUUUCUGUUUUGCACUCUUCCACGAUACUGCACCAUUAGCCAACAGAAAGAUAUAUGCAUUAGUUGACUUUCUGUCGUCCACGCACCCUGCCAAGUCCGAAUCCGUGAACCCUACCAAUUCCAGCUUGUCCACAUGACUAUAAGUUAACAUAAAAUCUCUUGUUCUUUUGAGACACCUCAGUACCUUUUUCGCUGCAACCCAAUGACAUACACCAGGAUUUGAUUGAAACCUACCAAGCACACUCAGUGCAAAAGCCAAAUCUGGUCUUGUGCAUACCUGAGCAUACAUGAGACCCCCUACAAGAGAUGCAUAGGGCUUGUCUUUCAUUCCCUCAUUCUCUAAUUCAUUUUUGGGACAUUAAACACUACUCAGUUUGUCUCUUUUGCCGAUAGGCAAUUCUCCAUUCGAACAUUUGUCCAUAUUGAAUCUUUUAGCAUCUCUAUCGAUGUACUACCUUUGAGAAAGACCAAGAGACUUCGUAACACGAUCUCUUACAAUUUAUAUUCCCAAAACAAAUCGAGCUUCCCCCAAGUCCUUCAUGUUAAAGUUUUGAGUGAGCAUACUCUUAGUUAACUGUAGUAGAGACAUAUCAGAGCUAGCUAAUAAUAUAUCGUCUACAUACAAUACUAAGAAUAUGACCUUCGCACCAAGGACUUUCAGAUAAAUACACUCAUCCAUUUUGUUCUCUUGGAAACCAGAAGCUGCCAUUACCUGAUCAAAUUUCUUAUUCCAUUGCCUCGAGGCUUGUUUUAAGCCGUAUAUAGACUUAUUCAGUUUACAAACCAUCGUCUCAUUCCCCCUUUCAACAAAUCCAGGUGCUUGUUGCAUGUAAAUAUCUUCUUCAAGAUCUCCAUUUAGAAAUGCCGUCUUGACGUCCAUUUGAUGAAGUUAUAAAUCAAAAUGUGCUGUGAGAGCUAGAAUUAUUCUCAUGGAAUCUUUUGUUGAGACUGGAGAAAAUGUCUCAUUAUAGUCAAUGUCUUCCCUUUGUGUAAAGCCCUUCGCCACUAACCUUGCUUUGUGUUUGUCAAUGUUGCCUUAUGAGUCUCGUUUUGUCUUGAACACCCAUUUACAACCAAUAAUUUUUGUUGUCCCAAUUGGCUUUGGAACUAAGCUCCACACACUGUUUUUCUCCAUGGACUCCAGUUCUUCAUGCAUGGCUUGUUUCCAUAAUGUUGAUCUUGAACUUGUUAUGGCUUGAUUGUAGGACAAGGGAUCAUCUUCAUCACCUAUAGUAUGUUCUGCCUCAUUUAGUUAUGUUUAUACCAUAUUUAGGGCCUCGUAUUUAGAUCUCGUACAAAUACUCGGAGGACUUAAAUGUAAUUAUAUGAUAAAGGAAUGGGCAAAUAUGUAAUAAAAGAUGAGUCCUUAUUCUAUAAAAGGACCACUCACCCUCACAAUUAGGGGAGGCCAAUUCCUAGGCCUUCUCACCCCCUCUCAAAGCUCUCACUCUCAGAGCUCUCUCUCCCUUAGAAAUACAAUAUCAGUGUGGACGUAGCCCAAACUUUGGGGUGAACCACGAUACAUCUUGUGUUAUUUACAUUUCAUGCAGAUUCACGGUCGGAUUUACGUUGUUCCAAGACCUUCAGUUUUGUGCAUCAACAAGGUAUACAAAAUCAGGCAACAAUGUUGCCUUACGUACUCGCUGUGAUUUUCGAAUAUUUGAUUCAAAAACUGCAGUUACUGGAUCAUUCAUAAGAUCUACUUCAGUUAAUUGUACUGGUGCAUGUACUUCAUGUUCCUGGACGUCUGCAUAGGGCACAUACUCCUCAUUUGUUGUAUCAUCUGCAUAAACCGUAUGUGAAUUGUCAUGAAAAGGUUAUGGCUGCAUGUUCAUGGGAAUAAUAAGGGUAGAUGGAUGCUGAUCAAUAAUGUCACUAUCAAGUGUGAUUUCUUUGAAUUUUGAGGAUGUAGUUGCUGAUAUGCUGAUGUCAGUUUCAUCCCCAUCUUCAAGAAAUCUUGCAUUAUGGGUUUCCAUAACCCUCGAGUGACUGUUAGGGCAAUAGAAUUUAUACCCUUUAGACUUCUCAGAAUACCCAAUGAACUUGCAACUGGUGGUCCAUGGAUCGAGUUUUUUCUCUGUUGGAUUAUAGAAUCUGGCAUCGGCAUUACAACCCCAUACACGAAAGUGAUGAAAACUCGGUUUCCUUCUUGUCCAAGCUUCGAAUGGUACCAUGUCAACGGACUUGCUCGGUACACGGUUCAAUAUAUAAUUUGUAAUUUUCAGUGCUUCUUCCCAAAGAAACAUUGAAAGCUUUGAAUGUGCAAACAUGGAUCGAAUCAUGUCCUUCAGGGUUCGAUUCCUUCGUUUAGCAACUCCAUUUUGAUGAGGAGUCCCAGGGGUAGUAUACUGAGCCACAAUGCCAUUUUGUUCAAGAUAAGUUGCAAAAGGUCAUUUGUGUUGUCCAGCCUCAGUGAACUUGCCAAAAUACUCACCACCUCUAUCGGAUCUCACAAUCUUAAUGUGUUUUUCUAGUUGUUUUUCAACUUCCAAAUGAAAUGUUUUAAAACAAUGCAAGGCUUCAGAUUUUUCAAAAAUAAGAAAAACAUAUGCAAACCGUGAAAAAUCAUCAAUGAAGGUUAUGAAAUAUGAUUUUCCACAUAUGGUCUUAAUUGGAAAGGGUCCGCAAAUAUCAGUGUGUAUAAUUUCCAGUAGAGAUUGGCUACGGUUUGACCCUAUUUUCCUAGUAUUGGUGAGUUUUCCUUUAAAACAAUCAACACACUCUUUAAAGUUGCUGAAAUCAAGUUGUGGCAACAAGUCUUGUUUUGUAAGUGUGAUGAUUCUUUCUUUAGAGAUGUGCCCCAACCUUUUGUGCCAAAGCAUUGAGGUUUUUUCAUGAGUGAGCACUUGUUUGAACCAGCACUUUGAACAUUAAAACAUUCAAUCUCAUACGUACAAUUCAUUUGCCACGUAUCAACUUUAAGAUAUGCUUCACUAAGUAAUUUAUUCAUGUCAUUGGAAUGGAAAAACUUUACACUUUGACUGUCACCCACUAAUGUAAAGCCGGAUUUAACUAACUUAGAUGCAGAAAUUGAUUUCCUUCUCAUGGAAGGUACAUAGAGUACUGGACUCAAAUCUAAAAUAAAGCUAGAGGAAAGAACUAAUUUGACACUUCCUAUGGAUUCGAUAGCAACUUUGCUGCCAUUCCCUACAUAGACAUUGUAGACUUCAUUGUUUAUCACCCUUGUUUUUUAGAAGCCCUGCAAAGAAUUAGUUAUGUGAAUAGAGCAGCUUGUGUCAAACCACCAACUUUUAGGAGGAAUGUAAACUAAAUUAGACUCAACACAUACAAAAAUAUUUAUUUCGUUACCUUUCUUAACAAGCCUAUUCUUGAAGCCAUUGCAGUUCUUUCUUAAGUGACCUAUUUCUUUGCAAAAAUAACACUCUUUUUCUUUCUCAAGUUCAAUGUUAACAUGCUUUAUUUUAUGAGAUCCUUUAGAGAUGAUGUUAGUAUUUUUAAAUGAAGAAGAAAUUUCUUUCUUCUUCUUCUUACCAGCAACCACAAUUGAACUUUGAGUGAAGUCCUUUUUGCGUUUUUCACCUUGCACAAAAUUCACAUCUACUGAUUUGUCACUCUUGAGCCGAUCUUCUUCUUGUGCACACAUAAUGAUCAGUUCAUCGAUGCCCUAUUUGUCUUUUUGAGUGUUAUAAAAAACCUUGAGCUGCCCAUAUUUUGAAGGCAAGGAGUUCAAGGCCAUAUGAACUAAGAACUGGUCAAUCAUGGGUACUUCGAGAUCCUUCAACUUCUAAGCAAGAUCAACCAUCUUGAGAAUGUGUUCUCUGACACUUCCCUCACCAUCAAAUUUCAUAGAGGUAAUUUGAAUGAGAAAAGUCCCAGUUUCAGCCUUGUCAAAUUCUUUAAAUUUUUCCCCAACUGCAGCCAAGAAGUCUUUUGCAUUGUCUUGUUUUGGAACACCCCCUUUAACUGAUGGAGCCAUAGCCUUCCUUGUAAUCAUCAGGGACAUUCGGUUUGUUCUCUCCCACUUUUCAAACUUUGCCUUAUGAUCUGCAGUGCUCUCUGUAGUAAUAGCUGCAGGUUUUUCCUCCCUUAAUGCCAAAUCGAGAUCCAUAAGGCCAAGAACCAUUUCAACAUCCUCCUUCCACUUCUUGUAGUUAGAACCGAUCAGAGUCUCAAUAUUGUUGAAAUUGAGAGAUGUCAUAUGAGGAGCUACAAAACCAAAUAUUAAUUUUUAUAGUUCUUAGUCAUUAUGUAUCAACAAACAGAAGAAAAGAUUACGCCUAAUCUUUUCCCAACAUAUAAUCAUAUAAACAUAGUAUCAUCUUUGGACAGAAACUAUUUAUACUAGAUUUGCAUAGCCAAAAUAUUGAAAACGAGGGCAGUUUACAUAACUCCAACACUUUUAAGCAGAUGAAGAAUGCAAUCUUGUCAAUUCAAUAUUUCACUAUACAUUGAUUGAUUUAUUUAUUUAACUUGAAUAAAUAAACACUUUUGAGCAGAUUAUUAUUCACUUGAUACAAAUAAAUCACAUGUCUAAUCCUUUAGACAACAACAAAAUCAACAAACUAAACACUUUUGAACAGAUUAGGUGUUGAGAUCCUUGUUUACGAUUCAAAUUUUAUUUAUUAGUUCGGUUUUGACAAAUAAAACAUGAAUCCAAAAGUUCUUCUGGGUUGAGUGUUCCAAUAUUGCAAUUGUUCUUUGAACGAUCUUCUCUAGACAAAAAUAGCAAACACAACUGGAGGUAUACACGGCAAUAUUUGAUUAUAUAUAUAAAUAUAUUGAUCAUGCAAAUUUCUUUGUAAGUAUGCAACGGAAGCAUUUAAUGACAUAGGAUCAAAAUAUAUAGAUCAAUCAAAUCGAAAGUUAACCAUAUAUUAAAUAAAGAACCCUAGUCAUGUUAGGUUGGCUCUGAUACCACAUGUAAGCAGUAUAUCAAUAAAUAAACUACUGCAACACAUCAUACCAACACUACCCUAGGAUUACCAACUAAUAUCAGAUUCACCAUAACUAGAGAAACACCAGUUUAUAAUCUGCAAGACACUUACCUGGAGGCAUCGCCAUUGAAGAAACAACAGAAGAAGAAGUCUUCUACUUCCAACACUUGAAAGUCUCUUCUCUAAGUGAAUAGGGUUUUAGAUAAUAUUGAGAGCGUUAGUGAGGAAGCAGGGACUUCAACUAUAUAUAUCCAUCCAUUUUGCUAGAGAUUCACUCGGUCCAGCCUAUUAUCAGAAAGAGUGAUAAUCUCUAUCUCUUAAUAAGUUUUAGUCCUAUCAUGACUCUAUAUACUAGUAUAUAUUUGAUAAGGAUCAAAAUAGAACAGCUGCAACAUACAAAACUCCACGAUUCUUGUCAUACCAAAGCUCUCAGACUCCUUGUGUUUCGCAUAACUAGUAUGACUAGUUAAACGCCACCCAAGUAGUCCAGUUGUAAUCUCAUUGUCAUUCAAACAAGUUUUACAAGUUUCACAUCACAAAGAUAGACAUUGCAUAGUGCUCUCUGUGCAUUAGCCACACAAACAACUCAGCUCACACCAGAGGCACCAGUAGCUUAUUAUAUGGCCGAUAUAAUUGUAACAAACCACUGCAUUUAUAUCUUGUGGUGUCCGCCACGAAGCUUCUCUAUGAUCUUGUCCAUGAUCCCUUUCUUUUCGUGGUUCUCCUCCGUGUAAGCGGUGCCGCCGCCGGAUGGUGUGGUGGUCGACGUAGUAGUAUGUGAGUAGUGGGGGUUAUCCUUGUGGCCAGUACUCGGCAGCUUGUCCUCGAUCUUGUCCGUCAUCCCUUUUUCCUGGUGGUGCCCUCCUGGGUCGGUGGUGCCGUAUGUUGUGUCAGUUGUAGUUGAGCCUGUGAGCUUUUCAUUUAUCUUCUGUUGCAGCUAGCUUCUAUCGCUAGCACAUGUACUUGGUGUUGGAUAAAUAUCAACAAUCAACGAUAAAUUUAUAUAUGUUAAUAAAUAAUAAAUACAAAUAAAUAAUUUACCAGAGUAUAAACAUAACGAAAUAAUAUUAGACAGACAAAUUGAAAAUCAAAGCUUGCGUACCGUAAUGUCCUUGAAAUAUAAAUUUCAUCCCUAUUCAGUGCUUGUAGUUCUACAAACGUCUGCUUCACCAAUAUUCAAUUGACACACCCCGACCUAAAUCAGGGCGUGUUGGCCGUCACGUAGAAGUGAAGUAACCAUGUGCAUAGUGCGGAAACAAUAAAGAUAUAAGAGAAAUAUGAAUGAAUAAAAACCAAACUACUAGCCUUACUAGUUAAGAUAAGGUGCUAGAACGAGAUUAAGUGUGAAAUACACAACUAGAGCAUAAAUAGCCUAAGUGCAAUCAAGCAGGACAAGUACUAAUUUACAACACUCAAGGGUGAUCCUACAUUUAUGAUGUUCUGUUAAAACCACCGUUGAAAUCCCCGUGAGCCACCAAAGCAUUUCCACCUAAAACCUAGAUGGGCGCAAAACAGAAAGUGUGAGUAGGCAAAAACAAAGUUUUGCAAAAUCAUUUCAUUUCUCAAAAGUUCUAACCCCUCGCCCUAAAACCUGUAUAAUUUCCCAGAAAAUAAUAAUAAUAAUAAUAAUACUAAUAAUAAUAAUAAUAAUAAGCUGUAUCAGAAAUCAUACUCAAGAUGAAAAUCCAUAGAAGUAUACCAUGCCAAAGUAUCUUAAUGCAAUGCCAUAAAUAAUCCAGACAAAAUAUAUCAAUGUCAGGUAUCGCAUCAGCUGAAUCCCUCUAACUCAAACUGUAUGGUUGAGUCUAUAGCUCAUAACCAAUCUCAAUCAUAUCAUAUCAAUUCUUGCACACGAGUCGGAACCACCUAAAGUGGUCUGUACGACAAGAGUAGGUGUAAAAUAAAUAUGCUCUAGUGCUACGAUCACAUGAAGGCUGUGCGAAUAAUCGCGGGUCACUUACGAGUCGGAACCAUCUAAAGUGGUUUGUACGAAAAGCCUUUGCACCUAACUUGGAUCCUAGGUGAGCAUAUGGUGCGAGAGGUGAAUGUCACGUGAAAGACUGUACCCUAACUUUGGACGGGAGCACUAACACCAAGGUGCAUGUUUAUGAGCUCUCAAUACAUCACAUCAUAUCUCACAUAACUGAAGUAACCUCAUAUCUUUAAUUUAUGAACUUACCUAGCACUUACCUGUGCGUCUGCAGCACCAAUCAUAAAUAUAUGCAACUACUAAUGCAUAAAUAAAAUAGGCAGAUACUUUACAUGGCAUUUCAAAACGUAAAAUCAUUCAAAUUCAUUUUUUGGGAAAAAUCUCAAAGUUUAUAGGUAUAUACGGAAAACCAAAAGCACACUCAUUGAUAUGUCGAAGGGUCGUAGCCCUCGAGCCUCGAUUGAUGGCACUCGUCCUUAGGAUAGGUCUCACCUAUAUGCGAAAUAACUGAAUAAACAUUAUUUAAAGCACAUACACAAAACUAAGAAAUAACUUCUCAUACAUUGCUCAAAUGAGGUAUUUGAAUAUACCACCAUGAUUUACUCAACCUCAGGAACAUCCUCAUAUUUUUAGAAAAAUUUUCCGACCUCCCACGCCCCGCCACGCACCGGCCAAGGCAUGGCCAAACGUGCUCCCAUGCGCGGCCAAACCCUAACUGAGCCUAACGACCAUUAGGAAUAUUCCGUUAAAACCUUAACAAAAGUUAAAUGCGUUACCUGACGCCAUUAGAAUAUUCUGUCAGACUUGACAAAAUAUUCUCCUUCAUAUUCCUGGGUUCGCCGGAGAAUGUUGUCGGAGCCGCUACGAUCGCCUGAAACUGGGAAAAUAAUCAAACCUUCAUAUCUUCCUCAUUUCUCAACCAAAACUCACGAAAUUUAUACCAAAUUGAAGCUUACAACAAGAAGAACAAAACCUUACCAAUUUCACGCCUAGAAAUCCAUGGGAUUUCAUCGGAUAAACCUCGAUAAUUCGGCCAAAAUUGAAACUUGCCAAACUUAACUUCCCGACAUCCAAAACACUUUGUUUUUCUUCUCCAAGCUUUGUGAAGACGUCCUAAGGCUCACUAGCAACUUAAAAUCUCCUAAAAACUUCACAUUCACGAUCAUAUGAACAGUGCCUUAAAACUGGGAUUUCUGGUUCUCGGGAAAACAAGGUCUUCACGUCAAACUAAAGGCAUAGAUGACCACCUGGACUCACGAGGAACACAUAAACAACCUCCUCGACGUCGAUCCGUGAAGAUAGGGUAAGGUUUGGGUGUUGUCCAUACGAGUACGAAAAUGGCAGAAAAUUCGAGGGAAGGAGAGAGAGAAAGUCAACGGGAAAGGGUUUGUGUGAGUGUGUGUGGUCCAGCUGGGUCACCAAUCAAAAUAAAUAAAAGCUUAAGUUUUAAUUGGAUCCAAUUAAUUAGGAAUAGAGCUAACUGGCCUUUUUUUCUUAGCCCAAUCUACACAACACCACGAAACGCUCAAGGGUACUUUAGUCUUUUCACACCACCGAUGAAAUAAUUCAAGACGGGCUGUGAUCAAUGAUCUAAGUUAGAAUUCCAACACCGGAAAACUUGACUUCUGGCUAAUUUCUUUGUGGUUCUCUCAGUAAGAAUGUUUGGGAUUGUAGAAGAAUUUUAUGUUUCUAUGUUCUAAAUGUCAUGCAGAUUGAUGUAUAUAUAAUAGGUUUAUGCAUGUUUGCAACAGGUAUGAGAAUGGGAUGAGUUUGUUAGGAGACAUCUUCUCAAAGGGGUGCUUUGUUCUCUGGCGUUCUUUCAUCACUUCAGACUUCAUCUGAAAAGAUGAGUUUAUUGAUAUAAAAAAUAAUUAAUUAAUUAAAAAUAAGUAAUUAAAAAAUUUAAUUAUAAAGCCCAAUCUCAAACUUGAGCCCAAUUUUAUGAUCUAUGACCCAUUACUCCAUUCACUCUCUACAAGGGACAAAAUCUUAUAAAAUAAAAAUCUUUUAAUAGUGACUAAUAUGGGAUCAUAAAAUUUCUACUCAAAAUUUCUAACACUUAAAAGCAAGCUACAGCUACCUCAAAUCAAUCAAUGAAACCGCUCCCAGUAGGUGGGCGGCGUGCUCGUCUUGUGUGACAAGACCGUAGAGCGAGUGGCUCUUCUCUGUGUGAACUUAUCUUGUGUGACAAGCCCAUAGAGCGAGUGACUAUUCUAGAUGAAUUCGAACUUGAUAUUGAUAUCAGCGGAGGCGUUUGCAAGCGGGCAAACUAAAUAACAUGUUCAUGUUCUUAUUGCUAAUUUGUAGGACCUUAUUAAACCAAUAUUGCAACAGUAGUUAAACCGGAAUUACCGUUACUCGAACGAGCACUAAAUAUAUUAAUAUAAACGACAGACAAAGUUACAUAUCACAAAGACAAACGAUACUGUGUAGUGUUCGGUGCAUUAGCCGCACCAGAGCUGAGCUCGCACCAGGCUCCGCUAGCUUAUUAUAAGAUUCAACAACACUAAACCACUGUAUACAUACUGUAGGCUUUUAUUAAUACAGGAAUGGUAUAUAAUGUCUACUGGUUUCCUCCGGGAAGCUUCUCUUUGAUCUUGUCCAUGAUCCCCUUCUUUUCGUGGUGCUCCUCCGUGUAGGUGGCACCGCCGUAGGGAGUUGUGGUCGUACUAGCAUGUGUUGUGGUUGAGUAGUGGGGGUCAUCCUUGUGGCCAGUACCCGGCAGCUUGUCCUUGAUCUUGUCCAUCAUCCCCUUUUCCUGUUGGUGCCCUCCUGGGUAGGUGGUGCCAGCGGUGCCGUAAGUUGUCUCAGUCGUGGUUGAUCCCGGGAGCUUCUCCUUUAUCUUCUGUUUCAACCCCUUCUUCUUCCUCCUCCCACCUAGCCCAUCAUCCUCCGACUACACCAAAAUAAAUACACGCCGACAUAUGAAUUUCUUUUUCAGAGGGAAUUACAAGUUAAUUAACAAUAUUAAUAUUAUAUAAUUAGUGUAUAAAAGAAAUUGAUGAUCAAAUCCUGCCAAUAAGAGUUGGAUCUUGCAUAAAAAUUGUAUCUACGCGAUUGUAUACAAGUUAAAAAUUUCCGAGGGAAUAACUUCUGUUUUAAAUGAAAUCUAUCUUGUUGUAUUAAUUAAAAAUUAGUAAACAUGCUACAGUACAAACAUUCUCAUGAAUAUAUAUUCAACCCUAAAUGUUGCAAAUCAAUCCACAUUUGCAAGGUGUACAUAGAGCAGAGAAAUGUUUUAGUUAAUCGAAACACGCCUAAUACACCUGGUCUAAUAAUGCUACCAUUAAAAUUUUUGCCUAUUGACCAGGUGACAUGAUACAAAUAACAAUAGGGGACCGCCUACAUAUAGAGAAAUUUUUAUUGUAUCAGAACACGCCUAAUUCACCAGGUCUAAUACUAUCGAUUAAAUAUUUUACUAGUUUCUAAUAAUACAAUUAUAUUGGGGUACUGGACCUUGCUACAGGCGCAUUGAAAAUUUUCUACGUGCUUAUAUUAGGAUUGAACAUAAAUUCAUGCGUGUGUGCCUAAUUAAGCCUAACCUUUUUGGCUAACUUGGUCAAUAGACAAAAUCAUGGUACGCGCUAUUAAGUGAAUCCUACGUAAAUUAACAUCACAUUUUCAUAUGAGAAAAAAAUAAGAAAUCACUUACAGAGCUAGAGCUUGAGCUGCCAGAGCGGUGGAGCGCGCCAGUGACACCAUGGUGCUCUUUCCUGCCGUAAUCGUGACCAGUGGUCGCAGCGGCUGUGUCAUGAGCACCGUAUCCUCCGGUGGUGGCACCUGUAGUAGCACCGCCAAGUGGGUUCCCGUACUCGUCGGUUCUCUGGAUCGGGUUGCCGUAGGCGUCGGUUGGCUGUGCCCCGUGUUGAUUAUGCAGAUGCGACAUUUUUCAAAUAACACAAUUUGAGUAUGGAAGUCUGGAUAAUUUUGUUUGGGAUUUGAUGGGAUUGGAGGGAAAAUAUGGCGGGAUUAUAUAGGGAACCAACAAAACACGCGUGUCACAGUAGGGUUUCUUACUUCUUACACCUACGUGAAUAGUGACCUUCGAUCCUGAUGACACGUUGGCUACUGGGACACCUGGCGACGUGAAAGAGGAACAAGUGUAUCCUGCUGUCGGCAUAGAAUAAUCAGAUAGAUAAGAUUAGAUAAGGGAGUCAGUCCUUAUCAUGGAGUUAAAAAGCUCGUGACACUCCACCGCGUCUGUGACUUUACGUGGUUGAUAGAUAACGACCUCUUGGAUAUGUUCAAGAUUGGAACUUGGAAAGCAUGGCAUGGUUACGUUUUUUACACAUGCAUGGCCGUGUAAUUAUCUUGAUUUUUCUUUUUUAUAGACGUGGGGAAUUUGGAUACGGAUGAAGGGUGACUACGUACACUUGCUUUGUAAUUAUCUUGAUUUAGAUUUUUUUAAUAAUUUAGAAUUUUUUUAUAAGAACUUUCAUGAAAAAAACUUGGACUAAAUUUAUUUUAAUAAAAACUCAUGUUAUAAUUUUAUCUAAUGAAAAAGACUUAAACUUUAAUGAAAAGACAUAAUUUUAAUAUUUUAAAAAUAAAAAAAACUGACACGCGGACUUACGCGCCCCUUACACAAACUAUUUAUGAAACUUAUUACAUUAUUUUGAAACUUAAUUGUACUACACUGUUUAUAAAAUUUAACGGUACGACACUGUUUAUGAAACUUAUUACACUAUGUAUGAAACUUUUAUGAAACUUAACGGUACAACACUAUUUAUGAAACUUUGUACACUGUUUAUGAAACUGUUGACCCUAAAAACUACCAAGCCUACGUUGUGUGCAGGCCGAGUAAUUAAUAAGCUAACUACGUCAUUCGGUUGUGUGCGGGGUGUGCCAACUUGUUGGCCGAGCUCGGUCAAGGAGUAAAAUUUGUUGAUGUUGCGUUGAUGCGCUACUGACUUCUCGAUCUUGCAAUUGCGGUUGAGGAAGGAACACUCUCGGCCUUCGGGUUCUAAAGCCUAAAGACAAGGCUGCUAAUUCUAUGAAGUUCAAUAUCAAAUUCGGCUCCCAGGGUGCCGAAUGUAGUAACCUGGUAACACCUCACUUUGCCGAGAAGGCUGAUGAGAUGACAUCUGCCAAUAAGGAUUCGAAAAUCCUUCUCGACCAAGACUUGGAUAGAUAACCAAUCGGUCUCGUCGCAGUGCUGUUUAUCCAAACUUAAGGUACUUCGCGAUCGGCUAAUUCUACGGCAACAAUGCUAUUUAUCCAAACUGAAGAUGUUCGCCGAUUGCCUUCACAGUGCUGUUUAUCCAAACUAAAGAUGUGCUGGUGAAAAAGAAAAUAAAAAUCUCAAGGUUGUUGACAGGUUUCUCGUAAAGCGAAAGUUUGCGUAGGGUAGUUUGUGUGUUGAGUUGGAGGGGCUUUUUAGCCGCUUGAUAUUUAUAGAUAUCUGCAGGCCCAAGUCACGAAAACCAAUCCUAAUUGCACUGUGACUCUAAGUCUUUAUUGGUUGCUAACCCCACGUCUUAUCAAAACUUGUUGUCAUCUUGUAACCCGAUGCAAUCUUGUUUUUAACUAAUAACCUUUAUCCAUUAUCAUCAUAACCUUUAUCCAUCAUCAUAACCUUCUGUUGAAGACCACAUGCAUGCAUGAUGACUAAUUCACCAACUUAAACUCUAAAAAGUAAUUUUAACUGAUGAAAUAUAAUCACCAUAUCCCUUAGAUACAGCCACGUGCACCAAUCACAUCCAUGAAUUCCAAGUCAACUUGAAUUGUACCACCCACUUCUAUAUCAGAAAUAGAACUUUGGUUUUAAUAAUAAUCAAUCACAUAGGAGAUUGCAUGCACCUGGGGCCUGAUAAGAUGAGCCUAUUCAAAUGUCCUCGCGCGCUCCUCUGAAGACGGAUCAGAUCAUCUUUUUCCAAAACAACUAACUGGAUAUAUCAAAUAUUAGGUUUAAAUAUCCUAGUUAUUAUUAAGAGAUAAUAUUAUAAUUAAAAUCACAAUAUCAUUUCUCAAUAAUAACUAAAAAUUAUUUCAACCACUUUAUCAUCCAACGGUCUAAAACCCUUCUCAUUCAACGACCUCGAUUACUCAGGCCGAUAAUGUAAAAACGGGUCCAAACAGAAACUUAACGAUACUACAUUGUUUAUGAAACUUAACAGUAGAUACUCGUCCUAGAUUUUCAAGUUCUUUCACUAGAAUGCAAUAAAAAGUUUUUUUUUUUUUUUUUUUAACAUGAUAGAGAUCAAUGUCCACACUUUUAAAGUCAUGCAUGGCUAAAAAAAACAUGAUAAAGAUCAAUGUUAACGCCCACACCUGACCAACUCCCUCCUAACCAUACAGCCGCAAAUGUGGUUUUGAAUCGAACGAAACCCACUUCAAUUUGAAAUUUUAAUUUUAGAGGAAUAAAAUAUGCUUGGAUUAUGUCAAAGGGUUAUGCAACUGAAGGAUUGGUUGGGUGCUCUUUGCACACGCUUUUAGUUAGGUUUUUUUUUUUCAUCCUCUUGUCCUUAUCAUUAAAUAAAGUUAUAGCAUAGUUUUUUUUUGUUAAAACUCAAAGUUUUGAAGCCAUUUUCAUUAGCUUUUUUUUUAUUGAUUUCUUUAUAUCUUUAAUUAAUCACGACAACAUAUAGAUUUCGUUUAGAAGUACUUUUAUAAUGACUAAAAUCGCUUCUAAUGGCAUGGAUUGUGGGUUUUAAAAACAUUUUAAGUGCUUUUUGAAAGAAGCUUAAGAUAUAUGCUUCUUGCAUGAAGCAUAAGAUAUAUGCUUCUUACAGGAAGCACAUAAAGUUUUUAUUUUAUUUUAUUUUUUUAAAUCCACUUGAAUUAUUAAAAAUUGGUUAAAAACAUUUAGACUGAAAAUGUUUUUUCAGUCAUUUUAAAUAUACUUCUAAGUGAGCUAAUAUAUAGAAGUUACAACUUUUCGCAAAGUUUUUUUUUUUGGUAAAUGUGUAAGAUUUAUUACUGAACCACACUAAAAUUUACAACAGGUGAGGUCCCAUUACAAGAAAAGCCAAAAAGAAAAUAUGGAUCCCCAAAACAAACCCAAACCAAAAGUUUGAGCCCAGAAAGAGCAAAAUAAACAGAAAACCCUAUUUUCCUUGUAACCGCCGAGAAUGUAUCACCGCAGAACGUUCAUCCAAUAGAUGCCAAAAAUCCAGCCAAACAAUUCCACAAAAAUGAUAGACAGACGACCCCACCAACCUUCACAAAGCACCAUAGAUGACAGAUUUGUAGCAAAACACAUGAAGCUAGUGAGAGAACUCAUUAGCAACAUAGUCACCAAAGGCAACAAAGUCGUCGAAGACAAAUCCAUGGGAGGUGGUGGUGUAAACACCCGAGCUAGAGCAAAACACACUUUUCUGAUCCAUGAGAGGUGGUGGUAAGAUCACCUGCAUUGAAGCUCUAUGCACAUCCUGAAAAAAUCGCGACAAAACACGAUUAAGAAAAGUAGCUACAAAUCAGAAAUCAAAUGGGUUUGAGGAAAGUCUAGGAGGUGGAGGAUGGGAAAGAUGGUGAAAAGAAAUUGGAAUUGAUGGUAUAGGAUUUGUAAAAUUAAAGCACAUAUUGGUGACGAACCAGUGAUUAUGCGAAGAGUUUGAGUCUAUUGUUGUAAGGCAUGACAAUAAAUGCUCAUGAAAUGUCAUCACAAGCACAAAUGCCAUCAUAAUUUUCAUAUUAAUAUUUUAUAGUUACUUUGAUAAGACAAUCGAUGUGUGAAUAUAACGAUUUACACAAGGUAUCCGCCUAUUAACCAUGGAAUCACGUAGUAUAUAUAAUAUUAUUCACUUGGAUAAUCUUUGUACAUUGUUGGGAACUUUUUGAUCUAGUUGAAUUUUGGCCAUGUGGAAACUUCUACUUCCUCUAGUUCGUUUCCAGUACUAAGUUCUAAGAUACUUUAAAAGAAUUAGUGCAUCUUAAGAAACAAUUGUUAAUUCAAUGACUCAAUGACUGAAUAAUUAUGAAAAAUUAUGAAUUGCCUAAAUGAAGUUGGGCGUGAAAGCUAAAAACUUAUCAAUUUAGCAUAAGAAAAUGUGUACAUGCUUGCAUGGUUUUAGGAAUGGCUAACUUAAGAGUUCUUAAUGGUAUGGGAAAUUUGAAGUGAAUAUAAGGAAAACUUGAAGAAAUCCGUGGAAGGUGAGGAUAAUUCCUCAUUUAAGAAUCAAGGUUUUUCACACUUAAGAGAAAAAUUUGCUGUGUCUGGUGCAAUCUUGUCUUGAUUCCUCUUCCUCUACGAUGUCUCCCACUUUCAUGUUGUCUCCCUCUUAAAUCUUUUUUUUUUCUUUCCAUGAGUGCAGUUAUAACUUCCCCUUUUAGUGUAAGGUUGAAGAACAUUACUAGCCUCAUGAAGAUUGCGCUGAACGCACUGGCCAAUCUUCUGGUCAAUUUUAACAAAUUUCUCUUUUAGAAAUGUCCAUCUUUGUUUUCUUUCUUUACUUUUCUAUGUAAACUUAGUUUAUUUUAUUUUUACACAACCGGACUUCGAGAUGUAAUUAAACUUGUACAUAAAAUUUUUGGACCUAACAUAUAUCAUCUCGUUAAAUAGGUUCCCGUUGACAAAGGAAGAACUCAUCUUUAUGUGUAUAGCAUUUUUGGACUACACGUCAAUGUGUUGUAAAAGUCAUAUUGAUGAUGUCCUAAUCUUUGACCAGUGCAACUUUGUGUUUAUCUCCAGCCGUGAGGAGAUAAAAGAGAAAAUAAACACUUUCAUUCUUUUAUGUUUUUUUCUUUUCAAAUUACAGAUUUUGUUAGAUUAUCCAAGAUUUCGUCCUCAUAUAAAAAUUUUAACAUUUUUUCACUAUUAUGGUAAAAUGCUACUUGCUCCAUUCAUUUAUGUUAAAAUAAAAGAAAAAAUGGAUAAUUGUUAAGCUAAAUAAAAAUUAGCUGAUGAAUAUGGCAGAUUGUUUUGUUAGUUAUGUUCGUUUCAGUGUAAUUAAAAUAGAAAUCUCAUGUUAAAAUUUAAAUCUCUAUGUAUUUCUCUUGUAUUUAAAAUUUUAAAAUUUUUUAGGUUUUGCUAUUUUUUUUUGUCCAUUGACAUUUUUACACUUACAGAAAAAAAAAUUCGGCUAUUUAACCAAUGAAUAACUUAAUUUGAUAUCAAAUUCGUCAUCCACUUAAUUCAAAACCUCACUUACAAGUGUGAGAGGUACCAGUAGAUCACUUGCAUGAUCAUUAGUGAAUAUCUUUUAGCUUUUAACUAUAUAAUUCAACGUAUCAAAAUUUUCUUUUUACUUGAUUGCUAUAUCGUUUUUAUUGACAUUAAGUAAUACCUGCUGAAUCAUUGAAUUUACUGGGUAGCAGUUAAACUUAAAAGCAUAAUACUAUUCUCAAAAAUAACAAAAACAAAUAUACUAUUAAUACAAAGGGAACGACACACAAAAUUACACAUAACAGAAACCAAAACAACAGUGCGCAACGAUGGAUCACCCACGCACGGAUCACGCAACCGAGGUCCGACCAGACACUCUUUUAUUAUACAGACUGGCAUUUACUUAUAGUUAUGUGAAACGGGAUGAUUAUCUACUCGGCGUGGCCACCAGGAAGCUUUUCUUUGAUCUUGUCCAUCAUGUUCUUCUUUUCCUGGGGCUCUCCGGUGCGCCCAGUCCCACCAUAAGCUGCAGCAGUAGUUGACGUGUCAUGAGAAUACUGGUCAUCCCUAUUCCCACCUGGCAGCUUCUUCUUGAUCUUGUCCGUCGUACCCUUCUCCUGGUGUUGCUCGCCUACUUUGUAAGUCGUCCCACCACCGUAAGGGGUAGUGGUCUGCGUUCCACCAGAGUACUGGUCAUCCUUGUUACCACCACCUGGUAGCUUCUCCUGGCGUUGCUCUCCUACCUUGUAAGUCGUCCCACCACCGUAAGGGGUAGUGGUCUGCGUUCCACCAGAGUACUGGUCAUCCUUGUUACCACCACCUGGUAGCUUCUCCUUUAUCUUCUCUUUCAGUCCCUUCUUCCUUCUCCCACCUAGCCCAUCAUCUUCAGACGACUACAAUAAUAGAAUGUUAGUUAGACCUGGUUACAAAAAAUAUAUGUAAAUAUAAUGCACAUAUGAUACUUGAAUACAAAGAAAUUGUUCCAUCUAGUAAGAUAAAAUGUUGAUGCAAUAUUUGAAUUUGAAGCAUUGAUUGUGUUGAUAUUCGAAAAACCAAAAUGCGCAGAUACAUAAGUUAUGUGAACAAAAUACGCUAAUUUCCGAAUAGCAUUGUUCGAGAUAAGACAUUUAUACUGUCAAAUAUUGUGUUAUUAAUUUAGAUCACUGAUUAAGUUCACCAUAGUACGCACAGUUUUUCUUGCAAAAGUACUAAAUUGGACAAGCGAAAAUUGUUGCUUGUCUGGUUUUCCUAGUAACAUACGUCUAGGGAAAAGUUUGUUCAUAGUGCCCACAUAUUUGCAGCAUAGCUCAUGCAUUUAAUGAAUUAAGUUGGAACUACAUAUAUAUGGAGGUGAAAAGAGAUGAACUUACAGAGCUAGAGCUUCCUGAGCGCUGAAGCACAGCGGGGCCGCCAUGAUGCCCAACAAUCCCUUCAUCACGAGUCUUAGGAUCAGCAGUCCCGUAGCCGGUAUUAGUCCGACCGUGUUGAACCGCGUUCCCGAACUCGUCGGUCCUAUCGGCUCCUGCGCUACCGUUGUAAGUUGGGUUCCCGAAGUACUCCUCGGUAGUUUUUUCGGCUGUUGUAUUACCAUAAUUCGACAUAUUUCAAAAGAUAAACAAACAAAUGAAACUGUAAUAACAAUGCCUUGCGAAGUUGCGACUAAUAAAACUUCAGUGACAAUACUUAUGAUUUGUUUGGGAUGAUGUGUUUAAUUUGGGUCUGGGUUCGUUGGUUUAUAUAGACAACUGACCUGCACCAGCAGGGCAUGCAAAUAUGGUUGUGAGCGUAAGUGCUUUUUAACAACUUGGAGACGUGGCACUGAGAGGAAAAUGAUGACAGGUGAAAAAUUAACGUCGGCAAGAUAUUUUGUUGCUUUUUGGGUCGGGCAUAUGGAUAAAGAAUGAUAUACAUAUCUGUUCCAUUAGUGACCAUGGAUUUGGUGACACGUGCCCUCCGUACCUGUUCCACUAGCUAGCUCCACGUGGAUACUCUCUUUUGGUUCUAGCCUUCUAGGUCAUAUUGUCUAGUAAUUUCAAAUGAGAAGUGCACUUCAAAAAUUACACUUUACAUUUCUAAUAAAUGUAUUUUUCUUUUUUAAUAUAUAAAGUUUUAAGUUUAGAAUGAGAUUUUUUGAAUGCUAAUAACAAUUCUCUUUCAAAUUUAAUCUAUAGUUUCUCAAGAAGCCUAUAGUCAUAAGACUCAUAACUUAAAGCCAUUACGAGAUGAUUUAGAGAUGAAUUUUAAAUUUAUAUUCUACGUAACAUGUUUUAAGUUCAAUUUCUACGACUGAUAAAUUGUACGAUGAUGAUAAGAGAAAACUAAAUUACCUCUGUAAGCUUUUUUCAUUCUUAAAAAGACAAACUACUGUAGUGAAGUUACCAACCUGUUCGUUUUUAAAAGAAAAAAAAUGCAAACUCACAACUUUGCUGGGAAACUGAGAGCUUUUUGACUAGGUAAUUUGGCAUGUCUGUUGGUGAUAGCCUUCUAGGUCUUCUUGAUCUUACCGACACUAUCCUACGAGUUAUUUUCUCGUUUUAAUUUUUAUUUAGAUUACAAUAUUCACAUACUGUUUUUUACACAAAAAUUAAUUUGAGUAUGAUCCCAUUUUUUUUUUUACAAUAUUCACAUAGUUUUUUUUUUACUUUUCACACAUAUUUCUUAAUUUUCAAUUAUUUAAUUAAAUAAAUUGAAGAAGAUCUAUGACGAAAAAUUAACAAAAGUGUGUUAAUAGAACUUUUCUAACUUAGACAUAUCUCGACAGACUUGGCACCAUUAAAUCUUCUGCUCCACACUAAUUUUAUACACUCCAAAUAAAAGUGAUAUUUUUUACAUAAAAUUAAUUUGAGUGUGAUCACAUUUUUAUGUCAUAUUGAUGUACUAUAUAAUGUAACAAAUGAUGCAGGUAUAUAAUUAGCAUCUAAUGAUAUAAAAUUUAUUAAUUAAUCUUGUUGAUGCACAAAAUCGGUGAGGACUUUGGUACAACAGAAAGUGUUAAGUUUGUGACCUUCGCUAAAUUGCUCUGGUCACUAGUGUGGAUAAGUAUGUAAAUGGAUAGAGACAGGGAAGCAAACAUAAGAUGUACGUGGUUCACCCAGAUUGGCUACGUCCACGAAGUAGAUGAGUUCUCAUUAAUUGUGAAGGGUUUACACAAGUACAUAGGUUCAAGAUCUCCUUUAGUGAGUACUAGUGAAUGAUUUAAUACAAAUUACAUUAGGAAAUAUUGUGAGAGAAUGAUCUUUAUUUAUAGAAGAGAAUUUCUAGUUUCAUUCUGACAUUGACACGUGUCAUGUUGUGAUUGGCUUUUGAUGUUGACACGUAUCACGCUAUGAUUGGCUUCUGAUGUCGACACGUGUCGCGCUGUGAUUGGCCUCCUGGUUGGAGGGAAACUCUUCUGGGUCCUUGACGGUAUAACGUUGAUCGGUGCUCAGUAGUUUCGGGAUUGGUCAAGUGUGGUACAAACAGUGCUCCCCUAAGUUCCCGAGUGAGGGAAGCUCCUCGGUUGGGGACUUGCAAGAUCCAAGCCAUUGAGUAAUCACAAAACUUCUAAGUACCGAAGUGUGGUAUCAUUUUCACUUGCCUUAUCCGUCUCAUACGUAGAUGUGGCAUCUUCUCUGGAAGUACUUUUCCUCCAUCCAGGGGUGGUAUCUUUAACCGAUGAAGAUGCACAAGGUAAUGUAUCAAUUUCACUUGAAGCUUACUUGUAGUUUCGAGCUUGGUCAAGUGCGAUACAAAACCCUAUGGUAGGAGUCCCCCAAGUCGCCAAGCUAAGAGAUUUGCUGAAAGAGGUAACAGACAAGGUAAGCAAUCCGACUUCCAAGCAAGCAACCUGGAUCGGAGGUUCGACUUCGGCUUCCGGUUGAUUUUUCUCCUUCUCCUUGUGUCGUAAACAGCAACAAUGAUAAGGAGAAGCAAAUGGAGAAGAGAUGAUAUAAGAUACUUUUUCUUUUGAAGAAGUAAUUUUCCACAGGCUUAUUCUUAAACUGGGCAUGAGGGUUUUCUGGUUUCCUCCAGAGUAUAAGGCCGACUCAAGAAUUUGAGGGUCAAAACAAAUCCAUCAAAUCAAGAGUGCGUUUGACCUUGAUGAUAUGGGAUACUUUUGUUGUUGACGAAGUAAUAGAUGAAUUAGCAUGUGUUCUAUUGCGAUUGUCUCCAUAUGCUUCCUUGUAUCAUUCUCACUUGCCCUAUUUGUUCCUCAGGCAGAUGUGGUAUCUUUUCUGGAAGCAUAAGAUGUUGAAGAUGAGUACUCGAGAGCAAUGCCAGGUAAGUAAUCAGGCAAGGGGUUCUAGGCAGUCAGUUCCUGACUGGAAGCUUGAUUCCAAGUGCUGAUUGAUUGCUUUCUUUCUUCUUGUCUUGCAGUUAAGAACAAUGGCAAAGGAAAAGACAGGGAAAAGGCAUGAUAUGGGAUACUCUUGCUUUUGACCCUGAUGAUAUAAGAUACUCUUGCUCUGGUGUGGCUGGUUUGCAUAGGUAUUAUUGGGGGAGGAAGAAAGCUGAGUAUUUCGAGAGGCUUCGUUGGGAAUGCCCUAUCAGAUAUGAGGAAAAGUUAAGCAUUUUUGCAGGUCUGCCUAUCCGUGGAGGAUGGAGUUCGACAUAUAUAGGAGUCUCCCUAACAACAAGUAGUAAUGUUAUUCCUUUACCCUUCUUGGUCGUAGCAAUGUAAUGGGAGCUGCAAGCUUCACGUGUUUUAACUUUGUUAGAGCACUUUGAAAAAGUGGUAUGUGGUAUUUAGAAAGCUGAUGUUGCGUGUGAAGAUUGCAGACAAGCUUUAUCCAAGGAAAUCUGGCUCUCGAAGUUCGGAGAGCGAUGUCUCUUUGGUUUUCGAACAAGCAAUCCUGUCAGGGAUUUGGCUCUCGAGAUUUGGAGAGUGGUACCUCUUCGAUUUUUGAGAAAGUAAUCCUGUUGGGAGUCUGGCUCUUGAGAUUCGGAGAGCGGUGCCUCUUCGAUUUUUGAGAAAAUAAUCUUGUUGGGAGUCUGGCUCUCGAAAUUCGAAGGGCGGUGCCUCUUCGAUAGCAAGUAAUAAUGUUAUUCCUUUACCCUUCUUGGUCAUAGCAAUGUAGUGGGAGCUGCAAACUUCACAUGUUUUAACUUUGUCAGAGCGCUUUGAAAAAGUGGUCUGUGGUAUCUGGAAAGCUGAUGUUGCGUGUGAAGAUUGCAGACAAGCUUUAUCCAAGGAAAUCUAGCUCUCAAAGUUCGGAGAGCGGUGCAUCUUUGGUUUUCGAAUAAGCAAUCCUGUCGGGGAUCUGGCUUUCAAGAUUCAGAGAACGGUGCCUCUUCGAUUUUUGAGAAAGCAAUCCUGUUGGGAGUCUGACUCUUGAGAUUCGGAGAGCAGUGUCUCUUCGAUUUUUAAGAAAGUAAUCUUGUUAGGAGUCUGGUUCUCGAGAUUCGGAGAGUGGUUCCUCUUCAAUUUUUGAGCAAGCAAUCUUGUUGGUAGUGUUUUCUCGAAUGUGAGUAAAGGUUGGGCAUUUUUGCCAGUCUGUCUUUCCACAGAGCACGGAGGUUGACACACAUUGAGACUUUCUAGUUAUUAAGCAAUGGUGCUGUUCCUUUACCCUUGUGGGUAAUAGUAGCGUAGCUAGACCUUCAAAAUUUAUGUGUCUAAACUUUUUCAGAGAUCUUUGGCAAAGUUAUUUGUGGUGCCUGAGGAGCUGAUGUUGCAUGUGGAAAGUGGUGCUUCUUCGGAAUCUGGAAAGUGGUGCAUCUUCGAUUUUUGAACCAACAGCCAUGUUGCUCUUUUUUUUAUAAGGGCACCAAUUGUGUGCAAGGAGUACAUUCAGAGAGUUAUUGCUUGUAGGAAUUUUCCCCUUACUUCAGAGAUUUAUUGCACCUCAUUUCUCCUUCAUCAUUUCUGAGAAUGUCUGGCCCAUCCGACCGUCGUUUUGACUUGAACUUUGGUGAAGAGGCAGCCAUGCCUUCUCAAGACAACAUACGACACCCAUCCUUCUUAUCUCCUACUGGUCCUCUUACCGUUUGGAACUCUGUGAUGAAGAAUGAUAUGACCGCUGCGGUGGUGGCCAAAAACCUUCUCACUCCCAAAGAUAACAGACUAUUUUCCAAAUGGUCUGAUGAGUUGGCUGUUAAGGAUUCUUUGGCUCUCAGUGUUCAGUGUGCAAGUUCUGUGUCUAAUAUGGCCCAACGCCUAUGUGCUCGAACCCGCCAAGUUGAAUCAUUGGCGGCUGAAGUGAUAAGUCUCAAAUAGAAGAUCAGAGGGCUCAAGCAUGAGAAUAAACAGUUGCACAUGCUCGCACAUGGCUAUGCUACAAACAUGAAAAGGAAGCUCGACCAGCUGCAGGAAUCUGAUUAUUAGAUUUUACUUGAUCAUCAGAGGUUUGUGGGUUUGUUCUAAAGGCAUUUAUUACCUUCGUCUUCUGGGGCUGUACCGCGUAAUGAAGCUCCAAAUCAACCUUCGGUGCCUCCUCCUUCUGGGGUUUUGCCUAGUACUGAGGCUCCGAAUAAUCACCCUCUAGUGCCUCCUCUUUUUGGGGCUCUGCUGACUGCUGAGACUUCUCCUAAGCAACCUUUGUGAAGGCUCCCUCUUGUUUGUUUAUUUUGAUUCAUGUCUAUGUACAUAUUUGUAACUUAUUGGAGAUAUCAAUAAACAAGCUUUGCUUCAUUUCAACGUAUUGUGUUAAAUACACCAAGACCUUCUUCACUAAGUUUCUUGAAUUUUUCCUUUUGUUGAAGCUUGUAUGUUGAAGCUUUGUGAGUGAAGCAUGUAGGUUGAGGUAAUGCUCCCUCCCUUAAUUUCCUAAGUGAGGAAAACUUCUCGGUUGGAGACUUGAAAAAAUCCAAGUCACUGAGUGGUCGUGAGACUUCCGAGUAUCAAGGUGCAGUAGCAUAUGGUAGGAGUCCCCGAAGUCUCUGGUUGAGGGAGUUGACGAAGGAGGUGUCUUGCUAGUAGCCAAGUUUCCAAAGUAACAAAACUUCACAAUUUUCCUUUCUAAGUGGUAGCCCAAAACUCUUUUUUCAUAUAUAUUUGUUAUAAAAGUUGUUAGGCCCAAAGAAGAGGAGGCCUAGGCUUUUUUAUUUUUUUUUCAAUUUUUUUUUGUUUUAAAUUUUCGAAUUUUUGAAUUUCCGAAUAUAUAUAUAUAUAUAUAUAUAUAUAUAUAUAUAUAUAUAUAUAUUUUAAGCUUUAUAGGUGAAGCUUUGUGGGUGAAGCUUUGAGGUUGAAGCUUUGUUGGGUACCAUGAAUUGAUUUUGCUUCACACUAUCUUGAUCAAGAUAGUGUGAAGUUUUUGUAGGUGAAGCUUUUGUGUUGAUGCUUUGUAGGUGAAGUUUUUGUGGUGGGUGAAACUUUUGUUGGUGAAGUUUUUAUGGGUAAAGCUUUUUGUGAUGGGUGAAACUUUUGUUGCUGAAGCUUUUAUGGGUGAAGCUUUUGUGGUGGGGGAAGUUUUUGUGGUGGGGGAAGCUUUUGUGGGUGAAGCAUUUGUUGGUGAAGCUUUUAUGGGUGAAGCUUUUGUAGGUGAAGCUUUUGUGGUGGGUGAAGCUUUUGGAGGUGAAGCUUUUGGGGGUGAAGCUUUUGUGGUGGGUGAAGCUGUUGUGGGUGAAGAUUUUGUUGGUGAAGCUUUUAUGGGUGAAGCUAUUGUGGGUGAAGCUUUUAUGGGUGAAGCUAUUGUGGGUGAAGCUUUUAUGUUGAAGUUUUGUGGGUAAAGCUUUUGUGUUGAAGCUUUGUAGGUGAAACUUUGGAGUUAAAGCUUUGUAGGUGAAGGUUUUUUUUUGAAGCUUUUGUAGGUUGAGCUUUGGAGUUGAAGCUUUGUAGGUGAAGCUUUGGAGUUGAAGCUUUUGUUGGGUACCAUGAAUUGAUUUUACUUCACACUAUCUUGAUCAAGAUAGUGUAAAGCUUUUGUUGGUGAAGCUUUUGUAGGUGAAGCUUUAGAGUUGAAGCUUUUGUUGGGUACCAUGAAUUGAUUUUGCUUCACACUAUCUUGAUCAAGAUAGUGUGAAGCUUUUUUUGGUGAAGCUUUUGUUGGUGAAGCUUUUGUAGGUGAAGCUUUUGUUGGUGAAGCUUUGAAGUUGAAGCUUUGUAGGUGAAGCUUUGGAGUUGAAGCUUUUGUUGGGUACCAUGAAUUGAUUUUGCUUCACACUAUCUUGAUCAAGAUAGUGUGAAGCUUUUGAGAAUUUAUAGUUGUCCUCCAUUGAUGAAGCUUUUGUUGGUGAAGCUUUUGGAGUUGAAGCUUUUGUUGGGUACCAUGAAUUGAUUUUGCUUCACACUAUCUUGAUUAAGAUAGUGUGAAGCUUUUGAGAAUUUCUAGUUGUCUUCCAUUGAUGAAGCUUUUGUUGAUGAAGUUUUUGUGGUGAAGCUUUGUUGGGUACCAUGAAUUGAUUUUGCUUCACACUAUCUUGAUCAAGAUAGUGUGAAGACUUUUGAGAAUUUGUAGUUGUUCUCUAUUGAUGAAGCUUUGUUGAAUUUCCUUUUUUUUUUUUUUUUUUUUUUUGGGAAACUAGAAAUUUGAAAAUUUGGGAGAGACAAUAUAUACAAAUUUUGCUUCCACACUGUUGAGUAAGAGAUUGUGAUGCAAGCCACACCUUGUAGUAGUCGAAGGUUUGGAUGAACCAUAUAAAUUGAAUUUGCUUCGAAGGUUUAAGAAUUGUAGUUGCCCUCUAUUGAUGAAGCUUUUGUUGGCACCACAAAUUGGUUUUGCUUCACACUAUCUUAAUUAAGAGUGUGUGAAGCUUUUGAGAAUUGUGGUUGUCCUCCAUUGAUGAAGCUCUUGUUGGCACCAUAAAUUGGUUUUGCUUCACAUUGUCUUGAUCAAGAGUGUGUGAAGCUUUUGAGAAUUGUGAUUGAACUCCUUUGAUGAAGCUUUUGUUGGCACCAUAAAUUGGUUUUGCUUCACACUGUCUUGAUCAAGAGUAUGUAAAGCUUUUGAGAAUUGUGGUUGCCCUACAUUGAUGAAACUCUUGUUGGCACCAUAAAUUGAUUUUGCUUCACACUGUCUUGAUCAAGAGUGUGAAGCUUUCUACGAGUUGUAGUGUUUGGAUUGUUACAGAGGGGAAAUGUCUGAAGCAGAUGCAAGAGAGCUGAAUAGCUUGAUCUUCGUAUGCCAUGCACUGAAGUUGUUGUUGACUUGUAAUAAGACUUUGUUGGUGACUAUAACUCUUGUUGGGCAUAAGUGCUCCCCUAGUUAAGUUGUCAAGCUUGAGGGUUUUUUAUUAUUUGUGAAUGCUAAGAGUUCACAUGUAUAAGUUAUACCACACAUCUUCUAGUAGGUGGAAUGAAUGGUGAGUUGCUUUCAUCACUUGGUUGGUGGUACGAAGGUGAGUUCCUUCAUCACCUUUCAUCACAUUUCAUCACCUGGUUGGUGGAACGAGGAUGAGUUCCUUCUUCACCUGGUUAGUGGCAUGAAUGGUAAGUUGCCAAAUGAUAUUAGAGUACGGGUUGUACAUAUCACAUGGUUGGUGGCAUGAAGAUGAGUUCCUUCUUCACCUAGUUGGUGGCAUGAGUGGUAAGUUGCCAAAUGAUAUUAUAGUACUGGUUGUACAUUUCAUCACCUGGUUGGUGGCAUGAAGAUGAGUUCCUUCUUCAUAUUUCAUCACCUGGUUGGUGAGAAUAAGGGCAAGGUGUCGAGGCACAUUGUAGCAAGUGUCAAGGACACAAAGUAUGUUGAACCCUUUCGAAGCACAGUUGGCUUAUGUAUGGAUGUGUUGGAAUGUAUAAUAUUUAUGUUGAUUGAUAUAAGUGAUGCUUAUGAAUGUUUUGCUAUGCAUGAAGGGAUUCAUGCUUUUGAUAUGUGAACCAUGUUGGUUGUAACACUUAGUAUCACAUACUUUGUGUCAAAGUACGCAUGUUGAAGCUCUGAGUUUGAGUAUAAGGGUAGGUCAGCAUAGACCCAGUGUUCCAGUGCUAGGAACGCAAAAGACUCAGAAGAAGUUCUCUGAAUUCCCUCUUCUUUAAAUAUUUUCCGAAUGACUUGUGUGACAAAAGAUCUCAAGCGGUUGAGGGUUAAAACAUUUGUAACGUGUAUGCCUUCUUAUAAUAGCAUUUCCUUCAGUACUUAGUCAUCCACUUUGAAAGAGUAAGGCUGACCCUAUAGUCAUAAUAGUCGACAGUACGUUCACCCCUGGUUGUCUUGAUACAAACUUUUAUCCUUCUUGUUGUAAUGGGCUUGCUGAAAGUAAAAUCAUUUCUCUUACCAAGAGACAGAUACGUUUGGUGACUUAGCAAGUAGCUAAAUAAGGCAAGAGAUGAUACAAUGGGUGUCUGAAUGGCCAAUAUCUCAUCACUUGGUAUAACUUGACUUCCACUUCCCAUUUGUUAAUAGGGGUUAACCAUAUGGGGCUUCCCUUGGUAUGUCCUUGCUUCGGUGGAGGCGUGGUUGUAAGCAUGUGUCAUCACCUCAGAGUAAGUCUUCCAAGUGUUGGCAUUGAUCAUGUACUUGAAGAAACAAUCACGUAGGCCUGCCGUGAAGGCCUUGAAGGCGAUCUUGUCAUCUGCCUCAGCGCAUCGAGAAUACUCAUGGCUGAAGCGACCGACAUACUCUUGUAGUGACUCGUCCGGCUUCUGGCAAAUAGUGUACAAGUCAUCUACAGAAUGUAAGUGAUCGGUCUAGAAGAUGUAUUGAGAGGCAAACAGUUUCCUCAAUUCCUCAAAUGAGUCUACUGUCUCAGGUAGAAGACGGCAAUACUAGUUUAGAGCUCCGCCAGAGAGGGUGGAGGGGAAGAGAAGACGUCGCUUUUCGUCGGUGUGUAUCCGAUAUGUCAUGGUGGACUCAAAGAGGUUAAGGUGUUUAAUUGGGUCAUCCCUUCCAGUAUAGAGUUGUAAACCAAGCUUUUGUUUUGUCUUUGCUUGAAUGGGGUGUCGAGGAUCUUUCUUGUGAGAGGGCCAUGCCGGGGUUGGUUCCAGUCAGGUAUCUUGGCCUGACGUUCGGCCUUCAACUUGUUUACUUCCUCAAUGAGCUUUAGGACAAGGGGGUCAUGAGUGGAGUUAUGUACCACUGGAAUUUUCUUUCGUAAGUCUCAAUCGCCUCUUGGAAGUAAGAAAGUUUGAGCAUGGGCAUGUGGUUUUUUCUUCGACUCGCCGUACUGACUUAUAUGGCGAGUAUAUCGGAAUACCUCAGAGUCCCCCGUACUUUCAUGCUUCUCUGGGACCUGUUGUUCCUUCCCUACAUUGGCAGCUGGCCUAGGUUAUGGGAGGGGACCGAAUCUUUCAGAAACCCUUGGGUCAUUGAUCUUCGAGCAUAUGUGGAAGGGAUUCUCUCGACGUUGCUUUAGGAAGUCUCGGUAGUCACGAUAAACGGCUUUCGAUCCUUCCAACCUUUCUGCAAGGAGGUGUCUUCUUCCACUUCUUUUACUUCGGGUCGAAACAUCUGGGUUGAGAGAAAUCUCAUGUUGAUCAAUGUUUUGAUGAUUAGCUCGCUCCUCAUCAGGGAUACCCAUGUCGAAUGGAGGUGACCCUCUGUGUUGAGGGGCACCCAGAUGAUGGUUAAUGUCCACAAGGACAACGAGCUCGCAUGUUUGAGUACACCUAGUUUCAUGGAGCAUCUCAAAGAGCUUCUCAUACUGCUCCUAGAGGACCUCAUUCUUCAUUGCUAUCUUGUUGUUCUGAGCUUCUAGCUUAUCAACUUUAGCUUGAAGAGCAACCUAUUUCCUUCGUUCUUUCGUUGCUUCACACUAGAUGCAAGAGAGGUGUCAUUCUGUGUGCUGUGGCUUCCUUCGCUCUACAUGUUGGAAAUGGAUGCCUGGUCAAAAAAGAGUGUAUGAAUGGUGGAAACCAGCUUGGCAAAGCUGAAGAGAGUGGGAAUAAGUGUCUUUCCCACAGACGGCGCCAAAUGUUGAUGCACAAAUUCGGUGAGGACUUUGGUACAACAGAAAGUGUUAAGUUUGUGACCUUCGCUAGAUUACUCCGGUCACUAGUGUGGAUAAGUAUGUAAAUGAAUAGAAAUAAGGAAGCAAACACAAGAUGUACGUGGUUCACCCAGAUUGGCUACGUCCACGGAGCAGAUGAGUUCUCAUUAAUUAUGAAGGGUUUACACAAGUACAUAGGUUCAAGCUCUCAUUUAGUGAGUACUGGUGAAUGAUUUAGUACAAAUGACAUUAGGAAAUAUUGUGAGAGAAUGAUCUUUAUUUAUAGAAUAGAGUUUCUAGUUUCAUUCUGACAUUGACACGUGUUGUAUUGUGAUUGGCUUCUGAUGUUGACACGUGUCACGCUAUGAUUGGCUUCUGAUGUCGACAUGUGUCGCGCUGUGAUUGGCCUCCUGGUUGAAGGGAAACUCUUUUGGGUCCUUAACAGUAUAACGUUGAUCGGUGCUCAGUAGUUUCGGGAUUAGUCAAGUAUGGUACAAACAAAUCUAAUAUGUAUAAUUUGUCACAUCAAGUGAUACAUAAAAAAUGGUGCAAAAAUUUCUCAACAUUUUCUUUGACAUAAAUGUGUUCAAAUAGUAUUAUUUUCAAGCACAUCAGUAUUCAUUCAAAAGUAGCUCGUCCUUUUUUUAUUUGCUAUUUUUGUUUUGAAUAUACCCUCCUUCCAUUUUCACUAUAUAUAUUAUUUAUUUUUUAGAAAAAAAGGAGACAAUUGGUGGUAAGUCAUUUUAUCUACUCCUUUUGAGUCCGAAAAGACUAUGGAAAUUUUCACUCUGCUCGUGACUACAGUCAAACAAACUACUCAGUUCAGAGCAUCGAACUCAGGACCUUCCAUAUUUUUUUGUUUUUUGGGGAGCUGCAAUCUAUGCCCUUACCACUGAGUCACUUGCUGUGGUUUUCCAUUUUCACUAUCUACUCUCUACGUUUAAGUGUGGAUUACAGAGUCCUCAGCGAAUUAGAGUUAACUAAUUCAAAAUUAUUUUAGUCAUUAUUGCAGGUAUAUAAGAUUGUACUUUUUAAUUGUAAUUAGUGUAAGAUUCUUAUUUAAAUAGGAUUAAUAUAACCAUUUAUCCACCCUUGGACUUCGUCGGACAAUGAUCAUACUCCACUAGCUAGUUCAAUGGAGGCGUUGUACAAUUAAAGAAUUGGGUGUUUAUUUAACUUAACUUUUUGAUUAAUGAGAUUACAAAUCAAACAACGCUUAAACAGAAACCAGAGUUUUAUUGCUCUAUUUGCACAUUUGUCUUAUUUAAUUUGUUCAAUUCUAUUGAUUCCUUUGAUUCAACGUGAUCUAAUCUGGAGUUUAAUUAUCUCAAUUUGUUCAUUUAUCUUGGAUUAAUUAUUUUUACUUGACUAAUUGUUGGAUUGGUUGGUUGUUGAUAUGGGAAGGUGUUGCAUGGACGAAGGAGAAGGACAAGCUGUUCUUGGUGGAUUAACUCUAUAAUCAUUUGAUCAUAUGAAAACAUGGGAUCCUCACAACAGCCAGUUUUCUCCCAGGAAGCGUCGCUCUCUCAUUCUACAACCCAUUUCGCAUUCUCCUCAUUUUUAGAAUGUAAAACCAUUCGUGCGACUCUAGAAAUCCAGAGGAGGUAGAAGGCGACAUGCACGAGAGAUUUUUCAGUGUAACCGUCACACGAGAUGGUACACCAUGUGUCGUUAUAUAAAUGGUGGGAUAUGUGUGUUAAAAAGUUAAUAACUUAAAAAAUAAAUUUUUUUACCAUUUACAUAAAAACACGUGGUGUACCACUCGUGUUCCUGCCACAACUAAAAAUCUAGCACUUUAGGGGGGAAAACUGAUCUCGCUUCUCCAAAGAAAGAUUAAUCCGAUAACGAUUCCAUGCACUAGAGAGUUGAUAGGGCCGUUUCAGUGGCCAGAAAAAGAAAACAAAGAAGUAAGAGAUGGAUUUCCAUUGCAGAAAAUAUUUGACUUGAUGGGUACACUUAAAUAAUUUUGCAGGCCACAUACCACAAGGGAUAAGAUGCAUCAGUUUUCCACCCGACUACUUUUUGAGAAGAAUGUUUCAGCCAGGAAGAUUUUCUAUCUUCUUCAACAACACAACCAAUGCAGACGUGAGUGGUAAGAUGUCGUACAAAGACAUGGUUUUUCUCCAUACUCUUAUGUAUUCCUCGGUUUGUUAGAAACAUCAGCCAAAAACACUCUUAAUCUUCGAUUAAUAAUUUAAUAUUACUGUCCCCCCCUUUGCCCAAAAGCACUUAUGGCCCAAGCAAUCAUUUUUUUCUUCUAUUCAAUAUCUAUCUUACAUGAUUACUAUAAUCUUGUGUAUUUUGGAUUGUGAAGGUUCAUAUUAUAUAACUCAAUCAUAAGAAGGUCGACUUCAUUUUACAUUUGUAAUCAGUUUCAUUUUCUCCCCAGUUGCGCAAGAUUUUACCAUAUAAUUGAUUGUUGCUUAUCUAUAUAUUGAAGAUUCGGAUAGACGCCAAAGACUUUAUAUAUGUUUAGAAGAGAAUGAUUUUGUUUGGAAUGAAUGUGUCUUUAGUCAUCUCUCACGGAUGGAUUUAUAAGAUGUUACAAUCCUAUCAUUAAGGAAAGAAAUAAUUUACAUAAAAUCAUAAUAAACUAAGAAUCCCAAGAUUACAUGAAUAUAUACACAAAAGUCAACAUUCCCCCUCAAGUUGGUGCAUAUAUAUCACACAUGCCCAACUUGUGUAAGAAAAUUGAAAAUUUAUGACUUGAAACAGCCUUUGUGAGAAUAUCUGCUAACUGAUGGUCUGUUCUUAUUGUCGGUACCUCAAUUAUCUUCCUUUCUAAUUUUUCUUUGAUAAAGAAUCGAUCAACUUCAACAUGCUUUGUUUUAUCAUGUUGUACCAGGUUAUGUGCAAUGUCACAGGCAGUUUUGUUAUCACAAAAUAAUUUCAUAGGUUGAUCAUGUUCCAUACCCAUAUCUCUUAACAAAAGCUUAAGCCACAAAAUUUCACAAAUCUCCAAGGCCAUACCUAUGUAUUCAUCUUCUGCACUGGAACAGACAACCACAUUUUGUUUCUUACUCCUCUAUGUAACCAAGUUACCCCCAACUAAUGUAAAGUAACCUAAUGUUGAGCGUCUGUCAUCCACUAAACCUACCCAAUCUGCAUCAGUAUAACCUUCAAUUCUAAGAUUCUUAUUCUUUUUAAAUAAAUUUUCUUUUCCUGGACUUCCGUUCAAAUACCGCAAGAUUCUCAUCACUGCGUUCAUAUGUUGUUCUCCAAGAUCAUGCAUGUAUUGACUCACUACACUUAAGGCAUAGGCAAGGUCCGGUCUUGUAUGUGCCAAGUACAUUAAAUGUCAUACUAACCUUUGGUAUCUUCCUUUGUCUAAUGGCACUUGAUUAGGAUCAACGCUAAGCUUUAAUCCUUCCUCUAAUGGUGUAGUUACCAGUUGGCAAGCUGACAUGCCGAUUUCGUGCAACAAAUCAAUAAUAUACUUCCUCUGAGACAAGAAAAUUCCAGAAGUACUUCUCGACACUUCAAUCCCUAGAAAAUAUUUUAGGGAUCCAAGGUCCUUCAUCUCAAAUUCUUUAAACAUGUAUCUUUGCAAGGCCGUACGUUCUUCCGGAUAUUUUCAUGUUAUCACCAUAUCAUUUACAUACACAAUGAGUGCAGUAAGCCUCCCAUUUUUCCUUUUCAAAAAUAGAGUAUGAUCAAAGUUACUUUGUCUAUAACCAAACGCUCUCAUAGAUUUUGUGAAUCUUCCAAACUAUGCUCGAGGAGACUGUUUCAAACCAUACAAGGAUUUCUUCAACCUGCACACCUUUCUCUUGUAAUUAUUUGGAGCAUUACAUUCUGGUGGAAGAUCCAUAUAAAUCUCUUCUGUCAAAUCUCCAUGCAAGAAGACAUUUUUCACAUCGAACUGCUGUAAAGGCCAAUUAAGAUUUGCAGCCAAGGACAACAAAACACGGAUUGUGUUGAUUUUGGUCACAUGAGCAAAAAUAUCUGUAUAAUCGAUUCCAUAUUUUUAAAUGUACCUUUUUGCUACCAGUCUUGCCUUGAAGCGAUCUCCCGUCCCAUCAGCUUUGUAUUUUACAAUAUAGACUCAUUUGCAUCCCAUAGGUUUUUUACCAGCUGGCAAGUCUGUGAUCUCCCAGGUAACAUUCUUCUUUAAAGACUUCAAUUCUUCAUCCAUUACUGCUUGCCAACGUGGAUCAGCUAAAGCCUUCUGCACAAUGUUAGGAAUAGAUAUAGUAGAUAAUUGAUAUACAAAUGACUUACUUGAGUCUGACAUGUGGCUGGUAGACACAACAUUACUUAACGGGUAUAACACAUUAGAUUUUGGGUUUGGUCUAUUAAUUAGGUACCUAGUUUUGCAUUUAAGGUCUGCUUCGCAAGUAAGUUUAGGAAUACCUUGGUUGACACAGUUAGGGAGACAACAUGGUGGUGGUGUAUCCGGGAGCGAAGAUAAUUGAUUAUGGAUAUUAGGGCUCAAAGGUGGUGAGACCGAUUGUGAGAUAGCAGGCAUCACUGAGUUGUUCAAUGGUGAGGAAGUUGGCAAAGAGUUGUCCAAUGGUGAAGAAGGUACAACAUUUUCCAGCUGUGUCGGUUCGUCCCUUUCGAAGUUUUCAACAUUGUUUUCAUGUGAAUGAUCACCACUUAACUCCAAGACAUCACCACCUAAUUCCAAGUUAUUCACAUCAUUAUUUUCUUGUGAAUCAUCACCACUUGUCCAAGACAUCACCGCUUAAAUCCAAAUGAUUCACAAUAUUAUUUUCUUGUGAAUCAUCACCACUUGUCUCCAAUAUAUCACCAUUUAAAUCCAAAUGAUUCACAAUUUCUAUAUCAGGAAUAGUAUAAUCAAGAGUUUGAACUUCUACUUGAUUCUGUCCAUGAAGUCCAGACUCGGAAUGGACAAAGUACAUAUCGUUUUCAUGAAAUACAACAUCCACAGUGACAAACAACUUAGUCGGAGGGUGAUAGUAGCGAUAUCCUUUUUUAUUUGAGGCAUAACCCACAAACAUACACAGUAAGGCUUGAGGUUCAAGCUUACUCAUCUGUUGUUUAUUGUGAUGAACGAAGGCCACACAGCUAAACGCAUAAGGUGGAAGAUUUGGUACUACAUGAGCAUCAACAUGUGAAGAGAGAACCUGAAGUGGUGUUUGAAAAUCAACUGACCGGGAUGGAACAUGAUUAAUGAGAUACACAUAUGAGGUGAGAACUUCUCCCCAAUAUGACAACGGGAGACAUGCCUCGAGUAAGGAAGCAUGAACAAACUUCAGAAGGUGACGGUUCUUAUGUUCUACAACUCCAUUUUGUUGUGAAGUAUAUGGACACAUAGUUUGAUGAACGAUACCCUAAUGUUCCCAAAAGGCACAAAGUUCAGACUUCACAUACUCGCCACCAUUAUCACUUCUGAGAACCUAUAUUCGUGACUUAUAUUGCACUUGCACCAUUUUGUGAAAUUGCUUGAACAAGGAAGUAACUUCACUUUUGGACUUCAUCAAACAAACCCAAGUCAUACAUGUGCAAUCAUCAAUAAAAGUAACAAACCAAUAACCACCACCAAAUGUAGCAGUUUUAGAUGGUCCCCAAACAUCAAAAUGGAUUAUCAUAAAUGGAACAUAACUUUUUGUCAAACUGGGCGAAAACGAAGUACGAUGACUUUUAGCCAAUUCACAAACACCACAUUUAAAGCUAGAAACAUCAUUCUUAAGAAAUAUUUUAGGAAACAGCUUUCGUAAAUAACCGAAAGAAGCAUGUCCAAGUCUAUGAUGCCACAACCAAACCUUCAAAGCUUUGUUCUGCUCCCCUUGAGGUCCUUCCACAGUAAUAGCUUGUGUCAACAUCUGGGUACUGUUCGAUGUUAUCUCCAAGUAGUAAAGUUUCCCCUUCUAAUACCAUAACCAAUCGUCUUGCGAGUCCGAAUAUCCUUAAAGACACAAAAGGAAUGCCAAAAACUCACAAGACAAUAUAGGGCGACGGUUAUUUGAGAAAUAGAUAAUAAAUUAUAAUCAAGAGAAUGAACAACAAGCACGGUAUCAAGACUAAGGGUAUCUGAAAGGGAGACAGUUCAUUCCCCGAUAAUAGGGGCAAGAUUACAGUUGGUGACACUCACGAUAGUUUUGGUGGAUGGUUUUAAGGUUUGUACCUGUCUAGAAUCACAAGUCAUAUGUUCAGUACCACCAAAAUCAAUUAUCCACGUAUUAUUUGUAACAGAGGCAGAAACCUUUAAAGUCGUGAUUCCAAUUUCGCCCAAAGUUCUCGAGCAAAAGUCACGCCAACCGUGAAAGGAAUUAAUGAUUUAUAAAGAGUUGAAUUAAUCCAGAUAAGAAUGUUUUAAUCAUUCUCAAACCAAGUGACAUAGGCUGGAUUGAGAGUUGCAAUCUGAUUCCCUAACAAAUCAAGAAGAAAUUUGGGCACUGCCGCCAUAGUUCUAUCAAUUAGACUAGUGAGUUUGUAACAACGGAAGAUCGGAGCAAACAAAGCGUUCCAUGUCAGAUAAUUUGUAGUAGUGAGCUUGAUCGGAACCAUGGAUCCAAUAUUUUGGAUUGUAAUGGAAGAAGAAAUUGCAGAGUUAUGGUUUGGAAUUACAUUAGGAAACGAAGGAACAGGAGAAUCCGAUUUCGAAGAAGGAGAUGCAGAGGUCUCCAUAACUGUAGGUUGAAGAAGAAAGCAUGGUCAAGAUCAAGAAAUCGAUCAAUUGAUUGGAGAAGACGAAGAAAAUUAGGCGGUGCAGAGAGAAGCGGGAAAAUUGGAUCGAAGAGGUGUCGUGAGACCAAAGGUGGUUGAUACCAUAUUAGGAAAAGUAAUUUUCCAUUCAUCAAAUGAAUAACAUUACACUUUGGGUAUUUAUACAAAAGCUAUCACAACUAACAGACAAGAAAAACCUUCAAAAUUAACUAAAUUUCCUUAGUCUAUAAGCAUUAUCUCUUGUAGGUGUAAUUACAUUUGUAUUCUUAAUACAUACUUGGUACCAUACUUUUAGAAAAAUAUAUCUUAACAAUUACAAUGAAAAACAACUAACGCAAGACAUCUUUAGAGGCGCGUGAUUAGAAGAAUGAUACCAAUUGUAUAUAAAUAAACUAAAACAUAUAGCUUACAAAUGAAGCAAAAACAUGAAACCACCCACCAAUGGGAGUACUUUGUUUCUGUUUUUGUUUUUUUUAAGUUUUAAAUUUUAAAUUCAUUCAAAACUAAAAUAUGGUGAAUUACUUUUAUCUUCUUUUGGUUCAACUGUACUUUUUGAAAUUCUUAAAAGGCAAUAGGGUUUAAUGUGAACAUUAAACAUUGUACAUCGCGCAUAAUGCAUCAUAAUUAUAAAAAUGUUUUUGUAAAUAAAAAAAUUUCAUGCCCCACCGUACCACGUCGUAAUAUAAAAAUAAAAAAAAUAAAAAAAAUUAUAAAAAAAAAACCUUUCACAUGUGUAAGUAAUAAUUCAUGUACCUCAAGUUAUUAUUAGUGAAUAUCUUUUAUCUUUUAACUAUUAAUUUUCAUACAACAAUAACAACAAAGUCUUUUCCUACUAAGUGGGGUCGGCUAUAUGAAUCCUAGAACGCCAUUGCGCUCGGUUUUGUGUCAUGUCCUCCGUUAGAUCUAAGUACUCUAAGUCUUUUCUUAGAGUCUCUUCCAAAGUUUUCCUAGAUCUUCCUUUACCCCUUCGACCUUUGACCUCUGUCCCGUAGUCGCAUCUUUUAACCGGAGCGUCAAUAGGCCUUCUUUGCACAUGUCCAAACCACCGUAACCGAUUUUCUCUCAUCUUUCCUUCAAUUUCGGCUACGAUGGUUUGGACAUGUGCAAAGAAGACCUACUGACGCUCCGGUUAGAAGAUGCGACUAUGAGACAGAGGUCCAAGGCCAAAGGGGUAGAGAAAGACCCAGGAAAAUUUUGGAAGAGACACUAAGAAAAGACUGAGUACUUGGAUCUAACGGAUGACAUGACACAGAACUAAGCGCAAUGACGUUCUAUGAUUCAUAUAGCUGACCUUACUUAAUGGGAAAAAAAUUUGUUGUUGUUGUAUGAAAAUUAAUAGUUAAAAAAUAAAAGAUAUUCACUAAUAAUAACUUGAGGUACAUGAAUUAUUACUUACACAUGUGAAAGGUUUUUAUUUUUUAUUUUUUAUAUUACGGCGUGGUACGGUGGUGCAUGAAUUUUUUUUAUUUACAACAACAUUUUUAUAAUUAUGGUGCAUUAUGUUUAGGGCUGGAAAAAAAAUACCGAAAAUCCCAAACCAUACUGAAACCGAACCGAAAAAAUACCGAACCAAAAAUCCCGAAAAUUUUGAUACCAAAACCGAACUGAUCCCGAAUAUUUUGGUUUGGGAUUCGGUCUCACACUUUGAAUAAUUCGGUAUUCCCGAACCGAACUUUGCUAAUGUAACAUAUAUAUAUAUAUAUAUAUAUGUUAGUGUGUGGUGUGGUGCUGACAAAAGUAGGAUGGGUGUGUGGUGUGGUGAAGUAGGAUGGAUGGGUCAUGGGUGCUUGUUUUCUAUACAGAACUAUGUCUGUCUCUCUCUUAUUUUCUGUCUCAUCAGUCAUUUUUCUCGUAUUCUCUCUCUACAACCCAUAAACCACCUAACCCUUUAUCUUUCACUUAUUUUCCAUAUCUUCUCUCUCGUAUUGUCUCUCUCUCUCUCUCUCUCUACAACCCAGAAACCACCCCUACUCACUUCAAAACCGAAACCACCCUUCCUUCCACUCAAUCUAAAACCGAGCUGACAUCGUACUCUCUCAUUUCAUUUUGCCUUUCUCAUAUGCCUUCACUUAGUCUCAGACUCUUUCUCCUUCUCGGAUUCGAAGCUCAGCAGCCACCCACCGUUUAACAAUCUCACUCUGACGAACUGUCUCCACUCCAGCAACCACCACAUCUCACGACUUCAUCCCCACCUCUGGUUCUCUCAAGUGAUUCUCUGUGUUUGGGAUUUCGAAUUAAGGUUAGGGUUUCGAAUUGGGGCUUAGGGUUUCAAAUUGGGGGCUCGGGUCAGGACGAGGACGCAUGUCUCUCUCUUCACUCACCCUACCAUAAAUCUUCGCUAAUUCACUAUCACUACGUCUCUUAUUUCAAUUAGGAUUUUUAAUGGAGGUUCAGAUGAUUUCAAUUUCUAUCUAGAUGAUUUCAAUUAGGAUUAUUAAUGUUCAGAGUAUAUCAAAUUUUUAUUUUUUGCUUAUAGCUAUUUCGGUUUUACUAAAGUUACGUCAUACGUACCGAAUCAUUAAAUUUCACUUAGCAUAAUACAGCUCCCAGAUAUUAGCGCACACAAAUAUAUUAUUCAUACAAAGGGAACGAAACACAAAGUUACAUGUUUAACAGAAUACAUAAAAGACAGUGCUGGACGACUGCGUAUCACACAGCUGAGGUCACACACCAGGCACUACCUUAUUAUACACCAGACACAAAGUUACACGAGUAAAGAUGAUGAUCUACUUCUUGUGGCCGCCAGGAAGCUUCUCUUUGACCUUCUCCAUUAUGCCUUUCUUUUCCUGGUGCUCUCCUAUGUUCGCUGUCCCACCAUAAGUUGCAGCAGUAGUUGACGUGUCAUGAGAAUACUGGUUAUCCUUAUGCCCACCUGGCAGCUUCUCCUUUGUCUUGUCCAUCAUACCCUUCUCCUGGUGGCGCUCUCCUUCUCCAUCCUUGCUGCCACCAAAUGGCAGCUUAUCCUUUAUCUUGUCCAUUACACCCUUCUCCUGGUGGUGCUCGCCUUCUCCUGCAUAGGUGGUCCCACCGCCGUACUGUGCACCGGUGGUCGGCUUUGCAUGCAAGUACUGGUCAUCCUUGCUAGCACCGCCUGGCAGCUUCUCCUUUACCUUGUCCGUCACACCCUUUUUCUGGUGGUGCUCUCCUUCUCCUGCAUAGGUGGUCCCACCGCCGUAAUGUGCACCGGUGGUCGGCUUUGCAUGCGAGUACUGGUCAUCCUUGCUAGCACCGCCUGGCAGCUGCUCCUUCACCUUGUCCAUCACACCCUUCUUCUGGUCGCGCUCUCCUUCUCCUGCAUAGGUGGUCCCACCACCAUAAGGUGUAGCGGUCUGCGUUCCAUGAGAGUACUGGUCAUCCUUGUUACCACCACCUGGCAGCUUCUCCUUUACCUUGUCCAUCACACCCCUUUUCUGGUGGUGCUCUCCUUCACCUGUGUAGGUCGUCCCACCGCCGUAAGGUGUAGUGGUCUGCGUUCCAUGAGUGUACUGGUCAUCUUUGUUACCACCACCUGGUAGCUUCUCCUUUAUCUUUUCUUUUAGUCCCUUCUUCCUUCUUCCACCUAGCCCAUCAUCUUCAGACUACAAUAAUAGAAUGUUAGACCUUGUUACAAAAAAUAUAUGUAAAUAUAAUGCACAUAUCAUACUUAUAACCCUAAGAAAUUGUUCCAUCUGGUAAGAUAACAUGUUGAUGUAAUAUUUGAAUUUGAAACAUUGAUCGUGUUGAUAAUUGAAAAAACAAAAUGCGCAGAGAUGCAUAAAUCUAACAAGGGAACAAAAUACACUAAUUUUCCGAACAAUAUUCUUCAAGAUACGAAUUUGUAAUAUGUUAUUAAUUUAGAUCACUAAUGAGCCCAUCGUUGGUGCGCGCAAUUUUUCUUGCAAAAAUGUUAAAUUUGACAAUAGAAAAUUAUUACUUCUUUGAUUUUUCUAGCAACAUAAGUACCUCUUACAAGAAAAGUUUAUUCAUAGUACGCAUAGAUUUGUAGCAUAUCUCAUGCAUCUAAUGAAUUAACUUAGAACUACAUUUAUAUAGAGGUGAAAAGAGGAGAACUUACAGAGCUAGAGCUUCCGGAGCGCUGAAGUACGGCAGGGCCGCCAUGACGUCCAACAAUCACUUCAUCACCAGGCUUGGCAUGAGCAGUCCCGUAGCCAGUAUCAGUCCGACCGUGUUGAACCACGUUCCCUAACUCGUCGGUCCUACCGGCUCCUGCACUACCGUUAUAAGUCGGGUUCCCGUAGUUCUCGUUAGUUUUUUCGGGUGUUGAACCAUAAUUCGCCAUUUUUCAAAAGAACAACAAACAGAUUAACUGUAGUAACAAUGUUUUGCGACUAAUACAACAAUUGCAGUGAGAUAUUAGUGAUUUGCUUGGGAUGAUGUGUUUGAUUAGGAGUUGGGUUGGUUGGUUUAUAUAGACAACUGAUUUGCACCAGCAAGGCAUGCAGAUAUAGCGGUGAGCGUAAGGCAUUUUAACAACUUGGAGACAUGGCACUGCUGGGAAAAUGAUGACAAGUGAAAAUUAACGUCGGCAAGAUAUUUUGUUGCUUUUUGGGUGGGGGGUGGGGGGUGGGGGCAUAUGGAUAAAGAGAGAUGAAUACCUGUUUGAACUUUGAACAAUAAAAAAGAAAACGAUACGAAUACCUGCUCCCCUGGUGACCAUGGGAUUGGUGACACGUGCCCUCUGUACUUGUUCCACUAGCUAGCUCCCACGUGGGUAGUAUCUAUUGGUUUUAGCCUAGGUCUUAUUGACUGGUUGGUAAUUUGGUAUAUCUACUGGUCAUAAACUUGUAGAUCUUCUAGGUCUUACCGACAUGCUAUAAGUUAAAAGGAUAAUCUUAUAGAGACUAAAAUUAUAGAAAAAGUGUGGAAAUUAAAUAAUAUGAAAAUUAAUAAUAUUUAUUAUUUAAAUAUUAAUAAAUGUGUUUAUUUUUUAUUCGUGACAUAUUAUUUAAUUUGUAAAUUUUAUUUCUAAAUAUAGUUUCUCUAAGAUAUUACCCUAUAAGUUAUAUUGUCGUUUUAAUUUUUCUUUUGAUUAGAACAACCCAGACAUUAAUAAAAAGAAUCCUAUGUCGACAAACUCCACACCUUUAAAUCUUCUGCUACACACAAAUUUUCUACACUUCAAAAUAAAAGUAGGUCACAUAAUAUUACGAUUUAUUGGAAUUUUAUUUUAUUUAUAUAUGAAAGGUCUAAAGUUUGAUUUUCAUAAAAUAACGAAUUUGAACCAUAUUAUUACUAGUCCAAGGUUAAGCCUGUACUUUCACUUUUAGUGUAGAUAAUAUGAUUUGUUGAAAAACAAAUAAUGUUAAAAAUUAAUUUCAAGUGUAAUGUUAGAAAGACCACCUUUUUAUAUUAUGUAUCACAUAUUAAAUAAAAUUAAUUAAUUAACUUGACAUGUUCGAUCACUUGUUACAUUAUGUAAUACACAAGAUUAUACAAAGAUAUCUCCUUAGCAUUUUCUUUGACGCAAAUGUGUUUUAAAUAGAAUUAUUUUUCAAGCAAAUUACUAUUCAUUCGAAAGUAGCUCGUCCAUUUUACUUGCUAGAACUAUUUCUCUUGAAUAUACCCUUCUUCAAUUUUCACUCUCUACUGUCUACAUUUAAGCGUGGAUUACAAAGUCCUCUAUGAUGAAUGAUGAUCACUGUUAGAUUAAGAUUGAUUCGAACCAUCUUCGUUUUUAUCGCAUGUAGUCUAUAAGAAAGCAAUUUUUAAUUGUAAUUAGAAUAGAACUACUACCUAAAAAUGGAUUUGAUUAAACCAUAAACAGAGGUGAUACUCUCUACAUCUAAUAGGUUAUACACAUUAAUUUGCGCUAUAUCUUUGAAGAGGUUGCUUACGAUUACCGUGCCCGACCUAUACAUAAAGGAAGUCUUGCCAUCAAAAUUAUAAAAAAAAUAUUGACUUUGCUGGAGAUGUAUCCCUUGUAUGGAAUUUAAUGAUAUUUUAUGAGUUUCGACUUUGCCGGAGAAUGAUUAUCCCUCCUCUAGAUUAUGCUCCAUUUCAGUGGAGGCGUAGUAAAAUUUAUAGAAUUGGAUGUUUAUUUAACUUAUCUUUUGGUACAGUAAGAUUUUCAAUCAAAGAACGCCUAAACAGAAACCAGAAUGUAAUUGCUCCACUGAUAAAACGACAUACAAAGUACAUACUACAAAAACACAAACGACACUGCGAACCGCUCGCGGCUCACUCGUGCACGUAAGAAAAAAGUUCACACAGUCACGCCAAGCACCGAUUAUUAGCAUAUUAAAACAACUGACAGGCCCUAUAAUUCAAAUAUACGAAUUCACAGAUAUGCGUAUAUUUGUAUUUAGUGGUGUCCACCGGGAAGUUUUUCUUUGAUUUUGUCCAUGAUGCCCUUCUUUUCAUGGUGCUGUCCGGUGGUUCCACCGUAUGGUGUGGUGGUGGAGUGGUGCUGUCCGGUGGUUCCACCGUAUGGUGCUGUGGUGGAGUGGUGCUGUCCGGUGGUGGAGUGGUGCUGUCCGGUGGUUCCACCGUAUGGUGCUGUGGUGGAGUGGUGCUGUCCGGUGGUGGAGUGGUGCUGUCCGGUGGUUCCACCGUAUGGUGCGGUGGUGGAGGUCGUAUGUGAUGAGUAGGCAUCAUCCCUAUGCCCAGUCCCCGGAAUCUUGUCCUUGAUCUUGUCCGCAAUCCCCUCAUGCUGGUGCUCUCCGGUGUAGGUUGUCCCACCGUAAGGUGUAGGAUGGUCCGUACGGCCCCCAGUCCCUGGAAUCUUGUCCUUGAUCUUGUCCAUCAACCCCCUUUCACGGUACUCCCCUCCGGUGGAGGGGGCGGCAGUAGUCCCGUACCCAGUUCCAGUCGUGCCAAUACCGGUAUGGGCAUGCGAUGAGUAGUGGUCGUCAGCCCUACGUGCCCCACCAGUCCCUGGAAUCUUGUCUUUGAUCUUGUCCAUCAUCCCUCUUUUCUGUUGCUGCUGGCCUCCUGUGUACGUAUCGUUAGUAGUCCCGUACCCGGUUGUGGCGGUACCGAAGCCAGUGGCUCCGGUAGUGCCAUGUUGAAUUGGGUUUCCAAACUGAUCUGUUUCUUGGGGUGUUGCACCGUGUUGGUUCUGAUAGUGCGCCAUUGUUUCAAACUGAUUGCAAUUUGAUGAAAUAUUUCCGACUAAUUUGAUCUCAGAUGCGGAUGCUUAUAUAGGCAAACCGCGUAGAAAAGCAUGUCAUGCACUAGAGUAAAUCCAUGCCUUCAUGCCACGUUAGCAGCUGAGGACACCUGGCAGUUUUUAUGACGACACGUGUAGUGUGUUAGAGUCGAACAAAAUAAGAUCCAUUCUUUUGUCGUCAAGCUGAAGGCUCGUGACGGUUCCACCGCGUCCAUAUGCGAUAGUUGGGGACUAGCUUACGUCCGUACAUCAAAAUCCGUCGUGUAUUGAAACUGGGGAAAUUUUUAUUGUUACAUGAACACGGACGGUACAUUACGUUUUUUUUAUGUAAGUGGUGAGAAAUUUUAUUUUUUAAAUUAUUAACAUUUUAACACACAUGUCAUACCAUAUGUAAAAUGACACGUGAUGUACUAUUUUGUCUGCCAGUCAUACUAAAAAAUAUCUCUUGAAACUGGGAUGGUGAGACGUGUCAGAUUUCGACACGUGUUGGUAUUUGGUUAAUCUUGAUCUUAUUUUUACCGACUUUAGUAACUGGAUAGGUGCCGAGGAUUUUAUCGUUUAUCGGGUCCCACGUCAAUAGAUAUUUUCCAUUGGUUCGUAAGCACUACUGAACCGGCCCAAUUUCAGCAAGUUGUGGUAGCCCACAUACGGGUCCAAUAGGCCUUGUCUGUGGCAUAGUGAUAUUGGGCUGAUCACCAUUUGUUGAGUGGAUUCGGAAAAUCUGCUACGUGAUACGAAAGAUGAAUUUUUAAGGCUUAUUUAAGCCCACAACUCUCGAAAAUCAACUUUAUUCUCACAAUUCAAAAUGUGUUUUAGGGAGUUUUAACGAAAAGUUCAUGGUAUUGUUCACUUUAACGAAAAAUUAUAUUUUUACACUAAAAAGUCAAACCUGCUAAUAUUCACUUUACCCUUUAUUUUGUCCUUAUAGUUAAAACUCAAAAUUUUCAAACCCUUUUCAUUAGUUUUUCUUAAUUUUUAUUCACUUUACCUCAUCCCGUCACAUCCGUCAAAAUUAUUUUGAAAGGCGGCUCUUCUACGGUGGAUCCCGAUUGCUAAUUUUGGUAUUUGAUUGAAUAUUAAGGUAUGGGAUACAUCAUACGAUGCUGCGGUUGCCCAAAGUUUUGGGUGUUCCAACAAGAUGAGCAGACCCCAAUCUGGACCUUCAUCUGGCUUGAAUACGAAGACGGUAGAUGCAUAUUUUUCUGUUCAUUUUUUUCCUCCUUUUUUACAAGCUUCAGAGCUUCUUCUAGGGAACUAGUAGCAUUUCCCAUCCGUACAGGUCUUCCUCUUGCAGUUUUUUUUAGUACGUCAAUAUUUUUAUACUAAGGGAAAGGGGAGUUCGGCUAAGUCACAUAAUGAGCAGUCUAAUUUGGUAUCGAAUUCACGAGAUUCGAACCUAAGACAUCUCACUUCUAAGUGAAGAGGAAUAUCACCAGAUCAUAGUAUUUAGUGGCCUCUUGCAGUUUUGGAAGCUUAAUUUUACGAUGUUUGGGAUACCCCUUCACAGCCUUUAGGGGAGUAUACUUGGAGGUUGUUUUGCUUUCUGUAUUAAUGUUAUUUCCUGUCCUUAGUGUAAAACUAUAUUGAUGCACUAAAAAAAAUGUUAUUAAAAGGGUAUGAAGAUCCUCUUGGGAUCCCUUUAUCGUAUCCGUUCAUCAUAUAUCGUGCGGCCAAUUUUCUUUAGGUACUGUUUAUGUUCAAUUUUAAAUAAAAAAAAUCAAAUAGAUUUAUGGUCACAUGAUGACAGAUGAACGGACAUGAUGAAGUGUUCCUUAGGAUCUUCACUAAGAGGAUCCGAAUAGGACCCUAUUCCAUUAAAAGGGAAUAUGAACAAACAAACGGUUUUUGAAAUUAUAACUUAUAUAUGUUAGGAAGUUUCAAAUUGAAUCUCUGGUCCAAUUUUGAGUGUGAAAAUAAUUUUUACACUCUUUUUCUUCGUACUCAAGUGCUCUAAGUUUAUUUUUUUUGUUUGAUUCUGUUUUGAUUGGUUCAAUCUAAAUGUUAAAAGGAUAAUACUAGAGAGACCAAAUUUAUAAACCAAAUGAUGUGGAUGUUGAUGAUUGAAUUAUUACUUAAGUGUUAAUAUACUUAUUUCCUAUUAAUAACACAUCAUUUGAUUUGCAAAUUUGGUUUAAAAUUUUAGUCUUCCUAACAUUAUUCGUAUUAAAAAUAAAUACGAGAGUGCAUAAAUCACUUUUUUUUAGUGGUUCGGUUCACAUUUUUCCAACAAGAUCCUCUCUGGAUUCUUUUGGUGAGGAUCCUAGGGAUCCGUAAAUCAUGUCCGUUCAUCAUACAUCGUGUGAUCAGUUUUUGUCAGGUAGUGUUUGUAUUUAAUUUUUAAUAAAAAUAUUUAAAAUGAUUUCUAACCGUACGAUAUACGAUGAACAGAUAUGAUUCACAGAUCUUUGGAAUCUCACAAAAAGGAUCCGAUUUCCACAUUUUUGGCACCUAAAACAAAGAAAUGACACCAUCCAUCUCUUUUCCAAAGUAGAAUCAUAAUCACCAUAGGAGUUGAUUACUUAUCAAUUUAUUGAAGAAGAUGUCAAUGUUUCCUUGCAUCCAAAGAUUUUUAAUAUAUAAGCCGCGAUGGUCAACUCAGGUGGCGAGCGAGAGUGAAGUAAUGGGUUAGAAUUGAGCAAGAGUAAAGUAAUUAAUUGGUUAAGAUCAAAAUACACAAUUUUUGUUUUCAAUAUAUGAACUACUCAUUAGUACGAAAAAUUAACGUUUAUGAUUGUAUGAUAUAUUAUUUUUACUUAAUUGCCAGUCUAAUUGAUAUAAAACCAGACAGCCCAAUAAUCUGAAUUAUCGAAGACUUACCCAAAAAUAAAGUAUAGGUUUCAACUCGUUCCAAUGUAAAAAACAAAUGUGCACUAUACAUGACGUCCCUUUGAAAGGCAAUAAACUAGGUAAAAUCUAGUUGAAGACAAGUCCUCACUCAAAAGAGGAAAGAAGAAAAAAAGAAAGGCAUGUCAAGCCAAUAAUUAAUUUAUUAGGUACUCCAAAGAUGAUCAAAGCCUAAUCUUAAUCGAGAAUUAAAAAAACCCUAAACACGCUUUGGAUUUCGCUUAUUAUAAUUAAAACUUUCUUGCUCAUGUGAGCAUUGGUGUCAUAAUUGGUUGGCCACAUGCUCUUAUCAACCUAUCAAUUAAGAAUAACUAAUUAUCAUGCUUAGCCUUUCUUUUCCAAAUGAUGUAGUGGGCGGCAACUAUUGCCUUGGCUGGGCCCCAUGGAUAGCGAGAUUUUACAAUAUAUUCAGAAUAUGAGUGGUAUGUCAUAUGUUAUUAUAGAAGUGCAAGAAUUUUUUUUAAGCGUUUAUCCACUUGUAUUCAAAUACUAUUUACUUCUAACAUCACAAGCCUUAUUUAUUCAUAUUGAAAAAAAAAAAAAAAAAAAAAAAAGCUCUCCAUUCUCUGUCGCUGAAAACACAAAGGAAAAGUCAUAGUCGCAGGCCCUAAGCCUUUUAAGCUUGGGUGCCGACAGCAACCCCCUCCCUUUUCUCCUACUUCCCUCUUUCUCUUCUUCCCUCUUUCUCUUCUUCCCUUUUUCUAUCUUUUCAUUUUUCCUUGAGUUUUAUCCCAAACUUUUUUAGCUUGGUCUCUAUUUAUUCUUGUGCUUAUCUCAGAUUUGAGCUUCAUGCUCCUUCUUAGGCAUUUUUCGCCACAUCCCUAGCAUUUUUCGUCGGUUUGCACUGCCUUUUAUUUUUUAGUUUUCCUUCCUCCAUCUCCUCUGGCUGUAACGUCCUGCCCCCAAAAUAUAUAUUUUCGGGAAAUAAUUCUAAUGAUGGGCCCAAUUAAACUCUUGUUUAUUUAACUACCAUUAAUCGUGAUUCUUUAAUUAAAUGCCUUAAUUCCACCCAUGAUUUAAUUCCAGAAUUCUCUCACCAAGACAUAUGAUUAUAUUCUCAAUUUAUCACCAUUUUCUUUUCUUAUGUUAAUUUCCAUUCUAAAGAUUAAGGAGGUGUAUUCAAUUGGGAAUUUGAGGCAUUUUAAUUCUUUUAAUGAAUCUAUGGGUAUUCAAUCAGGGUUUUAUGUGAUUCUCUGAAAUUCAAGGUGUAUUCAAUUAGAAUUUUAAGCUAGUUUAUUAAAAUCCUUAGAAAUCCGGGUGUAUUUAAUUAGGAUUUUAAAAAAGUUCAUAACAUUCUAGGUGUAUUCAAUUAGAAAUUGAUUUUAAAGAAUUUGAGAAAGUUGAAGAAUUAGAGGGAAUUAGAUAAAUUUCGUAGUGUAUUUUAAGCAUCCACAAAUCUCACCUCUCCCGAUGAGAUUUCGAGGGAAUUGAAUUAAAAUUUUAUAUAGAAUCUCUACAAAUCAAUUAAACUCCAUAAAAAUCCAUAGAUUUAUAAAUCCAUUAAAAUCUCUCAAAUUCUCAAUUGAAUACACCCCCCUAAUUCUUGAUUAUUUAAGGCUGCAUCUAACACUGUUAGACUACUUACGUACCCUUGAGCGGGAUCAAGUCUUUCGUAGUUCACAAUUCAUUCUUUUAUCCAUUACCGAAUUCAUAUUGACCAAAAGUCAACUCUUGAUCAACAGUAGGGUCCACAUGUCACAUCCCCGCCCGGGCCCGAUGUCCUCGUCGGCACACUUCCGACCAGGGAUUGGCUCUGAUACCAUUUGUCAUAUCCCAGCCCGGGGCGGACCACUUCCCGAGCCCAUUCCACUACCGUAACACGAUAUUAUCUGCUUUGGGUUUACCAUUCCCUCACGGUUUUGUUUUUGGGAACUCACGAGCAAUUUCCCAGUGGGUCACUUAUCCUGGGAGUGUUCUGGCCUCCUUCUCGCUUAUAUCCAAAAUGCAACUGUAAUCAACAUAAGCAACAACGAUGUACACAGUUCACAUCAACAAGAAGAAAAAAAAAAGCUAAAAUUUACAAUAACUUGGUCUUAAUACUAGCUGGAGAUUAAACAAGAUGCUUAUUAUAUAUACUAUGCAUACGAAACAUGAACCUGCAGCUUCAGUUCCAGCAACUUCCAAGCGCCCAGAUCAGAUAUUGAACCCUCCCAGAUCGCAAUUGGGUGAAAAAUUACACCGCAUACCAGAUAUUCGAGGUUGUUGUAGAAGAGGGUGUGCUUGUCCAGCAGGAUCAAUUGCACCAAAGAGUGGAAAACGGUCAUAAUCUCUACCAAUUAUUCCACCAAUCCUUGGAGGUACAAACGGGUUAGGGUUCCUCCUGAUACGGUUGAAAUAAGGCCUCUCAAAUGAUCUCCACGUCACUACUGCUUUCAUUUGUUGCUUCCUAGUCUCCCAAUUUCCAACAAAUCUAAACUUCCAAUUAGUCACUGUUCCUUCACCUCCGGUUCCUUCUCCUCCAUUACCAUUACCGAACUCAUCAGCGUACUUCUGCUUCCACAACUCAUCAUUAUUACCAAGAUUUUGCAGCUCAUUACAAACACAACCCACCUUGGCAAUGUUAACACCAACCAGUGGCUCUAGAAUCUUCAUUUUGAUCUCCGGUGGAAGGCGCAUAAGGCUUGGUGGUGCAAGCAAACUAGCAUUUGCGCAAAGAUCAAUCAGCAAUGGGAAUGUGAUCCCAUCUUUCACAAUCUUCGAUAACUCUAAAACGAACCCAUCUCUGUCAUUGAAAUUUUAGGUUCCAUAAACGAAUUCAAUCGUUUGCGCGAAAGCAAUCUCAGGAUAGGUGACCCACCGAGAAGUUCUCGUGUGAGUUCCAAAAAAUAAAACCGUGAGGGCGUGGUUGGGGCCCAAAGCGGACAAUAUCUUGCUACGACGGAGUCAUGCCCGGGAUGUGGUGGGGGCCCGUGCCAGAAUGUGACAAAUGGUAUCAGAGCCAAUCCCUAGCCGGAAGUGUGUCGACGAGGACGUCGGGUCCGGGAUGUGGUGGACCCGGGCCGGGAUGUGACAAAUGGUAUCAGAGCCAAUCCUUGGUCAGAAGUGUGCCGACAAGGACGUCGGGUCCCUAAGGGGGGUGGAUUGUGACAUCCCAAAUCGCCCAGGAGAGUGAUCCUUAAAUGUAUAUUCUCAUCCCUACCUAGCACGAGGCCUUUUGGGAACUUACUGGCUUCGGGUUCCAUCAUAACUCUGAAGUUAAGCGAGUUCGCUCGAGAGAAAUCCCAGGAUGGGUGACCCACUGGGAAGUUCUCGUGUGAGUUCCAAAAAACAAAACCGUGAGGGUGUGGUCGGGGCCCAAAGUGAACAAUAUCUUGCUACGGUGGAGUCAUGCCUGGGAUGUGGUGGGGGCCCAGGCCGGAAUGUGACAAAUCUUUCUUGCUUAACUUCGGAGUUCCUACGGAACCCGAAGUCAGUGAGCUCCCAAAAGGCCUCGUGCUAGGUAGGGAUGAGAAUAUACAUUUAAGGAUCACUCCCUUGGGCGAUGUGGGAUGUCACACCACAAUUCUACAUAAUUUGAUCUGAAAGAUCCACUGUAACAUCCCACAUCGAUCAACGGAGAUGGGUGAUAUGCCUUAUAUGUGCAUGCCCACCUUCUAUAGCACGAGGCCUUUUGGGAACUCAUUGGCUUUGGGUUCCAUCGGAACUUCGAAGUUAAGCGAGUUCGGACGAGAGCAUUCCCAGGAUGGAUGACCCACUGGGAAGUUCUCACGUGAGUUCCUAGAAACAAAACCGUGAGGGCGUGGUCGGGGCCCAAAUCGGACAAUAUCGUGCUACGGCGGAGCCGAUUUGGGAUGUGACAGAAUGGCAUUAGAGUCACUAUGUUGUUCGGUGCGAGUGUGCCGACGAGGACAUCAAGCCCCUAAGAGGGUGGAUUGUAACAUCCCACAUCGACCAACGGAGAGGGGGUGAUGUGCCUUAUAUGUACAUGCCCACCUCCUAUAGCACGAUGCAUUUUGGGAACUCACUAGCUUUGGGUUCCAUUAGAACUUCGAAGUUAAGCAAAUUUGGAUGAGAGCAUUCCCAAGAUGGGUGACCCGCUGGGAAGUUCUCGCGUGAGUUCCCAGAAACAAAUCUGUGAGGGCAUGGUCGGGGCCCAAAACGGACAAUAUCAUGCUACGGCGGAGCCGGUCUAGAAUGUGACACUAGUCGUGCUUUUCCUUCCUCUCCUUUGCUUUCGAUCCUCUUUCCAACCCAUAAUCAUGAACUAGAUCUCAAAGUGUUGAACUCAAUCUUAACACAAGACCUUACACUCAUAGUCCACUGCUGAACUAGCAUGCCGAGAAUUUUGGGCAAAUGUGGAAAGAUUCACUUCGAAACAAAGGUGUAGCUCUCAUUUUGGGCCUAAGUUCUUGUGGGCCUCCCGUUGGAUCUUAAGUUGUAACUCUCAUUUUACUUGAGCCUUUUUACUCUUUUAUCCCUUUUUGUUUUUUUAAUGGUUUUGUGUUUUGUUUGAACUUUAGUCCAUCUACCGCAUUUGUAAUUUUUCCUGUCUUUAAUGAAGUUUGUUUUAUCAUAUCUUGUUUUGUUUUGUUCAAGCGAUAUGUAGAGAAGGAACAUAAUAUGGUAAAUAGCUAGUGUUCUUAAUACGAUAAAUUUUUAUGGUUAUUAGAAAGACAAAUUAUGUGGUGUAUAAUUUUAUAUGUUAUAAUAAGGAUGUGUUGUAGGAUUCAUAUGUUCCAUUUCUAGAAUAAAUUAAGAAUAAAUAGAGACACUUAUUUACAAUUCAAGUAUAACAAUAACAUCGCAUAGCUGUGUUUCGAAUACAUCAAAAUAUUACUUUCUUAACGCAACUAAGAUAUCCAACCAACAAUAACAUGCUUGUAAUAGUAUACUAGUAGUUAGCUAGCUGGUAAUUAACUGGGAGUCUGAUAAUUAACUAUAGCUAGCUGAUAAUUAACUAAAUUAUGGCACAUCUUCUCUGACUUUAAUAUUAAGACUUUGGUCAAUGUGACAUUUUUGUUUCAUUUCUCAUGGCCUGAUAAAAUAAAAAUGUGAUUCCUGCUUGAUAAACUUUCAAUUUUAUCUUCUAACAUGACCAUUUUUUGCUUUUUAAAAGAGAAUAGUUCAUGUGACAUGUGAGGACUUGUUAACUAUUGACUGUAGGGUAUCCUUAAAUAUUAUAUUUUAUUCUUCAUAUAAAAUGACUGGAUAAAAGCCACCCAUUUUGUGUGCGUUUAAAUAUAUGAGAGGUCUUAGGUUUGAUUUUCGCUAAAAAUGUGAAUUUGAACCACAUUAUUGCUAGUCUAUUGUGAUGCUUAGCCCAUUUCUACAGUCCUUUAACGUAGAUAAUACAAUUUGUUAAAAAAAAAAAGACAAUUUAAAAAGGAAUUUGAAUAAAAUUAAAAUUAAUAAAUAGAAAUGUAGGAAGUGAGAGAAAGAAAGUGGAGAAGUAAAACUAUGGUUAUGUGUUAGUGGGAGAAGGAGAAAAACAGCAAAAACUUAAUUGUUUUGAAGUUACUUUAAUACUCAUAUUUUUUAUUUUCUAAUAUUUUCGUUCAAUUAUGUAUAAAAUGGUAUAACAGUAAUUUUAUUGAUUUUUAGUUGAUAAACAUGUUCUAUUUAAUAUAGUUUAGAUUAAGGAUAGUGCUAUUUUUUUUUAAGAAAAAGGAUAGUGUUAUUAGCACAUCCAUUUUUACAUUCCACAUACACUUAUUCAUUUUUUCUAUUGAUAUUCUUCAAUUCAUUCGGUCAAAUGACCGAAAAUUGGGAAGGAUGUAUGAAAAAUAAAACUGAGUGUGGGGAUAGAACUAACCUAGAUUUGUGUUUUAAUCAUGGCCUAUUUUUAUAAAUUAAUGUCCAUUGAUAUAUCUAAAGAGCUUCUUAAAAAAUAUAAAAAAAAUAAAAAUAAAAACUUUAGAGUCCACUAAAUUUGUCUAACCUUUAUCAUCCAAGUUCCAACUUUGAAAACCACACAAAAUUCCAGCACACAAUAUGCCAACAUUUUUAAUUUCUAAGAAAAUAAAAUAAAGUAUAUGCCAACAUUAUUGACACGGGAAAUUUAAAUAAAAAAUGUAUUGCCUAAAAAAAAAAGAAGCAAAAUGUAUACAAACAAGAAGUAUUUUAUUAAAUAAAUUGGCAACAAAACCAGAAGCCAAAAGGAAAACGGAAGUAUCGCUUACACAUCCUUACAUGUUCAACAGUAAAACAACAACCCAUGACCUACCCAUCAAUCAUUGUACGAACAAAUUUACAAAAGCCAUGGAUGUUCUAAGUAGUUAAAACUUACACCUCAAUUAAUUUCACUAAUCUCUCACUUAAUCCAUGAUUAACCCGACUGAGUUUAGCACAUAAACAUGUCUGCAGAGGCCAUGAUUGGUUGAUUAUUCAAAAAGCCAGUACCCCAUGGGUUCAGAAACCCAUCACCUCCACCAAUAAUAUUAUGAUUAUCUUCUUCCUCAUAGAUCCAUUUGCUUGAAUUAAUACAAUCCAUAAUAUCAUUGAGAGACUGCAAUCUGUUUGUGAGCUCAUCCAUCUGAGCUCUGAGGACUGAGUUUUCUGCCUCGAGCUUCAUGUAAAGCUGGUUGGUCACGUUCAUGGAUGUGAUGAUCUGGUUGUUAUCCCUUGUCAGGAGACCAAUCUGAGCCGUCAGAUCAGUCAGAUGCUCCUGUUUUCGCAUCCGGGAUCGACGUGCCGAUUCCCGGUUGGACAGCAUUCUUUUGCGCUUUCUCUGGUCCAUGACUUGGUUAAGAUCUUCAUCAGAUCCUGAGUUUUGGAGCUUGCUUGACUCUGAAGAAACCCCACUUGAAGAAGCCAUGUGUGAAAUACUUAUAUGCUUAUAAAAAACCAAAAAAAUCUAAACUUUUCUCUUACCCAAGAAAGUUAAAGAGUUAUUAUUUGAAGAACGCAGAUGCUAGAUUUAAAAAAUAAUUAAGAAAAAAGUAAAAAUUGUUUAUAAAAUGUUGUAAAACCAGUAGAGGAAAACAACAGAGAAGGAUUGGACAAGGUGGGUUCUGCGAAGGAGGGUGGAGUUUAUCAUACACCCAGAGAGCAGGAUUUCACUGAGUACCGGAAACAUGAUUAAAUCUGUAGGUUUGUAUAUUAAGCAUUGGAGACAAAGAAGAAGAACAAAUGUUAUGAACUUUGAAGCAGAAACAAGGUUUUCAGAACCGGGAGAGAGGUUAUGAAAUUUGAAGCAGACACAAGGCGUUCAGAACCAGGAGAGGAGAGAGAAGAGAGAGAAAGAGAUCAAAUUCUUGGGGUAGGCAGGAAAGAUAAUGGAGAGGAGGUUUUGAAGAGUGGUGGAGGGUUGAAUAUAUAGGCCAGCAAUGGCCACCUAAAAUAUAUAAACUACCAAAAACAAUUUAAGAACAUGUCUGAUUGUCUCAUAUAAUAUAAUUAUGAGGAAAAAGCAAUAACAUAGAAUGUGACUCUUAAUGGCCAAGUCCUCAGUAUUUGAAAAGUUCACAGUUGCAUAUCGGAUAUGUAUUCUCCAAAGAGUCAAUAUUUUCCACCGAUUUUUGUACCACACAUUCAGUAUGAAAUGGUUAGGAUAAACUUGUAAACUGAAACGUCUUAAGAGAAACUGUGUCUCUCAUCUCAUCUUAAGAUUAUGUAACAAUCAUCCCUGAAUUAUAUAUUGAUAUAUAACUUGAGAAAUACUUUCUUUAACCAAUGCUAUAAUUAUGGAUUAUUGUUACAAUUAAGCCUAAAUUAUUAUGUAACAAUAUAAGUUAUAACAUGUAAGCAUUUCCUUGAAGCAGCUAUGAAUCGUAAAUCUUUGCAUAAUAAAAAUAGACGAAUUGUGAUUACCAAAUGAUUAAAAAAUGCAUGAUCACUCAUCUUUAAAUUUGAUAUUAAAAAUAAAAAAUGAACAUGUUUUUAUGUUUUUAACAUAAGAUGAUAUUUUUUUCCCUCAAGAAUCCAUCAUAUAGUGGACAAGUGUUGCAAAAUUAGGUUACACCAACCAAAAGUCGCACAAGAGUCUUGUGCUAACAUAGUUCUGACUUGCUGUUCUUGUUGAAUCCCAACACCAACAGUACAUGGGCAUGCGCAUGUGGUCAGAAUUCUGAGAGAUGGUCCCUUACAAUGGAAAAUGAUCAUUGUCGGAUCUUUUUUUUCUAAGGAUUCCGUGAUCGUGAUUGUUUAUCGUAUAAUGUGCGAUCAGUUUUUGUUAAGUACUAUUUAUAUUUAAUUUUAAAAUAAUUUCUAACCAUAUAAUAUACGAUGAACGAUCACAAUUACAGAAUCUUUAAAUCCUCAAAAAAAGGAUCCGACGAGAAUCUUUUUCCCCUUCCAAUUAAUGAAUAAUACGAAGGGUAACGUCUUUCACAGGUUAGGCCCCAAAACCAGUGGUCAUUGGCUGCCCAGCGAUGGAGAUGCGUUUCAUAAAAAGAAAAAGUCAAAAAAAAUAUAGCCACUCGAGUCCUUGUCAAGUUGUUCUCGUGCCCUCGAGGAAUGCUCAAAUUACUUUUGAAUAUGCCGUGCUCGAGGGCACUAGAAGCUUCUAAUUAAAAUCUUGAUGGUUUUGGUUUUCAGUCAAUUCUCAUGUUUGAUGUUUGUAAUUUUAUUUGAGCAUGAAUUGCAUGUUUUAGAUAUUUAAGAUUUUAGGUGACCAAUUUUGUUUGUUCUAUAAACAAUAAUCUCCUUAGGACUUUGAAAUUUUGAAUUUGGAAAACACAUAUGAUUUAUUGGACCCUUCCUCAACUUUGAUUGGUAAUUGAGGUCUACCCCAUUUAACUUGUUAUACGCUCACAUACAUACAUACAUACAUACAUACAUACAUAUAUAUAUAUAUAUAUGGUGGGGAGGAAGAGAGAGAGAGAGAGAGAGGAUAUUCCACUUUUUGUAUGCCAUGUGCUUAAGAUUUAGGUAAUCUUUCAUUUAAAGAUGCCAGCUCCAGUUACUUUUCCCCAAGCACACUUUUCAUAUUCAACACUGAACAAAAGGCAAUAGUAAGUACUGGUGUUUUUUUUAUAAAAAUGCGUAUAAAAAAAACAGAGCUAAAAAAGAUGUUUGGUAAAUAUUUAAAAAUAAUUUAUUUUCAUAGUUUUGAGUAAAAAAAAGCUAAAAACGCGAAGCAGCAAAAAUGAGUUUAUUCUCACAAUAUAGCAGAAACAAUUUUUUUUUCAAAGUACAGCAAUACCAAACCAGCCUGUUGACUUUCACACUACAAAUUUAAAGGGGGCAUUUUUCUCCUCCAUUAUAAACUAUGGUGUAUGCUUAUUUUACAGUUAAUAAUCUACCACGUGUCCUUUUAUUUGGCCUUGAUUAAUUUUUUUUUCAAAAUUAAAAAAAAAAAUUAAUGUGAAAGUAACUAAAGUUAAGUGAAAUGACACGUGACAGAUGAUUAAGUGUAUGGUGAGCAUACACUAUGAUAGUGAGAAAAAAUUGUCCCAUAAAUUUAGGGUGGCAUUUUUGCUCAAUGCCAUAACUAUGUUGUAUGCUCACUAUACACUUAAUCAGUUGUCAUGUAUCUUUUCACCUAACUCUAGUUAAUGUUCACAAUAAAUGUUACUUUUUCAAUUUUGAAAAAAAUUAAUCAAGGUUAAUUGAAAGGACACGCGACAAAUGAUUAAGUGUAUGUUGAGUAUACACCAAAAUUUAGAGCGUUGAGCACAAAUAUUCCUAUAAAUUUAGCGUGCAUGGCACUGUUUUUUUCUGUAUAGAAAAAUUCUGAAACAAGUGAAAUGCCAAGGAGACUUUCAAAAUGAGACUCUCUAUAGAAUCUCUGACAUCUCAUAUUUUAAUAUCAAUUUUCAUGCUAACAUUAUAAAUAUUAUGCUAAAAGCAUGAGAUAGCAAAAAGUACAUGAAAAAUCAUACUUUUGAAAGACUCAUGCAUAAAACAAAUCAUUUAUAGUGUGAGAAGCUAAAUUGACAGUACCAAAAUCGCUGCCGAAUCUAAAAGCCAGUGAAAUCAUAAGCAACUCAGGGCAUAUUUGAAGUCUUUCUUGGACCUUAUUUUUCGUUAAAGUGAACAGUACCAAAAUUUUUUCAUUAAAGUUUUCUAUGAAAAAAGGAUAUGGUAUUGCAAGUUGCCGUGGAGGGCUUGGCCCCUAGUGUCAUUGAAAAAAGAAGGGGGAGGAAACCAGGCAGGCAAGCGGUGGGCAGAGCAGAGGUCAGUGAGUGGUGGGAAGUUGGGGGUUGAGAAGAAAAGUUGGCAGACAUAAAUAUCCAUGCUCAUCAACUUCUUCUGUGGAGGUCUCUUUCCUUGGGUCUCAACUUGUGUGCUCUUUUUCCUUUCAAGUGCACUUUUGAGUGUCAUGUUUUUAAUUUUUUUUUGUGUGUAUAUAGUUGGAUAUAAAUAUAUAUGGUGGAUGUUUCCCUAGUUUGUUUGCCAAAAUAAAUUUAAAAAGGCAGCAUAUCCAUGCAGCAGCUUUAGAAAUAGGGUGAUGCUAUAUUUUUACUUCUUAAAUACUCAUUGUUAAUUUUUGUUUUUUUUAUUUUCUUCAAUUCAUCCAAUUCGAUGACCGGAAAUUAAAACGAGUGUAAAAAGUAAAAAAGAGUGUGGAUAGCACUACAUAAGAGAGAAUGCAUAUAGAAAUGAAGAAUGGUGAGUGAAGGUUCAAGGAAUAAAGGAGAAGAAUAUAGGAAAUAAAAACAAGAGAAAAUAUAAUAGACAUAGUUUUUUGUUUUUAUUUUGUGUAUUCUUCUAUAUCCACUUCAUUCCCACCACUUAUCCUCCACCUCUGGCCGUCCAUCGUUUCUCUCUUAUAUUUCCUCUUUAUUGUUAACAAAAUAGUAAAAACGAAAUAGUUUUCAGACAACUUUAUAUUCAAUUCCGGUAGACAUUGACCAACCAAUUUCUAAACAAAAACGAGGGGCUAUUUAACCACUCUGCUAUCCAUCCAUAAUGGUUUUCUUCUCUAAGGAAUAACGUUUCCGUUAAUAGUUUUUAGUUUUCAAUUUUUGUUCGCGAUAGAGAAACUACAUGGAGGAAAAGAGGGACGAAGAAGGGUGGAGGUACAAAUGAGGGAUAAACAAAGGACGAUGAUUAAAAUAGAAAUUCGAAAUUAUAACUUAAAAGUUUGUUUUAGUUCUUCCUUUUCAUUUUAUGUAGCAUUUCAUAGACAUCUUCGACCUCCCUCCCACCACUGUUACUCCACCGUUCUUCAUCCCUCAUUUCUCCUCUUUCUCGACAUCUCUGUCAAGUUUUCAUAGCUCUAGGGCAGUCGUAGUCUCCGAUUAGUGCCUACCACAGAAGUACAAAGCAAAUGACACAAAUCAUAUGGUGAAAUUCUAGGAACGAUUAUUCCUUUCGCCUUCUGGUAAACCAGCAUAUGCUUCUGCAUAUACACUAAGCUUUGAGCAAGGGUCGCCUUUGAGUAAAGAAACCUAAAGAGAGAAUGAAAACAGAAGAGAAGAAUGGAAUAAAAAUGGACGCGUCUUUAUUCAAUUCCCUUGGUUAUAAUCAGGAAUGUCUUACAUGCAUUAUCCGUAAUACAGAUUCAUAGCCGUAGACUACAAAUAACAAGCGUAAAAAUACACAGAGUUACACGAUAGACCAACAAUACGUUUCUCUAAUGCAAGGUUUUCUAUAAUUAAUAAACACAUUGCACAAAGAAACAGGAAAGCCUUUUGAAAGUUUACCUAGGCAUGCACAAAAGACGCUUCUGGAUAAUAGUGAAGCAUCUGAGCAGCUUCUGGAUGGUAGUGAAGCAUCUCGUUCCACAUCAUCUCCCUAAUCAUUGGUUCCUCCAUAUUCUCAUCUAUGUCGAGACUGAUGGGAACCUGGGCAAGAGGAUUGGAUCUCGGAUCGUAUAGCCCUGACAUGUAAGGGUGUUGGAGUGCUUCUGUGACGGAGAUUCUCUUAGUUGGAUCAAACACAAGCAUCCUUUGCAACAAGUCUAUAGCUAAAGGAUCAGCUUGAGGGUAUAAACGGGACAAAUGUGUCCCUCUAGAAUAGGGCAAUGAUUUGAUGUACUUCCUGGCUUUUGGGUUGUCAAUGAAUGCAAGGUCAGGUUCCUGCUGGCUACCAAGAACAUUGAUAAUUAGUUUUAGUUGGUUGAGGCAUUCAGUUCCAGGGAAGAUUGGCUUCCGGCCAAGAAUUUCAGCAAAGAUGCAUCCUACGGACCAGACGUCAAUGGAUGUUCCAUAAUUGUCACAGCACAAUAGCAGCUCCGGUGCACGAUACCAGCGAGUGACAACAUACUCUGUCAUGAACUGGCCACUACCUCCGCUGGUUCGAGCCAACCCAAAGUCACAUAUUUUCAAGUCGCAGUUAGCAUUGAUGAGCAGGUUCCCAGGCUUCAAGUCCCGGUGAAGGAUGUUUGCUGAAUGAAGAUACUUGAGCCCUCGAAGUAACUACAAUGCAGAAUCAGAUUAGUCACAAGCAGAAUAACUAUUAGAAGAAUAGAACUCACAAAUUAACUGAAGCUUGGUAACAAAUCAAACUUUUAGAAGCUUAAAUGCAUAGAAACCCCGGAGUGUUAAGUUCUACAUAAGAAAAUGCAAGAAGCUGAAACAUCUCCUCAUACUUGGUCAAAAUGUGCUUUGGUAACAUGCUUUCUAUUCAUUCAGUUCCUAAAUCUUUUCCAGAAUCGUUUACAUUUCCAUGAACUAAUUCAGCUCAAAAUUAGCAUCAACCAAUUAGGAUGACUACUUAAAGAAUUAAUGAGAUAAAAUAACACAAGUUAAGAGAAAGCCUGUACCUGAAACAGAAAGUAUUUGCAAUGGUCACUGGAAAGUGGUUGUGAGGACUUUAUAAUUUGAUGAAGAUCCGUAUCCAUGAGCUCAUAAACGAAAUACACGUCCUUGAAGCUUGUCCUGUGGAUAGGCAUCAUAACAUCCUUCAGAGCAAUCACAUUCUCGUGCCGGAUAUGUUUAAGAAGCUUCAACUCCCUCAGAGUCCUCAACGCAUCAAUGCGGUUCUCAAACACAUUAUUGAUCUUCUUGAUUGCAACUUUCUCAUUCGUUUCCCUAUUGAUUGACGAGCACACUACACCAUAUGCCCCUCUCCCUAUGGGUUUGAUUGGUACGUACUUGAUGUCAACCUCAAACAAUGUCUGCCACAUUGAGUAAUAAUGCUUCCCCCGUUGCCUAAUUCCGUUCGGAGGCUCAACUAAAGUUGCCAUUUUCCUGCAAACCACUGUAAAAUGAUCCAAAUCACUCAAAACCCCUCAUAACAUAAAACAUAAUUACUUCUUACAAUUCCCUGUUUAUGAUAAUAUUCUUGCUACUUUUUCCUACUUUUAAUUACAUACAAUUCACGUCUACUUUUGGCUUCCUUUUUUACUUUCAACUCCUAAUUUUUUCAUCUUUUUCUUUUACUUUUCAACCCAGCAAUUUUCCAAUCCCAUUCACACCACAAAUUCUCCAACUUCCACACACCCUAAAAAACUACCCAAGAAACCAAACUCAAAACUGAAACUGAGAAGCACACUUAUUCCCCGAGUUCGAACUCCCUCCCCCGAAUUUAAAUUAGUUUAAAGUAGAAUAUCGAUCACAUCAAAACACUAGCUGAGAAACCAAAGUUUUACUUUUUACCAACAUGAAGGCUCCCAAGUUCACUUUCCCAAUACCCAAUUCACGAAUUCAUAGCUAAAUUCUAAAACUUUAUACAAAAUUCAACAGCAAAAAAAAAAAAAAAAAAAAAAAAAAAAAAAAAACCCAGAAAAGAAAUAAGAACAAACCUCAAUAAUUGGCGAGCAACAUUAACAGGAGAAGAGAGAGAUCCUCAAAGGUCGUGGGGACAAGUAACUGGCUUGUAAAUAGAUCUUCCCUUAUCUAUAUAUAAAUACAUAUAUAUUUAUAUAAAUGGCUCAAAAGCUCACAGUGGUAUCAGAUCAUCACGAGUUACGAUUCGUUAUUUCGUCGUGAUCAGUGAGAGAGAUCUUAGAGAGAGGGAGGAGAGAGAGAGAGGGGGGGGGGGGGUUAAUGUUAAAUGCAAAUUAGUUUUGGGUUUUGGGGGGUUUGGGGAAUUGGGGGAGAGAGAGAGAGGAGAAGGAGCCAAACCCAUGACACCAACACGGCAAAAAUGGGUGGGUGUAUAUGUAUAAUAUCACAAAAACGACAGCUUAAAAGAUCAACGCUUUCUUUCGGUCCUCGUUUUUGUUGCUUCAUGCACAAUCAAUCAAACACUAAAAAAUCAUGCUCUCGAGUUUACGAUCACGCCGUCGGUUGACGGCUCCGGUUCAGCUCGGCUGGCUUAUCAGUUCAUCUCACACUUCACUCGUUUUUGUAAUGGUAAAUUACGUUUUACCCCCUUAGGUUUUGGGUUAAUUUCAAUCCCUUACGCAUCUUUAAAACAUUUCAAUUUCAUACAUUUACUUAUCAUUUUAUUUCAAUUUCCUACAUCCGUUAGAAAAUCUGUUAAGUAAACUGUUAACUGAUGACGUGGCAAAUAUGUAAUCCACAUUUAUGCUGACGUGGCAGCCAUAUUUGUGUCACGUGACAAAAAAUUAAUUUUUUUAUUCAUUUAAAAUAUAAUAAUAUUUUACCUAUUAAAUUAAAAUAAAUAUUAUUUUUUUACCACGUGGCACAAAUGUAACAGUCACGUCAGCACAAAUAUGGAUUCCAUAUUUGUCACGUCAUCAGUUAACGGUUUGCUUAACAGAUUUUCUAACAGAUGUAUGAAAUUGAAAUAAAAUGAUAAGUAAAUGUAUGAAAUUGAAAUGUUUUAAAGAUGUUGUAAAGAAUUGAAAUUGAUUCCAAACCUGUGGAGGUAAAGUAUAAUUUACCCUUUUUGUAAUUUGCAAAUGUACCUUUUUUCAACCCUAUUUAAUUGGAAAUUUAUACCAUGAACGGCACAAGAAUUCAUUGUACUUAUCUAUUUUUGCAUAUGGUAAAUGUUUUAUUUUUAUACUUUGAUUCAAUGAUAUUUUUAGAAUGAGGAUCCUCUCCAAAUCCUCUUUGUGAGGAUCCGAGGAGCAUCAAAUCGUGUUUAUUCAUCAUAUAUCGUACGGUCAGUUUUCGUCAAAUACUAUUCAUGUUUAAUUUUAAAUAAAAAUAUUUAAAAUGAUUUCUAGCCGCACGAUGUACGAUGAACGGAUACGAUUUGAGUAUCCGUUGAGGAUCCUCAUUCAUAUUUUUAUACUUGAGGGGUGGAUGACUUGAGUUAAGGAGCUACAAAAUACGCUAGUUGUAAUAAUUAGAUAUCAAACUCGUUAUUUGAUGAAGUUUAAUAUGAGAUUUUUCAUAGUAAGAAGAAAUGUAAUGAAAAAACUGUGUUCAAUUUGAAGGUAGAAGUUGUGUUACUCAUUGACGAAACUUACCACUAACAAAAUUGUUGUCCAAUUUGACAAGAUAAAGAAAUGCUAGUCAUCUCCGCCAUUCUUCUUCAAUUACGAACCCAUCUCAUCUCCUUUGACAUAUUUGGAAAUAAGGAUGUAUAUGCUCUUAGAUAAUGCUAAACAAUUGGUGGUUGAUGUUUUUAAGUAUUUCUAACGUGUAAUUUUAGGAGACCUAUUACUUCGUACUCAUCGGUACAUUUUAUAAUGCUAAGUUCCAUAAGUUUGGUCAUAUCUUAAAUUUUUUAUUUUACUAUUAUUAAUGGGAGUGGGAGAGUUCGAAAUUAUUAUAAAAAUUUAGAGGAAGACGGAGUUUCAAACCAGACUCAUGGAUAAAAAUCCAACACCCUAUUUACUAGCAUAUAGGACCACAUGUGACCGCCCCUCCUUGCUCUUAUAUGACUUUGCCACUGGGGUAACAUAUACUUAACUACAAUGGUAUUAUUAAGAGUUAUGCACCACAAAAGGAACAUUAACAUAAUACAUGAAUGCUUUGUGUAAUCUGACCUCUAAGGAAACAUAUUUAACCCAUUUGAUUUUAGAAAUCAAUGCUAAUAACGAUCGCAAGAAUUUUGUGAUAUUGAUCAUACCGUGCUCUUAUUAUCUUAUUGAUUCAUGAUUUACAUGUAAAUAAAAAAGAAUAUAAUGUAUUAAUAUUGUAAUAGUUGAUGUAUAAUUAUAUGUGUAGGGAAUAUUAAGGUAAAAAAUGCUACUCUUACCACAUAUUUGUAUUAUCAUUUGUAUCAUCUUUUUAAUGAAGAUAAAACUUACAUGUGUUGGCUGUCCCAACCUAUCAGAGAGAUGUUGUACAAAUAGAUAGUUACGUGUAAUGUUACUCUAUUAAACCCUUUUGCUUUUGGUGGACUUGGCUUAAGCCAAACCAAAUGGCUAUAAGCCUAAAACUAAAGGGAAGCAGUCCAACUUGAAGAAAUGGUAAAGAUUGUGAAGAGUGUUGUCUUUGCUUUCCCUACAAUUCAGUAAUCUCUCUCUCGUGCGAAUCUUUCAAAGAAACAUUCUCUAAACGCACACUUCCUCCGCCGCCCUCCCCCACCUCUCAAGCAACCGGCGCAGCCACGUGGAGAUGCGGUAGCUGCCAGGCCGGUUCCUUUGCUGAGUUUUGCUUAUCUUGCUUGGUGGGACCCGCAUGAGCAAACCCUAUUUUGUUAUCCAUCUAGAUCUAAUAAUCUAAAGAGAAGUAGCUCAACUCUCACUUGCUUCCCAACAAGCAAAUCACAAAGUCUUUGUCUACAUCAUGAUGUCAUAUCAUGCGUAAUGCACCCAAACAAACCCAGCUGGGUUUGUACCAAACAAUUAAUACUUACAUCAACAACUAUCGCCGACAAGAUUGGAACUCAGAACCGACUCCAGCAAAAUUAGAGACUGAAUGUCCGUUAAAAUUAGGUUAUCUACAACAUGAUCAGAUCAUGCAUGCAUCCAAAAUCCAGUUGGGUUUGUAUCAAUCCCUAAAUAGUUUUUCCAACAACUAUCGUCCUUCUAUGAGAUUUGAACGCAUGAUUCCUUUAACAAAAUAGAGACUGAGUGUCGCUAGACCAAUAUUUAUUGCCUAUCAGAAACUUAUAUUGAAAAAAUAAAGAUAUUUACAUAAAUUAUAAUAGUUAAAAGUGAUAAACUUGCAAACUAUGCACAUGGCCAAAACUUUGUGCAUUCAUAAUGUAAGUGGUAAGAGUUUGAUGGAACAGUAAGUAGAGUACAGGGGCGCAUUUGGGUGGGGGGUUUUGAUAGCCAAAACAUAUCUUCUUCUGUGUCUAACAUUCUUCACCAGAUAUUGAACUGCAUUACAACCCAAAACAUAUUAGAAAUGUCACAAACUCCACCUAAAAGUCGAAUAAGUGAUGUUUUCGUCUCGGUUGCUCACCAUUUUCUUCUUCAUGUUGUUCUUCCUCUUCUUCUUUUUGUCAAGAGAGCCAAAGAGUUCCUCUUGCUGGGUAAGCGACUCCUCGAGAGCCUAAACAAGAAGCCAAUUCAAAUGAAGAUCAUACACAUCUAACGUUAAUAGUACCCUGCUAGUGAUUGAUGCAAAUGACAGAUUUUUACUUUCCUAUUGGAUUAUGUUUCAUGAUUUAUAGCGGAACUUAUAGAAACCCUACCUGCUUUGUUGCCAUAAGCUCUUUCUCCAAGGCACCAACCCGGCCUAGAGCAGUAUUCAGCAUUUCCUCCUUCUGAGCUGGCACGGUGGCUGGUUUCAUGUUCAAAACAGUCAUUCUCUCUUCCAACUCAGCCAUGCGUUUCAUGACAGUCAUGAGAUCUGAGCCGGAGAUGGCAGCGUGUGAAGAGCCCUGGCCUUUGACCAUUGUGUCACCGUCGCAGACAGUGCUGGAGUAGAAGGUGGAGUCAGUGAGCCUCUUCGGCAUGCUACGUGUUAGUCUGACCAUGGCGACAAUGCCCAUAAGAAACGUCAGAAUAGCAGCCAUAAUCUGAGAGCCGAACCCUUCAGGAAGUUUGCAAGCAUUGUUCCUGGUGAAACAAUCUCCUGCUGCAAGUAAAGGAAACUCAGACCCUACGGAAUAUCUUAGAGCUAGAAAAGGAAAGGAAACACAAUAUACAAGGUCACCUAAAUUCUUAGAUGAUUUAGCGUUUGAGAGGGCAAAUUUAACAUUCCCCGUCGCCAUUGGCCAACUUGAAUCCACGGAUUUACCAACCAUCGAGGCACUGUCCUCGCGCCUGAAAGACGCUUCGCGAGUUUUGGCUAGCGAUACCUGCGAAAAUUAUUUCACAGAGGAAGUUAGAACUGUCGCGACAAGAGAGGAGGGAAACUUCAGCUACAAGAUACGCAGAUAACAAGUAUAUGUGUGUCUAUGCUUAGAAACAUAUACAUGAAAAAAGGAAAGCUCUCAGUGUACGAGACAAUUGCUCGGUUGAAAAUUAAAUUGAACUUGGAAGCUUUUUGCACCUAUGCUUAGAAACAUAUACAUGAAAAAAGGAAAGCUCUCAGUGUACGAGACAAUUGCUCGGUUGAAAAUUAAAUUGAACUUGGAAGCUUUUUGCACUUACUUCUUCAUGGAAGCGAGAAAGUGCAUGAUUAAGUUUAGGAGUGGAACGGCCGAUGUUUAGAGCUGCACCGAGUCCCUAGGAAGAUUAUAUGAUCAAGGUAUAGAUGACAUUUACGAACCAGAAGCACCAAAAUAUAUUUUCAAAAAUCAUGCGACUGAGAAUUUUGAGAUGAUCUAAUGUCCGAAAUGUGACAAUCCAAAAAACUUGUCAACUAGGGGCAGGUUUAUAAGGAAAAAGAAAAGCAGAAGAUAUGUUCAAGUAAGACCUACUUGAACUCCAGGUUUUCUUGAACAUUUAUGAAUGCCGUUUUGAACCAUCUGCAAGUACAUAAAUCGAUACUUAUGAAUUCUAAUUAAAUUAGAAGUUAAAAUAAUGCAUAGUAGUAAUGAUGCAUAAAGGGGGGAAAAAAAAAGAAGAAGAUACAGAACGGUCUUUAUCUACCUUCACGAUCUCAGGUUGUUUCCAGGGUCCCUUGUCCGAACGCAUACAGCCUCCUUGAUCAGAACAAGUACAUGUACCUCCUAAAAACUUGGGCAAUUCGCUGGAGCAAAGUCAAGCCAGAAUAUGUACAUCAAAAUAAACGAACUGAUGGAGCAGCUUAUAUGGUAGUGAAGAUCCUAAAAAGUCUGCCUCGUUUUGAACAGACUUACCUAGCAUCAAUUAUUUCAAGCAACUUGCUCUGAUACUUGUUGCCAAGGACCUGGAGGAUGAUAGUUUUCCCCGAUUAAUGUAGCCCUGACGAAAACAAGCACUUUUUAGCAUCAUAAUGUAUAUACUCACAUUAAUCUUUGCUGUAGUCUUCGGGUCAAGGAACGACUUCACGCUGUUCCACAACAUUCUAAAGCCAGAACCAGCGUUGAUGAUAAACAUGCGAUUCAAGGUCUGCGGUAAAAACAACAAUUUAUGUGGCAUCAUAAUUCUGCCAUCGACAAAAUAUGUUCUGAAGUUCCCGAAAUUUAUAGACCAAAAGAUGUUAAGGUACCUCAGGAUAAUUGUCACCGUCAAUCUUCUGAAGGCGAGUAAUAAGUUCCCUGGCAGCUUUGUUGAAAUUCUUAAAUCCCUGAGGCAUUACAGUACAACAACAACAACAACAACAAAGCCUUUUCCCACUAAGUGGGGUCGGCUAUAUGAAUCCUAGAACGCCAUUGCGCUCGGUUUUGUGUCAUGUCCUCCGUUAGAUCCAAGUACUCUAAGUCUUUUCUUAGAGUCUCUUCCAAAGUUUUCCUAGGUCUUCCUCUACCCCUUUGGCCCUGAACCUCUGUCCCGUAGUCACAUCUUCGAACCGGAGCGUCAGUCGGCCUUCUUUGCACAUGUCCAAAUCAUCGGAGCCGAUUUUCUCUCAUCUUUCCUACAAUUUCGGCUACUCCUACUUUACCUCGGAUAUCCUCAUUCCCAAUCUGAUCCUUUCUCGUGUGCCCACACAUCCCACGAAGCAUCCUCAUCUCUGCUACACCCAUUUUGUGUACGUGUUGAUGCUUCACCGCCCAACAUUCUGUGCCAUACAACAUCGCUGGCCUUAUUGCCGUCCUAUAAAAUUUUCCCUUGAGCUUCAGUGGCCUACGACGGUCACACAACACGCCGGAUGCACUCUUACACUUCAUCCAUCCAGCUCGUAUUCUAUGGUUGAGAUCUCCAUCUAAUUCUCCGUUCUCUUGCAAGAUAGAUCCUAGGUAGCGAAAACGGUCGCUUUUUGUGAUCUUCGCUAGAUUGCUCCGGUCAUUAGUGUGGAUAAGUAUAUAAAUGGAUAGAGAUAGGAAAGCAAACACAAGAUGUACGUGGUUCACCCAGAUUGGCUACGUCCACGGAAUAGAAGAGUUCUCAUUAAUUGUGAAGGGUUUACACAAGUACAUAGGUUCAAGCUCUCCUUUAGUGAGUACAAGUGAAUGAUGAUUUAGUACAAAUGACAUUAGGAAAUAUUGGGGGAGAAUGAUCUCGUAAUCACGAAACUUCUAAGUAUCGGAGUGUGGUGUCGUCUUGACUUGCCUUAUCUGUCUCAUAGGUAGAUGUGGCAUCUUCUCUGGAAGUACUACUCUCUUCCUCCAUCCAGGGGUGGUAUCUUUAACUGGUGGAGAUGCACAAGGUAAUGUAUCAAUUUCACUUGAAGCUUACUUGUAGUCUCAGGCUUGGUCAAGCGCGAUACAAACCAUGUAGUAGGAGUCCCCCAAGUCGCCGAGCUAGGGGGUCUGCUGAAAGAGGUGACAGACAAGGUAAGCAAUCAGAGCUCCGACUGAUUGUUCACCUUCUCCCCAUCUUGCAGCAGCAUGAAGGAUAAAGAGAAGAAAAAUGAGAAGAGAUGAUAUGAGAUACUUUUGCUUUUGAAGAAGUAACUUUCCACAGGCUUAUUCUUGAACUGAGCUGGAGGGUUUUCUGGUUUCCUCCAGAGUAUAAGGCCGACUGAAGAAUUUGAGGGUCAAAACAAGUCCAUCAAAUCUAGAGUACGUUCCACCCUGCUGAUAUGGGAUACUUUUGCUUUUGACAGAGUAAUGGGUGUAUCGGCACGUGUGCUGUUACGCUUGUCUCCACAUGCUUCCUUGUAUCCUUCGCACUUGCCCUAUCUGUUCCUCAAGCAGAUGCGGAAUCUUCCCUGGAAACAUAAGAUGUUGAAGAUGAGUACUCGAGAGCAAUGCCAGGUAAGUAAUCAGGUAAGGGGUUCCAGGCAGUCAGUUCCUGGCUGGAAGCUUGAUCCAAGUGCUGACUGAUUACUCUCUUUCUCCUUGUCUUGCAGGUAAAAACAAGGCCAAAGGAAAAGACAGGGAAAAAGCAUGAUAUGGGAUACUCUUGCUUUUAACCCUGAUGAUAUGAGAUAUUCUUGCUCUAGUAUAGCUUGUUUGCAGAGGUAUUAUCGGGGGGAAAGAAAGCUGAAUAUUUCGAAAGGCUUCGUUGGGAGUGCCCUCUCAGAUAUGAUGAAGGGUUGAGCAUUUUUGCAGGUCUGCCUGUCCGUUGGGGAUGAAGGUCGACAUAUAUAGGAGUCUCCCUAACAACAGGUAGUAAUGCUAUUCCUUUACCCUGCUUGGUCAUAGCACGGUAGUGGGAGCUGCCAGUUUCACAUGUUUUAACUCUGUCAGAGCACUUUGAAAAAGUGGUCUGUGGUAUCUGGCUCUCGAGAUUCGGAGAACGAUGCCUCUUCGAUUUUUGAGAAAGCAAUCAUGCUGGGGGUCUGGCUCUCGAGAUUCGUAGAGCAGUGUCUCUUCGAUUUUUGAGGAAGUAAUCAUGUUAGGAGUUUGGCUCUCGAGAUUCGGAGGGCGGUGCCUCUUCGAUUUUGGAGCAAGCAAUCCUGUUGGGAGUGUUGUCUCGAAUGUGAGUAAAGGUUGGGCAUGUUUGCUAGUCUACCUUGCCACGAAGCACAAAGGUUGACACACAGAGACUUUCCAAUUAUCCAGCAAUGGUACUGUUCCUUUACCCUCUCUUCGCUUUUGAGAAAGUAGUCAUGUUGGGAGUCUGGCUCUCGAGAUUCGGAGGACGGUGCCUCUUCGAUUUUGGAGCAAGCAAUCUUGUUGGGAGUGUUUUCUCGAAAGUGAGUAAAGGUUGGGCAUGUUUGCUAGUCUACCUUGCCACGAAGCACAGAGGUUGACACACAGGGACUUUCCAAUUAUCCAGCAGUGGUACUGUUCCUUUACCCUUGUGGGUAAUAAUAUGGUAGCUAGACCUUCAAAAAUUUAUGUGUCUAAACUUUGUUAGUGAUGUUUCUUUGCUAUUCUUUUACCUUUCUUGGUCAGAGCGAUGUAGUAGGAGCUGCAAGCUUCACGUGCUCAACUUUGGCAGAGAACUUUGGCAAAGUUAUCUGUGGUACCCAUGAGCUAUUGGAAGUGGGUGAUUGAACAGUAAGAUUCAUGUGCUUUCUACUUCACCAGAAGUCUUCGACAGAAUGCCCAUAAUUUCUGCAAAGCUGAGUGUGCGUGUGUGACAGGUGCUGACAAGGCUAGAAAAGUAGGUGCCUCUUCGAUUUCUGAGAUCGGCCCUCGUGGUCUCUGAGCAGCCCAGCUUUUGAGAAAGCGAGCGCCUCUUCGAUUGAUUCGGAGAACGAUGCCUCAUCGAUUUUUUGAGAAAGCAAUCAUGCUGGGGGUCUCUGGCUCUCGAAGAUUCGGGGAGCAGUGUCUCUUCGAUUUUUGAGAAAGUAAUCACGUUAGGAGUCUGGCUCUCGAGAUUCGGAGGGCGGUGGUGCCUCUUCGAUUUUGGAGCAAGCAAUCUUGUUGGGAGUGUUUUUCUCGAAUGUGAGUAAAGGUUGGGCAUGUUUGCUAGUCUACCUUGCCACGAAGCACAGAGGUUGACACACAGGGACUUUCCAAUUAUCCAGCAAUGGUACUGUUCCUUUACCCUCUCUUCGAUUUUUAAGAAAGUAGUCAUGUUGGGAGUCUGGCUCUCGAGAUUCGGAGGACGGUGCCUCUUCGAUUUUGGAGCAAGCAAUCUUAUUGGGAGUGUUUUUCUCGAAUGUGAGUAAAGGUUGGGCAUGUUUGCUAGUCUACCUUGCCACGAAGCCCAGAGGUUGACACACAGGGACUUUCCAAUUAUCCAGCAGUGGUACUGUUCCUUUACCCUUGUGGGUAAUAAUAUGGUAGCUAGACCUUCAAAAUUUAUGGGUCUAAACUUUGUUAGUGCUGUUUCUUUGCUAUUCUUUUACCCUUCUUGGUCAGAGCGAUGUAGUGGGAGCUGCAAGCUUCACGUGCUCAACUUUGGCAGAGAACUUUGGCAAAGUUAUCUGUGGUACCCAUGAGCUAUUGUUGCGUGUGGGAAGUGGGUGAUUGAACAGUAAGAUUCAUGUGUUUUCUACUUCCCCAGAAGUCUUCGACAGAAUGCCCAUAAUUUCUGCAAAGCUGAGUGUGCGUGUGACGGGUGCUGACAAGGCUGGAAAAGUAGGUGCCUCAUCGAUUUCUGAGAUCGGCCCUCGUGGUCUCUGGGGAGCCCAGCUUUUGAGAAAGCGAGCGCCUCUUCGAUUUCUGAGAUCGGCCUUCGUGGUCUUUGAGCAGCCCAACUUUUGAGAAAGCAAGCGCCUCUUCGAUUUCUGAGAUCAACCCUCGUGAUCUCUAAGCAGCCCAGCUUUUGAGAAAGCAAACGUCUCUUCGAUUUCUGAGCAGGCGCCUCUUCGAUUUCCGAAGCUCCGUCGAGUGCAGAUUUUUAUAGAGGCUGACAUUAAGUUCCAAAGCACACUUGAAUCUCCACCAGUAGAAGCUUCAUUCUUGCACUUCUAAGAUCUUGAUUUGUCCGACCUCUUCUCUCUUCAACACCUUUGAAAAUGUCUGGCCCCUCCGACCGUCGUUUUGACUUGAACCUUGUUGAAGAGGCAGCCCCGCCUUCUCCAGACAACAUAUGGCGCCCAUCCUUCGUCUUCCCUACUGGUCCUCUUACCGUUGGGGAUUCCGUGAUGAAGAAUGAUAUGACCGCUGCGGUGGUGGCCAGGAACCUUCUCACUCCCAAAGAUAACAGACUACUUUCCAAACGGUCUGAUGAGUUAGCUGUUAAGGAUUCGCUGGCUCUCAGUGUUCAGUGUGCAGGUUCUGUGUCUAAUAUGGCCCAACGCCUAUUUGCUCGAACCCGCCAAGUUGAAUCCUUGGCGGCUGAAGUGAUGAGUCUCAAACAGGAGAUUAGAGGGCUCAAGCAUGAGAAUAAACAGUUGCACCGGCUGGCACAUGACUAUGCUACAAACAUGAAGAGGAAGCUUGACCAGAUGAAGGAAACUGAUGGUCAAGUUUUACUUGAUCAUCAGAGAUUUGUGGGUUUGUUCCAAAGGCAUUUAUUGCCUUCGUCUUCUGGGGCUGUACCGCGUAAUGAAGCUCCGAAUGAUCAACCUCUGAUGCCUCCUCCUUCUAGGGUUCUGUCCAGUACUGAGGCUCCAAAUGAUCCCCCUCCGGUGCCUUCUCUUUCUGGGGCUCUACCGACUGCUGAGACUUCUCCUAAGCAACCCUUGUGAAGGCUCCGUCUUGUGUGUUUAUUUUGACUCAUGUAUAUGUACAUAUUUGUAGCUGAUCGGGGAUAUCAAUAAAUAAGCUUUCCUUCAUUUCAACGUAUUGUGUUAAAUACACCAAAGCCUUCUUCGCUAAGUUCUUUGAAUUUUCUUUUGUUGAAGCUUGUAUGUUGAAGCUUUCUGAGUGGAGCAUGUAGGUUGGGGUAGUGUUCCCUUAAUUUCCCGAGUGAGGAAAACUUCUCGAUUGGAGACUUGGAAAAUCCAAGUCACUGAGUGGGAUCGGCUAUAUGAAUCUUAGAACGCCAUUGUGCUCGAUCCUGUGUCAUGUCCUCUGUUAGAUCCAAGUACUCUAAGUCUUUUCUUAGAGUUUCUUCCAAAGUUUUCCUAGGUCUUCCUCUACCCCUUCGGCCCUGAACCUCUGUCCCAUAGUCGCAUCUUCUAAUCGGAGCGUCAGUAGGCCUUCUUUGCACAUGUCCAAACCACCGUAACCGAUUUUCUCUCAUCUUUCCUUCAAUUUCGGCUACUCCUACUUUACCCCGGAUAUCCUCAUUCCUAAUCUUAUCCUUUCUCGUGUGCCCACACAUCCAACGAAGCAUCCUCAUCUCCGCUACACCCAUUUUGUGUACGUGUUGAUGUUUCACCGCCCAACAUUCUGUGCCAUACAGCAUCGCCGGCCUUAUUGCCGUCCUAUAAAAUUUUCCCUUGAGCUUCAAUGGCAUACGGCGGUCACACAACACACCGGAUGCACUCUUCCACUUCAUCCAUCCCGCUUGUAUUCUAUGGUUGAGAUCUCCAUCUAAUUCUCCGUUCUUUUGCAAGAUAGAUCCUAGGUAACGAAAACGGUCGCUUUUUGGUAUUUCUUGAUCUCCGAUCCUCACCCCUAACUCGUUUUGGCCUCCAUUUGCACUGAACUUGCACUCCAUAUAUUCUGUCUUUGAUCGGCUUAGGCGAAGACCUUUAGAUUCCAACACUUCUCUCCAAAGGUUAAGCUUUGCAUUUACCCCUUCCUGAGUUUCAUCUAUCAACACUAUAUCGUCUGCGAAAAGCAUACACCAAGGAAAUAUCAUCUUGAAUAUGUCCUGUUAACUCAUCCAUUACCAACGCAAAAAGGUAAGGACUUAAGGAUGAGCCUUGAUGUAAUCCUACAGUUAUGGGGAAGCUUUCGGUUUGUCCUUCAUGAGUUCUUACGGCAGUCUUUGCUCCUUCAUACAUAUCCUUUAUAGCUUGGAUAUAUGCUACUCGUACUCCUUUCUUCUCUAAAAUCCUCCAAAGAAUGUCUCUUGGGACCCUAUCAUACGCUUUUUCCAAAUCUAUAAAGACCAUGUGUAAAUCCUUUUUCCCAUCUCUAUAUCUUUCCAUCAAUCUUCGUAAGAGAUAGAUUGCCUCCAUGGUUGAGCGCCCUGGCAUGAACCCGAAUUGGUUGUCCGAAACCCGUGUCUCUUGCCUCAAUCUAUGCUCAAUGACUCUCUCCCAGAGCUUCAUUGUAUGACUCAUUAGCUUAAUACCCCUAUAGUUCAUGCAAUUUUGUACGUCGCCCUUGUUUUUCCAUUGGCGAUUCUAGUUUUUUGUUUUUCAAAUCCUUUGCUGAGUAAAAGUAGAGGUUAUGGUUAUCACAUACCACUCCUUGCACAUCGAGGAUAGUUGUACUUUGAUCAAUGUUCUUCUUUGCUGCAAUUGAACAAGCUGGAAACUUAACCGCAAAUGUCCUUUCAAACUCCUGCACAUGGUACUUGAGAUAGCGGUCCAUAGUUGUGGCUUGCAUCAGCUUGGUCGCAUCUACUAGGCCUAUUCUCUCGAUUUACACAGGUCGUCCUUCCUUGUCUAUGCCAUGAUGUCCUUGGGGGUAGUAUUGCAAGACUUCAUCGAGUUCCUUGAAGUAAAAGUCCUAGAAGAAAAGAUAGAUACAUGAGUAACUAGAUUGAUGGACAAAUAUAAACAAAAGAAAUUCUGCUCUUACUAAAAGAAAACAAACAUAAAAAUCGAACGGAAAGAAGUAAAAUGAAAUAAUUAGCAAACUUCAAAAGCCUAAGCACCUAUUUCUACAGAGAAUACCUCCAUGAUUGUGUCAGCACCGAAUGCCUUCCUCCACUCGAGCAUGUCAGACCACAUUUUCUUGGUUUUGUCGACAUCAAAUUUCCUGGCCUUCAAGAAUCUGUCUUCCAAUGGUUAAGUUAGAUUGAAUAAGAAUGAAGUAUCUAUCUUAAAAACCAUCGAAGACAAAAACUUCUAGUGGAACAAGAAGAGGAAGAAACCUGAGCAUCUUAUGAUAAUCAUCGUGCUUGAAAGGAAGAAGCUCCUCCAAUAUAAGAGCCUGCCGCAGCGAGUCAACAGCCUGUAUCUCCUCUAAGUCAUGUACAUCCUCAAUGUCGAUAGACAAGACUUUACUACUGCUUGUUCUACCCCUUGUUGAAAAAGAAUUUCUGAACCUAACAGAGGCAUUCAUUGCCUUCUUCUUCAACGACCCGACUUUAGUCUUUCUAUCUUCCUCAGAGAUUUCAGCAUCAGAUACUGAAAAUUACACAACAUAAGAGAUUCAUACCUAUGCGCAUCAAACGCGAGGCAUCCUAAUAUGCAAAGAUUUAUAAGUCUACCUAUCAAUGCAUUAAAUUCCAAGGCUUUUUGUUCAUUCCAACAUCCUAAGGUCCCUUUAAAGUGGCAACGCGCAUUACAAAUUCAAGACAAGUCCUCACGUUUGAAGCAUACAGUUAUCAAGAUGUGAAAAUACGUUGAUUAUAAAUGAAAUAUCACCUGGUAGAGAUCCAGACAUGGUGUUACUUGUGAGGAAAACGGUGUUUACUUGUCCGAAAACAUUGCGAAAGUAGUAGCUGAAGGGCGGAAGAAGAAUCAAGCACUCGUAUCACAAUUCACAGAUGCAGACCCAGAAGCAAAACCCUGCCCAAAUGCCUGCAAUUACAGUCCCACUUGUAACCAAAUGCAGCUUAAAAAAAUAAAAAAUAAAAAUAAAUAAAAAUAAAAAUAAAAAAACCAAACCGAAGAGGAAAAUCGUCUAAAAUGAUCAGAAAUUAAACCCCAAUUGUAAAAUAAGAUAUCCACGACAUAGUGACCAAAUAAUAAUGACAUACUGAAAAACUGAUUAUUUUGCAAUUGGAAUUUGAAAAAAUGAUCGUUUUGGCAAUUUCCCAACUAGAAAAGCAAAUUACUUCCAAGUAAAUUUUAGCAGUAACAAAAAUGAGAAAACUUAAAGGGGAAUCCAAUUGAACAAAAUGCUUGCAUUUACAUUCCCACUCACAAAAUCACAACCACAAUGCAGCCUAAACUAAAAUUUGAAAAUACAACUAAGGAUAAAAUUAAAGGAGUUUUAACGAAACACUAUCGGUACUGUUCACUUACCAACACUUUUGUAUCAUUUUUAUUAAAACGCGAAGUUUUUAAAUCUUUUUUAUUAGUUUUUCCUUAAAAUUAAUUCGAAUAAAAUUGUGCAGUAAUAAAGACAGAAAGAGGCCGAGCCUUGACACAACGAAAAUAUUGUUUUUUUAUAACCGAAAGGUUACGAAUUCGAGUCGUGAAAACAACCUCUUUGCAAAGCAGACAGCCUUGUUGGCUUGAGUCGCCACUUUAGUAAAAAAGACAGAAAAACAAAAUGGAAUUAUUAUUGAUUUCAUUACGUCUAUCCUCUGGUGAACAGUGUUUGGGGGGCGGGGGUGGGGGGAGUCCCGAAAAAAAAAAAAACAAAAAUGGGGUUUUGGGGGGAGAGGGAAAAGGAUGGAUAUAAAUAUCCUGAAUCCUAGUUGGGAUUUGAGAGUUCUUAGAAAAUGGCGGAGAGACAGCGAGGCAGACAUGUUUGGAAGACACAUAGAAGAAAAUUAGUAAAUCUUGUUUUCUCUUUUUAAGGUUUCGAUUCAGUUCAGAGCUUGAUGUUUGACGAGGUCUCGACACAAGGCGAAACGCAAGGCAACUCCACUCAAAUUUAAAUAACGUCUCUUUGAUUCUCCCGGUAAAACUGUAUUGCCUUCAUUUCAUGUAUGGUUUUGUUUUCAUUUUUAUAAAAUCUCGAGAGAACAAUUUUAUUAACAAUAAUCAUGAAACAAUAUAGGGCAUGUAAUUUGAUCAUGGCUUACUAAUAUCGGGCUCGUUUAGAAAUGUUACUUUGAAAAACAUACUUAGAAGCACUUCCAUCGUAAUACAUUGAAAAAUUUAAUAAAAAUUCAAAAACAACCUGAAAUAUUUCUUGAAAGAAACAUCUGGCAAGUGUUUUUCUUAUAUAGCAUGACCGGAUGCUUUUCUAACCCAAAAGCAUUUUAACUUUUCCUCUUAAAUAUUAUGAAAAUCGGUUUUGGUUAUCUAAAAUCACUUCUAAAAGAUCGUUAUAUCAAUAAAAUCAGAGGCACCUUGAACCAACAAAAAACAAACCAAAAUAAAGAAUAGUAAUGCAACAAAAUAAGUGUUUCAACUAACUGGAUUAGAGAGAGAUAUACAUUGUGUAUUUGUUGUCUCUUUUCUUCACCUGCUGCCUUCUUUUAUUUUUGGGGAUAAGAAGUUAGAAACCAACAUCCUCCCAUUAUAUAGCGCUCCAGCAGACUCCUAUGAGUGUUCAUAUAGAACUGUAGAUUUCCAAAUCUACGUAUUUGGGAUUUGAUAGGAGAAAAAUCUUGAGAGUUGGAUUACGUAGUUAAUUGUUUGAUUUUACUAUGAAUAACGGAUCAUAGAUCUUAAGUUGUGAGAAUGUAUCUUGCUCGACGUUCACAUGCAUAACAAACUUUUAUUCUAACUAAAAAUAAAGGAUUAUAAAUCUUAGAUUGUUACUUGUUUACGAGAUAAUUUGUAAAUGUUGUCCUAUCACAGUUGUACUUUCUGUUUUUAUAGUUAACUUUUUUUGCAUUUUUCUUACUUUAUUAUAAAAUCCACAUCCUUUCUUUUAAAUCGUUUCAUGCAAAUGUACGUUUAUAUCAAAUCAUGUUAUAAAUAUGUCAAAGUUAGAGGGAUAACCUUUUUAGUGAAUAGAACGAAGCAGAUGUAAAAUGUCAUACUGAAAUUAUAGCACUAGGGAAUGACAAAUAAAAGAGGGAGGAAUAGAUGAUAUUAUUGAGCAUUCUUUCUUUCUUUAUGUAUAUUCUCUUUGUAUGUAUAUCGAUGGCAGUAAGAGUGCUCUAUUUAUAGAGCAACUCCAUAUGAAUAUCUUCUUACACUUUGAAAAUUUACAGCAUACCUUUUGAAAAGCAUGAUCUCCUGCAUCCAAAGUCAAUUUCUAUUUUUAUGGGCAUUGAAAACUUUUGCCAAAUUAAUGUGGGCAUUCACUACCCACCAGUAUUUUCAACAUUCCCCUUGGAUGCCCACAUAUCAACAUCAGUUGUCUCGUUAAAACCUUGAUAGGAAAAACCCAGUGGGAAAAAAACCAUAGCGAAGGAAAAAGAGUACAACUUUUCCUGGAUUGUUGACAUAGUGUUAAAUAUGCUUAUGUUGCCUCGUUAAAACCUUGAUAGGAAAAUCCCAGUGGGAAAAAUCCUAAUUGAAGGAAAAAGAGUACAACAUGCAUGUAUCAUGGAUGCUCCCCCUGAUAUGUAUCUCCCCCUGAUUCCGCAUUCUACAAAUUUAGUUGUUUGGUAAGUCGACGUAAUCCGAUACUUUACACUAACUUUUGAAACGUGCAUUUUGGUAGAGGCUUGGUGAACAAGUCUGCCAGAUUUUCAUUAGAACGGAUUUGUUUGACUUUAAUAACUUUAGCCUUCUGGAGCUCAUGUGCACUGAAAAACUUUAGAGAUAUGUGUUUAGUUUUAUCGCCCUUGAUGAAUCUUUCCUUCAUUUGGGCAACACAGGCUGCAUUAUCUUUAUGAAUGACAGUUGGAGUGUCUGUCUUUGAAGUUAAACCACAUGAAUUCCUGAUAUGAUGGAUCAUUGAUCUUAACCAAGAACAUUCAAGACUUGCUUUAUGUAAAGCAAGUAUUUCUGAAUUAUUUGAAGAUGUAGAACUAAUGUUUGCUUUGUUGAGCAUCAUGAGAUUGCUAUAUCUCCAUUCUUGAACACAUAUCCAGUUUGUGAGCGGGCUUUAUACGGAUAAGAGAGGAAACCAACAUCUACAUAUCCAACAAGGACCUGGUCAUUUGUGAAGUUCUUUGAGUAGAAGACCCAUGUCUGUUGUCCCACGAAGGUAUCGCAAUACAUCUUUAACACCUUUCCAAUGACGAAUUGUUGGAGCAGAGCUAUAGCUUGCUAACAAGUUGAUUGAAAAAGCUAUAUCAGGUCUAUUACAUUGUGCUAAAUACAACAAAACACCUACUGCACUUAGAUAUGGUACUUCUGGACCAUGGACCAUUUCAUCAUCUUCUUUUGAACGGAAUGGAUCUUUCUUAAUGUCCAGAGAACGAACGACCAUUGGCGUGCUAAGUGGAUAAGCUUUGUCCAUGCCAAAUAGCUUCAGGAUUUUUUCAAUAUAAGCUGAUUGGUGGACCAAAAUUCCACUAGCACAGAGCUCGAUCUGCAGGCCGAGACAAAAUUUUGUUUUUCCAAUGUCUUUCAUUUCAAAUUCGCUUUCCAGAUAUUCAGUAGUUUUAUGGAACUCUUUAGGGGUUCUAACUAGGUUCAUAUCAUCAACAUAUACUGCCACUAUAGCAAAUCCAGAGUUGGAUUUCUUAAUGAACACACAAGGGCAAAUGACAUUGUUGAUAUACCCUUCUUUGAUCAAAUACUCACUGAGACGAUUAUACCACAUUCGUCUAGAUUGUUUUAGCCCAUACAAUGAUCGCCUUAAUUUGAUCGAGAGCAUACCUCGUGGUUUGUUACUUGUUUCAGGCAACUUAAGUCCUUUUGGGACUUUCAUAUAUAUGUUAGUAUCUAAUUCUCCAUAUAGAUACGCAGUGAUGACAUCUAUAAGUCGCAUGUCAAGUUUUCUGAAACCACUAAACUUAUUAAGUAACGGAACGUAAUUGCGUUUAUUACAGGAGAGUAGGUCUCCUCAUAAUCAAUUCCAGGUCUUUGCGAAAAACCUUAAGCAACGAGUCGUGCUUUAUAUCUUGCAAUAUCAUUUUUCUCAUUGCGUUUCCUUAUGAAUACCCAUUUGUAACCCACGGGAUUUACAUCAGGCGGGGUUUGGACUACUGGUCCAAAAACAUUUCGCCUUUUCAAGGAAUUUAAUUCUACCUGAAUUGCAUCUUUCCACUUAGGCCAAUCUUGUCUCUGUUUACAUUCAUCAACAGAGCGGGGCUCAAUAUCAUCACUUAAUAUGAUUUCAGUGGCUACUGCGAAUGCAAACAUAUCGUCUAUAAUUAUUUCAUUCUGAUCCCACAAUUCAUUAGUGCAUGUAUAAUUUAUGGAGAUUUCUUUGCUUUCAUGUACUUUUGUCUCUUCAGGAACAUGUGUCUCAUCAACGACAUUUUCUUCUUCUGGAAGUCCAGAAUCAUGAAUUGUGGAUUUGUCAUUCAUUCUCUCUUCCCCGAAUGAUUUCAUUUGGAUUCAGCUGUGUCCUUAUCUUUCUCUUUCGAAGGGGUAAAUCUUUUGAACCUGGGGGUCUACCACGCUUCAGGCAUGCACCAUAUGAAUCAUACGCUGCCACUUUAUUUUGUCCAAUAAGGACAUCAAUUCUUGCAAGUGCAUUUGCAACUGGUAUAUGUGAUUUUUUCACUUUCAUAGCAUCAUUAAAUGUAUCUGGCAUUUGAUUGGCAAUGAUUUGAAGAUGGACGAUCCUUUUUACUUCAUUUUCACAUUGAAUGCUUCGAUGAUAAAAAUGAGACAAUGUGGGAACAACCCAUGUCAGCUCUUUCCAUUCUUCUGGAACGGUCUUUUCUUCCCUUAACGACGGGAAGACUGUCUCAUCAAAGUGACAAUCAGCAAAACGAGCUGUAAACAUAUUACCAGUUAAGGGUUCCAAAUAUCUAAUGAUAGAUAGUGAAUCAAAACCCACAUAAAUUCCCAGUCUACGCUGAGGUCCCAUUUUAGUGCGUUGCGGGGGUGUAAUAGGCACAUAAACAGUACAACCAAAAACUCGUAAGUGUGAAAUGUUUGGUUGAUAUCCAAACACGAGUUAUAUUGAGGAGUAUUGGUGGUUGGCUAUAGGUCUCAAUCGAACCAAUGAUGCAGCAUGUAGGAUGGCAUGUCCCCAUGCAGAAACUGGCAAUGUGGUUUUCAUAAGCAGAGUGCGAGCUAUUAACUGAAGCAGCUUGAUCAAUGCUUCUGCCAAACCAUUUUGAGUAUAGACAUGAGGAACAGGGUGUUCAACAUCAAUGCCCAAUGUCAUGCAAUAAUCAUCAAAAGUUUGAGACGUAAAUUCACCAGCGUUAUCAAGUCGGAUUGACUUAAUGGGAUAAUCUGGGAACUGUGCUCGUAACUUAGUUAUCUGAGCAAGAAGUCUCGCAAGAGCUACAUUACGAGUAGACAAGAGACAAACAUGUGACCAUCUAGUAGAUGCAUCAACCAAAACCAUAAAAUAUCGAAAUGGUCCACAAGAUGGUUGAAUAGGUCCACAAAUAUCUCUCUGAAUUCUUUGUAGAAAUGAUGGGGAUUCAGCAUCAACUUUUAGUUGUGAUGGUCUGAUUACUAACUUCCCUUGAGAACAAGCUUUGCAAGGGUUAUCAUUUGUGAUAGCAUGUCUUUGCUCAAUAAUGGAUGUCCAUUAGAGUUGGUAAUGAUCCUACGCAUCAUGAUGGAUCCUUGAUGACCCAGACGGUCAUGCCAAAACAUGUAAACUUUUGAAUCAAUGAACUUCUGGUUCAUGACAGUAUGUGAUUCAACUGUCUUUAUGUAUGUAUAAUACAAUCCACUCGACAAACCAUGCAACUUCUCCAAUAUACGCUUUUGGGUAUCAUUGGAGGUAAUGCAUAUAUACUCUACAUUUUUUGCACUUUUUGUUUCAAUGUGGUAUCCAUUUAAACCUAUGUCUUUGAAACUCAACAAGUUUCGAGUAUAUCGAGUAGCAUACAAUGCAUUAUGUAUGGACAAUAUUGUUCCAUUUGGUAACAUAAUCUGGGCUUUCCCUGAGCCUUCAAUUACAUCUGAUUUGCCUGAUAUUGUUGUUACCCUUAUUCUUGUAAGCAUCAAGCUUAAGAAAUACUUUCGAUCACGAAGUAUUGUAUGUAUAGUUGUGCAGUUUGUAAGACAAAUGUUUCCGCCAUUUCUCAUGUUUUGAGAAUGACCAUAGUUUUUAUCCAUGCUUUCUGAGUAAAGAAAUCAGAGUUAAAAGCAAGUUAUAACAAGAAUUUACAUGCCACUUUUAUUGAAUCUGAAAUGCCAGUUUUAAACUACAAGUUCAGCAUAAUAAAAGUAUAUCAAACAUAAAAGAUUUAGUCGGACCGGUAUACUUCAUUCCCCAUUUCCACAAUGAAGUCUGAAACAUCUAGGUGGGUUGUGUUCAAUUGUCUUGAUAAGUCACACACUUGAUCAGGUAAAUCCAUUGGUUUAGCCUGGUCGAGAAAAUUGGUCUCGACACCCUUCUCUUUGAAGAAGGCUUGAUACAGAUCCACCAGAUGUUUUGGGGUACGACAAGUACGCGCCCAAUGCCCAUUGCCACCAUACCUAUGGCAGGCUCUUUCAGAGUUCCUCGGAGCAUUGUUCAUGUGAACUUUGCCUUUGUGGCGAUUCGCAUUUUAAAGCUCGAGCCUGAAUUAUGCCUUAGAACCUGGUUGUGAAACUGACCACCAUGGUUCUUGCCUUUCCUGUUCCACCGACCUCCCUUGUGGCCACGUCCUCGUUUAUGAUUAUCGCCACCAGAGGCUGUGGUGUUCACUUCGAGGGAAGCAGCAUUCACUUCUGGGAAUGGUGCAGAUCCAGUAGGUCAGGAAUUAUGGUUUUUUAUAAGGAGCUCAUUGUUCUGUUCAGAUACCAGGAGCACAGAUAUCAGCUGGUUGUAUUCAGUGAAACCUCGUGCUCUAUACUACUGCUUCAGGAGCACGUUAGAGACAUGAAAUGUGCUGAAAGUCUUUUCCAGCAAAUUUUCCUCAGUAAUAGUAUCCCCACAGAGCUUCAGCUGAAAGGUAAUUCUGAACAACAUAGAAUUGUACUCUGCCACUGACUUGAAAUCCUGGAUCCUUAGGUAAGUCCAUUCAUAGUGAGCUUUUGGAAAAAUCACCGUUGUCUGGUGAUUGUAUCUGCUUCUCAAUGCAUUCCAAAGAGUUAACGGAUCUUCAACCGUUAAGUACUCACUUUUUAGUGCCUUAUCAAGAUGACGACGAAUAAAAAUCAUAGCCUUCGCCUGCUCUUGAAAGGAUGAGCUGCUCUCUUCCCUGAUGGUAUCUCCAAGAUUCCCUGCUUCCAGAUGGAUCUUGGUAUCCAGUACUCAGUUAAGGUAAUUCUUCCCGGUAAUGUCCAGGGUAGCAUAAUCAAGCUUCGCCAAUGUCGCCAUUUUCUUUUCUGAAAGAAAAUGAGAUGUGUAAGAACUUGCAAUAAUAUGUAUUCCUGGAGGAAUAUAGUGUUAGAACUUCUGGUUCUUACAAAUUUUUCAUUUUUAUCUUUAGGCCAAAAUGAUAAGCACUCGAAACUUCUGGCUCGAAAUUUUUAGGGUGAAUGAGGAGGGCGGUUGUACCACACCAUUCUCAUUGAAAUGAUGUAAUAUAGAAUGGACGAUUAUUCCGCACCACUCAAGUAGCAGGAAAAUUUAAAUACGCAUAACAAUGUGGGUGAUUAUACCGCACCACCUAAAAUUGUAAUGAAAUUAAACUGCAGGCAAAUUAAAUAUGUAGGGUAGGGCAGGCGAUUAUACCGCUCCACCUAAAAUUUGCAGUAAAAUUAAAUCUGCAGUCUAAGAUAGACGAUGACAUCGCACCAUCUUGGAUCGUAGUAGAUUAAAUUUGCAGUUCAAGAUGGCUGAUUGUAGAGCACCAUCUUGGAUUGCAGUAAAAUCAACAUAAAUAAAUACUAGAUUAGUAAUCAAGAUCUACACCAAACAAGAAAUCAAAGAUGUAUGUAACCGUUAGGUUGAGAACUAGAAGCAGGCAUGGAGCAAACAAUUCGUCGCAAGGGUAUACUGAGCAGUUGAGGCAGAGGAAGAAGAUGAACAGUAAAAACCUUAGAGGAAACUUUUUUUUUUCUUUCGUUCGGCGAAGAGAAAUGAUUUGCAUUCGGCGAAGAGGAAUGAGAAAUAUUUAUAUUUUAGAGACUCGUGCUAAUAACGUGUUACAAAUAUGUUAAAGUUAGAGGGAUAACCUUUUUAGUGAAUGAAACGAAGCAGGUGUAAAAUGUCACACUGAAAUUAUAGCUCUAGGGGAUGAUAAAUAAAAGAGGGAGGAAUAGAUGCUAUUAUUGAGCUUUCUUUCUUUCUUUCUGUAUAUUCUCUCUGUAUGUACAUCGAUGACAGUAAGAGUGCUCUAUUUAUAGAGCAACUCCAUAUGAAUAUCUUCUUACACUUUGAAAAUUUACAGCAUACCUUUUGAAAAGUAUGAUCUCCUGCAUCUAAAGUCAAUUUCCAUUUUUAUGGACAUUGAAAACUCCUGCCAAAGUAAUGUGGGCAUUCCCUACCCACCAGUAUUUUCAACAAAUCAGAUUUUUUUUUCUGAACUUUCUUUAAAAACCAGGAUUUGGGUUGAUUAUUUCCUGCUCUGUACAAAAUAUUUGGAUACCGAAUUUCCUAAUUCAGCUCUUUUUCGUUGUCGCCCUAGGCACACGAAAUCUCAGAACCGGCUUACAUUUACCAUUUAUCAAGGAGAAGAUCUUGCAUGUAAACAGAGUAUAUAUCAAGUAAAGUUUAUCUCAAACUGAGGGUUUAGCAAUAAAAUCGUAUUUCCAUGCAAUUGGUUUACUAUGCUAGCGUAGUUUGUUCACG